Molecule: long non-coding RNA, 287574 nt
Filed under: Eucalyptus grandis
Lineage: Eukaryota; Viridiplantae; Streptophyta; Magnoliopsida; Myrtales; Myrtaceae
Description: long non-coding RNA (EGRA_LNC002326)
Source: RNAcentral
ACUUUUGCCUGUUAUCCAUGAUGAUUUGCAUCUGAUGAAUCCGUGACAAUCUGUUAUGUUCCUUGCCUUUCAGACUGACAUUGCUUGCGAGAAGGUGUAGACAGUUUCUGGGGAGAUACAUCGUCUUCUGGUAUCCUGUAUCUGAAGUCCACUUUCAGUGGAACAAUUUUGAUAUCACAGGUGAAGAACAUGAGCGGACUUAGCGAUGGCUUCGACAUAGUCAGGCUUUCUCAAGUAAUGACGUUGAAUGUCGAUCUUCACGUUCUCCAGAUUCUGUGUAGUAGUCAUAGACAAGUGGGGAAUUUGGUAGAUCUACUAAAACAGUAAUUCAAUUGGACUUGAAAUUGAACAUAUUGAGAAGUUUGUGAUCCUUAAUUUGAUGCAAGAGAAAAUCCGGCAGCUGUCAAUUGAAUAAGUGAGCAAAUUGGGUCGACUGCAUUGAAGAGCCUGGACUUAAACUGGCUUAAACUAUAGGGACAGGACUAAAUUUUUCAUGAUCUAUAGUUUGAAUAGUUUACAUGUUACGAAAGAGAAGACGUUGAUCAUAACUGUACAUUUUAUAAACAACAAUUUUACUUAAAAUAAAAUUUACAAUUUUAAGUUGUUGGGGUAGUGAAAAAGUUCAAAAUAAUAUCCUCAUGGAAAAAUUGAAGUAUAUCUAAAGUCUAUGCAAAAGUUUUUGAAAGCUUGAGAAAUGACAGUCACAGUAGCUAUUAUUUACCUAAAAACAUGGGGUUUAGAUGCUGCAAUGGUCAGCUCUUUAUAAUUAUUCUGUGCCCUUCUAUGUUGUACUCCAGUAAUUCUUCGGUAACAUAACCAACAUACUAUAUUGAUGGAGUAUAUUGACAACACAGUUAGCUCAAUAAGUGGCAAAUGGAUAAAAGAUAAUGUUGUAAUCUAUGUAUUCUUAUUGUUGUCUUUAUCCUGUUACCAAUUACCUAGGGUAUGCAUGGUAACGUUUCUACUUUGGGGACCAAUUUCUUUUCAAAAAUGGUUCUUUUAUAUUUGUAUUCCCUAAAACAAUUUCUGAGUAAAAUAAUGUGUUUGGUAACUAUAUAAAAAUUUUAUUCUCGAAAUAGAAAAAAAAAAAAAAAGGAAUGUGUUUGGUAUGAUACAUAAUUUUUUGUAUUUUUCGUUUUUUCUUCUUGCUUGCCAACUGCCAUCACUGACCAGCCGCCGCCACUAGCCACCUGCUGAUCGCCGUUGACCAACGAUGGCUGGCGGGGGAGCAAUGGUGGGUGACCGACUACCAACGGUCGACGGCCGACUAGCGGUGACAAUUUGCGGCGAUCGGCAGGUGGCAAGUGGCGGUGGGUUGCAGUGGUGGGCGGUGGCAAGCGCAAGCAAGAAGAAGAAAAGAAAGAAAGAAAAGAAAAAAUUGACUUUAUUUCUAGAAAUUGUUCUUGAAAACAAGAAGCUACUUUUUUCGACUUCUUAUUUUUGUUCCAAAUCUAUUCCCUAGCUACUUUUCUCUUCCGGGAAAUAGAAAAAUUAAUUGAUAUUACUAAAUGGAUUUAUUUUAUUUUUUUGUUCUAAGAAACAAUAAAAUAAAUCGGAAAAAAUAAAAAAGUUACCAUAUAGGUCCCUAGUUUCUCAUGUUCAUAGUUAGAGUUAUCUAUCUACCGUCAUCGCAACUUACUUGCCUCUCUCACCAAGCACCAUGAUUGGUCGAGGUGUUGUUGAAUUUUGUGAUGAAACAUCUUUAGUGAGAAAAAGUUCUAAAAAGAGUGAAUUACACAGCUUCGUGUCAUGCAUUCUUUCUUUUCAAUAUUGAGGUGAAAACAUGUAGAGAUUCAUUAUAAACAGUUCAUAGAUUUUAUUCCCCUUUUUCCUUUCACAAGUCAUAAUAUUCUUCAUUGUACUACCAACCAACUUUUGAGAUAAUGCACAGAAGUUCUCUUUGUUGUCUAUUGUUUCUUUACAGAUGUUGAUUCAUAAAACUUUUAGUCCGCAAAGAAAACAUGAUUCCACAUUGUAGAAUAAUGACAAUUUGUUAAGCCAUGCCACCAUUGUGUAAAUUUCUGCAACUACUACUUUGAUCCUAGAAGUGAUGCUUGACUGCAGUAGUGGGCCUUUUAACAGCAAUCUCUUCCUAUAACAUUGUGUCGGUGCUAGUAAUGCUGUGGGCCUGGACUAAGAAUCUUGACUACGUUGGCAUAACUCAUCUGAAGCUACUUUUUUAAAGCAUAAUAUAGAGGUAAGAGUAUAUAGAAAGAAGAGGAACAAUAUCUUAACAAUAUCUCGACAAGUGUCUAAAGAGGAAUCAUUGAUUGGAAUGAUUUCCAUGAUGUAAAAGAUUAACUUCCUCAUAGGGGAAUUUCAAGUUUUAAGGAUGAGGCAAUAAAUUGUUGAUCACAAGCCUUUUGAUGUUUACUUUAAAUUUGUGUAUUUCAAAGGGUGUGUAGUACAUUGCUGCGCUAAUUCCCCAUCUCCAACUAGCUAGCUAGAUAUUCUGGAGAACUUUGGAUGGAACUUGGUACUUAUCUCAUUUUUCCAUCUUUACUAGUCGGAUAUCUCAAUGAUUCAUAAUAUGUAUUUUCCUGCACUGCAGACGUGAAAUAACAUACUAUAACAAAUUAAAUCAACUACAAAGCUUCGUAAGUCUUUCUUGCUACAACCAUACCUAAUGUAAUUGAUAGAUCUGCUGACCUACCUUCUUGAUUGUGGUCCUUUUUGCUAUUAUUGGCAAAGGAAUAUUACUUAACCAGCAAAAAGAGCCACAUUAUUUUUCACUCUUUCAGCAAAAUUGAAAUUUACGUUUUGUUUCAUGAAAAGAAGUGCAGACGAUAAAAGACAAAGGGAGUUGUGAUAGGACGAUAUCAUAUCAUGUCACAUUUAGAAUUUUUUAUGGAAAGUGAAAAAUUAGUAGACCAUAGAAAAGAAGUGUCAGUCUAAGUAAAGACAGUAAAAAGGAAAAGUAAACUAGGAUGAAAGAAAAGAAUAAAGUUAUCUAUGCUUUCCAUUUGUGUGUGGGGCUUUUUUUUUUUUUAAGUAAGUGGACAAUAGAGGAGGUUUGCUUCAAUGCUUCUUUUACUUGCCACAGACACCAACUAUCUAUUUAAAAAAUUUAAUUGUCGAGUCAUUCAAAUACCAAGCAGCAAGUCUCCUAAAUUCUUUGAUCCUUAUCACUCAAUUCAUUAGGAAUCUCAGUUACUUUCUGGAGUGCUUUUGUUAACUGUUCUAACUGACUAGGCUUGUUUCCCUAUUCACGGAAUAGGUGAACAACUUCAUAUUACUAGUAGAUAUCCAAGCUAAAAACCUUAUAAAUCUUGAUGACAAACGAGUUUAAAGUUUUUAGAGCACCUUAGCAAUAGUACCUCUGAAUGCAGUUUUCAAUGUCUUUAGCCACCAAUGUAGGAGAACCCGAUGUAACAAUGUUAUAUUAUAUAUUCUAAGGUGGCUUGUCGACGAGAUGAAGUUAGCAAUUAAAUUUUUAAACGUCAUGUAGAGAUUAUUUGCCCAAAUUAAGGAAUUGGAGCAAAUUCAAUGUGUUCUUGAAAAACCCUAACAAGCAUUUCUCAAAUUGGGGCAAAAUCAUCUUAUCAAAAUCUCCUUUUGAAAUCUUGCGCAAAGAAGAACAAAGUUGGGAAACGUUCAAAACUUGCCCACGAUACGAUUUCACUACAAGGCCUUAUUUUCAAUUCUCCACUCAUGGCCUCAUCUUCACUUCAAGGCCUCCUCUUCCUCCUCUAAGCUUGAAGAACCCGUCCCCCCUUCACCCAUUCUUCAAUUUCAUCGUCCCGAGCUGAAGCGAAGGAGAAUCGGCGCAUCAUGAAGACAAACGAGAGGUUACAGAGCCCUCUUUCUCCAUUGCGUUUGCUAUGUUUUCUCCUCACCGUAUGCAUACACAAACGCAAAGAACAUUGAGAUUUUUUUCAGUGUCACUAUUUUUCUUUUGCCCUUUCGCUCAUCACUUAUGCAAACACGAAACUGAGUUUAUCCAAAACAAACCUCCAACAUGCAAUAGUUCCUCUCAAAUCAAAACAAGACCGAACCAACCUCCCAAUUUCUUUUUCUUCAGAUCCACACCUCUUUUUACGUAAAACCAAAUUCUUUUUAUAAUUUUCUGUCCCAAAUUCGUGAGCUUCCGCUUCAUUUGUUUGGUCACUACAGUAUAUUCAUUUUGAAUCAGUUCUUGGUUGAAUGUCGCGAAGAUAUCAGAGAAAAGUCUUUAUUGGGGGGAGAGAGACGCCUUGUCGCUUUGUUCAUGUUGCCCUGUUGGAUGAAAAUAUUUCCCCGCUUGGACUUCUUAUUUAUAUGAAAAGCCAUGUGUGAAUAAAAUUUUUAUUAAACAAGCCUAAGAUGAAGCCUUGGAAUUUAUUUUGGGGGGCAUUUAAAUGAUUAUUUUUCCUCGACACUCAAAUGAUCACUCAAAAAGUUUUAGCCCUAAAUUAAGCAUAAAAAAUUAUGGCAUUUUUAUUGUCAUUUUUCCCCAUCUAUCCUUUUUGAAAUAGAAGCUGAUAAGCACUGGUAGAGUAUUUAAGCUAGAUUAGGAUAAGAUGUUCCCAUGGUUUAGAAAGCAUGCUUUCUCAAAGGUUCCAUUUUUUGAUAAUUAUUUCCUGUAACCAAAUUCCAAAAUUAACAAUUCACGUGAGAACUUGCACAGGCAUAGAUAUAUGAAAAACUAAGGAACUGGAAAUAUUUUUAAUUUCUGGUAACAUUGAUAUCGACUUGGAAUUAAUUGUUCUAUUUUUUUUUUUUAAGGUUUAUGCCAUUAAAAAUUCGAAACCUUUAUCCUCUUGGCACGUUUAUCCAAAUUAAUUUUUGUCUCAUAAAAAAAUGCAUGACACUUUUCUUUUAAACUAUUUUUUUUUUGGUAAGGUGUCUUUUAAACUAAUUUUUGUCUCUCAAAAAAUCCCAAAAUUGGUAACUUGACCGAAACUUACCCUCAACAUUAGAUUCUAAACUGUUAAAGGAUGUUAGAUUUGGGUUAGGUUAUCGGUUUGAGGUAAUUGUGUUUUGAGAAAUCAGUUUGAGAGAUGAAAAAUAUGUUAUAAAAAAUCAAUUUGAAAUUUUUAAUGGUUGUAAUCCUAUUUUAAUUGCAUCUUGUAUGGCGAACCAAGACAUGCACGGAAUUGAAACAUUUUCUAAGCUUUAUAUACGGAUGAUUAACCAUGUUGAAUGUACAAUAAAUAAAUAAAUAAGUAAAACCAUGUUGAAUGUAAUACUGAGGAUUACGGAAAUCAUCAUCUUUACCGAGCUUCCUACCCUACAAUCUUAUGGUGAACAAAUAGCAAGAAGAACCAACACAAUAAAUAGGUAAACAAACAAUAUAUAUAUAUAUAUAUAUAUAUAAGGGGUCUAAUUUGGUCUUGAUCUAUAUUCUAUAUAGCCCACAAGAGGAGUUUUGUUGGAUUCGCUAGACAGGUCAGCUUCAGCCCGGAUCAGUUCGCACGGCCCAUGUCCAAAUUCGUUGAUCCCGCGAGAGAAAAAGAAUAGGAAAAUUGCUCUGGAAGAGAAGCUCCGCUCGAGACGCUUGUGUAUUCUUCCCCCGCCACCUUUGGACGUCGCCUUCCUCCUCUGGCCGUCGGACGGUGCUCGCCUCCUCCGGCCAUCGUCGAUCAUCAGUCUCAGGCAGACACUGAUGGGAGAGGGAACCAUUUUUGAGGCACGCAGGCACACCUGAGAGAAAACACACGGGCUAGGACGAUCGGUUAUUUCUUCUGAAUCCUUUCCUGCCUCUUUGUUGCCGAUUGUAUCUGAAGCAAUUUGCGUUUGUCUUAAACUUCAUUACCGGUGCUCAUCCUCACCAGCGACGUUUUCCAAAUCCUCCUGGUGCGAACUCGACCAGUAAUCGCGACCAAGAACUCCUUAUCGGCAAGGUAAUCUCUCUUCCCUACCAUACUCUGUUUUUUUAUGAAUAAAAGUAACCAAAAUGGCAUGUCCUAAAUUAGGAUAGAAUCGGCUCAAAUUCGUAUUCAUAUUGACGAUUGCGUACUUGGACUGAUUUCGUUUGAACCUGAUCCCUAACCCGAUAAACUGAUUUUGUCUGAAUCUGAUCUCUAAUCUGAAGUCAUCGUGCUUGCUUUCACUUCUCCACCGAAUGCACAUAACGUGUUUGAUAAAAUGACUCCGAAGUGUAUCAGUGAGUUUCUGCUAAAUCUGAAGAUAUACUAGUUUAGUUUGCACACUAAUGAUUGAUUCGUUGGUCAUUGAGCAUGAUUUUGUAGAAUUUUACACAUUGACCGAGACUGACACGCCUAUUCUUGUUCUAUUCCCAUGUAUGUUUGUCUCUGAGGUGAUGGGUGGUGGUCGAUGGCCAGAGCGUCGAUCCAUUGAAGCAUUCGUGUCGGUUUGUUUCUCCAAUCUUAUGUUCUGUCCAUUUCCUUUACUGUUGCGAUUGUGGAGGAUUGAGUUGAUGGUGACGGAGGAUGGCCGUAGUCACUGAAUUGUACUGAUUUAGGUGAAUAUCUGUUGAUAAUUUUACUGUUUCAGCUCUUGAACUUCGACGAGAAAUGGAUCUGGGAAUGGUGGACUCGGCGUCAAGGAUGAACACCGAUCAUCAAAAGAGAGGAGAAUAACAAAAAAAAAAAAAGUAGCCCUUUUCAAUGGAAAAUAAGUUUAAUGUGGACUUGGUGUGUAUUUGUCAUGGGGAUGGGUUUAGUGUAGUAAUGUUCAGGAAUGGGUUUAAGAUGCGAUUGGGCUGAAUCUGGUUCUAGCAAAUUUGUAUUGAGUAAAAUGUAUUGAAAAUCUUGAAAUUUGUCACGAAAAUACAGUUGAGUUUUAAAAUUUUCAAAAAUGCAAUUAAGUCACAAAACUUAUCACAAAGUGCAAUUAAGUCUUAAAAUUUUCAAAAAGUGCAAUAAAAUCCAUCUUUUCCUAGACGUAUCAGGAGGGAUGGACCACUCUGGAAAAGAUAGUUUUAGAGGUAAUGAAUUUAUUACAAAAGUAAAAUCAAGUCUUAAAAUUAUUGUUAUUGACUAAGUGCAGGAUUGAAUUUUUAUAGGUUGAUAUGGUGAUACAUCCUUGGCCUCGUGUACCUAAAUAUUUGCUGGUGCUACUCCCGGGAUUGAUUUGAAAGUUCUGAGAUUACAGAGAACGAUGACAUGACUACUUCUAUGAAGGCCUAUGAAGCUUUUAAAAUAAUUGGAAGCAUCACCCAUGACUCUUGCUCUUAAUAGAUGCAGAAAAAGUUACUUCCUGCGGUUUUUGCGCGCCACGAAAGAGAGAUGCAUAGAAGUCGAAGGCAAGUGCCGAUUCAAUGGCAAGUCAACUAUAUGCUAGUAAACAUCAGUCUUUGACAAACCUUCAGCAGAGUACAAACCAACAGUCGAUAACGGCGGUUUUAAAUUGGACAGCUGACUUAAAAGUGCUGGAACUUCAUGGCCGACAAAGCCAUAAGGAAAAUUUACCGUGCACAAGGUCACCGGACUACAGAAGGCUCAACUAAUUAGAUUUCCUAGCGACCAGAAUGGAGCCUCAGGGUCAGGGAAAUCAAAAGAUACGGUGUAUCCCGCAAUCAAGCAAGAACUUUCGCAUAUAUCCUUUGCCAGACCUACGUAGCAACCAAGAAUGAGCCUCGGGGUCAGAUAAUUCAUAUGAGAAGCACACAGCGAAGAGAAAUCCAUACGCAACACAAACACGGACUCCUUCCUCGAUACUCUCGAGGAGCCUCUCCCGUGCUAGAUUCAGCCCCACAUAAAAGGCUACGAACAGCCCGAGCAUCGCAAUUUGAAUGCGACCUUCCACAGUGGGGACAUAUUUCGGCUCUUGACCAUAGCGGAACGUUAAACUUGCAUAAUGUAAGAAAAUUGCCAUGACGGAGAAAAGGAACGCAAAACUGUUAGACAUCACAAAGGUUUUAAAAAAUGGCCUGCCAGCAUGAACUGCCAUUCCAUCGUCAUUAUAACCUCCCAGAACUGUGAAGGCCACAGCGAAGCUUACGGUGGCUAUCAGCCCUGCCACUAGUAGUUGAGCAUCCAUAAUGCCUCUUUUUGACAAAGUGAAAUCAUCUCUUCUCUCCAAAAAAAAAGAAAAAAAAAAUAAUCUCUAUUGGCAAUAUUACUUCCUGUAGUUAUCGAUAUAGAGGGUUUACCCUAAGCAAAUUGAUUGUCUAAUCUCUUCUUGCCAUGUUCAACAAACCAGCCUUGAAAGCCUGCGAGUCCAUGAGAUCCUUCCAACAGGUAAGAAACUUUCGUAGCGUAGAAGCUAAGAAACUUUCAUAGCGUAGUAGCCGAUCUAAAAAUGUAGAUAAUAUAUCAAUUAACGUGUGAAAGUUUUCCAACAAAAUAAUUCAAGAGCCUCAAUUUACACACUCAAAAUCCAUAUAUAACAAAUAAGACUCCUGACAAUUAUUAAAAUGUCAUGGAGAAUUCAUUCAUAUAAUCUCUUUUAGAUAAAUAGAGUUCCCUAAAGUAAACAUUAUAGUUACAAGUGUGCUAUCCUAGUCCUGAUUUAUUCUCAAUUUUUCUUCUUUUCUUUUCUUUCUUUUUUCUCUUUAUGGUAUCCCCUUGUUGAAACCUAAUUUUUAGUCAACGCGUCAUUAAAAGGUAAAAAAAAUUGAGAUUUGGGUUUCUGAUUGCAAUGGAAUCCUGUAUCCGACCAAAAAGUGUCGUUUCUCAUUUCUUUGUUUUGCAUUAUUUUUUAAAAGUAAUUUCUAACUCAUUUUCAAGAAAAAUCCAAAAAGUCAAACGGUUGACUUUUAAACGAUCCCAAGUCAAAAAUUGACUUUUUACUCAAAAAGAUUCAAUUUAACUUUAAUUUAACUUUUGUCAAAUCAAUUUCUUGAAAAUUCAAAGAUUUGACCAAAAAAAUCGACAUUUUAGGAAAAAUAAACUAAAUGACUGAUUUUUUAUCAAACCUUUGACCCAAAAAAAUAAAAUAAAAAAUAAAAAAUGCAUAAAUUCAUUUUUUUUAAUGCUAAAUUGACUUUUGUGCCAAAAAUUUCACAAGAUUCUAUUAAGAACUUUGAUUUCUGAAUUUUUCAAUUUUAGAUUCUAAAUUGACUAAAAAUAAUAUUAUUUUUAUUCUAGUCAUAAUUAGGCAUAGUUACUUCUUUGACAUAUAAUUUAUGGACUAUUUGAAAUUUUCUUGUGCAUUUUUAAUUUCGUGAUUUAUUGAGUCAAAAUGCUAAUUGUCGUUUUGAGCCCUAAUUGGGGGAUCAAAAUUGAUGUUUCAUAACUUACGAAUGGACGAUUGUUUCUCACUCAUUUCCUUAACAUAAGUCCAAUUUUGAAAUUGAUUUUGUGAAAUUCACACUAGGACUUAUCAAUUUGAAGAAUUUUAUCCUCCCAGGCGUUAUAAAAUCAAGCAAUUAAGCUUCAAUUGACAAAAAUCAAAUUGACCCAUUCAUGGCUAUGAUUUAAUUUCAUGAAUUUAGGUCUAAUUUUAAUAUUAGACUUAGAUCCAUUUUUGACCUAAGCUUGAGCGCUUCAAUUCAAGAUCAAUUUGAAUAUGAUAAGUGAUCUUACAUAGGUAGCUCAUUAGAUAGGAUAAUUGUGACACUAAUUGAGUUUAAUUUUAGUUAAUUUACAAUUUUGCCAAUUGAAUUGCAAAUUUUAUCAUUUUAGCCCUUUAAGCCCAAUUCGAAACACCCAUGAUUUCGACUCAUUGUUUUUCACAAUAAUCAUUCAAUUAGGUCAAUAAAAAAACCCUAGAUAAUGUUCAUAAGGCUUGAUUAAGUUAAUUGUAUCUUAAUUGACCAAUUUCUUCUUAAAAAUGAUAAAAUUCCUUUUUAAUUUGGUCAUUUAGGGACCAAAUUGCAUAAAUUUUAGACCCACGGGGGUUUAAGAGUGUUCAAGGAGAUUACGGAAAUUGAAGUAAUGGCAAUCGACCGGUAUAAAUAUAUAAAACUCGUUAAUGCUAUGAAGAGCAUUUUGUUUAAUUAAAAUACACACAAAAUCCAACACUUUCCUUGCAACCUUCAGAUAAUCACCAAACAAAUACCAAACUUGGCAGUUCAACCACAAUAGCACAGCAACUGCUAACCCUCUUGGCUUUCAUUUGGUUAACCGGAAAAGUCUUCACUUGGUGGCCUCGGCUGCGCUCCAGAUACUGGAGCACGGCAAAUUUUGCUGGCACUCGAUCAAACAGGUUGACGUUGACAGGUUUUAAAUCGGACAGUUGACAUAGAAAAGCUCGAACUUGACGACUGACAAAGCAAAAAGAAAAUUUCCCGUGCACAACCUCACGGGACUAUAAAGCCAACCCAACUCUUAACAGCUCUCUUAGCGUAUCCCAUAAGCACGCUCUCCCUCUGGAAGCAAUAUAUCGGGAUUUAGAUAUACAAUCGAAAAACGAUGUCGGAAGUCCCCGUAUGAACCGAUGAUGUAAUAACUCCCGACACAUCCACACACAACCCAAGGAACAAUCGCGAGCCCAAUGGUUCUGGUCAACACCACAUACGUCCCAGAAGCAAAGGCUAGCACCAUCGCAAGCGCCGCAAAGUAAAUGUAUCUUGCGGCCCUUUGCGUGAAUUUCACCUUUGUACGAUCGCUCAACGCAGAAGUAUCAAAUUGUAUGAACAAUGCCAAGGUGGAGAAACUGAAUGCCAGAGCGUUAGCUAUCACAAAGGUUAUGAAAGCUGCCCUGCCAGCAAGAGUUGCCAUUCCUUGGUUGGGUCCAUCACUAUAAUAACCUCCGGGCAUCGUGAAGGUUGCAGCAAAGGUCGCUGUAACUAUGAACGCUGCCACUACUUGUUCAAGUUCGAUAACGCUUUUCAGUGACGAAUUGAAAUUUUCUUGGUUGGGAGUAUUACUUCCUGUGAUUUCAGACCCAACUGGUUGGCCCUCAACAAAUUGCUUGUCUAAUCUCUUUUUAACAUGUUCCGAAACCCACUCUUGCAUAACCAGGAAUCCGGAUUUUCUUCUCAGCGCACCAUAAACAAUAGAUCUGCAUUUGACCUGAAAAUGUACAGAGAGUAUUAAUUAACGCUUGGUCUUUAUCAGCAAAAUACUUCACGACCCUCCUUUAUUCACUCAAAAUCCAUCUAUAACAAACAGAAUUCCCAGCUGAGUCCGUAAACAUUAUUAAUCAAUCAAUUCAUCUCCUUUAGAUGAUGUAGUGAGUAAAUGAAACAGGUAAAUAGAGUUUCCUGGGUAAACAAUUACACAUUCGGGUAUGCCGUAUGUGAAUGAUAUUGUCUAGGGAUUUUUGAAGUCCUUUUUCUCAAAUUGGGCAGAGUGCAGGUUAUCUCUUUUAUCUCAAAACUUAUUUGAAAAGGGGCAGAAAAAAACAGAAGGAUUUGGGGUAAACAUUGUAUAAGACGUUCUGCUUCUCUUAUAUUAAUAUGGCAGAAUAGUUGUUUCAAAGUCAGAAGGCGCAUAUAAACUUUUGAAUUGAGGUCCUCUAAAGUUACGGUUGACUAUACGAGAUAUAGGGUGCGUUUGGGAACUAUUUUUGGGGAAAGUCCUUGGGAAAAUGCAAAGACCUUAGAGUAGGUGUUUUUUAAAAUGCAACUGUGUUUGGUAAAUUGUACUUUGAAAGCCCCUUUGUGAAGUACUUUGAACAAAAUAGUGUUUGGGGAAUUGCAUUUACAAAGAUCUUUGUGAUAAAAAAAAAAAUUGGCAAAAGAAAAAUUAAAAAAAAUUGACCGGCAAGGGCAGCGACCGCCGGCGACCGCCGGCGACCUCCGGCGACCUCCGACUACCUCCGACUACCUUCGGCGACCUCGAAUAUGAGGCGGUGAGGUCGCGCGACGCCGUCGCGACCUCCGGCGACCCCGGAUCUGGGGCGGCGAGGUCGCGGGAGGUCGCACGGCGCCACCGCGACCCAGAUCCGUGGGCGGCGAGGCGCGACCCAGAUCUGGUCGCCGCUCGAGCCUCCGGCACCAGAUCUGGUCGCGACCAGACCUGCAACUAGGUGGGUCGCGCGGCCCCGGUGAGCUCCGUGCGGAGGUCGCGGUGCGGCAGGCGACGGUCGCCGGCGACCGCGUGCCUUUUGGCCACCAGAUCUGCGACUUGCGGAGGUCGCCCGAAGCUCCGACGAAGAUCGCGUAGGUUGCGGCGUCUCUCUACACCUGGAGAAGAUGAACAGUGCUCGACAAGGGCACGCAUCCGGAAAAUCCAAAAAUUCGUGAGGAUAAUUUUGGAAAAAAAAAAGUAUGAACAGUGCGGGCGUGGCAUGCCGAAAAUGCCGAAAGCUUUCAGCCUUCACAAGGCUGGCAUUUUGAGAAGGUGGGUUCAAAGUUUUUUGCCAAACGGGCUGGCAUUUGCCCAAGUAUCUUUAGCCCUCCAAAGGGCUUUGGGAAGUGGUUCCCAAACGCACCCAUAGUGGCUGACAUCUCAGCACAAGGUCCAUUAAGCAGUCCAUAUAUAAGAAAGAAAAGAAAAAGGGAGAAUAAAUCAAGUAUUAUAGACACAUAGGGUUAAGGUGAAGUGGGAAAAAGAGAGAAAAAAGGGAGAACAAAUCUGGACUGUUAUGUAAUGUUUGCAUGUUUUGCAGGUAUAUUGCUGGGAUUCUUUUCAUCUCUUUUAAUUUUUUCUUGAGUAUCCCCCAGAACUUUCCCUUUUAACUAAGCAAAUACAAAGAUUAUUAGGUGCUCUUGGAAGAUCAGGUGGCCGUCCACCUAAUGCAAGUUUUGGAGCAUCGAGAUCUAUGAACUUCUUCAUAAAUAGCUGGGCAGUAAAAUUGGUUUAUACUAUUUUUAUUAUAUGCAGUUAACUGUUGGCUAUUAAUACAAUAUUUGCUUUCCUUUAUGUAAUCUGUUUUUAGCGGGGCUUUUACUUUCAAACUAAUAAAUAUUUUCUAGAAUCAAAUGAAAUAUUUGAAUACAACUUAUGUAGCUACAUAUUUUGUGUUACUUUUGCAAUACUCAUAUACGUGGCUUAAGCAANNNNNNNNNNNNNNNNNNNNNNNNNNNNNNNNNNNNNNNNNNNNNNNNNNNNNNNNNNNNNNNNNNNNNNNNNNNNNNNNNNNNNNNNNNNNNNNNNNNNCACGAUCAAGUUUUCUUUGUGAAGCACAGCCAAAUGCAAAGCCGUGUUUCCAUCAGUAUCUUGUCGGUCAAUAACAUCCUCUAGGUUUGGCGUCUUUAGUAUGUGCUUGACUACCUUUGCUCGUCCACCGAUGACAGCUGAAUGAAGAGCCGUUUGCUCUUUGUUGUUUAUCAUGUCAUAAGCAUCGGGACAAGAUGUAACGAGCUUUUCAAUGAUAUUGACAUGGCCUCGACAUGCUGCAAUGUGAAGAGCCGGAUUCCCCCCCCCCCCCUUUGUCUAAGUCGUAUACCACAGAAGUAUCAUGUUUCAAAAGCCGUCGAACUGCUUUGACAUUGCCAAAGCAAGCAGCAUAAUGAAGAGGAGUCCACCCGAUGUCGUCAACUUCUCUGAUCACUUCUGGUCUUUUCUCUAGGAUUUUCUCCCAACCUUUGCAAAUGCAAUACGAAUAUUUCAUGAUUUAGACUGUUUUUAGCAUACUGUCAUAGAUAUAUAACAUUGUAUUUCAUCCUAUUUAACUUUCCCCUUUUUCUCUGUAAUAGGAGGAAUAUGUCAUGGUUAUUCUAAAAUUUCUCUAGUGAUCUUGUGUAACACAUGUAAAACCUAACUACCUUCAAUAAAGCAUAAUGUAGGAACUUGUAAAAAUUUUCAUUUUGAUCAGUGAAUUCGUCAGAAAUUCGUCAAUUUGAUUGAGAAGAAGCUUCUUUUCUACUCAGCAAGGCAUCUGCUCUGUCAUCACUAGAAUAAAAGACUAAGAUUGUUUACUCUGAUGCCAAUCAUUCUACAGGAAUAUCGUGCUCAACUCAAUUUUAUAAAAAAAUUAAAUUAAUAGCACCUUUUACAUUUUUCCAAUUGUAAAGUUAUUGCACCCCCGUUUUUUCAAGUCAUCAUAAAUUUCUCCUAGGGGUUGAAAAUUUUUCCAUUGAUUUUUUUGGAAAUAUAUCGCAAUGUUCCCUAUCAUCAAUUAUACAAUGAUUGGUCCUUAGCAAAACCCUAAAAGGCUAUAACCACUGAGAAAGUCCAGGUAGAGCCAGGAAGGGGGCCCACCAAGGGGCCCUUUGGAGCUACCUCACCCCCCAACUGGAUGAGCAAGUCCCUCGUGGGGGUAAAACCCCACUGGAAUCCUACUCAAAUGAAGGUUCCUGGACCUCAGAAGGGUCCCGGGUGGCGGGCUAUCAUCAAUUGAUUUUUUUGGAAAUAUAUCACAAUGUGCCCUAUCAUCAAUUAUACAAUGACGAAAAAAAAAAAAAGAAUACCCAAACCCCCCUCCCCCCUCCCCCAAAAAAAAAAAAAAGACAAAGAAAAGGCGAACUGGAUGAGAGAGAAAAGGGAAGACGUUGGGGUAUGAUGGUGAUGGUGGUUGAUGAUGGUACCAGGGGAACAAGAUGUAGAAAAAUUCUGUCUUAAUAACAAUGAAUUUUUUUUCCCAACGGGGUUGAACGCGUAAUCCCAAAUGUAGUGUGUUCCAUGGGAAAUUCUGUCUUAUGAUACUACUGCGUGCAAACUCUAAUCUUCUUCUUUUGGACAGCAAACUAAGGGUCUGUUCAUUUCACGGAAAAUUGGCCAUCUCCAGAAAACAUUUUCCGAGAAGUCAUUUUCCAGGAAAAUGACUAUAUUUUCCGGUGUUCGGCUGAAACUUAAAUUUUGAGUGGAAAAUAUUUUUCACCGUUUGUUAAUGACUCCUAACAAAUUUUUAAUUUUUUCUUUCUUUUUCUUUUUCUUUUUUCCUUUUCUUUUCCUUCUCCUUCCUCCUUCCUCCUUCCUCCUCCUUCUUCCUCCUCCUUCCUCCUUCCUCCGCCGCCGCACGCCUAACGAUGGCUGACUGCCCGGCGGCCGACCAAGAUACGGUCGCCAGAUCCGGCGAGCUCGAGGCUCUGGCGAGCCACGAGCUCGCCGGAUCUGACAGCAGAGCUCGGGCUCCCGAUCCAGGCAAGCCCGAGCUCCGCCGCCAAAUCCGAUGAGCUCGAGCGAGGCCCGAGCCCCGCCUAGCUCGCCGGAUCUGGCGAGGCCAGAGCUCCGCCCCAGGCCGGCGAGGCUCCGCCUCGUCGGCCUGGGGCGGAGUUGGAGCUGGCUCGCAGCCGCGGUCAGUCGCCGGUCACCGGCCGCCGUCAGGGCCGGCCACCGGCCAAGCUAAGGAAGAAAGAUGAAAAGAAAAGAAAGAAAAGAAAAGCAUAAAAAUAAAACAAAAAUGUGUUAGUAAAAGGAUAUAGGGUGGAAGAAGUUAUGGAAAAUGUUUUCCAUUUUUCAAAAUUGGAAAACAUUUUCCUUAUCUUUGAAGGUAGUAUUUUCCAUUGAGAAAAAUAUUUUCCUUGAGUAAUUGGUUUUCCGUGAAACGAACACCGGAAAAUCCGGAAAACAUUUUCCUGUAAGUUAUUUUCCGUGAAACGAACGGAGCCUAAGAGAAGACGAACGAGUUGGAACUUAUUUAAUUGUCAAUGAACAAAACAAUAAAGAGAAUGUAAAGGGAAUAACAACUCGAAUACUUUCAAAACAUAAUUCUCACACAUAAGUGGUCAAGAGGCAUGUCCUUGGGAAAAGCAUGACCUUUCACCAAUAUGAAAGUAAUAACAAAUAAAUAAUGGCUGCGGUUUUUCCACUCUUCUUUUUUCUUCCUUUUCUUUCCUGGUGGGUAUUAUCACAAUCUUUGAUUUCCUGGGCCGUCAAAUGUUCUGCCCCUCCAGAAAAAGGGAGUACAGAGGGAUGCUAAAAGCGUGGAAAGAUAUUAAAAAGGAAAGUGGAAUCCUUGAGGAAAGAAAAGAAAGAAAGAAGAAAAGGGAACCAUAUUUAACCAUAUAUAAAAUAAAUAAAUAAAUAAGAGAUUAAUGCAUGGUCAAAUAUUGUGAUAAGGAGUGUAUAAACCAAAAGAAUGGAAAAAAGUGUGGCCCAUCAGUAAAUAUUUUUUUAUUAAAAUAUUUAUAGGAUACUAUUGUAGAUGAGGGCCAUCACUGGUACCACCAGCAAUCUCACUAAGGAGAAGCCUUGCAUUAGAGAGAGAACAUCGGUUGAAAUUUAUGUAUCACUAGGUUUAUGAUCUUGUGAUACUUACUUGGUAGUGAGUAGUGCACUGCGGCAUGCAGAGCUGUCAAUCCCUUAGGGCCUCUAUGAAAGCAUGGCGACGAGGAAGCAUGUAAAAUCGGCUCAAUAAUAUCCGAAAGUCUUCGAUGUGCUACGAAAUAAAGCGGGUGCUCACCAACAGCAUUACCAAUAUCACAUAGUUGAGGAUCUUCUUCAAUCAACAACUUCACAACCGACUCGUGACCUCCUCUUAGUGCAUAGUGUAGCGAGGUAUCCUUGUUAUUAUUUGGUCUCCUAAGUAGCUCUUUGCAUGCAUCAGGUUGAUCUAGUGAUUUUGCCAAAUCUGUGAAGACUCGAACUGCAUGGUCAUUUCCCACUUUAGCAGCAACAUGUAAAGGAGUGUCUCCUUUGUAGUUACCUUGCCAAGGAAGGGACGAUCCUGAUUGAUGUCGUAGAAUAUCUCAAAUGAAAUCUACCUGCUCGCCUUGAGCCACAACGUGAAGAAUGUUAUUCCCCUUUGGUGUUGUUUGGUGGAAAAGAUCCUCUCCAUUUUCUGAAAUUGUUGUCAUCAAGGAACGAAAGUCUCUUGACUUUGCUGCUUUAUAUAAUUUAGGAUGCAUACUCAGUCUCUCUUUCAUUCUUGGGACACGUAGUAGUGGCAAGUGAACGUAUCAAUAUAAGUAAUAAGUUCAAAUAGAAGGAAUUUCUUUGGGUUUUCUAAUAGGAGUGAUGUCAAAAACGAGGAGAUGUUGAAGAGGAAAUAUGAGCUUCCCAGGAGUACUAGAAAGGAGAUAUUUAUACACAUAUGGUGGUUCUUCAAUUGUUCCUAUUAAAUCAAAAUAAGUUUAUCAGGUUUAGAAAAUAGUUUCCAAAAAGUCUAAUUAGUAUGCAUUUUAGACUUCCUGUUUUUACACACACAAUGACAAGUGGGGCAACUCUUGUUUGAAGGAAAGAGGACAAGUACAAACAAAAAGUAAUAAUGAUAAAUAAAUUAUAUAAGCAUGAAAUUGAGCUAACAGGACUACUUUCCACUUUUCAUUAAAAUCAGGACCAUCAUACAUACAUAAUUCAAAAAUUCUUCUAGAAGAAUCGAAUCUGAUUGAACUUAUUUAUUAAAGUAAUGGCAUUCGUGGGCCCACUUGUAGCUGUAGUUCUUUUCUCUUUUUUUUUUUCCUAUUUUUGACCGACAAGCCCUUUAUUCUUUUCAGUCUUCAUGGUCAUUGUUCUUCGUGAGUCAUGCAUUCUCACCAUGCUACACAUGAUGGAAGAUUUAUAUAUGUAAACUUUUACGGUGCACGAACAUAGGUAAAAAUUAGUUGAUGCCCAAUUCGAGGAUCAACUCUGCUUCUAUGAUCCAUUGGCAAAACUUGGAUCGCAUAAAAAAAAUUUCUAUUGUAAUGUUUGCAUAAUAUACCAUAACAGAUAGAAAUCUAAAAAAGUUUAUAAUAGUUCAAUGCCUGUCUAUCAUAUUUACUAUGUGGAAGAGAGACGUGACAAAAGCUAAAAUAAAAAAUUAAAGAGAGAGAGAGAGAGAGAGAGAGAGAGAGAAGGCAAGACUAAAGGUGUUUUGCAUUGUUGGUGGGGGCUAAAAACAAAUGCUUUUGAAAGCUUAAAAAAUGAAAGUUAUCCUGUGCCCUUCUAUGUUGUACUCCAGUAAUUCUUGGGUCACGUAAACAACAUACUGUAUUAAUUGAGUGUAUCGACAACACAGUUAGCUAUAUAAGUGGCGAAUGGAUAAAAGAUAAUGUUGUAAUCUAUGUAUUCUUAUUGCUGUCUUUGUCCUGUUGCCGGUUACCUAGUUUUUCAUGAUCAUGGUUAGAGUUAUCUAUCUACCAUUAUUGCAACUUACUUGCCUAUCUCACCGAACACCAUGAUUGGUCGAGGCAUUGUUAAAUUUUGUGAUGGAGGAUCUCUGGUGAGAAAAAGUUCUACAGAGUGGAUUAUACAGUUUUUUGUUAUGUAUUCUUUCUUUUCAAUACUGAGGCAAAAACAUGCACAGAUUCAUUACAAAGAGUUUGUAGAUUUUAUUCCUCUUUUUCCUUUCACAAGUGUUACCAUAUUCUUAUUGUAGUACCAACCAACUUUUGAGAUAAUGCACAGAAGCUCUCUUUCUUGUCUAUUGUUUCUUCACAGAUGUUGAAGUAUAGAACUUUGAGUCUGCAGAGAAAAUGUGAGUCCACAUUGUAGAAUGACACUCUGUUAAGCCAUGCCACCAUGGUGUACAUUUCUGCAACUACUAGAUGGACCCUAGAAGUAAUCCGUGAUUGUAGUAGUGGGCCUUUUAACAGCAAUCUCUUUCUAUAACAUUGUGCCGGUGCUAGCAAUGCUAUGGGCCUAGACUAAGAAUCUCGACUACGUUGGCAUAACUCAUCUAAGCUACUUCAAUCUCUCAUCGUUUUUCAUGCAUGGUAUGGAGGGAAGAGUAUAUAGAGAGAAGAGGAACAACAUCUUGACGAAAGUUGAAAGAGAAAUUAUUGAUUAGAAUGAUUUCCAUGGUGUAAAAGAUUAACUUCCUCAUAGUGGAAUUUCAGGUUUUAAGGAUGGUGCAAUAAACUGUCGAUCACAAGCCUUUUGAUGUUUACUUUACGUCCCAGUACAUUGCUGCGCUAACUCCCCAUCUCCAACCAGCUUGCUAGAUAUUCUGGAGAACUUUGGAUGGAACUCGGUAUUUAUCUCAUGUUUCCAUCUUUACUAGUCGGAAAUUUUAAUGAUUCAUGUCAAAUAUUUUCCUACAUUGCAGACAUGAAACAACAUAAUGUCCUAAAUUAAAUCAAUUGCAGAUCUUGCUAAGUUCUUUCUUGCUACAGUCGUACCUAAUAAAAUUGAUAGAUCUACCGACCUUCCUUCUUGAUAUUGUUGUCCUUUUUGCUGUUAUUGGCAAAGGAAUAAAGUAUCCUACUGCUUAAACAGCAAAGAGAGACACGUUACUUUAUACUCUUUCCCUUGAAUUGAAUUUUACAUUUCACUUGAUGAAAGGAAGUGUGGAUAAUAAAGGAGAAAGGGGGUUGUGAUAAGACAGUAUCAUAUCAUGUCACAUUUAGAAUUUUUUUACGGAAAGUGAAAAAUUAAUGGACCCACAGAAAAGAAAACCCAUUCUCUUCUUUUUCAAAUAAAGACACUUCAGUCCAAGUAAAUGCAUUUAAAAAGAAAAGUAAACGAGGAUGAAAGAAAAGAAUAAAGCUAUGUAUGCUUUCCAUUGGUGUAAUUUUUUUUAUGAUAAGUGGACAAUAAAGGAGGUUUGUUUCCAUGCUUCGUUUACUGGCUAAAUGACACUAACUACCGAUCUGAAAAAUUUCAAAACUGUUGUGUCAUUCAAAUACCAAGUAGUAAGUCAUCGUCCUAUAUACUUUGAUUCUUAUCACUCAAUUCAUUAGAAAUCUAAAACGUACUCUCAAGAGUACUUUUUGUUAACUAUUCUAACCGAUAGGGUUUUUUUCUCUGUUUGUGGAAUAGGUGAAGAACUUCAUAUCACUAGCAGAUAUCCACAUCGAAAACUUUUUAAAUCUUGAUGACAAAUGAGUUUAAAGUUUUAGAGAACCUUACCAAUAGUACCUUGGAAUGUAGUUUCUAGUGUCUUCAGCUGUCAAUGCUUGAAAAUUCAAAUUGACAAUAUUAUACUAUAUAAACUCCAAUUUGACUUGUCGACCAAAUGAAAUAAGUGAUUAAACCUCUAAAAGAGGUUCAUGUAGAGAUUGCUUACCCCAAAUAAAGGAAUUGGGGCAAAAUUCAAUGUGUUCUUGAAAAUCCCUAGCCUGCAUUCCUCAAAUUGGGGCAAAAUCGUCUUAUCGAAAUCUCCUGUCAAAUUUUGCUCUAAGAAUAACAAAGUUGGGAAACGUUCAAAACUUGCCCACGAUACGAUUUUACUACAAGGCCAGGUAUGAAUAAAAGUUCUAUUAAACAAUCCAUCUAAGAUGAAAGGUUGGAAUUUAUUGCGGGACGCAAUUAAGCAAUUGUUUUUGUAUUGAUAUGACACUCAAAUAAUCACUCAAAAAGUUUUAGCCCUAAAUUAAGCACUGAAAAUUAUGAUAUUUUUACUGUCAUUUUUCCCCAUCAAUCCUUUAUGAAAUAGAAACUAAUAAGCACUGCUAAAGUAUUUAAGUUAGAUCGAGAUAGAUGUCCUUGUGGUUUUGAAAGCAUGCAUUUUGAAAGGUUCCAUUCUUUUGAUAAUUAUUUCCUGUGCUUAAAUUCCAAAAUUAAUAAUUCACUUGAGAACUUGCACGGGCAUAGAUAUAUGCAAAAUCAAGGAAUUGGAAUAUUUUUAACUUCUAGUAACAUUGAUAUUGUGACUUGGAAUUAAUUGCUCUAUUUUUUAUUUUUUUUAGGUUAAUGCCAUAAAAAAUUCGAAACAUUUUUUCCACUUAACACAUUUAUCCAAAUUAAUUUUUAUCUCGUAAAAAAUCCACAACACAUUUAUUUGAAGCUAAUUUUUGUCUCUAAAAAAUUCCCAGAAUUGCUAACUUGACUGAAAUUUACCCCCAGCAUUAAAGGAUGUUAUAUUUCGGUCAAACUAUCAAUUUGCAGUAAAUAUGUUAUGAGAAAUCAGUUUGAGAGAUGAAAAUAUAGUAUGGGAAAAAUAUGUUAUAAUGUAUUAAUUUGAAAUUUUUAAUGGUUUUCGACCUAUUUUAAUUGCAUCUUGUAUGGUGAACCAAGACAUAGAACAUAAUUGAAACAUUUUUCUAAGCUAUAUAUACGAAUAAAUAGGUAAACAAAUACUAAGCAAAUCAACAAAUUAUUAAAAAAAAAAAAAGAAGAAAAAUUGCUCUGGAAGAGAAGCUCUCCGUUUGGGAAGCUUCCGGAUUCUUCACCCCACCUCCGUUGGACGUCGCCUACCUUCUCCGGCCGUCGGACGGUACUCGCCUACUCAGCCGUCGUCGAUCGUCAGUCCCUGAGCGUGCUUCUUUGGAAUUUCUUUUGUUCGGUCGUCCUCAUCCGCCAGCAAUCGCCAUCGUUUACCAUUGCCGUCCAUCGACUACCGCAAGUACUGAAGGAGAACUAGAAUAGAAGGCACCGCGGGAAAUCACUCGGCCAAAAUCGACCAUUAAUCGCGACCAAGAAUUCCUCGUCGACAAGGUAAUCUCUCUUCCCUACUAUACUCUGUUUUUUGACGAACAAAAGUUAUCGAAAUGGCAUGUUCUAGAUUAGGAUAGAAUCGGUUCAAAUUCGUAUUCAUAUUGACGAUUUCGUACUUGGGACUGCUUUUUUUGAACCUGAUCUCUAAUCCGAAAUCACAGCACUUAGUUUUGCUUCUCCGUCGAAUGCAUACGACCAGUUCGAUAAAAUGACUUCUUAGUGUAUCUGUGAGUUUCUGUUAAAUCCGAAGACAUACUAGUGGAGUUUGCAUAUUAUUGAUUGAUCGGUUGGUCACUAAGAAUGAUUUAGUAGAAUUUUACUCAUCGACCGAGACUGAUACACCUACUCCCGUUCUAUUCCUAUGUUUGUCUCGGUGGUGAUGGAUGGCAGUCGAUGGCGAGUAAACGGAUUCGAGUUAAUGGCCGGAGCGUUGAUCCAUUGAAGCAUUCGGGUCGGUCUGUUUCUCCAAUCUUAUGUUCUGUCCAUUUCCUUUACCGUUGCGAUUGUGGAGGAUUGGUUGAUGGUGACGGAGGACGGCCGUAGUCACUGAAUUGUACUGAUUUAGGUGAAUAUCUGUUGAUAAUUUUAGUGUUUCAGCUCUUGAACUUCGACAAGAAAUGGAUCUGGGAAUGGUGGACUCGGCGUCAAGGAUGAACAACGAUCAUAAAAAGAGAGGAGAAUAACAAAAAAAAAAACAAAAAAGAAAAUAGGCCCUUUUCAAUGGAAAAUAAGUUUAAUGUGGGCUUAGUAUGUAUUUGUCAUGGGAAUGGGUUUAGUGCGGUAAUGUUCAGGAAUGGGUUUAAGAUAUGAUUGGGCUGAAUCCAGUUCUAGCAAAUUUGUAUUGAUAUAAAUGCAUUGAAAAUCCUAAAACUUACCAUAAAAAAUAUAAUUGAAUUCUAAAAAUUUCAAAAAAAUGUAAUUAAGUCAUGAAAUUUUUUAUAAAGUAUAAUUAAGUCUCAAAACUUUCAAAAAGAGUUAUCAAAUCUAUCUUUUCCCAAACAUCUCAGGAGUGAUGGACCUCUCUAGAAAAGAUAGGUUUAGAGGUAAUGAAUUUGUUACGAAAGUAAAAUCAAGUCUUAAAAUUAUUGUUAUUGGGGUGAGUGCAGGAUUGAAUUCUUAUAUGUUGAUAUGGUGAUACAUCUUUGGCCUCAUGUGCCUAAAUAUUUGCUGGUGUUACUCACCGGAUUGAUUUGAAAGUUAUGAGACUACAGAGAAAGAUGACAUCACUACUUCUAUGAAGGCCUAUGAAGCUUUUGAAAUAACUGCAAGCAUCACCCAUGACUCUUGCUCUUGAUAGAUGCAGAAUAUGUUACUUCCUGCGGUUUUUGCGCAACCAUGCCACGAAAGAGAGAUGCAUAGAAGUCGAACGCAAGUUCCAAUUCAACGGCAAAGUCAACUAUAUGCUAGUAAACAUCACAUUCUUCAACAAACCUUCAGCGGAGUACAAACCAACAGUCGAUAACGGCAAGUUUUAAAUUGGACAACUGACAUAAAAGUGCUCGAACUUGAAGGCUGACAAAGCAAAAAGAAAAUUUCCCGUGCACAAGGUCAACUUAUUAGAUUUCCUAGCGACCAGAAUGGAGCCUCGGCGUCAGGGAAAUCAAAAGAUACGGUGUAUCCCGCAAUCAAGCAAGAACUUUCGUAUAUAUCCUUUGCCAGACGUAUGUAGCAACCACGCAUGAGCCUCGUGGUCAGGUAAAUCAGACAAGAAGCACACGGCAAAGAGAAGUCCAUACGUAACACAAACAUCGACUCCGUCCUCGAUACUCUCGGGGAAUCUCUCCGAUGCCAGAUUCAGCGCCACAUGAAAGGCUACGAACAGCCCGAGCAUAGCAAUUAUAAUGCAACCUUCCACGGUCGGAAUAUAUUUCGACUUUUGACCAUAGCUGUACGUUUANNNNNNNNNNNNNNNNNNNNNNNNNNNNNNNNNNNNNNNNNNNNNNNNNNNNNNNNNNNNNNNNNNNNNNNNNNNNNNNNNNNNNNNNNNNNNNNNNNNNNNNNNNNNNNNNNNNNNNNNNNNNNNNNNNNNNNNNNNNNNNNNNNNNNNNNNNNNNNNNNNNNNNNNNNNNNNNNNNNNNNNNNNNNNNNNNNNNNNNNNNNNNNNNNNNNNNNNNNNNNNNNNNNNNNNNNNNNNNNNNNNNNNNNNNNNNNNNNNNNNNNNNNNNNNNNNNNNNNNNNNNNNNNNNNNNNNNNNNNNNNNNNNNNNNNNNNNNNNNNNNNNNNNNNNNNNNNNNNNNNNNNNNNNNNNNNNNNNNNNNNNNNNNNNNNNNNNNNNNNNNNNNNNNNNNNNNNNNNNNNNNNNNNNNNNNNNNNNNNNNNNNNNNNNNNNNNNNNNNNNNNNNNNNNNNNNNNNNNNNNNNNNNNNNNNNNNNNNNNNNNNNNNNNNNNNNNNNNNNNNNNNNNNNNNNNNNNNNNNNNNNNNNNNNNNNNNNNNNNNNNNNNNNNNNNNNNNNNNNNNNNNNNNNNNNNNNNNNNNNNNNNNNNNNNNNNNNNNNNNNNNNNNNNNNNNNNNNNNNNNNNNNNNNNNNNNNNNNNNNNNNNNNNNNNNNNNNNNNNNNNNNNNNNNNNNNNNNNNNNNNNNNNNNNNNNNNNNNNNNNNNNNNNNNNNNNNNNNNNNNNNNNNNNNNNNNNNNNNNNNNNNNNNNNNNNNNNNNNNNNNNNNNNNNNNNNNNNNNNNNNNNNNNNNNNNNNNNNNNNNNNNNNNNNNNNNNNNNNNNNNNNNNNNNNNNNNNNNNNNNNNNNNNNNNNNNNNNNNNNNNNNNNNNNNNNNNNNNNNNNNNNNNNNNNNNNNNNNNNNNNNNNNNNNNNNNNNNNNNNNNNNNNNNNNNNNNNNNNNNNNNNNNNNNNNNNNNNNNNNNNNNNNNNNNNNNNNNNNNNNNNNNNNNNNNNNNNNNNNNNNNNNNNNNNNNNNNNNNNNNNNNNNNNNNNNNNNNNNNNNNNNNNNNNNNNNNNNNNNNNNNNNNNNNNNNNNNNNNNNNNNNNNNNNNNNNNNNNNNNNNNNNNNNNNNNNNNNNNNNNNNNNNNNNNNNNNNNNNNNNNNNNNNNNNNNNNNNNNNNNNNNNNNNNNNNNNNNNNNNNNNNNNNNNNNNNNNNNNNNNNNNNNNNNNNNNNNNNNNNNNNNNNNNNNNNNNNNNNNNNNNNNNNNNNNNNNNNNNNNNNNNNNNNNNNNNNNNNNNNNNNNNNNNNNNNNNNNNNNNNNNNNNNNNNNNNNNNNNNNNNNNNNNNNNNNNNNNNNNNNNNNNNNNNNNNNNNNNNNNNNNNNNNNNNNNNNNNNNNNNNNNNNNNNNNNNNNNNNNNNNNNNNNNNNNNNNNNNNNNNNNNNNNNNNNNNNNNNNNNNNNNNNNNNNNNNNNNNNNNNNNNNNNNNNNNNNNNNNNNNNNNNNNNNNNNNNNNNNNNNNNNNNNNNNNNNNNNNNNNNNNNNNNNNNNNNNNNNNNNNNNNNNNNNNNNNNNNNNNNNNNNNNNNNNNNNNNNNNNNNNNNNNNNNNNNNNNNNNNNNNNNNNNNNNNNNNNNNNNNNNNNNNNNNNNNNNNNNNNNNNNNNNNNNNNNNNNNNNNNNNNNNNNNNNNNNNNNNNNNNNNNNNNNNNNNNNNNNNNNNNNNNNNNNNNNNNNNNNNNNNNNNNNNNNNNNNNNNNNNNNNNNNNNNNNNNNNNNNNNNNNNNNNNNNNNNNNNNNNNNNNNNNNNNNNNNNNNNNNNNNNNNNNNNNNNNNNNNNNNNNNNNNNNNNNNNNNNNNNNNNNNNNNNNNNNNNNNNNNNNNNNNNNNNNNNNNNNNNNNNNNNNNNNNNNNNNNNNNNNNNNNNNNNNNNNNNNNNNNNNNNNNNNNNNNNNNNNNNNNNNNNNNNNNNNNNNNNNNNNNNNNNNNNNNNNNNNNNNNNNNNNNNNNNNNNNNNNNNNNNNNNNNNNNNNNNNNNNNNNNNNNNNNNNNNNNNNNNNNNNNNNNNNNNNNNNNNNNNNNNNNNNNNNNNNNNNNNNNNNNNNNNNNNNNNNNNNNNNNNNNNNNNNNNNNNNNNNNNNNNNNNNNNNNNNNNNNNNNNNNNNNNNNNNNNNNNNNNNNNNNNNNNNNNNNNNNNNNNNNNNNNNNNNNNNNNNNNNNNNNNNNNNNNNNNNNNNNNNNNNNNNNNNNNNNNNNNNNNNNNNNNNNNNNNNNNNNNNNNNNNNNNNNNNNNNNNNNNNNNNNNNNNNNNNNNNNNNNNNNNNNNNNNNNNNNNNNNNNNNNNNNNNNNNNNNNNNNNNNNNNNNNNNNNNNNNNNNNNNNNNNNNNNNNNNNNNNNNNNNNNNNNNNNNNNNNNNNNNNNNNNNNNNNNNNNNNNNNNNNNNNNNNNNNNNNNNNNNNNNNNNNNNNNNNNNNNNNNNNNNNNNNNNNNNNNNNNNNNNNNNNNNNNNNNNNNNNNNNNNNNNNNNNNNNNNNNNNNNNNNNNNNNNNNNNNNNNNNNNNNNNNNNNNNNNNNNNNNNNNNNNNNNNNNNNNNNNNNNNNNNNNNNNNNNNNNNNNNNNNNNNNNNNNNNNNNNNNNNNNNNNNNNNNNAUCAAUUCCACAGAUAAAAAAAAAAGGGAUCUAAUUUGGUCUUGAUCUAUUUUCUAAAGCCCAGAAGUGGAGUCUUGUUCGCUUUGCCAAACGUGUCGACUUCACCCCGGAUCAGUUCGCAAGGCCUAUGUCCAAAUUCUCUGAUCCCACGAGAAAACGAAUAAACGAAAGAUUGCUCCGGACAAGAAGCUGCGUUCGAGAAGCUUCCGGAUUCUUCCCCCACCACCGUUGGAGGUCGCCUACCUCCUCCGGCCGUCGGACGGUGCUCGCCUCCUCCAGCUGUCGUCGAUCCUCAGUCUCGGGAAGACACUGAUCGGAGAGAAAACCAUUCUCGAGGCACGCAUGCACACCUGAGAGAAAACGCAUAGGCAAGGACGAUCGAGAAAAGGGAAAAGCUCGCACUCCCUCAGCGCGCGUCUUUGGAGUUUGUUUUUCUUCGGUCAUCCUCAUCCGCCGAUAAUCGCCAUCGGUUCACCACCGCCGGCCGUCAACUAACGUACGUACUGGAAAGAGAACUUGAACUGGCGAGGUUUUUGAGCCUCCAGAAGUCGCUCUCUCGGUUAUUUCUUCUGAAUCCUUUCCUGCCUCUUCGUUGCCAAUUGUGUUUGAAGCAAUUUGCGUUUGUCUUAAACUUCGUUACCGGUGCUCAUCGUCACCAGCGACCUUUUCCAAAUCCUCCUGGUGCGAACUGGACCAGCAAUCACGACCGAGAACACCUCAUCGGCAAGGUAAUCUCUCUCGCCUUCUAUACUCUGUUUUUUUUUUUAUGAAUAAAAGUAACCGAAAUGGCAUGUCCUUUAUUAGGAUAGAAUCGGCUCGAAUUCGUAUUCAUAUUGUCGAUUGCGUACUUGGAUUGAUUUUGUUUGAACCUGAUCUCUAACCCGAUAAACUGAUUUUGUCUGAAUCUGAUCUCUAACCUCAAGUCACCACGCUUGCUUUCACUUCUCCACCGAAUGCACAUAACGUGUUUGAUAAAAUGACUCCGAAGCGUAUCAGUGAGUUUCUGCUAAAUCUGAAGAUCUACUAGUUUAGUUUGUACAUUAUUGAUUGAUUCGUUGGUCAUUUUAAGCAUGAUUUUGUAGAUUUUACACAUUGACCGAGACUGACAUGCCUAUUCUCGUUCUAUUCCCAUGUGUGUUUGUCUCUGGGGUGAUGGGUGCUGGUCGAUGGCGAGUAAAUGGAUUUGAGUCAAUGGCCGGAGCAUCGAUCCAUCGAAGCAUUCGUGUCGGUUUGUUUCUCCAAUCUUAUGUUCUGUCCAUUUCCUUUACUGUUGCGAUUGUGGAGGAUUGAGUUGAUGGUGACCGAGGAUGGCCGUAGUCACUGAAUUGUACUGAUUUAGAUGAAUAUCUGUUGAUAAUUUUAGAGGUAAUGAAUUUGUUACGAAAGUAAAAUCAAGUCUUAAAAUUAUUGUUAAUUAGUGUGAGUGCAGGAUUGAAUUUUUAUAGGUUGAUAUGGUGAUACAUCUUUGGCCUCGUGUGCCUAAAUAUUUGCUGGUGUUACUCAGCGGAUUGAUUUGAAAGUUCUGAGACUACAAUGAAAGAUGACAUCACUACUUCUAUGAAGGCCCGUGAAGCUUUUGAAAUAAUUGGAAGCAUCACCAAUGACUUCCUGCGGUUUUUGUGCAACCAUGCCACGAAAGAGAGAUGCAUAGAAGUCGAAGGCAAGUUCCAAUUCAACGGCAACGUCAACUAUGUGCUAGUAAACAUCACAUUCUUCAAUAAACCUUCAGCGGAGUACAAACCAACAGUCGAUAACGGCAGGUUUUAAAUUGGACAACUGACAUAAAAGUGCUCGAACUUGAAGGCUGACAAAGCAAAAAGAAAAUUUCCCGUGCACAAGAUACGGUGUAUCCCGCAAUCAAGCAAGAACUUUCGCAUAUAUCCUAGGGGUACCCUACGUAGCAACCACGCAUGAGCCUCGUGGUCAGAUAAAUCAUACAAGAAGCACACGGCAAAGAGAAGUCCAUACGUAACACAAAAAUGGACUCCUUCCUCGAUACUCUCGGGGGGUCUCACCAAUGCCAGAUUCAGCCCCACAUAAAAGGCUACGAACAGCCCGAGCAUAGCAAUUUGAAUGCAAACUUCCACCGUCGGGAUAUAUUUCGGCUUUGACCAUAGCUGAACGUUAACUUGCAUAAUGUAAGAAUAUUGCCACGGCGGAGAAAAGGAACGCCAAAUUGUUAGACAUCACAAAGGUUUUAAAAAAUGGCCUGCCAGCAUGAACUGCCAUUCCAUCGUCAUUAUAACCUCCCGGAACUGUGAAGGCCGCGGCGAAGCUUACGGUGGCUAUCAGCCCUGCCACUAGUAGUUGAGCAUCCAUAAUGCCUCUUUUUGACAAAGUGAAAUCAUCUCUAUCGGCAAUAUUACUUCCUGUAGUUGUCAAUAUAGAGGGUUGACCCCAAGCAAAUUGAUUGUCUAAUCUCUUCUUGCCAUGUUCAACAUACCAGCCUUGAAAACCCGGGAGUCCAUGAGAUCCUUUCAACAGGUAAUGAACUUUCGUAGUGCCGUAGCCGAUCUAAAAAAUGUACAGAAUAUAUCAAUUAACAUGUGAAAGUUUUCCAACGAAAUAAUUCAAGAGCCUCAAUUUACACACUCAAAAUUCAUAUAUAACAAAUAGAACUCCUGGCAAUUAUUAAAACGUCAUGGAGAAUUCAUUCAUAUCAUCUCUUUUAGAUAAAUAGAGUUUCCUAAAGUAAACAUUAUAGUUACAAGUGUGCUAUCCCGGUCCUGAUUUAUUCUCCAUUUUUCUUCUCUUUUUCCUUUUCUUUUCUUUCUUUUUUCUCUUUAUGGUAUCCCCUAAAUUUAGAGAAUUUCCAUACUAAAUGUUUACCAUGUUUUCAAGAUAACUAAGAUUUAGACAAUUACCUUUGAACUAGUUGAAGACCCCUGUGUUGCUCGGAUUUGAAACUUAUUGAAAUUUUUUGCUUAGAUGAUAUGAUAUGAUCAUACAACGUAAUAGUUACAUACAUACAUGUAUCUAUCAACUAAUCAACAAAGUUAACUUAUAUUCAAAUUGCUUUACUAAGUGAUUUGUCAUAAACUAUACCUUCCUAUUUGAAUAAUUUGUCACUGAAUAAUUUUAAUAAAGCAAAAUAUUCAAUCUUAAAAUUGUUUUAAACAACUUAUAUUUAAUGCAUUUAAUUUUUGGAUAUUAAUACGAUUUUUUUUUUCAUGAAAUCGGAUUGUAAGUUGGGCUUUAAUAUGUGGGAAUGGGUUAGAUGGUUAAAAACUAUAAGCAUUAAAUGGAUUAUAAAGACUUCUAUUUUGAAGAUUUUUGCAAUAAUAGCUACUGGCAAGAUAAUUAUUAUGCCAAUAAAAUUUCUAUACGACAAUGCAAAUUCCUAGCUAUGUUAUAGACUGGAAAUAAAAAUUCGAAUACAACUUUUCAACUACAAAUUUUUGUUAUUUUGCAAUACUCAUAAAUAUUGCCUAAUUAAUUUUUCCAUUAGUCUAUACAUAAUUCACAUUUUACUUUGUCAAUAAAUCGUUUUUGUCCACACAUCCAAUUUAUAGAUAAAUUAAUAUUUUUAAGAAGAAAAAGAAGAAGAAGAUGUGACAAUACACAUUUAGUUAAUGAUAAAAAAAAAAUACAAUAUAUACAUAAAAAAAAAACAUAAAGACUUCAAAUCAUGAGUUUAGGUUUGUUGACUAUUAUAUCAGAUCACUUCUAAAUUCAUAAGCUAUAUGAAUUGAUGUUGAUAUAAUGUUCCUUCAAAUCAUGAGUUUAGGUUUGUUGACUAUUAUAUCAGAUCACAUUUAAAUUCGUAAGCUAUAUGAAUUGAUGUUGAUAUUUUCUAGGAACAUUAAUGAUAAAGAAAGACUUUAUUUUUUGUCCAAUUAAAAAUAGUUCGUUUGCUAAUUAAUGUUAGGUGAGGUGGGAGGCCAUGAAGCCUUGUGAUAAUGAGGCUCAACCACAAAGUUCAAUUCUACCCAAUUUUCUUAUUCUUGAUUGUAAUUUAUGAAUUGUGAAAUCACUUUACUCCGAGGCCCUUUUUCAAAUGUGUGUCCAACUGAUUUGGAACGAGAAUUGAAAAUAUAGUUAAUAUGCUUAAACAUUCGAAUAAACAAAACAAAGUUGACGCGAAAAGACUUCAAUUGGGUAGUUUGUUUGUAAUGAAAUGAGUAUCACUCGGGCCACAGUUUCUAAAUGAUAUUGAAGAAAUUUCUCUAAAAGUGAACAAAUCGAGCUCUAUAAUGUUCAAGCAAGCAUACCUCCUUAUAAGUAUCAAAAAUGUCAAUUGCGGUCAAAUGAUCCUUAUUUUUAGCCAAAUGGUCCACCCUCUUGUCUUGUGCAAGUAUGGAUAUGAUGUUGUAACUUCUAUGAAGUGCAGCCAAAUGCAGAGCCGUGUUUCCAUCGGUGUCUUGUUCGUUGAUGAGAUACUUCAGGUUUGGCAUUCGUAGUAUGUAAUUAACUACAUUCACUCGUCCACCGACAACAGCUGCAUGAAGAGCCGUCUGCCCUUUGGUGUUUAUUAUGUCAAAAGCAUCAGGACAGGAUCUAACAAGCUCGUCAAUGACCUUGGCAUGGCCUUGAAAUGCUGCAAGGUGAAGAGCUGAUUCCCCCGCAUUGUCUAAAUCGUAUGUCACAGAAGUAUUAUGUUGGAGGAGUACUCUAACUGCUUCAACUUUGCCCAAGUAAGCAACGUAAUGAAGAGGAGUCCACCCCAUAUCAUCUCUUUCUCUGAUCGCUUCUGGUCUUUUCUCCAUGAUUUUCUCCCAAACUUUGCAUAUAAAAUAGGAAAAUGUUAUGAUUUAGUCUGUUUAUAGCAUCUAGACAUAGAUACUAAAACUGCGCUUCAUCGUGUUAAGUUUUUCCCAUUUUGUGUGUACUAGGAAGGACUAUGUCAUGGUAAUUUGAAGUUUUUUCCGGCGAUCUUGUGUAACACUUGUAGAACCUGACUGCUUUCAAUCUAGCAUAAUGCAGAAAUUCAUAAAGUUUAUCAAUUGAAAAGUUAAAUUGUUAUAAAUUCGUUAAGCAGUUUGAGAAGAAGUUUCUCAUAUUUUUAGCAAGACAUCUGCACUAUCAAGUCUAGAAUAAAAGGCUAAAAUUUACUUCAAUGCCAAUCAUUUUAUGGAAAAUAUCCUGUCCAACUCAACUUUAUAAGAGGAUUUAGAUAAUGAAAGAGGACUAGCACCUUCUACAUUUUCAAAAGUAAAAUCAUUGCAUCCCUUUCCUUUCAAGUCAUCAUAAUUUACCCUCAAGGAUUAAGAAAUUUAGCAUAUAUACCCUGAUCCUUUGUAUAUAUAUUGCCACGUGCCCCAUCAUCACUUGCAAGCUGAAAAUAUUGGUGUAAUUUAGGAAAUAAAAAGUAAGAGAACAAGAUCUAGAAAAACGUGUAGAAAGAAAUUAGCGUGUGCGAAAUGCUAUUACCAACACUGUAAAUAGCAAUUUUUCCGAAUCAAUGGAUAAUCUAAAAUGGAUACUAUUUUUUUUAGUCCGCGUUUCAAGAGAAGACGAAUCGGUUGGACUUAUUUUAUAGUCGAUAAGUAAAACAAUAAAGAAAAUGCAAUGAGAAUUACAACUGAAAUCUUUCCAAAACAUAACCCUCGUAUAUAACUAAUCAAAUAGCGUGUUCGACCUCUCCCCAAACUAAACAUAAUAAUAAAUAAAUAAGUUUUGGAUUUGCUAUCACUGGGCUUAGUAUCUUGUAAUACUUACUGGUCAAUGAGAGAGAGAUUCCGGCAUGCAAAGCUGUCAAACCCUUAGGGCCCUUAUGAGAGGAUGACCAUGAGAAAGCACCUAAAAUCAGCCCAAUGGCAUGAGAAAGUUGUCGAUCUGUUGCAAGAUAAAGUGGAGACUCAUCGGCAGCAUUAAUAAUAUCACACAGUUGAGAAUCUUCUUCAAUCAACAACUGCACCACCAAAUUAUGGCCUCCUCUUAUUGCAUGGUGCAGCGCUGUAUCCUUAUGCAAAUUUUGCUUUCGAAGUAGCUCUUUGCAUGCAUCAACUUGUCCGUUCUCAACAACCCAAUGAAGUAAUUUUGUGAAAUCAGUGAAGACUCGAACCACUUCGCAACUUCCCACUUUGGCAGCAAGAUGCAGGGGAGUGUCUCCUUUGUCGUUAACUUGCCAAAGAAGGGACGGUCCUGAUGGACAUUGAAGAAGACGUUCAAUGAAAUUUACUUGCCCGUAUUGAGCUGCAAGGUGAAGAAUGUUGUUCUCCUUUGGUGUUGUUUGGUGGAAAAGGUCCUCUCCAUUUCCUAAAAUUAUUGUCUCAAAGGAAUCAAAGUCUCCCGACUUUACAGCCUCAUACACUUUAGGAUGCAUUCUCAAGAGGAAUUGACUAAAGGAAGAAGAUUGGGGAGGAAAUGUUUUUAAGCUUCUCAAGAGCACCCAAAAGGAGACUAUUAUAUGUGUAUCUAUAAAAUGUGAAUAUAUCAGGCUUCUUGUUGUGAAAUUUUUGUUCUCUCGAGAGCAAAUUUAUAAUACCGAAGUGGUGGAAUCAAGACAAGUUUGGAAAAAAAAAAUCGACGUCUAGGUAGACAUGUGGUCUUCGUUGGCUAGGUAGCAAAGAUAACCUCCUUCGUUAAUCUUCAGCCAAGUGAAUAUUCUAAGGAAAAUGCUUGGCUAACAUUAGCUUGGAAAACGGACGGUGAAUCCUCGGCCACACAAUUUGGAUGAGAGAGAGGGAGACUUGUGUCUUGUUUGGAAACUUCCUAGUACUUGUGUUUCAGAAAGGAAAUUUUUGUGGACAUUCUUUGAUUAUCACACUUGAGACAAUGAUGAACCUUCAAGGAUGGUGUCAUCGAGAUAGGAAAAUCCUAACGAAUCCACAUUUAACGGUUAGGAUUUAUCCAAUUACUUGACUUGAUCAAUAUUGUCAUCCAAAGAUAGAUAAUUGAUGUACAAUGUCACUCUCUCUACCGUUCCCAAGACGAGUAGACAAAAGUAAAAUUAAAGUUCAAGUGCAAGAAAUGUCUUUGAGCUUAUCAAGAUGACUUGACUAACAGAUGGAUGUUAGAAAGGAAAUUUCUUAGAACUUUUCAAUAAAACUUUUUUGAACUUUCAACUAGACUAAAGAUAUUAUUGGGGAGGACAUUUCUUGAAACAUUUCAAAGGAAUUGACUAAAAAGAGGUUAUUGAGAAUAAAUUUCUUGAAUUUUUCAACAGGACAGGAUUAAAAGGAGGAUGUUGGGAGCAAAUUCAAUGGAGGAUGUUGCAUGGUGCAGCGCCGUAUCCUUAUGCAAAUUCUUCUUUCGAAGUAGCUCUCUACAUGCAUCAACUUGUCCAUUCUCAACAACCCAAUGAAGUAAUUUUGUGAAAUCAGUGAAGACUUGAACCACUUUGCAACUUCCCACUUUAGCAGCAAGAUGCAGGGGAGUGUCUCCUUUGUCGUUAACUUGCCAAAGAAGGGAUGGUCCUGAUGGACAUUGAAGAAGACCUUCAAUGAAAUUUACUUGCCCGUAUUGAGCCGCAACAUGAAGAAUGUUGUUCUCCUUUGGUGUUGUUUGGUGGAAAAGGUCCUCUCCAUUUCCUGAAAUUAUUGUCUCCAAGGAAUCAAAGUCUCCCGACUUUACAGCCUCAUACACUGUAGGAUGCAUUCUCACUGUCUCCCUACCUUUCUCGAGAUAUAGAGCAAUUGUGAGUGAACUUGUGUAUAUAAAGAAUGAGUUCAAGUGGGAGGAAUUUAUUUCAUAAUAUAAUUUUAAAAAAGCCAUAUUGCUCUAAUUCUUGGAAGUUUCCGUUCUCCCACACGCAAAUUAAAAAGGAAAGCACAGGUCUCCCUGUAGCUUCUUUUUUAUUUUUUUAAACUUCUAAGGCAUCUUGUCUUCUACUUCUCCAUAAGAAGCAAAACCAUUUCACAUCCAGGAUACUUCCUGGAACAUGGUAACUUUAGACUUCUACGCCUUCCCCAUGUGAGGUAGGUAGCAACGAGAACCACCCUCGAUAGUUCUUCAGCCAAGUGAAUGUCUAAGGAACCUUCAAGGAUGGAGUCAUCGGAUCGUCUCAUCAAGGCUGAAUCAACUGCUUAUGAAGUUACCAAUUACUAUCACAACCACCGUUGCCGUUACCAUGCACCAGCCCUACCCCUAUUUCUAACAUCCCACUAUCAUUCCAAAUCUAACAACAUGCCACCGUUGUCACUAAAUUUAACAUUGACACCUAAAUUAUAAUUUUAUCUAGUCAUUUAUUACACUAAAAAUUAGGGAUUGGGUUCAAUCCCUAAACAAAAAAUAUCAACAUAAAAUAGUUUGCAUAAUGGGGAGUGUGUACCAUGGAAUAUCACGCAGACAAUUUUUUCUUAUUGAGUGGUGCCACUAAAAAUUGAGGUGCCUUGGCUGAAAGUUCUGAGUUAAUUGCCAAUCUAUGAUUGUGGAGGCCCACUUAUGGAUUGUGGAGACUGAGAGAUGAUGAAGCUGUGAUUAUGGGGGCACACUCGAAAGGAUGAGGAGAAUUCGGUGGCUUCUUUUCCGUGAAUGACGGCCUCACAAAUUUAAGGAACGUGUCAUAGGAGACAUGACAAUUUUUUGGGAGCGUGAUUACCUCGGUCCUUGGCGAAAAGUCAAAGGAUUUGGGACAGGGGAACAUAUUGCGACUUAUCUUCUCCAAACGGAGCGUACUGAAGGCAAAAGCAAACUAACAGGGCAAAGUGUUGUAGAGGGCCGUUUACUUAACGAAGGAAAAGAGAAGAAUUCUUUCCAACAAGUGAAUGGCAAAAUCUCAGCAGUUAAGGCACAAAAUUCCACAAAAUCUCAGCAGUGAAGCCGCAACUAGGAAACAGACGCGGACGAGCAGGCGAACCAAAGUGCGCUCGCUGACGGUUUGCAACCUGAGCAACGGCCAACAAACUUUCUCCGUCGCAUCAGUUUAGCUGCCGACGCACGCCAGUAUCCUUGUUGUUGUGUCCAGCCUGUUAGAAAAAUAUUAUAUAACAUGAAAAAUAAGGAUUGUUAGGAAUCUAUUAAAAAUAAUGAGAAAAUAAGAUUAAUUAUCUAAGGCCUGUAAACAUUGUCCUUAAGGACAAUAUCCUUAUAAUUUAUUUUCAUCAUAUCAAUUGUGAUUAUUUACUUACCCUUAAUUAUACCCAUGGAUGGACAUUGUUUAGUGGUAUAGGAUACUCAAAUAAUUAAAAUAUCAAAUGAAUCUUAGGUAAUAAACCAAUCAAGUUAGGGUAUCGAGAGGAGAGUAGUUGGAUAAUUAGUGUAAUUAAGUUCCCAAUCUUAAAAUUUCCGUUGCGUAAAAGGUGAAAUAUUUCCCCUAUCUUACUUGGCUCCUAACCUGGCUUAAUAAGCUAACAUUAGCUCCUUUAUGUAGGGUAAGUCAUACUAUAAUAUUGAAAAUUCUAAUGUCACACUAGUUAAGGGUUUGGGAGGACCCGAACUAUUUGAGAACUGUCGGUCCACUUUUGGCAUUAUCUCUAAACUCAUCUUUCCCCAAAAGUGUUGGGAGGUUGCGACAAGGAGAUUUCUCUUGCCGGCAUGGAAAAGCACAUAGUCCCCUAAUUUACAGCUCCCAACACAGAUAAUGCAGCUUCAAUGAAGAACAUGGCGAUGGGAAUGGCUUCUUGUAGUUGGACCCCAACGGUUCACGGUUUGUAUUGAUGAAUGGUUAGGUUGUUUGAGGAUUGGCCACUGCUCCUCUCUAUGCAUUAGCGAGUGAUGCAUAUAUUCCACAAGCAAAUACAAAAGAUGAAGCGAAAUGAUUGUUUUUUGCAUGAGUGGGUGAUUGAAUUUUUAUAGGUUGAUAUGGAGAUACUUUUUUGGCGCUGCCAACCUAAUUAUUUAAUGAUGUUACUCACUCGAUUGACUUUGAACGCUCCGAGAUUACAUAGAAAGAUGACAUUCCCCACUUUUAUGAUGGCUAACGAAGCUGUUGACACUGACAGGUUUUAAAUUUUACAAAUGACAUAAAAGUGCUCGAAAUCGACGACUGGCUGACAAAGCAAAGAGAAAAUUUCCCGUGAGCAAGGUCACUGGUUUGCAGAACCGGCCCAACCGCCCAACCGAAAAUGACAGUAAAAAACUUUCGGAUGUAUCCUCCUCUGGGAGAGCUACCUAGCAGCCACGAAUGAGCCUCGGGGUCGGUGAACUCAUAAAUGAAGCACAAAGUGGACAAAAAUCCAUACGCAAUAUAAGGAGCGACUCUUUCCACGGUACUCCUGGUGGGCCUGAUCAAUACAGUGAACAUCCUGAAAAUAUAGGCGAGCCCCAUCGCGGCUAUCGCAACUUCAAUGCAACCUCCCACAGUCGGGAUGUAUUUCGGCUCUUGAUGAUAGCUGAACGCACAACUUUGACAAUGUAAGAUUAUUGCCAGGACAGAGAGAAGGAAAGCAACACUAUUGCAUAGGACAAAGGCUUGGAAAUCUGCCCUGCCAGCAAGAAUCGCCAUUCCCCGGUUGGGUCCGUCGUUGUUAUAACCUCCAGGCAUUUCGACGGCCGCAGUGAAGCUCACUGUGGCUAUGAGUGCCGCCACUAGUAGUUGAACGUCCACAAUGCUUUUUUUUGAUAAACCGAAAUUAUCUCGGUUGGCAAUGUUAUUUCCUAUGAUUGUAGACAAAGAUGGUUGACCCUGACGAAAUUGCUUUUCUAACCUCUUCUUACCAUGUUCAAUGAACCAGGCUUGAAAGCCCGAUAUUCCAUGAGAUUCUUCCAAUAGGUAAGAAACAUUUCUAGCACCGAAGCCGAUCUAAAGAUGUACAAGAUGUAUCAAUUAAUGAGUGAAAUUUUCUAGCCAAAUACUUCAAGAUCCUCACUUUACAAACUCAAAAUCUAUUUAUAACAAUCAGAAAUUGCAACGAGUGGUGAAACGUCAUGAAAAAUUCAUUGGAAAAAAUGUUCUGAAAGUCAUAAAUCUAUUGAACUUUUGUCAAUUUAGUCAUAAACCUUUUAAUUUUGCCAAUUGAGUCCUGAAAUUUUUCACAUUUUGCAAAUUGAAUCCAUUCGGCCAAAUUUUGUUGGAAGUCACUGACAUAGAUGUCGAUCAUCCUAUGUGACAUGACCAGCACUAAUAUGAACAUUUUAAUAUUUUAUUUUUAUUUUUUUUCUUUUUCCCUUCUCUAUUCAAUCGCUAGCCUUAGUGACCUCUAGUAAAGCUCCCCACCCUGCCCCACAACCUAGCCACUAGUGAGGCCAAGCCUUGCCGUCAUUAGGAGAGGUCAAGCCUUGGCAAGGGUAAGCAAGACUUGCCAAUGGCGGGCAAGGUCGACCUCACCCACCCCUAGUGAGGCUCACCCUCGCUAGUGGCUAGCAGGGGCAAGCUUUGCUCGAGGCUAACAAGGUCAACCUUACCAACCCUUGUCUCUGACUAGUUGUUGAGGCUUGGUGACCGGAUAAAGGAGGAAGAAAGGGAAAAAAAUAAAAUAAAAUAAAAAAGGAAAAAGAAAAAAAAAUUGAAAUAUAUUAAAAUAUCAAUUACAAAUUAUCCAUGUUACCAUUGGCCGUGCCAUGUAGGUUAACUGACAUCUUAGCAACUUUCAAUUAAAAUUGACUAGAUGGACUCAAUUAGUAAAAAGUAAAAAAGUUUAAGACUCAUUUAGUAAAAUUAAAAAGAUUUAUAACUGAAUUGCCAAAUAUGUGAUAGGUUUAGGACUCUUUGGAUAAUUUUCUCGAAAUCAUUCAAAUCAUAGCUGAUAAAAUAAAUGGUAGAUAACACUCGUUAAUAGAGUUUCCUAUAGCAAACAAUACAGUUACAAGUAUGCUAUCCCAGUCUUGAUUUAUUUUCUAACUUUCUUUUCUUUUCUUUUUCUUUUUAUGCUAUCCCCUGGUAACAAAGAUUUAGACAAUCACUUUUGAAGUAGUUGAAGGCCCUUGUUGCCCAAAUUUGAGCUUUAUACUUAUUGAAAAGUUUUGUUCUGAUGAUAUAAUAUGGUCAUACAACAUAUGAUUAACAAACGAAUAUGUAUUUAUCAACCAACCAACAAAUUUAAUCAAUACUCAAAUUACUUUACUACGUGAUUUGUUUUAAACUAUACCUUGUUAUUUGAAGACUUUGUCACUGAAUAAUCUUAAUAAAGCAAAAUAUUCAAACUUAAAUUGUUUUUUAACUAUGUGCAUUCAACUUUUGGCUAUUAAUCUGAUAUUUGGUUUUUUAUUUCAUGCAAUCUGUACCUGGAGCUUUUAUUUGGGAUAAUGAGUUAAAUGUUUUUAAAAUAUAAGCAUUAAUUGGAGCUAUAAAGACUUAUGUUUUAAAUACAACUUUUUAGCUACUGGCAAGAUAAUUAUUUUGUCAUAUGAAAUAUUUAUAGUACAAUGCAAAUUCCUGACUAUGUUAUAGUUUAAAAAUAAAAAUUUGACUACAACAUUUUAGCUACGAAUUUUGUUAUUUUUGCAAUACUCAUAAAUAUGGCUUAAUCAAAUUUUUAAUUAGUCAAAGAAUAUUUGACAUUUACUUUUCACAAAAUCGUUUCUAUCCAUACAUCUACUUUGUAGAUAAAUUAGCAAUUUUGAAAAAAAAAAAAAAGAGAUAUGACCAAACACUUUUAGUUAAUAACAAAAGAAAAAAAACAUUAUAUACCAACUCACAUCUUGAAAGAACCAUAAAGACUUCUAUAGUGAGUUUAGAUUUAUUGACUAUUAUAUCAAAUCACAUAAAAACUACUAAGCUACGUGAAUUGAUGUUGAUUUUGUUGUAGGAACAAUAAUGUUAGAGAGAGCCUUUUUAUUUUUACAACUAAUAAUAGUUAGUUUGCUAAUUAAUAUAAAGUCAGGGAGGCAAGGAAGGUUUGAUAAUGGCUCAUACUCUACCCCCAUUUUCUGGAAGAAGUACACUAGAAGUGCCUUAACUUGUGUACGACACAUACUUUAGUGCCACAACUUUUUGUAGGCUCACUUAAGUGCCACCUUUAAAAAAAAUAAAAUAUUUACUUAAGUGUUAACUCAAAUAUGAGUGGCCGAAAAUCUAACAUGAUCAUAUUUUAUUAAUUUUUCAAUCCUACCUGGCUUGCCGCAUGCCCAGUCAUUAUAUAAUCUCUAAAUGAUGUCAUUUAAUAAGUUAAAAAAGUGAUCACUUCAGUACUAGUCAUUAUAAAAAAAAAAUCAUUUCAGUGUCAAUCGUUAUUAAAAAGUGAUCACUUUAAUGUUGAAAAAAAAUCCUAAAUAGUGUUGUAUAAUAAGUUAAGAAGUGAUCACUUCAGUGCCAAUUUUAAUGAAAAAGUGAUCACUUUAGUAAAAAAAUUCCACCUCAUCUAAUAUAAAAAUUUUCAUUGGAAGCACUUAGUGAUCAUAGGUGAUCANNNNNNNNNNNNNNNNNNNNNNNNNNNNNNNNNNNNNNNNNNNNNNNNNNNNNNNNNNNNNNNNNNNNNNNNNNNNNNNNNNNNNNNNNNNNNNNNNNNNAUGAGCCGGCAAAUGGUGCCGCCUCUGCGGCUUUUGCAUCUCGUCACCCUUCCACUUCUUUUGGUUCUACAUUUGGAGUGCAAGUUACUGGUGACGAGAUCUUUUGUACAUUUGGCUUUUCUUAAUAUAUAUCUUACCUUUACCAAAAAAGAAAAAGAAAUCCAUGGUACUAUUUGCUACAAAAAUUGAAAAUAUCGUCAAUAGGCUUAAACAAUCAAAUAAGCAUGACAAAGUUGACGCAAAAAAGACUUCAAUCAGGUCGUAUGCAUGCACCUGAAAUGAGUAUUUCACUGGGGCCAUAGUUUCUAAAAGAUAAAAGAAGAAAUUACUCUGCCAGUGAACAAAUCGGGCUCUGCAGUAUUCAAACAAGCAUACCUCCUCAUGAGCAGAAAAAAUGUCAAGGGCGGUUAAAUGAUCUUUAUUUUUAGCCAAACGGUCCACCCUCUUGUCUCGUGCAAGUAUGUCUAUGAUGUCAUUUUCUUUGUGAAGUGCGGCCAAAUGCAGAGCCGUGUUCCCAUCAGUGUCUUGUUCGUUGAUAAGAUCCUCCUGAUUUGGCAUCCCUAGUAUGUACUUGACUACACUCACUUGUCCACCCAUAACAGCUACAUGUAGAGCCGUUUGUCCUUUGUUGUUUAUAAUGUCACAAGCAUCAGGACAGGAUGUAAUGAGCCCGUCAAUGACAUUGAUGUGGCCUCGAAAUGCUGCAAUGUGAAGAGCUGAUUGUCCCUCUUUGUCUAAAUCAUAUGUUGCAGAAUUAUCAUGUUGCAGGAGUAGUUGAACUGCUUUGACUUUGCCAAAAUAAGCGACAUAAUGAAGAGGUCUCCACCCCAUAUCAUCUCCUUCUCUGAUCGCUUCUGGCCUCUUCUCCAUGAUUUUCUCCCAAACUUUGCAUAUAAAAUAGGAAAAUGUCAUGAUUUAGUCCGUUUAUAGCAUCUUGACAUACAUAUUAAAGUUGCACUCCAUCCCUGCAAGUUUUCCCCAUUUUGUCCGUACUAGAAAGGACUAUGUCAUGGUAAUUCCGAAGAUUUUCUAGCGAUCUUGUGUAAUAUGCAUGGAACCUAACAGCCUUCAAUAUAGGACAAUGUAGAAAUUUGUUAAAUUUAUCAAUUGAUAAGUGAAAUUGUGAGAAAUUCGUGAAGUUGUUUGAGAAGAAGCUUCUCAUACUUUAAGCAAGGCAUCUGCACUCCCAAGGCUAGAAAAAAAGAACAAGACUCUUUACUUUGAUGCCAAUCAUUAUAUGGAUUAUGUAAGAGAAUAUAAAUAUUGAAUGAGGAUUAGCACCUUCUACAGUUUCAAAAGUAAAAUCAUUGUAUCCCUUUCCUUUGAAGUCGUCAUUUUUGGCCCCCGAGGGUUAAGAAAUUUAGUAUGCCCUGAUCUUUUGUAAUAUAGUGCCAGAUGCCCUGUCAUCACUUGCAAACUGAAAAAAGUGGUAUAAUUUAGGGAAAAAAGAGAGAGAAACAAUUAUCAAAAUAACGAUUUUUCUAAAUGAACGUACAAUCUAAAAUGGAUACUAUUUUUCUGUCCGCGUUUUAAGAGAAGACCAAUCGGUUGAAACUUAUUUUAUAGUCGAUAAAUAAAACAAUAAAGAGAAUACAAUGAGAAUAACAACUCAAAUCUUUCCAAAACAUAACCCCCCGUAUAUAACUAAUCAAGAGUUGUGUUCAAUCUUUCACAAAUAUAAACGUAAUAAUAUACAAAUUAAUUUUGAAUUUACUAUUUUAUUUAUUGAAAGCUAGGAUAGACGGCAACCCUCUUGCUAGCACCAGCACUCUCAUCUAAGAGAAGCAUUGCACAAGAGAGAUAACUUUCGUUAAAAAAAAAAAUCAUUGGGCUAAGUAUCUUGCGAUACUUACCAGUUAGUGAGAGAGAGAUUCCAGCAUGCAAAGCUGUCAAACCCUUAGGGCCCUUGUGAGACGAUGACAAUGAAAAAGUGCCUAAAAUCAGCUCGGUGGUACAAGAAAGUCCUCGAUCUGCUGCAAUAUAAAGUGGGGACUCAUCGGCGGCAUUAGUAAAACUGCAGAGUUGAGAAUCUUCUUUAAUCAUCAACUUCACCACCCAAUGAUGGCCUCCUCUUACAGCAUGGUGCAGUGCAGUAUCCUUAUGCAAAUUCUGCUUUCGAAGUAGCUCUUUGCACGCAUUAACUCGUCCGUUAUUAACAACCCAAUGAAGUGAUUUUGCUAGAUCAAUGAAGGCUCGAACUGCUCUAUAGCUUCCCACUUUAGUAGCUAGGUGUAGGGGAGUGUCCCCUUUGUAGUUACCCUGCCAAAGAAGGGACGGUCCUAAUGGACAAUGAAGAAGACCUUCAAUGAAAUUUACCUGCUUGUAUUGAACCGCAACAUGAAGAAUGUUGUUCUCCUUUGGUGUUGUUUGGUGGAAAAUUUCCUCUCCAUUUUCUGAUUUUAUUGUCUCAAAGGAAUCAAAGUCUCCCAACUUUGCAGCCUCAUACACUUUAGGAUGCAUUCUCACCGUUUCUCUACCUUUCCCCAGACAAAGAGUAGUUGCGAGUGAACUUGCAUAUAUAAGCAAUGAAUUCAAGCCGUAGGAAGUUCUUUCAGAAAAUAGUUUUCGAAAAGCCAAAUUGCUCUAUUUCUUUGAAGUUUCCGUUCUUCCACACGCAAAUUGGAAGGAAAAAGUCAAGCACGACAAAAAAUUAAACGGCCAGUCUCCCUGCAGCUUACAUUUUUCUUUUUUACUUUUGAACUAUCUUGUCUACCGCUCGUCAUCAAAAGCCAAACCAUUGCACGUCGUCGAUGCUUCCUAGAACAUCAUAACUUUAGACUUCCAUGCCUCCCCCCGGGGAGUACAUGGCAAUGCGAACCAUCUUCGAUAGUUCUGGCGAAUCAACCCUCAACGGCUUAUGAUGUUAUUAGUUGCUAUCACAACCACCCUUGCUGCUACUAAGCACCAGCCACUACCCCCAUUUCUAACAUCCUACCAUCAUCUCACAUCUAGCAAUAACUUGAGGCCGUUGUCACUAAAUUUAACGUGGCCAUAAAUAGUCUCUAACUCAUUUACCUAUGGUUGAUACCUAAAUAUUGAUUUUUCCCAAUCAUUUAUUGCAUGAAAAUUAGGGAUUGGGUUCAAUCCCUAAAAAAAAAAAAAUCAAAAGUACAAAGUUUGCAUAAUGGCCCGCGCUCCAUGAAGUAUCACCCAUGGAGCCAUUUAAAAAUGACAUAUUUUGGCCAAAAGUUCACGGUUAAUUGUCAAUUCAUAUUGCAAUUCAAAAUUGAAAUUUCGUACUAAAUUUUGCAGAGGAAACAGAGAGAUGACCGAGCCAUGAUUGUGGGGGCAUGCUCAAAAGAAGGAGGACUAUAUGUGUAUUCUUUUUAGACUCACAAAUUUAAGAAAUGCAUCAUUGGACACAAUUAAUUGUCAAUUCACAUCGCAAUUCGAAACUGAAAUUUCGUAUUAAAUUUUGCAUAGGAAACGGAGAGAUGACCGAGCCAUGAUUGUGGGGCCAUGCUCAAAAGAAGGAGGACUAUUGGAUUCUUUUUAGACUCACAAAUUUAAGAAAGGCAUCAUUGGACACAAAUAUUUUUCUUGAGAAUAUUGGCUAAAUUUGUGGGCAUAUAAUUACCUCAAUCCUUGGUGAAAGUCAAGGAUUUGGGCAUUAUUGCGUCGAAUCUUCUUCAGACGAUCGAGCGUACAUGAGAAGGCUUCAGUAUUGAUUAAGGCAAAAGCAAAUUAACAAGGCAGGUGUGUACUGUGCAGGGGGCCGAAGAAAGGCAACUGUGUACCGUGUAGGGGCCAUUUAAUCAAUGAAGGAAAGGAAAGGCAAGGCAAGUAAAGAGGAAUAUGUUAGAGUUUUUCUAAUUGUGGACUACAUUAAUUGAUAUUGUAAUUUACCGUUUAACGUUUAUCGUUUUACGGGGUUUGGUCUAAGAUGAGAUAGAAGGUUUCUUAAUUAGUCUAAUAUGGGCUGGCUAGUGUGGGCCGAGUUGAGCCUGGCCCGUAAUGAGAGGGACUGGCUGGAAACUCUAUAAAUAGUGCUCAAGUCUCUCCUCUAACCCUAAUUCUCACAUGUAUCCUCACCUAAUGGCGUUUACCUAACGCUAAACGUGAGGGGGCCGCCUCAUUGAGCCAGUGAUACGGAGGGCAAUAGAGGAGAAGGACUUGUUGCGUGGAUCCCCUUGAUAACAUGUGGGUAAUCCUUUUCUGCUUCCGCUUUAUGUUCUAUGGAUCCCAAAACAGGUGUGUUAAUCUUUCUACUCAAUUAUGCAUGUUCUUGUUCUGGUUAUGGAGAUCUUGGGGUUGCGCAAUAUGCGUCUAACAGAAUAUUCUUUCCAACUUUUGAAAGGCAACAUCUCAGCAAUUAAGGCACAAAAUUCCAAAACAUAAGGAGAAGAUAUCGCCAAUAUUGGACGUUCACUAUGACCAGUUGUUACCGCGUUAAGCCUUGACGGUCAUUGCCCCUGCCCCGACGGCAUCACCGCUCCUCCCAACCAAGCCAAGUCGGCAUCAUUUCCUUCGGUGCCACGCCAAACAUAGAUUUCCAGCAGAACCGUAGAGACCCGCCAGUCAAGCCAACUCCUGCAGCUGCUGUUCGCUACCAACAUCAGUUAACCAGCACCUCCGGCGAGCAUCAAUUCUUCCCUGCGGCCGCGCCACGAAGCUGCAACUAGGAAGCAGACGCGGACGAGCCAGCGAACCAAAGCGCCCUCGCUGACGGUCUGCAACCUGAGCAACGGCGAACAAACUUUCUCCAUCCCAUCCGUUUAGCUGCAGCUUCCAGGCCCCACUCAUAGCAAUCACUAGCCUUGCCUAGGCGUCCCAGUAUCCCCGUUGUUGUCGUGUCAGUCGUUNNNNNNNNNNNNNNNNNNNNNNNNNNNNNNNNNNNNNNNNNNNNNNNNNNNNNNNNNNNNNNNNNNNNNNNNNNNNNNNNNNNNNNNNNNNNNNNNNNNNNNNNNNNNNNNNNNNNNNNNNNNNNNNNNNNNNNNNNNNNNNNNNNNNNNNNNNNNNNNNNNNNNNNNNNNNNNNNNNNNNNNNNNNNNNNNNNNNNNNNNNNNNNNNNNNNNNNNNNNNNNNNNNNNNNNNNNNNNNNNNNNNNNNNNNNNNNNNNNNNNNNNNNNNNNNNNNNNNNNNNNNNNNNNNNNNNNNNNNNNNNNNNNNNNNNNNNNNNNNNNNNNNNNNNNNNNNNNNNNNNNNNNNNNNNNNNNNNNNNNNNNNNNNNNNNNNNNNNNNNNNNNNNNNNNNNNNCCGUUAAAAAGGUAGUUAUAUAACCGUUAAUAUAAUGAUGAUUUCAUACGGUGAUAAUGUCUAUAAAAGUCAUUACUUUAAAAUAUUUCAAAAAUUGUUGCAAUGGCCUUUUUGCACGACAUCACCCUAUAGUCCACGCAGCUUCCACAUUUUCCCAGUGGGCAAUCAGCGAGCUUUGAGCACGCCCAAGUGGCAUGGUUCUUCUCCAGACCAGUUCAAGCAAACCCCACCGAGCUCUUGAUGCCUCAACUGAGUCCAGUAGCCUCAGUCAAGCUUCGGCUGCGCCUAUAAUUUUCUUGCAGUGUCCAAAGCUAUUCCCGGUGGACCAGCAAAUUUCAGCAAGCCCUGACCUUCAGCCCUGCCUUCUUCGACUUGCUGAGUUCCCUGCGGUCAACUCUAGGUGUCUCCACCAAUCUUCGGCCACUCCUGCUCAGCCCCGCUGCAUCCCCAGCUACAUUUGGACUUGCUGGCUUUGCUUGGAACCUCUUCCUUGAGUCAACCCAGCUUUUUGGACAUCCCUGCAGCAGCUUCACGAGCGUUGAUUACCUUUGUCGACGAUACUUCUAUCACUUAGUUGCCAUUUGGAUUCUACGUAAGCUAAGCCUUAGGAUAUCUAAUUCUGCUUUAAAUAUUUUCCUGCAUUAGUCAAGGAAUAUUAGGGCGCCGGACCUUUGGGCCUAGAGGUCAGGUGCUUAGUAUCGCCCCUUCAUUAUUCGUGACUAUAACAUAUCUUUUUAUGCGUGAUUGGUUGGAAAAUUUUUACAUGCAUCACAAUAAUGUCUUUGAUUUUUAAUGGUAAACUUUGGUAAAAUAUAUACUUUGAUGCUUGACGAUCAUCAUGUAUAAAUUGCAUAUCAUAAUCUCUUAUACAUAUUUAGAGCUUAGGGUGCACUCAUAAUUUCAUAUUUGGGGCAAUGCACGUAAUCUUAAAAUGAACAUAAAUUUAGGAUAACGCCUAGUUUUCAUUAUAAUAAAAUGUCAUUAUUAUAUGUAGAUUGCAUGUAAGUUUCGAGUUAAUCAGUCCCAUAGCAUGCGUAUCAUAGAAUACAAGGCUUUUAGAAUUAAUCAUAUGGAUAACGUUAACUAUUAAUGGCAUUACUGCAUCAUCCAUCGCAUACAAUUCCAUAAUCACUAAAUGUUCGUUAGGUCUCGGAUUUUUAAUAUAAAAAUUGCACUCCAUAUGGUCUUCAUAUAGAAUAGAUUCAUGAUUUCCAUAGACCACUCAUUUUUGCUAAUUAACUAAGAAUAGGGCAUACAUUAUUAAAAAUGUUCCAUAUUGCAUAUAUAAUAGAAAUUGCAUGCUCAUUUAAUUUAUAGACUUUAGGGUCAUCUGUCUUGUUGUUAAUUUAUAAAAGAAAAAAUAAUAAAAAAGUCAAAUUAGAGAGUCUCACGUAGAUUGCAUUAAUUAGGCUAACUUUUUCUAAAAUUCAUAUCGCCCACUAUUCAGUAGAUCAUUUAGGAUUAAUCUGACUAAUGUCCCACAUAGAUAGUUUUCGGAAUUAAUUCCAUCAUUUGUCAUUUAAAACUAAUCAUGCAUAUCACGUAGCUGCAUCAUUCUUGCAUGUCAUUUAGUUAUUUUAUUAGGUCCUUGGCAUAUCGGUAAAUUUAUUUUAACAUAGAACUCUAGGGUUUAUUUGUGUUUUUCUUAAAUCAUUGUGUUGGAUAAAUAAUAAUAAAAAAUUAAAAAUUUAGAAUAUAUUGCAUAUUAGUUAGUCAUUAACUCAUGCUAAAUCAUAGACACCAUUCAUGCAUUAUGUAUGCAUAAAUGGUGAGAUCCGAGAGAGGCCAGCCAAUCCGAAGGUGGGUGAGAUCCCCCCCGCCUUCCCCUCCCACCGGAUCUCUGCCGCGUCGACGCCUUCCCCGAUCCCUGCUGUGCCUUGCGUCGCCGCCGUGUCAGGUGGGAACGCUGCCAGCUGCCCCUUUUCUUCUUCUUUACAUCUUGUUCGGCCUCACUGCGUCCAGGGUUUCCCGGUGCCGCCGUCACCGUAGCUCAGAAGACGCCGGAGCUUGCGCCAACCCCUGUUCGUAUCGCUCCAACCACCAAGCCCCCCACCAUCUGCUGUUGCGGCCUCACCGUCGCACCUGCUGGCGUAAGCUACGGCUGCCCCCGUUAGGGUUCGAGGGUGAGGAGUAGAGAUCCCGCGGCCGGCUUCGUUGACUGGCGACGACAGUCAGCGACGACGGCGACUGGCCCUAUUGUAGGUCGGGUCAUCGAUAGGCCGGCGCAGCAUAGUCGGAAUCCAAUGGCCGAGCGUGGAGGGGUGGCGUCGUCCGUCGCGGCCACUGGACCACAAAGGCAGUUGCGGCUGUAGAGCCAGGUCAGCUGGGUUGGGCGCGUGACCCGGGUCGCCCUAGGGUUUGGUUGCAUGGGUCGAGCGUGGGUGGCAAACCGGGUAGGGUUGGUUUUGGACGAUCCAGGCCAAGUAUACCAGAGCCGGGUCCGGGUUGGUUAAAAUGUGGGCUUGUGGGCCAUUUUUUUUUUUAAAGAGGAACGAGGCCCGAACUGGGCCGUGUUUCGGCCCAUCCGGGUCAGUCCCAACUCGGGAAUCCAACCCGAGUUGUUUUUUUAAUAAUAUUAUUAUUAUAUUAUAAUUAAAAAUAAUAGUUUAAUAAGUAAAAUAAUUAAUAAAAUAAUUUAUUUUAAAAAAAUCAGAACAAAUCCAGAAAUACCCCACGUUUUCCUAAUUUACCAAAAAAACCAAAAAUGAUUAAUAUUUUCAAAAAGAGAUAAAAAAUCCAAAAAUGCUUUUUAUGUUCAAAAAAUAGAAAAAGACCCAAAAAAUGUUUUUCCUCUGCAAAUGUAUGGAAAACCCCUCAAAAUUCCAAAAAGCUUUAGGAUUUAAACAAGAUUAGGUACCAGAAUGGCAUUAAUGAUUAACUAGUAUAAUCAAGUUUCCAAACUUGGUUUCUCUGGUUGCGCAGGAGCAUAUAUUCCUCCCAAUAUUCACAAAUAUAUAUAUAUAUAUAUAUAUAUAUAUAUAUUCCUCUCAAUAUUUGUCUUGGAUUUCUCCAAAUUAAUUAGUGGCGACUCCUUAACUUAUAGGUAAAAAAAUAUCAAACCAUUAAGUUGUGAAUUGGUGGGCUUGGGAGAGCCCGAGUUAAGUCUGAUAAACCUAGUCAAACCAUUAGCUUCUGCAAGCGCCUGCCUUGAUCGAGUGCCGAAAAAAGCGGUCAUGACACACUUUGAUCUCUACUAUAACCCUAUUUUUGUUGUUGAAUAUUAAAGUAGAAAAAUUGUGGAAUCAUGACUAGCCGCAUGGAAAAAUUAAAAUGUUAAAGUAUAAUGUUUGAUAGUAUUAUAAUGCAUGUGUGAAUUGUGCUAGAAAAAUUUUACAUUGGAGAAUUGAUCUGUUAUUGAAUAGUUAAUAAUCUUAGUUGACCUAUAGCUUAUUAACUUAAGUUUUUUAGUGAAUAUAGGUAUAACUGAAUAUAUUCACGAGUUUAGACUUUGAUUCUCUCUUAGCGAUCUUUCCAAAUGAAGUUAUCAAUUUUGACUGAAGGUUGAUCCAACUAAAUAUAUUGAUAAACUUAGACUUAUUCUCGUCAUUGCUAAUCUCCCCUAGAUAAAGGCAUCAUAUGGUGAUUUUAGUGCAAAGAGAGUUUACAUCCAAUUGAGGCAUUUUCUUCUUGGAGACAUGAGUUUUUCAAGCUAUGAGAUAAUUCUCGGUGAUUUCUUUUAUCAAGUUUUAUAGAGUAAUUACAUGAAACUAAAUACUGCAUGUUUGAGUGUAAUCUAGAGUUGGAAAACACUCAAGCGUAGGAGUAAUUAUAACUCUAUAAUUAUGUAAUUGAUUAAUGGAUUAUUUGCUAUUAACUCUCUCUUGGAGUAGAAUUAGACACUUGGAUUGGAUCGUGUGAAUUUCUCAUUUACUUUUUUGUUCCUCAUUCAUUUCACCGGUAAUUUGAUUCUCUUGUAUUGAUUUAAUUGCAAGAUCCAUUAUCUUUAGCAUAAUUUUACAAUAGAUAGCUUAACAUUAUCGUUGUAUACACCAUAUGAAGAUCUCUUAAUUACUUGUUGAAUAACAUUUCUAAUAAAGUAAGAAUAUAGAUUUAUUCGUAGAUUGAAACCACUCAACUAAGUGAUAUUUUCUUCUUGGUUGUGGAAUAUGAAAUGCUUCGAACUCCGAAGGUAUUUUUUAGUACACUAAAAUAAGGUUAAUCGGAUGAGACCAAAGAAAGCUCUUUUUCCUCCAAAAAAACCUUCUUAGUAGAAAUAUAUCAUUCAAAGUGGAUUUUUUUUUUUUUUAACCUUGGGGUACGGAUGUGAGAUCUAGUUAUUCUGAGGCUCAUAAAAUAUCUCGUAGUCGGUGAGAUUUUAAUAUUUAGUUUCUGAUCUGGAAAUCUCUGUUGCCAUAGCUUUACGCUGCUAUUGACAAUAUCUCCUCUAGUUGAUCAAUUAUGAGACAAGAAAUAGUUGAAAAAAAAACGCUUUCUCCCCAUCAUAUCAUAUCUCUUUAUGUGUGCCAAUCGAUUUCAUUGAUCAAUUUGUUAGAGACUUGAUCAAGAUACCAACUCGAAUAUAAUAUUUAGUUUCUAAACUGGAAAUCUCUGUUGCCAUAGCAACGUUGCGUGGUAGACAAUUAGGGGUACUUUCUAAUCAGUUUUAAUUUUUCAUAUGCAACUAUUAAUGGACAAUGAAGAUAUUAAACUUCAUUUAAAUAGUAUAUGCUUUGUCAAGACGCUACUCCAGUUACCACUCCCCCGCUUGUUAAAUUUCGUGGAUAGACAAAUGUAAUGUGUUGACCCAAUAGGUCAUGAGUUUUAAUUUAGAUAUGUAGUGUGCUAGAUAUGCCUAUGAUCUCACAUUGCCAUAUAUGAGUUGUAGUUGGUAGAUAAAUCUCACGAAUUCUCAAAUUAAUAUGGUAGGCUCUUCCAUCUUGUCGGCAUAAGUGAGCUAGAGCGAGAGCUAGAACUUUAUGUGUUGGUGUGGCGGGCUUGUGUGUCAUUUCCUACAAUGGUAUAGGCAAGUUAGUCAAGAUAGAGAUGUUAGUGAUUGUUUUUAAUUUCACAAUCCCACACAUUUAAGACAUGUUGUAUUGGUUAGGAGUGUGCAACAAGAACAGCCUAAACUGGGAACCACCUAAACCGGAUUGGAUCAGCCAGUUUUGUGUAGUUCCCAGAGAGGGCGGUCCGGUUCCUGGUUCUAAGGUGGGAAUCAUAUCGAUGGGACCGAUUGAUAUAAAAAAAAAUCGAGAAAAACCAUUUUUCCCAUUUUAGUUUUGCUUUCCCCUCCUUCCCUUUUUGCUUACUGCUUUCCCCUCCCUUCCACUUUUUGCUUUCCCCUCCCUUCUGAUUAACACAAGCUGAUAAAAACCCACUGAAAAAACCGAAGCUUUAAGCUUGAUUCUUGAAGACAGAAUCGGUCGUUGUGGUCGCAGUUCUCCUGAGGCUGGGCGAAGGACCGUCGUGCAAUCAAAAGACACGCCGAAUUACACCAGUUUAGGCGUGGGAUACAUGGACGUGGGAGAAGGAAAAAGGAGAAAUCAUAAGUAAAGGGAGCAAAAGGGAGGAGCAUUUGGAGGUGCGCGUCGUAGUCGGAAGGAUUGUUGUAGAGCUGGGACUCCAGGGCUUCAAUCCGGAGCUUGUCCUCAGCCUUGGAGUCGAAGUCGGAGUUGGAAUCGGAAUCAGAAUCGAAGGCAGAAGGGGAAGAAUCGGCAAGGACACCCAAGGGCUCGUCUGGAGGUGAAGGCAUGGCUGAAUCUUGACCUUCGCCGGCCAUCUCCUUCUGGUCUGCCUCUCCGACCAUCUCCAUCUCCGUCUUUCUUUCUCCUUCUUCUGGAUUGACGAUGGCGGACGCUUUUUGGAUCAGAGAACACCUCGCUAGUCAUUAGUCACUGCUCUACCGGCGACAAACUGAGAAACGUUGCGACGGAAUCUAUGAAAGGCAAGUUUAUUAGCAUCACACCAGCUCCUUUGCAAUUAUGCUGCGGUUUAUGAAUUGACAACAAGGCCAUGCAGCCACUGAACAAAAUUCUUUCUGGAUGAUCUACAGAAAAAGACAGAGCAAUCAACAAAACAGUCACUCUCAUCAGCCCAUCGACAAGACGGGGUCACUAAAAAAGGACCGAUCCAACUGAAACAACUACUUAUCUCCUCAUCCUUCACUGUAUAAUCGGAAGAUCCUUAAGCCACAAGCACCAACUCAUCCAACACGGUGACAAACAAAUAACAAAUUAUCAAUUCCACCGGACCAAACUGGACCAAUCAGUCAGUUCGAUUACCAGUUCUAGGACCGGUUGGUCUCAUUUCCCGAUCCUAGAGUCUGGGAAUUGGUCCUCCUGCUCUGAUUCCCAAUUCCACCUCGCAAUAGGAUCGACUCGGGAACCGAUCAGUCCUAGUACUGGUAUAUAACUCUAGCGCAAUGAAAUUAGAAUGAUGCAUUUUAAUGCCACGUAGAGGUAGAUGAGUCGCAGUUAGAAAGGGCAAUAUCAUGUUGAUGGUAAAGUCGCAAUAUAUAUUGUUUUGGCUCGAAAAUAAAGCAUGCUUACUGGAAGACAUCCUUGCAGACACCGCCAAUAAACCCAUUUACAACUUUGUCCUCUCUCACUUCACUUUACUAAUCAAAAGAAAUUCUUGCAAACACUAACGUGUUAAAAUUAAUCAAUUUGUAACUUUUCUCUUUAUAUAAUCUAGGGCUACGAAAGUGAGAAGACCCGGUUAUCUGGAGAUUCACAAUAAUCUCUCCAUAAAUUAACCUCAAAAAGAUAAAAAAGAAAGUAAAACCAGCAACUUUUUAGAAUCUUCUUAGUCACUAGAAGCUAAUGUUAUUGCGUAUAUUUUACUGCUUAAUGAUAAGCAACUGGUAUAUAGUAUUAGGCCUUAAUUUUCUUUUAGUUGAAAGGUAACAUUUUAUUCAUCUCGACAAUAAGACAAUGCAUCCAACCGCAAACCAAAAUAAACCCCAGAUAGUUUUAAAGCAAAACAAGUUCCAAAUAAUAAGAUGAAUCAUUAGAACAAAGUUAAGAGCCACACAUUCAAAGAGCGUAUCUGUGAUUUUUUCAAAUCAAAAUCGUCAAUCAAUUACUGAAUCCAUCUUCAAUAAUGAGCACACAUUGAGAACUCCAUAAAUUACUAUGGCUUUGUCUUUCAGCAGUGUGCAUCUAGGUUUGAUAUCCCCAGCAAUCGCCAUUCAAAAUAAAAAGGUUGUCCGAGCACAGAUUUGAUUGAACGAAGCCUUCACAAAACUGCUACAAUGUCUUGCAACUCUAGACUUGUACACCAACUAAACCCAAGAGAAACAAACCUUGAAAACAUAAAUGCAAAAAUCCUCAAAUCUAAACUAAAUUGGAAUAUAAACCUCUCCAAAUUGGGAGAGAGAAGCUUUCAGAUUUAGAUUAGAUCAGAAGAGAAAAGCCCCCCAAAUGAGAAGGAAACAAGCCAAAAAAAAAAAAAAACCGAAUUAAUCAAAGAAAAAGGGAGCAUAGAGAGAUCUAGUUCAAGCCCUUCCCUCCAUGGAGGUUCAAGAAGAAAGUUGCAUGGAGAUGAGAGGGAGAGGAGAAGAGGAGGCCGGCAGCUAGGGCUUGAUACAAUCUCAUAUUAGGCCUUAAUAAAAUGGUGAUAUAAGUAUGUGGUGACCUAUAGGAUAAGCAAUUGCUUUUAAUUUGAGUGAUUCAAACUUUAGAAUUUAUUGUCCCAUCUUUACAGUAGGUAUACUCAGUCGAUUAGGCGUGCCACUGGGUUGAACGGAUUAUUUGAUAAUAAAACUUGCACCUUUCGGAGCAAUAUUUUUUGUUAGUUUUUUUUUCUCAUUUUUAUUACUUGGAAAAUGAUAAGAAAAAUCAGAAAAUAUUAAUUCACUAGGGAAACUACUUCCCAUGUGGCAUUUGCAGUCUCGGAUUUAUAGGAAAAAAGAUUUUAGUGUAAGAGUGGUUUGUAGGCGGAAUUGUCGUGGAAGUUUUCAAUCAAUUAACCUGUCCCAUGCUACCGUCAUCAAAAUCUUUUGGAGCUAAUUCACAUUGUUAUUACUAAAUAUUUUUCUGCCAUUCAGCAAAAGAGACCGUGCGUGUAUCGCGGAGGAAUUUCUUUGGGCUUUCGAAGAGGAAAGGCCAAAAUAGUUGAGUGGGAAUUGGUGCACUGCAGAGAAGUUUCUUCGAGAUUUCCUAGUGGAUCGGACAGCAUAGUUAGUACAUGAAGAAAUUUCCUUGAGUUUUCGAAGAGGACCGGGAAGGAGGUUAUGACACAAGACUGCUGUACGGACGGUCCCCCCUUGGACGGUUGGUGACGCUUUCCUGAUUCUUCGCUGCGGUGAACCGGCGCGAUCUCUCCCUACCUCCAGUGUGAGUGCGCGCCUUUCUGGAUUCAACUGCAUCGUCCAUGCAGCAUGAGGUUUCGGUGUAACUUCUCAAUAUUUAUGGAGCCACUCUCCUUGUUCAUUUCGAUGGGGAUGUUUGCAUGGUGGAUUAAGAGCACAUUGAAUUUUCUCCGAACAAAAGCUAGGAUCAAAGUGAACGUCAAAAUUAACCCAAAAAAAAAAUCAUAAAUCUGUUGUACGAAUAUCAAUUUAACCUUACCAAAAAAAAAAAAAUUGCCUUAUAAAAAAAAUAUUAAUUCAAUAUUAAAGCUUUCAAUUUGAUUAAUCUAGCUUUAUUGUAGUCAUUCCGGCCAAAGGUAAUGUGGAUGACAACUAUCCUAUGUAACAUAACCAGCACUAAUGUAGAUAAUUUUUACAAAUUUUUUUUAUAAUUUUUCCGGAUUUUAUUUUUUCUUUCUUGUUUUAUUUUCCCUUUUACUUCUUUUAUUUUCUUUCUCCAUUUUAUCAAACUCUAACCCGGCAACCCUUGCCAGCCAUUGGGUGAGGAGUGUGAAGCCCUUGGUUGCCCAUGCCACGUAGGAAAGCAGCAUCCAUGUCAAUAGUUGUUGACCAAAUUGGUGGAACAGAUAUACUAAUAAAUUGCCAAAGGUUUAGAACAUGAUUUGUCAAAUUAAAAUAUUUAAAACUGAAUUGACCGUGUACAAUAGGUUUAUGAUAAUUAUCCCCAAUUAUAACUAUUGGGGUUUCCAAGAAAUUUUUUUGAUCCUUAUUGUUUUGUGGAUGAAAAUGUAAUUGGUAUAAGCGAUCAAAAUGAUAUAGAAUAUAUCCACAUAUCUAUUCCCACGUAUGUGGAUAUAUUCAAAUGUAUUUAGGCAAUUAGGAACAGCUCCUUUUGGAUCUCGCACCAGAUACCCAGAGAACUCAUGCAAUGAGAGCUGGUGUUUUGCCUGAUCACUUCUGUCCAUUUAUCUCUCGAUCUACAUGCUUCUUUGGCAGACCUUUCAACAAAGAAAUCAACAUACAUGAUCAAGGAAGGGAUUCUCAUCCCAAAGCCAAUGUAUUAAUCAUGAAGCAUACCUUGUGCAUCAGCUUGAAAGCAUCAUGCACGAUCGUCCUUACAAAUUCAACAUGCUACUUUCACACAUCAAAAGAAAAGGGAAAAGCAAAAAGCUUUGGGCCCAUUUUCAUCUCCAUGGGUCUUCAAACUACACCUGAGCCUUUCCAGGGCCAAGGGGAAAAAAAACCAGGAUUUUAAUUUUUAGGGUUCUUGGUGAGUUGGGCUUUUUAGUGAUCGUCGUUGGCACAUCUUUUUUUAGGGUCAAAAUCGUCGUUGUCACUUCAAUUGGCAAAUUGUCUCCGCAGUCUCUUUUUCGCUUUUGAUAAAUGGCUCGUGCCCUCACCCUUUCAAACCUUUCGGUGGUCUUCUACACGGUGGUCUCUCAUACGAUCUGCUUAUAUCCUGCAGCCGAGGCCCUUUCAGCUCUUUUUUUUUUUUUUGAUUUUUUUAUGAUCGAGGGACCGCUGGAGAUCACCCUUCGAGAAUCACAUGACCCUCCGGUGUUCGGUAGCACCAAUGGGAUCUCGCCACAAGCUGUUAUUUAGACGUAAACCCUUGAGAAGCUGGCCAAUAAAUUACCCCUAGGACCCCCACUUAAGUCGCGAGUAUCCGGAGAUUCGAAUUUUUUGUUUCUUUGGUGAUGAGGUAGUAAAGUCUAACCAUCACGGUUACCUACGAGUAGGUCUCUUUCAGCUUCUUUUAUAUAUCUGCAGUCGUUUAAUGUCCUCAGAGGCAUAUCCAUAUCUUUUUGUCUAUAGAUGACUUGCUAUUUUGUUUCGAGCCUACUAGCAGGGCCAUUAACAUUGUCUAAAGCAACAUUAUUGUGGCCUCGCAAAGAAGUUACCAAUUUCAUAAUAGAUGAGCUGUUUUUCAACAGUUUACAACGAUUCAAUGUCUAUGAUGAUGUUGAAUUACUGGAGUCAACGGGAGAAUAAAAUUAAGGAUAGGAGGUUGGUAACCCCAAAAUCACAUUUAGAUAUGUAAAAGAAGAAGGAAGAAGAAAAAAGAGUUUGAUGAAGUCAGUGUGGGGCCCAGUGUGCACACAUGGCAACUAAUGAAUGGACUACUGUAAAUCCUAUAUGAUACUACUCGAGCACUCAAUAUUUUCUUGACCGGAGAGUGGAGACUGUCCUCCCACAAUGGAUAAUUAUGGAAAAGUUCUAGUAAGUCUGCAACAGAUUUUCAUAUAUGGGACACUUGAAUUUCCUAAUGACCACAAUCAUGAUCAUGACCAUUGGAAAACGGAGAACUUUGGAUGGAACUCGGUAGUUCUGUGAAUUUUCCUUCUUUGCUUGUCGAUAUCUCAAUGAUUUGUAGCAAAUAUUUUCCGACAUUGCAGACGUGAAGCAACGUGACGUCACAAAUUAGAUCAGCUGCAGAGCUUGCUAAGUUCUUCUUGCUGCAACUGUACCCAAUAUAAUUUAUCAAUUUGCUAACCAACCUUCUCGACAUCGUGGUCCUUUUUGCUGUUAUUGGCAAAGGAAAAGAGUAUCCUAUUGCUUAACCCGCUAAGAGAGCCAUGUAAAUUCAUACUAUUUCGCUUGGAUUGAAAUUUGCAAUUCGAUGGAUGAAAGGAAGAGCAUAUGGUAAAAGAGAAACAGGGUUGUGAUGGUACAGCAUCAUACCACGUCUCAUUUAGAAUUUCUGAUGUAAAGUGAAAAAUUAGUGGACUUGUGGAAAAGAAAUUCAGUCUCUUAUAUUUUGGAUAAUCCUCCGAUCCAUGUAAAUGGGGGGAAGAAGGAAAAGAACAAAAGAAAACAACAAAGUUAUGUGUGCUCCACUUGUCUUUUUUUUUUGGAUUGAAUAGAGGAGGUUUGCCAUGGUUCAGUUUCUUUGCUUUGACAUCAACUACCUAUUUAGUUUUUGUAUUGCCGUUUUAGUCAAAUACCAAGCAGCGAGUCAUUCUCUUAAAUUUUUUUUAUCCUUAUCACUCAAUUCAUAAGGAAGCAAAAUUACUCUUCCAGAUUGCUUUUGUUAAUGGUCCUAACAGAGGAGGCUUGCUUCUCUGUUUGUGGAAUACGUGAAGAACUUCAUGACUAUGGCAGGUAUCCACGCUGGAAUUGCAUCUAUACCGUUUUGUGGAGUAAGUACUUCAUUCCUUUCCCGUUUGAUCCAUUCCUUUCACCAAUUAUUAGAAGAUAAAAGGAAGCUUGUUAUAUUUGUGAUCUCAUAAGCGAGAAAGUUAAAUAGCCUUUCACAAAAUGCAAAAGACUUCUUGGUAAGUUGAUAUAUUUGAUGAAGAGAUAAUCUGUUUGGCUAUUCUAGAGUAGUUCUCUCUGGUAGAAUCGGACAUGACAAAGGCAAGAAGAAAUUGUCUUCUCAAGUCUUUCCCAGAUUUAUUUCCAAAUAUCACUAAUUGCAUUUGUAGCGAGGUUUUAGAUUGAUUUGGCAUUAGGAUGCACCAUUCUCUAGUGGUCUCUUGGUUGAGGAUUUGUAGCGAGGUUUUAGAUUGAUUUGGCAUUAGGAUGCACCAUUCUCUAGUGGUCUCUUGGUUGAGGUCAGACUGGGAUUGGAGUUUGCUUUUAUCACUGCAGUUCAAUUUUUUUGCCUUCUUUUACAGUCUGUUAUCUUCCGCAUUCUUAUGGACUAUUUGAUCGGGCUACGAAGGGUCUCCUCUGAAUAUGUCCAGAUUUUGCUCAGUCUUCCUAGUCAUUUUCUAAUUUACAUUACCCUUUUGCUAUAUCCAGGCUACUUUUUCUACAGCAUCAACAACUAGCUUCUUUGUAUGUCCACAUGCAGAAACACUGCGCCAAACUAAUUGAGUCUCUUCGUUCAUACUUCACUGUGUAACCGUGUCUUCUUGUUUUGUUCGGGGACCUUCGUACAAGCACAGGAGCACUUGGCACCCGCUGGUUAUAUGAAAAUUCUGACUGCUGUGUUAAGAUAGCAUAUAUUUAGAUAGGAUGAUUUUUGUUUAUAUCUUCUUGAGGGUCCUAAUCUUCUACAUCUUACCAUAUUAUCCAGUCAGGAAAUUGUAUAACCAUCCCAAAAUAGGUGUGGCCCACGAUACUCUUCGUAUAAGAUAGGAGCUAUGCAUGUGUUCAUAAUUUCCUGUUUUUAGCUUCAUGUGUUUGAUUUGCCAGUGAUUUUUCUCAAUGCGAAAACUCAUUUCACUUGCUAUUGUGUCACAAGGUCUACAUGUUCUUUCAAUUAAGCAUGGCGUGAAUUGCUUUUUGUUUCUGCUGGACCUUGCUAACUAUCUAAAAGAUUGUAGAUUUCUCCCAGAAUUAAAACAAUGAGAACGUCCAUCACAGAAUCUCAACCUACAAGGGAAGAUUUGCUAGUUCGCAGAACCUAGUCCUUAUUAUGGUGAUUUUUUUUUUUUUUUUUUUUUUUUUUUGCACUUUGCACGGUAGGAAUAGAGAACAAGUUGAAACAUUUUCUAAGCCUUAUAUAUGAAUGAUUGACCAUGUUGAAAGUAAUAACAUAAUUAGGAAAGCAAUAUCUUUAGCGAGCUCUUCCUCUACAAUCUUAUGGUGUAGGAGGUGUAUAUCCACGACAUGGUCUGCAAUUACGUUUUGUAGUGAUUUAUGAUUUUCAUUUGAUCACUGAGCAUUCAACUUUGAAAAUUCGAUAAUCUAAGCAAUAUUACAUUUACAUGAGACAAAUGAACUGAACAGAAUGGGCAAGAGAACAUAUUGUAAGGUGGUAUUGUCGUUGUGGGGUAAGAUUGUCUUCACAUGCUUUUGCCCUUACUCGAUGCUACAAUUUGCAACCUCUCACCAUUAAUCCAAUGGAAAAAAAAGAAGAUGAAUGUGCCUUACCGAUCCAUUUCCUGUAGAAUGAACUUUACAUCUAGGACUGGAUUGGAUUGGGGACUUUGGAUGAAGCUGGGAAAGUCAAAUUCAUCAACUACCCUGGGAACCAUCUCCAGAUUUCUCUCGCUGACAUGCAAAGUACCUUACUUGGUGGAUGAUGCAGCCUCACCGAAGAAUGUGGCAACAGGAACGGCAAGUAGUUGGACCCCAUGGGUUCAGGGUUAGUAUCGAAGAAUGGUUAGGCUGUUCGAGGAUCAGCCACUGCUCCUCUCCGCGCAUUAGCGAGUGAUGCAUGUAUUCCAUGCAUGAACGCGAAAGAUGAGGCGAAAUGAUUGUUUAUAGCGUGAGUGGGCGAUUGAAUUUUUUUAUAUUGAUUUGAUGAUACAUUCCUGGCCUUGUAUCUGAUUAUUUGAUGAUAUUACUCACUAGAUUGACUUGAAAGUUCUAAUAUUACCUUAUCAGAAAUGAAGAAUCUUGCAUCAGCCAUGACUCUUGCUCUUAGUAGAUGUUGAAAAUGUUAUGGUUCUCUCUGCAGCUUUGCGCAACUAUGCCAUUGAAGGGCGACACAUAGAAGUCGAAGGCAAGUCCCACUUCCAUGGCAACUUCAACUCCACGAUAGUAAACAUCGCAUUUAGCCACCCAGAAACUAGUACACGUGAUAAAUUUAUCAUGAACUAUUUUUUUUUAUCACCAAAAAUCUCAAAUUGAUACAUCUUUGACAAAUUUACCAUAUACUAGUACACUUGCAAUAAAUUUACCAUCUAUUAGUUUUCGUUAAAUUUUACUAUCAAAUUACUAGUUUGAUAACACGUAACAAUUGACUAAUGUACUAAUUUAAGAUUUUACUCUUUGUAUAUCACGGUUGUAUAAUUUUUGUAGUUUUUAUGGUAUUAAUUCAAUUUAACGAAAGGUAUAUUUGUCACUUAUAUACCAUUUUAGGGUUUUUGGCUGUCGAACAAAUUAAUUUGAGAUAAAUUUAUCAUAAAUGUAUCAAUUUGGGGUUUUUUGUAGUAAUUUUGGAUACAUUUGUCACAUGUGUACUAGUUUGGAGUUUUGCAUGAUCAAAAAAUUAAUUUGAGGUAAAUUCGUUACACGUGUACCAGUUUAGAGGUUUUUUAGGAUAUUAACCCAAUUAAUUAUCACAUCCGCAACUUACUAACCUCUUACCCAAUCAACUUCUAAAAUUUAGAAGUUGUUAACUUACCAAACAAUUUGACAUGGGUAAGUUUAUUACAAUGUCGGCAACUUAUUAACCUUUAUCCGAUCCACCUGUAAAAUUUAGAAAGAAGUUAGUAAUUUACAAAUCAGUUUGGUUUUAGUAAAUUUUUUAAAAUGUGGUUGACUUACUAACCAGUAGCUUGAUUUUGCGAAUUUACAUCAUAAAUUUCUUCAAACGUCCACUGAGGUCGAAGAAUGUUGAAGGAAUUUAUGGAAAUUGAAGUAAUGGCAAUCGACAGGUAGAAACAUAUAAAACUCAUUAAUGCUACGAAGAGCAUUUUGUUUAAUUAAAAUACACACAAAAUCCAACACUUUCCUUGCAACCUCAAGAUAAUCACCAAACAAAUACCAACUUGGCAGUUCAACCGCAAUAGCUCCGCAACUGCUAAUAACAUUUAGUUAACCGGGACGCAGUCGAGAUGAACGUCCUCCACAGUCCACAUACACGAAAGGUCUCGACUUGUUGGCCUCGGUUGCGCUCAUAUCAUCUGGAGCACAGCAAAUUCUGCUGGCGCUCAAUCCAACGGGUCGACGUUGACAGGUUUUAAAUCGGACAGCUGACGACUGACAAAGCAAAAAGAAGAUUUCCUGUGCACAAGUUCACGGUACUAUUAAACCUGCCCAGCUAGUAGCAGCUUUCUUAGGGUAUCCGACGAUCAGGCCGUGGAUUUUGGGAGGAGAUCACCGGGACCUGCCCAGAGCAAUGUAAGACAACGGUCGGGGUCCCAGAAAACACCUAUGAGGUAAUAAAUCCCGAGACAUCCACAUAUAACCCAAGGAACGGUUGCGAGCCCAAUGGUUCUGGUCAACACUACAAACGUACCAGACGCAAAGGCUAGCACCAUCCCCAACAUCGCAAUGUAAAUGCAAUUUGCGGCGUUGAGGGUGAAAUUUGCCUUUGCACGAUCGCUUAACACAAAAGUAUCAAAUUGUAAGAACAAUGCCAUGGUGGAGAAACUGAACGCCACAGUGUUGGUUAUCACAAAGGUUUUGAAAGCUACCCUGCCAGCAAGAGUCGCCAUUCCUUGGUUGGGUCCGUCAUUGCUAUAACCUCCUGGCAUCGUGAAGGCUGCGGCAAAGGUCGCUGUAGCUAUGAGCGCUGCCACUAGUAGUUCAAGCUCAAUAAAGCUUUUCAAUGACGAAUCGCUUCCUGUGGUUGGAGACGCAGCUGGUUGAUCCUCAAAAUGUUGCUUGUCUAACCUCUUUUUAAUUUCACCUUCAGCCCAAUGUUGAAUAGUCGGGAAUCCAUGAGAUCCGUGCAAUGCAUGAAUAGCUCGAAGUCUUGAGAGAUUGUUCUGAAAAAUGUACAGAAAGAAUCAAUUAACCCGUGGUUUUCCUGGCGAAAUACUUCAAGACCCUCACUUUAUUCGCUCAAAAUCCAUCUAUAACAAAUAGAAUUUCUGGCCAAGUCCUAAAUUAUUAUUUUUCAAUUCAAUUCAUCUCCUUUGGAUGAGGUAGCUGGUAAAUGAAACCAGCGAAUAGAGUUUUUCAGGAGUAAACAAUUACAUCUUGGGCUAUGCCAUAGCUAAAUGAAAUUAUCUAGGAAUUGUUUGAAGCCCUUUUCUCAAAUUGGGCAGAGUGCAGGUUGUCUCUUUUAUCUCAAAACUUAUUUGAAGGGGGGCAGAAAUAAAACAGAAGGAUUUUGGCUGACAUUGUACAAAUCAUUCUGCUUCUCUUAUAUGAAUGGGGCAGAAUAGUUGUUUCAAAGUCAGAAGGUGCAAAUAAACUUUUCGAUUGAUGUCCUCUCGAGUUCCGGCUCACUAUACGAGAUAGUGGUUGACAUCUCGGCACAAGGGCCAUUAAACAGGCCGGAUUUAUUCUCCAUUUUUCUUUUAUUUCUUUUUCCCCCUUUACCUUAUCCCCUACAUAAGAAGCUCCCAAUCCUUAAAGUUUUGCAUAGGUUUCAAGAUAAACAGGUCCCACAUUCUGCAUACUUUUUAAUAAAACAAAAUAUUCGACCUUAAAAUUGCUUUAAAAUAUUUUUAUUGUAAGCAGUUAUUUGUUGACUAUCGAUACCAUAUAAAUAUUUUUUUUUAUUAGUUUGUUUGUUUGCACUUGAAAUGAGUAUCAAUUGAGCCGCAAUUUCUUAACGAUAUUGAAGAAAUUACUCUACGAGUGAACAAAUUGGGCUCUUAUAGUGUGCAAGCAAGCAUACCUUAUCGUUAGCAUGUAUAAUGUCAAGAGCGGUCAAAUCAUUCUUAUUUGUGGCAAAGCGGUCCACCUUCUUGUCUCUUGCAAGUAUCAGAGUGCUUUUGUAUUUUCUAAGAUUCACAGACAAAUGCAAAGCCGUGUUUCCAUGAAUGUCUUUUUCGUUGAUAAUAUUCUUCAGGUUUGGCAUCUCUAAUAUGUACUUGACUACCUUUACAUCUCCUCCGAGAACAGCUGCAUGAAGAGCGGUUUGCCUUUUAAAGUUUAUUAUGUCCCAAGCAUCAGGAUGGGAUGUAACGAGCUUGUCAAUGACCUCGAUGUGGCCUUGAAACGCUGCAAUGUGAAGAGCUGAAUUCCCCUCUCUAUCUAACUCAUAUGCAACGGAGGUAUCAUGUUGCAAGAGCAGUUGAACUGCAUCAACUUUGCCAAAGUGAGCGACAUAAUGAAGAGGAGUCCACCCUCUACACUCAUCCUUUUCUCUGAUCAGUUCUGGUAUCUUCUCCAAGAUUUUCUUGCAACCUUUACAAAUACAAUAGGAAUAUGUCAUGAUUUAGAUCGGUUUUAGCAUUUUGACAUUGAUAUCUUAACAUUGCAUUUCAUCCCAUUUAGCUUUCCCCCCUUUUUCUCCGUACUAGGGAGGAAUAUGUCAUGGUUAUUAUGAAGUUUCUCUAUUGAUCUUGUGUAACACAUGUAGAAUCUCACUACCUUGAAUCUAGCAUAAUGCAGGAAUUCCUAAAGUUUUUCAUUUUUAUAAGUGAAUUUGUCAGAAAUUCGUGAAGUUGACUAAGAAGAAACUUCUUUUCUAUUCAGCAAGGCAUCUGCUCUGUCUAAGGCUAGAAUAAAAGAGUAGGGUUUUCUACUAUGAUGCCAAUCAUUUUACAAGAAUAUCGUGUCCAACUCAAUUUUAUAAGAAUUUAAACUAAAUGAGGACUUAGCACCUUCUACAUUUUCCAAUGGUAAAGUCAUUUUACCCCGCUUUUUCCAAGUCAUCAUAAUUUUUCCCUGGGGAGUUAAAAAAGUUUUGAAUCGAUUUUUUGGAAAUAUAUUGCAAUGUGCCCUAUCAUCAAUUGUAAACUGAAAAGCAAGUAAUCAUAAGGAGAAAAUGACGAAAAAAAAGAAGAAUACCAAAAAUAAAUAAAUAAAUAAAUAAAGGAACUGGAUGAGAGAGAAAAGGGAAGACGUUGGGGUAUGAUGGUGAUGGUGGUUGCCACCACUGCCACCACGGGAGACAGGAGGGUUUGAUGAUGGUCGUGCCUGGAGAACAAGAUCCAGAAAAAUUUGAAGAAAGAAAUUAAGUACAAGCGAAAUAUGCACUCCGUGUCACAGUGUUUUUAAUCAUAACGUCCCGUAUGUGGCCGGUCAAAUGUGCUGUCCUUUUUGUUUUUAAUCUUUUCUUUCCCGGCGGGUGUCACUCUCCUUCUACCUCUUUAUCUUUCCAAGCCUCUAGUGUCCCUCUCUAUUCCCUCUUUUCCAUUUUUGGCUUCCGACACGCCAUUGGAGCAAGUAUAGACUCUAGAAGGAGCAUUGAUGGAAGAGAGAUUGGGCCAAAGGUGCCAGAACUUUGAUGAGAAGUCGAGGUAGAGAAGGCGUUGCACUCUAGCUGGCAAAGGCAUUCACGGGAGCAAGGGAAAAGGGCCACCAAACAGCAUUUGUCAUUUGCUAGUCCCUAUGAUCAGAUAACUGAGGAAUCGGCCACUGAAGCAGCUCGCAAACGCAGAGUUGAACGACCAUGAGGCAGAUCGAACUUGCAGGACACUGACUGACCGUCCUCAAACAAGACGAUGUCUACAAUUUGAUCACCGGUCGUCCCCUCACUGGAUCUUGGCUCCAGGACUCCUCACUCGUCCUCUCCGAUUGGCUCUCCAUCGAAAGUCACUUCCUAUUGUUCCCUCUAACCGGCAAGAGCGUCAUCGAGUUCAGCCCUGAAUCCGCGGGCAUCCUGGGGUUCACAGCGGCUUGGCUUGGGGGCCAGCCGUGUUGUCCUCAAUGACGUCGCGCCAACGUCGGUGAGAGAAAAUUGGGAGAGAAAAACAAAACAUGAGACAUGAAAGGCAUGUCUGAAGAAGAAAAAAAUGGAAAAAAGGAGUAGAGAGGGGCACCGUAGGUGGUAAGACACUAAUAAAGGCCGAAAAGAUACGAAGAAGGAAAGCGGGACCUACGGGGAAAGAAAAAGAGGGACUCCGCAUUUGACCAUAUAAAAAAUUAAACAAAGGAGAGUAAUGCUAAAAGGUGAGUCACAUCAGGGACGAUAUGAUGAAAACACUAUAAUAAGGAGUAAAAAAUCGCAGCCCAUUAGUGAAUAUAUUUACUAUUAUAUUUACAAAGUACUAGUGUAGAAGGGGGCAUCGCUGCUACCACCAGCAGUCUCGCCCAAGGGAAGUCUCGCGCUAGGGAGAGAACUUCGGUUACUUGGGUUAUCAUUUGUUUAAAGUGGGUUUAGAAUCUUGUGAUACUUACUUGAUAGUGGGAGGAGCCCUGCAGCAUUCAGAGCUGUCAGUCCAUUAGGGCCCUUACGAGAGGAUGGCGACGAGGAAGCACAUAAAAUCGGCUCAAUGAUAUCCUGAAAUCUUCGAUGUAUUGCGAGAUAAAGCGGGGAUUCACCAGCAGCAUUAACAAUAUCACAUAGGUGAGGAUCUUCUUCAAUAAGCAACUCCACGACCCCCUUGCAAUGUCCUCUUAUUGCAGAGUGCAACAAGGUAUCUUCAUCUGAAUUUGAUAUCCUAAGUAGCUCUUUGUAUUCGUCAGGUUGAUGUAUUGCUUUCGCCCGAUCAAUAAAUACUCGAACCAUUUCAUAGCUUCCUAGUUGAGUAGCAACAUGUAAGGGAGUGUCUCCUUUGCAAUUACAUUUCCAAAGAAGGGAUGAUCUUGGUAGAUCUUGAAGAAACUCUUGGAUGAAAUUUGCCCGCUCGAAUUGAGCCGCAACGUGAAGAACAUUGUUUCCCUUUGGCGUUGUUUGGUGGAAAAGGUUCUCUCCAUUUUCCAAACUUAUUGUCAUCAGGGAAUGAAAUUCUCCCGACUUUGCAGCCCUAUACACUUCAGGAUGCAUACGCAGUAUCUCUUUCAUUCUCAAGACACGCAGUAGUUGCAAGUGAACUUAUCAAUAUAAGCAAUGAGUUCAAAUGGGAGGAAUUUCUUUGAGUUUUUCAAGAGGAUUGGUGAAAAGGGAAAAUGCUGGAGAGGAAAUUGAAUUGAGCUUCCUAGGAACUAAAAUGGGGACAUUUAUAUGCAUAUGGUGGUUCUUCAAUUGUUUCGAUGAAAUUGAAAUAAAUUUAGCAGGUUUAGAGAAUAGUUUCCAAAAAGUCUGAUUGGUAUGCGUUUUGGACUUCCUGCUUUCUACUUUUUAUCAAAAUCAGAACAUCCUUCUAGAAGAAGAAUCGGAUAUGAUUAACUUGUUUAUUAAAGCAAUAAUAUCCGUUCACUUUGAGCUGUAAUUUUUUUUUUUUUAUGAAUUGAAUCGGAUCUGAUUUAACUUAUUUAUUAAAGAAAUGAUUUCGUGGGCCCACUUUUAGACGUAGUCUUCUUUUUUUUUUUUAUUUGUUCAUCGAAAAGUCCUUUGCUCUUUUUAGUCUUCACGGUCCAAGUUUGUCGUGAGCAUGCAUUCUCAUCAUGGUGCACAUGGUGGACCCUACCCAAGCUUGGUCCCACUCGAAGAUUUACAUAUGUAAUUAUUAUGGAGCACGAACUUAGGUAAAAUUCAACCGAUAAAAAACUUAGGUAAAAAUGAGUUGACGACCAAUUUGAGCUCAUCCAAUAAUCACCUCUACUUCUAUAAUCCAUUGACAAAAGUUGGAGCUCAUAAUGAUAUGUUUUCUAUUGUAAUGUUUGCACAAUAUUCUAUAACAAAUAAAAAUCUAUCAAAAAUUUAUGAUCGUUCAAUGACUAUCUAUCAUUUUUAAUAUGUGGAAGAGAUACACGACAAAAGGGUAAAUUUAAAUAAAUAAAAAAGAGAAGGCAAGGCUGAAGUUGUUCUACUUUUUUAGCAAGGGCCAAUGAACCUUGUCGAGGUCUCAGUGAGGGCCAACAACCCUUGCAGGUCUGUCCAUGGGCAAGGGCUCGCAGGCCCUCAUCUGCGUCACACACAGUGGUCUUCAUUGUGAAAUAAUAUGUAGAACUAAAUUCUUAAGACUAUUUUCUCAUAUUUGACCUUCAUAGAACAUUAACCUUAAUUAUGUCUGCAAAUUGGCAAUUAGUGUCCUACCAGAAACCCAUCAACAUUAUGUGUAUGUAGAUCUGAAUUCUUUGUUAACAGCAAAACUGCACUGGCAAUGGGUUAUUUUUUCCUUUUUUUAACUCAACCCGUUCUUAUGUAUGUUGGCCUAGGCUCUGCUCCCACAUUGGUGCCAUGAAUAAUUUUUUAUUAGUUCAUUAGAAAGUGGACUUAUUUUUGUUGAUGGACUCUUUACACCGUCUCUGACUUUGAAGAGAAAUAGGAAACGGCUCAUGGGACUCAUGGACUAUGUCACUUCUAGAGCAGGUAAUUUCUCAUACGACUAUUGCUUGUUAUUUUUAAUGAUUUGCAUCUGAUGUCCGUGACGAUCUGUUAUGUUCCUUGCCUUCCAAACUGCCGUUGCUUGUGCGAAGGUGUUGACAGUUGCUGGUGAGAUAUAUAGUCUUGUGGUACCUGAAGUGUAUCUAUAAGUCUACACAAAUGCUUUUGAAAGCUUAAAAAAUGAAAGUUAUAGUAGCCAUUAUUUACCUAAAAACAUGGGGUUUAGAUGCUGCAAUGGUCAGCUCUUUAUAAUUAUUCUGUGCCCUUCCAUGUUAUACUCCAGUCUUGGGUAAUAUAACCAGCAUACUAAAUUAAUGUAGUACAUCGACAAAACAUUUAGCUCAAUAAGUGGCGAAUGGAUAAAUGGCAAUGCUGUAAUCCAUGUAUUCUUACCGUUGUUUUUGUCCUGUUGCCGUUUACCUAGUUUCUCAUGUUCAUGGUUAGAGUUAUCUGUCGACCAUCAUUGCAACUUACCUGCCUAUCUCAGCAAGCACCGUGAUUGGUCGAGGUGUUGUUGAAUUUCGUGAUAGAGGACCACUAGUGAGAAAAAGUGCUGCAAUGAGUGAGUUACACAUUUCCGUGUCAUGCCUUCUUUCUUUUCGAUAUUGAGGUGAAAACAUGUGACGAAUCACUUUAUACCGUUCGGAGAUUUUGUUCCCCUUUUUCCUUUCACAAGUCUUAUAGUAUUCUUCUUUAUUAUAUUACCGACCAACUUUUGAGACACACACAUAAAAUUCUCUUUCUUGUUUGUUCGUUCCCUAAACAUGUGGUUGAAGUAUAAUACUUUGAGUCUGCAGAGAAAAUGUGAUUCCGCUUUGCAGCAUGACACUUUGCCAAGCCAUGCUACUAUGGUGUAAAUUUCUGCAACUUCUAGGAAAAAAAAAAGAAAAGAUAUCAUAAAUGCUAUAACUUUCGUACGGCAUUCUCUCUUUUUUUUUUUAUCAUUUAAAUGUUAUCACUUAUGUAUGGCACUCUUUUAAGUACCAUAAUUUUUUUUCACAAUCACUUGAGUGCUAUAUAACUUUUUAAUCAAUUACUUGAUUGUUAUAAUUUUUUUUAAACGUUCACUAUAAGCGCUAAACUACAUCAAAUUUCUGGUAUUUGAGUGAACGCUCUAAAAAAUUUUUUGACACUUAACUGAUCAACUAAACAUACUUUUUUAGAAAUAAUGGCAAUUAAGUGAUAGGAAAAAAAAAGUUAUAGCACUUUAGCAAAUGCCGUAUAAAAUUUAUGAUAUUUAUAGUGUCUUUUAUCCAUAACUUCUAGUAUAAUCCCAAAGGUGACACUUGAUUGUAGUCGUGGGCCUUUUAACAGCAAGUCUCUUCCUAGAACAUUGUGCCUAUGCUAGUACUGCUAUGGGCCUAGACUAUGAACCUUGACUACGUUGGCAUAACCCAUUUGAAGCUUUUCAAUGUGGCUUCUUUUUUUAAGCAAGAUAUCGAGGAAAGAGUAUCUAGAGAGAAGAGGAACGGUAUCUUAUUCUUGGUGAAUGAUUAAGUAGUAAUUAUUGACAGGAAUGAUUUCCAUGCUACAAAGGAUUAAAUUCCUCAUAGAGGAAUGUCGGGUUUUAAGGAUGAUGCAACAAAUCGUCGAUCAUAACCCUUUUGAUGUUUGCUUUACAUUUGUGUAAACAAUCUCCAAAGGAUCUGUGGCACCUUGCUGCACUAAUUUCCAAUCUCCAACCAAUUUGCGAGAUAUUUUGGAGAGUUUUGGAUGGGACUUAGUAGGUAUGUCUUUUUCCUUCUUUAAUAGUCAGAAAUCUAAAUGGUUCAUAUUAAAUAUUUCUCUACACUGUGAACAUCAAAUAACAUAAUGUCACAAAUUAAAUCAACUGUAGAGCUUGCUAAGUUCUUUCUUGCUAAAACUGUACCUAAUAUGAUUGAUAGAUCUAUUGACCUACCUUCUUGAUGUUUUGGUCCUUUUUGUUGUUAUCUGCAAAGGAAUAAAGUGUGCUACUACUUAAUCGGCAAAGAGAGUUACUUUAUUUUAUACUCUUUCACUUGAAUUGAAAUUCACAAUUCAUUUUAUGAAAGAAGCACAAAUAGUAAAAGAGAAAGGGGGUUGUCAUAGGACAGUGCCAUAUAAUGUCACAUUUAGAAAUUCUUAUGAAAAGUGAAAAAUUAGUGGGCCCACAGAAAAGAAACCCAGUCUCUCCUGUCUUGAAUAAUGACACUUCAGUGCCAAGUAAAGGCAUAAAGAAGAAAAAGAAAAGAAUAAUGAAAGAAAAGAAUAAAGUUAUGUGUGCUUUUCAUUUGUGUAUUAUUUUUUUAAUAAAUGGACAAUAGGGGAGGUUUGUUUCCAUGCUUCUUUUACUUGCCAUAGACACCAACUACCUAUUUGGAAAAUUUCAAACUAUCGUGUCAUUCAAAUAUUUAAGCAACAAACCAUUCUCCUAAAUUCUUUGAUUCUUAUUACUCAAUUCAUUAGGAAUCUAAAAUACCUCUCCAUAGUACUUUAGUUAGCUAUUUUAAUUGACCGUACUUGUUUCUGUCCUAAAUUCGUGAUCUUCCGAUUCGUUAAUUUGGUUACUACAGUAAAAUCAUUUUGAAUCAGUUAUUGGUUAAAUGCCACAAAGAUGACGGAGAAUUUUUUUUUUUUUUUGGAGGGGGUGUGGGGUUGGAGAGAGAAGCCCUGUUGUAUUGUUCACGUUGCCAUGUUAGACGAAAAAAGUUCUGCAUUGGACUCAUUUUUUAUAAGAAAAGCCAUGUAUUAAUAAAAAUUUCAUAUACAAAACAUAGAAUAUGUUGGAAUUUACAACUAGAAGCACUUGAGUAAUCGUUUUUCCACCAAUAUAACACUUGAGUAAUUACUCAAAAAAUUUUGGCACUAAAAAGAUAUGACAUUUAGUGUUAUUUUCCUACCAAUGCUCUUUGAAAUAGAGAUUGAUAAUGAUUGGUAAAGUAUUUAAGCUAGAUCAUGGUAGAAUGUCCUAAUGGUUUAGAAAGCAUGCAUUUUGAAUGGUUCCAUUCUUUUGAGAAUUAUUUUCUGCACUCAAACCAAUUCCAAAAUUAAGAAUUCACUUGAGAAGUUGCACGCGCAUAGAUAAAUGAGAAAUUAGGGGAUUGGAAUAUUUUUAACAUUAACAUUGACUUGGACUUAACUGUUCUAUUUUUUAUUUUGGGUCUAUGUCAUUAAAAAUUCGAAACUUGUAUUCACAUAAUAAAUUUAUCCAAACUAGUUUUCGUAUCACAUAAAAACCUUCAACACAUUUUACCCCAAACUAAUUUUUGUCUUAUGAAAAAUCUCAAAAUUGAUAACCUGACCAAAGAUUACCUUGACCGUUUGAUCCUAAACUAUUAAUGGAUGAUAUAUUUGACUUAGGAUUCUGCCUUGGGCCAAAUAUGUUAUGAGGAAUUAGUUCAAGAUUGUUUGCAAGAUGAAAAUAGAGUUUAGGAUAAAUGUAUUAUGAGGUAUUGAUUUGAGAUUUUGAUGGUAAUAAACCUAUUUUUGUUGCAUCUUGUAUGGCCAACAAGAUAUAACAUAGAAGUAUUUGAAACGUGUUCUAAGCCUUAUAUAUGAAAUUUAACCAUGUUGAAUUUAAGGCUGAGGAUUACGAAAUCGAGUUUGCCGAGCUUCCUCCUCUACAAUCUUAUGGUGCAAGACUUGUAAAUCCAUGACAUGGUCCGCGAUUACAUUGUGCAGUGACUUAUGAUUGUCAUUUGAUCAUGGGGCACCCAAGUUUGUAAAGUCAGUGAUCUAAUGAAAAUUGCAUUUACACGAGAAAAAUGGAUGUAACAUAACCGAUGAAAGAGCAUAUAAUGAUAUGGUGUCGUCAUUGUGGUGUAAUAUUGUUGUACCAUGCUUUUGCGACUUACUCAAUGCUACCAUUUGCAUCCUUUUUAACCUUUGAUCUAUUGGGAAAAAUAAUAUGAAUGAAUCUAACUGAUGGAUUUCUCGCAAACCAAGCUUUACAUCGAGGAUAGGAUUAGAUUGUGAGAGUGCUAAUAUGAACACCUUGAGGAGGUGAAUAGGUGUAUAAAAUAAACCUUGGCAAGAAUAUGCGGAAUAAAAUAAACUUCGAGUAAAACAAAAGAGUUAAGGAAGAGAAUAAAAAUACAAGAUUUAUAGUGGUUUGGCUUAAUCCAAGCCUACGUCCACUCUCCCACGCUAACAGCCUUCUUGGCUGGAUUCCACUAUGCAAUCAACAAGAGAUUACAACUUCGAGUGCAAACACUUAAUAGUAGAUCACACUAUCUCACUAAGUCACUCUUUUGGUAUUUCUCUCACGAUCACAAAAGUUUAAGCUCAACAAAGACAAAUGUAUGAUCGAAAGUCGCUCAGACUUUGGAAUUAUAAAUUCUACGCUCCGUCUCUUACUUGCUCAUCAGUCCUUCAUCUCCUUAAAUACUCCUCCACUUCCAAACUACACGUUGGACAGUAUCCCGGAGAAUCGUCUUCCAAUAUACCCAUUGGACAGCUCUGUAUCUAGAAGAUUUGGUAGCCGUUAAGUGACAAAGGUAGAAUCCCAAAUUGAUUCCGAUUGCCCAUACAAACGAAAUCUUGGUUUCCAUAAGUAAAGCUUCUUCGUAUAGAAAGUUCUUGUCUUCAAGAUCCAAUCGUCAAUCAAAUGGAUUGAAUCAAUCAAAUCAAUCUUCAUGUGGAAUCCAAACCAGAUCACUAACCGUUGUAUGAUUGGGCUUGAGUUACGUUCUGUCGAAUCUGGAUGUAAAGUCUGAUAGCCAUAGACUUUACAAGCUGAGUCUGAGUGCAAUAGACUUUACAAUCUAGGUAUGAACAUAUCUGCUUCUGAAUAGAUUUAGCUUUAAGAUCUGUACCUAGUUCAGCUUCAGCAUAGAGUCUGUCUUCUGGUUCAUCAUUCACGUUCAGUCUAGAAUUAGUUAGAGUUGACAAACUUUUAAUGUAGAACAGACUUUGACACUAAAGUCUGGCAGUCUUCAGACUUUGAGUCUUGAGUCUGGCAGUCUUCAGACUUUGAUACAAAAGUCUGGAAAUCUUCAAAAUAUACUCUGGACAUAUGUUACGUUCAGUCUUCUAGCCGUCUUCUGACUUUGAUAAUAUCCUUUACAUUUUCUAUCAUCUGCAUGGUCUAUUACUCAACCAUCAAACAUAUUAGUAGCCUUUGAUUUAUUUUGUCAUCUUCAAAACAUCAUAAGGGAUUUCCCUAACAGAUUGAAGAACUUGGGUGAAGCUAGGAAAGUCAAAUUCAUCGUCUCUGUGUUGACCCCUCAUUUGAGUCAAUAGUUUAAGUAUUUAUUCUUGUAAAAGUACCCCCAAAAAAACAAAAAAGCAAGGGAAUAGUAAAAAGAACUAAAACGAUAAAUAGGCAAACAAAUAAUAGUCAAAUCAACAAAUAAAAAAGGGAUCUAAUAUGGUCUUGGUCUAUUUUCUAUAGCCCCGAUCAGCUGGCCCGGCCCAUGUCCAAAUUCGUUGAUCACAAGAGAAAAAAGAAUAGAAGAAAAAUUGCCCUCGAAGAGAAGCUCCGUUCAAGAAGCUUCCGGAUUCUUCCCCCACCACCGUCGUACGUCGCCCACCUCCUCCGGCCGUCGGACGGCGCCCGCCACGUCCAGCCUUCGUCGAUCCUCAGUCUCGGGAAGACACUGAUCAGAGAGAAAACCAUUUUUGAGGCACGCAUGCACACCUGAGAGAAAAACACCCGGGCAAGGACGAUCGAGCAAAGGGGGAAAAACUUGCACCCCCUCAGCACGUGUCUUUGGAGUUUCUUUCUCUUCGGUCAUCCUCAUCCACCGGUGAUCAACAUGGUUUACCAUCGCCGGCCAUCAACUCACGUACGAACUGUAAGAGAACUAGAACAUAAGGCGACGGUUGAAAUCACUCUAGAGGUUUUGGAAGCAUCCAGAAGACUCUCUUCCAGUGAUUUCUUCUGAAUCCUCUCCCGCCUCUUCGUUUUCAAUCGUGUUUUUGACCGUGAAGACUUGAAGCAAUUCGUGUUCGUCUGAAAACUUCAUUACCGGUGCUCAUCCUCACCAGCGACGUUUUCCGGAUCCUCCUUAACUAAAAAUCCCAAAUGACUUUUAGGGCCUGGACCCCCAAAGUACAAGUUUGACCCAUAUGCGAACCGGAUUCAUAGGCCUAGCCCACACCCCUUUGGCGAGGGCUGGAUGAGGCCGCCCCUCAUCAAAUCAGGCUAGGGGCCCUUACCAGCGGCUAGCGAAGGAAAGAGAAAAAGAAAAGAAGCAAAAGAGAAGGAAAAGAACGAGAAAAAAUUCAAAAAAAAAUUCAAAAAAAAUUUAAAAUUUUAAAAAUAUUCACGUCAGCGCCAAUUGUGUCACAUAAGAUGGUUGACAUUUAUGCCAACAAUUUUUUUAUUAUUAAAAUUGACUAGGUUGACUCAAUUAGUACCAAAGUGAAAAAGUUUAGGAUUAAAUUGGUCAAUUGAUAUGUUUAAGACUCAAUUGACAUCAAUGCUAUAAUCUUUUUUUUUUUUUGGGUACUUUUCUCGUUCACAGUUUGUAUUGAUCAAUGGCUAGGCUGUUCAAGGGCCGCUGCUCCUCUCAUUGCAUUAUAUUCCACACACAAACACGAAAGACAGAGAAAUAAUUGUUUUCAGCAUAAGUGGAUGACUGAAUUUUUAUAGGUUGAUAUGAUGACACGCCUUUGGCGUCGUGUGCCUAAUUAUUUGAUGAUGUUGCUUGCUCACUGGAUUGACAUUCAAAGUUCUAAGAUUACCUAGAAAGACGACAUUCUCAUUUCUAUGAAUGCCUUACGAAGCUUUUGAAAUAAUCAGACAGGAAGGAUCUCACAUCACCCAUGACUCUUGCUCUUAACAGAUGCUGAAAAUGUUACGGCGCUUUCUGUGGUUUUGCAGAACUAUGCCAAGAAAGAGAGAUGCAUAAAAGUUAGAAGACAAAGUCCCAAUUCAGCGGCAACUUCAAGUAAAAAACUAAACAUCACAUUCUUUGACAAAACUCCAGGGGCGUGCAAACCUUCAUCUUGAGUAUGGCAAUCGAGCAGGUGAUCAAUCCAACGAUGGAAGUUGACAGGUUUUACAUCGGACAGAUGACAUGAAAGUGCUCGAAAUCGAUGGCUGACAAAGCAAACACGAAAAUGUCCCUGUGCACAAGGUCACGGGAAGCCGGCCCAACUCAUUAGCUUGUCUAGCGACCAAUCAAUAAGCCUCCGAAGGAAAUCAGUCCAUCGUGUCGUACACUUAAUCAUAAGCCUUCGGAUGUACCUUUUGGGAGAGCCACGUAGCGCCCACGAAUGAGCCUCGUGGUCGGGGAGUUCAUAGGCGAAGAACAAAGCCAAGAAACCUCCACAAAAAAAAACAAAUAUCCAUUCCUUCCUCGGUAGUCUUGGUGGGUCUGACCGAUAUGGUGGCCGCCCCGAGAAGAUAGGCUAGCAUGAUCCCGCCUGACGCAACAUAAAUGCAACAUCCCACGGUCGGGAUGUGUUUCGGCUCUUGACGAUAGCUGUGCGUAAAACUUAGACAAAGAAGGAGUAUUGCCCCCAUGGAUAAAGCGAACGCUAUACCGUUCCAUAGCAUAAAGCCUUUGAAAGAUCCCUUGCCAGCAUGAAUCGCAACCCCAUCAUUGUUAUAACCUCCGGGCACUGUGAGAAGGCUGGUGAAGCUUAAUGUAGCUACGAGUCCUCCCACCAGUAGUGGAACAUCCAUAAUUCUUUUUUUAGACAAAUUAAAGUUAUCUCAGUUGGCAAUAUUACUUCCUGUGGUUAUAGAGACAGAUGAUUGUCCCUCAACAAAUUGCUUGUCUAACCUCUUCUUACCAUAUUCAAAAAACCAGCCUUGAAAGCCCGGAAUUCCAUGAGAACCUUCCAGCGGCGACCAAGCAUUCCAACUGUUGUCCCUCUAAAAAAGCACAUAAUAGAAUGUAUCAAUUAACGAGUGAAAGUUUUCCAAUAAAAUACUUCAAGACCCUCACACCCUCAAAAUCCAUUUAUAACACAUAAAACUUCUGGCAAGUGCUAAGAGGUCAUGGAGAAUUCAUUCAAGUAACAUCUUUUGGAUAAAGGUAAAUGGUAAAUAACACCCGUAAAGAUUUUCUGAGAGUAAACAAUUACAGUUACUAGGAAUGUGCAAAAUACCCGGGAAUCGCCCGAACCGCCCAGAACCGGACCGGAACCGCCAAAAACCGGCGGUUCUUGAGGGAACCGGUCCGGUUCCCGGUUCCAAUUUAUGGGAACAGGUAGGUACUGGUCCAGUUUCCGGUUCCAUAGGCGGAUCCGGCCGCCCGCCCGCCCACCCACCUGAACUGGACUAAUUAAUUUUUAAUAUUAAAAAAAAUAUUACUUAAACAAACCCCAGAUCUCUCUCACUGUCUCUUGCUCUUCGUCUUCGGUUCUGUUCUGUUCUCUCUCUCUCUCUCUCUCUCUUCCUCAGUUCCUCCUAUCGCCCUUCCUCCCCGAGCAUUGAUGCCGCCGCUGCUGCUCCUACGCCACUGCUAUCUACCCCCUCGCGCCGGCUGCCACCUGCCACAGCCUGUGCUUCGCCCAGCAGUGACCCGCGACGCCAUAGCUCACCUCCGCGCCGACCACCGCACCAACAGUCGCGAGCGCCCUUCACCCGCUCGCCCGUCACCGUGAUCGCCUUCACUUCUGUUGCUUUCCGUCUGAGUACCAACUCCAUUGCUUCUGCUUCGGGCCCCCUCUACCAGCAAUUUGACGUCGUUGUAGCCCCUACAGCCUCGACGACCAAUGCCAGCAAAUCCCAAACUGGUCGCUGUGUCUUCGUCACUGCUCCGCCACCCCUCCGUGCGAUCCCUGCAACCCCUACGACUUUGGUUUCCCUGUCUGUUGCUGGUUUGUCUUGCUAUUGACGCCACACCUCCGUCGAUUUGUAAGUGUCCCCCCAAUCUCGCACCUUUCCUUGUUUUUUUUUUCCUUUCGUCUCCUCGUUCGAGGUUUGUUGCACAAGGAAUUUGAUCUCUUGCCACCAUUAGAAUUUGCCGAUAGCUUGUAGAAUUUCGGUGGUAUGAGUUGCAAUUCAUGAGCUCUGUUGAAUGUUAGGCAAAGUGAAGCUUAAAGGAGGGAGCUUUAUCACUGGGUGGGUAGCUUUUCUCCUACAUAAGUUGGGGAUUGCAGCUGGGGGCUUCUUACUGGAGUUGAUAGCUCUUGUAGCUAAAGUUUCUUCCGCGUGUUGUUUGAGGCAGCAAUUAUGUAUAUGAAGCCCAAUCCAAAGCUGCAAUUUUGGUGGUUCUUUGGUCCAUUGUGACUUUUUCAUAGAUUGUGUGUAAAACAUAGAAGCUUUGUUGUCCCUAACAUUAUCAUCGAAUUUCUAAGAUGAUUUGGGCAGAAUUUUGACAUAAAAGAAUUCAUUGUUGCAUCUUAUUCAUAACUUCCAACACAUCCUCUAGUAGGCUUGGCAAAAUGCAGUUAAGGAAAGUGGCAAUGGGAAAUCCUGUCUUAUAAAUUUUUCCUUACUUUUACCUAUUGAGAUCUAUGAAUUACUAGAAGUAUAGCAAAUAUUCCUAGUCUCUGCAGAUUGCGUGGAAAUUGUCCCCUUCCAUAUUUUGCAAGUUUUCUAGGUGCCAAUCUUGUUCCUUCCCUUGUGCUCAUUGGUUCUAAUCAUCUGGUACUCACAAGAUUGCACUUUUGGUUGUUGUUUAUUUAACUUGUGUUGGCUUGAACACAGGGACAUGGAGCUUGUGCUUUCUUUCAAUGGGCAGAUUCUCUGGCAGAAAAUGUGGCCUCCAAAGAUGUUGCGACUUCUGUUGUUGCAUCUCUGGAAGUCAUGGAAAUUGAGUCAACAAUGGCAUAUGCUACUAAAGAUUACGAGGUAGAUCCAUUAUCGAUGAUGGAUAGUGAAGAGAUUCAAGGAGUCAUUUGUAGAUUCUCUGCACCGGAACGUGAUGUGAGGGGUUUGGAGAGUGAGAGUUUAACUCCCGAGGGCGAUUUGAAUACUCAAGAAUUGACUGUGGAGGAUGUGGAUUUGGGGGAGUCUACUCCAGAGCAGCUUGUUUCCUGUCUAACAUCUCUAGCUAGUCUUAGACAACAAGAAUACUUGAGGCGGAUACAGUUGCUGGUGGCAUGCUUGAUGGAAGUAGAGUUACCCUAUGAGUCAUCUUGAGGGUUUUUUCCCCCACCGCACUUGGUUUUUUUUGUCAUUUACGUGUAGCUGACUGUUAUUUAAUGUUGAGCAAUCAUCUAUUAAUCAGCUGCUGGUGGCAUGCUUACUGUCCACAUCUCCACGUACUUAAAUUUGGUUUUUCUUUCUUUGGCUUGCUUUGAUGUCAUGUAGUCGUUCUAUGUUGAAAACCAAAAUUGUUUCGUGUCAAGAUCGGUUCCAUGGAUUCACUCGGGAAUCGGAUCACGGUGAUCCGGUUCCUGGGUGGAUCCAUGCAACAAAUAGGUGGAUCUCAGUUCCAAUUUUUCGGAACUGAUCCUCAGCGAACGGUUCUCGGUUCUAGGUCAGGAACUGCCCGCCCGGACCAUGCACACCCCUAACAGUUACGGGUAUGCUAUCCCAAUCCUAAUGCAUUCUCCAUUUCUUUCCUUUUAUUUUCUUUCUUUUUUCCCCUUUUGGCAUCGCCUAAUUUUAGAGAAUCCCAACAAAAAAUGUUUUGCAAUGUUUUCGAAUUAACUAAGAUUUAGACAAUUACUUUUGAACUAGUUGAAGACCCGCGUGUUGUCCAGAUUUGAAACUUAUACUUACUGAAAAUUUUUGUUUUGAUAUGAUAAUAUGAUAAUAAAACAUAAUAUUAACAAAAGCAUAUGUAUUUAUUUAUCGACCAAUCAACAAAAUUAACUAAUUUGAAACGUCGUAAAGUAAUAAACAGAAGCAUUGUAUAUCGACACACAUAUUGGAACAACCAUAAUGACUCCUAUAAUGAGUUUAGAUUUAUUGACUAUUAUAUCCUAUAACAUCCAAGACAUUGAUAUUGAUCGACCCAAAAAAAUAUAUUGAUAUUUUGUUGUAGGAAAGAUUAAUGAUAGAGAAAGCCCUCUUGUUUUUGUCCAAUUAGUAAUGGCUAGUUUGAAGCAGCUACAAAUAGAAGUCAAUAGAAUAAAUAAUUCUCAUAAUGGAUAGUGCUUUCAUUUUUUUUUUUGUGAGUAGAUAUUUUAUUUGAUGAAAAUUGGGAAGUCAAUGGAAUUAUGAUGAAUCGAAUAUAUUCAUUGGAUAAUUUCAUCUCUCCCAAUAUCACAUGAGAAUGCUUCCUUCUUUCACUAGAUCUAGAUCGGUAUCCUCCAUUUGAAACAGUUAUAAUGCAAUCGAUGGAAAGAAUUUUUCUUAGGGACUACAUUGAAAAAAAUUUAAGAAAGUCGAGUCAAUUUUAGGAUUUCUUAUUCUCCGAAGGACCACUUGAGAAAAGACAAUUUGAAGGACAAAACAAAAUUUUGAUGGAAUAAUCUUGACUUUAACUCCAUUAAUGGAUUGAUUUUUCGAUCAAAAGUAAUGUGUUAGUGAAAUCUUCCUUUUUUUUCCUCUUUCUCUAUCCCCAUUCCUAUCGUGUAGGUACAACCUUUGAAUUAAUAGAAAACAUUUUCUUCUAUGUCUGUAUGAAUCGAUAUUUAUAAGGUAGAUAUGUUCCAAGUGCACUAGUUCAAGGGCUUUUAAGGUGUAUUGGAAAGCUUAAGGUGGCCUAUUUAAGAGAGCAUGGUUUAGAAUUUUUCGUAGAUAUUUCCAAAUAUUAUCUAACUAGCUUGACUUUUUGUUUAAGGUGGCUUAUUGCUGAAGGUCUUGAUCUAUUUUCUAUAGCCAAGAAAAGGAGUUUUGUUCGAUUCGCCAAACAUGUAAGCUUCAGCUCGGAAGCCUUGGAUCUGUUCGCACAGCCCAUGUCCAAUCUCAUUGAUCACAAGAGAAAAAGAACAGAAAAAUUGCUUUGGAAGGAAGCUCCGUUCCAUAAGCUUCUGGAUUCUUCCCCCACCACCAUUAGACGUCGCCUACCUUCUCCAGCCGUAAGACGGUACUCAUCCCCUCUAGUCGUCAUCGAUCAUCAUGUAAGAGUUUUUCUAAUGUGGGCCACAUUAAUUAAGAUUGUGAUUUACCGUUUUUAUGAAAUUGAUAUAAUAAAGUAAGAUAUAAAGUUUCUUAAUAAUCGAAUAUGGCUUGGCUUGUGUGUAUCGAAUUAAGCUCAGCCAGUGAUGAGAGGGUCCACCAAAACCCUAUAAAUAGCCUAGGGUCCCUUCUCUAAACCUCACUUUGGCCAUUCUAAAAUGUAUACACCCGCUACCUCACAUAAGGAACGUUUGUGAGGGACAGUCUCAUCAAGCCAAGGUAUCAAGAGAGAGUAUCGAGAGUGAUAGAGGAGAAAUUUUUAGCGUCGAAGGUUCGGAUUGCUGCCAUUUCACUCCAAGAAUCAUGAAUUCCAAAUCAGAUAUGCAAAUCUUCAUCUUCUCCUCCAAUGCGUUCGAGUUUCUAACAAUGUCGAUCUUGGAAACUGUAUCGACGGCCAACACAUCAGUCUCAAGGAGACACUGAUCGGAGAGAAAACCAUUUUUGAGGCACGCAUGCGCACCUGACAGAAAACAGACGGGCAAGGACAAUCGAAAAAGAGGGAAAACUUGCACUCCCUUAGCGCGCUUCUUUUGAAUUUCUUUUUCUUUGUCAUCCUCAUCUGCUGGUAAUCGCCAUCGGUUUACCAUCACCGGGCACCGACUAACGUAUGUACUGGAAAGAGAACUAGAACAGAAGGCACCGGAUGAAAUCAUUCGUCUUUUGAGAUAUCAGAAGUUACUCUAUCAGAGAUUUCUUUUGAAUCCUUUCAUGCCUCUUCAUCUUCAAUAGUGUUUGAAGCCAUUCGCAUUUGUCUGAAACUUCACUAUCGGUGCUCAUUCACCCAAGCACGUUUUCCAGAUCUUCCUCGUGCAAAAUCGACCAGUAAUUGUGACCAAGAAUUCCUCGUCAACAAGGCUAUCUCUCUUCCCUACUAUCCUCUGCUUUCGAUGAAUAAAAGUAACUGAAAUGGCACGUUCUAGAUUAGGAUAGAAUCGGCUUAACUGCAUAUUCAUACUGAUGAUUGCAUCCUUGGACUAAUUUUGUUUGAACCUGAUCUCUAAUCCAAAGUUAUUGCGCUUUGUUUUGCUUCUCCGCCAAAUACGCAUAACGUGUGCAUCAGUGAGUUUCUGCUAAAUCCAAAGACAAACCAGUUUAGCGUGCACAUUAUUGAUUGAUUGGUUGGUCGGUAAGCAUGAUUUAGUAGAAUUUUACGCAUUGACCGAGACUGACACACCUAUUCUUGUUCUAUUCCCGUGUAUGUUUGUCAAUGGCGAGUAAAUGGAUUCGAGUUAAGGACUGGAGUGUCGAUCCAUUGAAGCAUUCGUUUCGGUUUGUUUCUCCAUUCUUAUGUUCUGUCCGUUUCCUUUACUGUUGCGAUUGCGGAGGAUCGAGUUGAUGGUGACAGAGGACGGCCGUAGGCAGGGAGUCUAUGAAUGGUACUGUUUCACGGAUGUUCUUGAUUUUAGUGUUUCGGGUCUUGAACUUGACAAGAAACGAUUGGGCUGAAUCUGGUUCAGGUGAAUUCGGAUUUGAUGAGUUCUUUUAGGGAAUUUGGGCUUAAUUCGACUAGUUAAGUCCAAUUCGAUUUUUUAGGGGAAGAAUCUAGAUAGAUAUAUAGCCCAAAGGACUUUUACGGCCCCGACCUCAAAAGUAUAAGUUUGACCCAUACACGAACUGGGCCCAAGGGCCCAGCCAGCGUCCCCUUAUAUAAAAAAUAAUAAUAAUAAAUUUUAAAAAAAAUUUGAAAAAAAAUAGAAAAAUAUAGAAAAUAAGAAAAAUGGUUAGAAAUAGGGGCCUUGACUAGGCCGUUAAUUUCCAGCACUAGAUUUGGCUUAGUUUCAUUUAGUUAGCAUAUAUAUAGUUUAAAGAAUUUAGUAACUUUGAUAUAGUUUAGUUUUCGCGUAUUGAUCUUUUGGACAAGGAAUUGGAUUCAACUCUUAUUUAGCGCAUGGGGAUUGCUGUAUGAGGGACUUAAUGAUGAUCCUUUGCUUGAUACUUUAUUGAGUUUACUUCUUUUUACUUUACUUUAUCAUAUCGAUUGUGAUUGUUUAUUUGCUCUUGAUUUUGCACUUAUGGAUGGAUAUCGUUUAGUGGCAUAGGGUACUAAAAUGGUUAAAAGAUUGCAUGAACAUCUUAGGUACCAAACCAAUCUAGCUAAGGUAUUGAAAAAGCAUUAGGUAGGCAAUUAGUGUAAUCAAAUCACCAAUUUUAGAAUAUCUAGUUGCGUAGAAAGUGAGAUAUUUUUCCAUAUCUCAAUUGGGCUAGUGGCAGCUCCUUCUUUUAGGUUAAAUUGCACCAAAACAUUGAAAAUUCUAGAGUCGCGUGAGAUAAGGGUUAGGGAGAACUCGAGCUAUCAGGUAACCAUUGGUCCACUGUUGGCAUUAUGUCUAAAUCCGUCUUUCUCUGAACAUGUCGGGAGGGUCACAACACUCUGGAAGCCAUCUUUAGAUCUCUCUCUCACAUGCAAAAACAUAUAGUACCGUACUUGGUGGAUGAUGCAACUUUAGCAAAUGCAUGGCAACAGAGACGGUUUCUAGUAGUUGGACCCCUAGGCUUCAGGGUUUGUAUUGAAGAAUGGUUAGGUUGUUCGAGGAUUAGCCGCUACUCCUCUUUGUGCAUUGGCGAGCGAUGUAUGUGUUCUACGUACGAACACGAAAGAAAAAGCGAGAUGAUUGUUUUUGGCAUCACUAUAUGAUUAAAUUUUCAUAGGUUGAUAUGGUGAUACAUUCUUAACUUUGUGUACCUAAUUAUUUGAUGUUGUUACUUACUGGAUUGACUAGUAAGUUCUAAGGUUACACUGAAAGAUGACAUUCCCAUUUCUCUGAAAACUUAUGAAACUUUUGAAAUAAUCGAAAGGGAAGGAUCUUGCGUCAGCCAUGACUUUUGCUCUCGACAGAUGCUGAGAAUAUUAUGAUAUUUCCUGCAGCUUUGCUCAACCAUGCCAUUAAAAAGCAGUGUAUAGAAGUCAAAACCAAGUCCCAAUUAACGGCAACUUAAAAAUAUAUGGUAGUAAAUAUCACAUUUUUCGGCAAGCCUUCAGCUGUAUACUAACCUUUAUCCGAGCCGACUUGUAAAACUUAAAGAAGAAAUUUGGCGUUGGUAAAUGCAUUACAAUAGUGCUAUCUUACUAACUUUUAACUGCGCUCACUUGUAAAAAUUAAAUGGUUUGGUAACUUAAUUCAUUUGACAUUGAUGUCUUCAUUACCAUGUCAGGAACUUAUUAACCUAUUACUCGAUCUGCUCAUAAAUUUAAAAGUUGUUAACUUCCUUACGAUGUCGAUAAUUUAUUAAUCUCUAUCAUGUCCACCUGUAAAAUUUAAAAGAAGUUUGUAACUUACAUAUCAACUUGGUGUUAGUAAAUUCAUUACAAUAUACUGGAAAUUUGCUAACCAGUAACUUGAUUUGGCCAAUCUACCACCGUUGAAGAAUGUUCAAGAAAUUCAUAGAAAUUAUAGUAAUUGUAAUCGACAGUAAAGACAAAUAAAACUCAAUAUAUGCCAUGGAAAUCUUUUUUUUUUAAUUGAAAUUCUGCAAAAUCCGAUACCCUUGCAACCAAACAUCUAUCAACAAACAUUAGACAAUACCAAUUUGGCAGUUCAACCGCAAUCGCUCAGCAGCUGCUAACCCUCUUGGCUUUCAUUUGGUCAACUGAGAAGCCGUCGAGUUGUAUAUCCUUCACAUACACGAAAAGCCUCAACUUGUUGGCCUUUGCUGCUCUCCAGACAUCUUUGAUAGGGUUUAAAUCAGACGGCUGACAUAAAAGUGCUCGAACUGACAAGGCCAGAAGAAAAUCUCCUGGGCACAAAGACAUGGGACUGUAGAACCGGCUCAAUUUAUUAGCAGCUUCCCUAGAGUAUUUUAUAUUUAAACAAUAAGUUUCGGACAUAUCUUCCCGGAUAGUGAGGUGGCCGAUUUACUAUAGGGUCAAGUGAAUUACCGAUAAUGUACAUAAUCAUGAUACAUCCGCCAAUGAUAAAAGGAGAGAUUCCAAGCUUGAUGGUUCCGGUCAAUACCACAUACGUACCACAAGCAAAGGCUAGCACCAUUGCCCAUAUCGCAAUGAAAAUGCAAAGUCCCACGGGGUAGGUGUAUCUCACCUCGUAGCGAGGGCCCGGGACCCAAGGAUCAAAUUGUAUGAAUAAUGCCACGACUGAGAAAUUGAACGCUGUAAUGUUUAAUACCACAAAUGCUUGGAAAGCUGCCCUGUCAGCAAGAAUCGCCAUCCCUCGGUUGGGUCCAUCGUUGUUAUAUCCUCCGGGCAUGGUGAAGGUUGCAGCAAAGGUCACCGUGGCUAUGAGCGUUGCCAUUAAUUGUUGAAGGUUGAUCAAGUUUUUUGUUGAUGAAUCGGAAUUUUCUCGGUUGGCGAUAUUACUUCCGGUGAUUAUAGAUGCACCUGGUUGACCCUCAACAAAUUGCUUGUCCAACAUCUUUUUUAUUUUUUCAAUAACCCCACCUUGGAAAUCCGACAUUCCGCAAGAUUCUUUUAAUAGAUAAUUAACUUUGGCAGCACUGCAGCCGACCUAAAAAAUUUACAACAUGUAUUAAUUAAAGGGUGAACUCUUCCGGCGAAAUACCUUUACGCACUCAAAUUUCAUUUAUAAACAACAGAAAUCCCGGCGAGUCAUAAAAUAUUAUGAGGCAGAGGGUAGGUUAUCUCUUUUAUCUCAAGAAUUGUUUGAAUGGGGGCAGAAAAAAAAAAAAAAACAGAAGGAUUAUAGCUAAUUAUUGUUAAACUAUUCCGAUAUUUUCAUGUGAAUGUGACAGAAUAGUUGUUUCAAAGUCAGAAGGUGCAGAUAAACUUUUUAAAUUGAGAUCCUCUAAAGCUACAUCUAAUCUAACAUUUAAAGUCACCGCUGUAUGGUUGACAUCCUAGCACAUAGGGGUCAUUAGACGGCACAUAUUUAUUCUCCAUUUUUCUUUUGUUCUUUUUUUCCUCCCUCUAGCUUAUCCCUUAACUUUGGAGGGUCCCAACCCUAAUGUUUUGCAUUGUUUUCAAGAUAAAUAAGAUGACAACUAUUUGUGAACUCUUUGAUGACCCGAUUGUCGCACGCAUUUGAAAUUUUAUGCUCAAUGAAAGUUUUUUAUUUGAUGAGAUAAUAUGAUUAUAAAAUCCAUAUUUACCAACUUCAUACAUUAUAUUGUGCACAAAUAAUAUACAUUUAUCAACCAAACAACAUAAUUAAUUACUAUUGAAUUUUACUUUAUUGAAUUCUUUGUUACUGAGGUCCGCUCUUCCCACAUGGAAAGAGACAGGUGGGGAGUUUAUUCUCCAACUUCUCAUAUGGAUAAAAGGUAAGAAGAUUCAGUUUUAAGUGUGGGGUUUGACUCUCACACUUUACAAAGAAAUAGGACAAAAGUCUGAAAAUGAUUCAAGAGUUAAACUAAGUCUGAAAAGGAGUAAAGAGUUAAACUAAGAUAGGCAACUAUAUAUAUAAUCAAAAAAAAUUCAGACAUAUAUUUGUUUUAAACUAUUUAUUUUAUAGUGUGCAGUUCAUUGUUGGCUAUUAAUUCAAUAUUUGGCCUUUUUUUUAUGCAAUUAGAUAUUAAAUAGGGCUUUUACAUGUGCAAAUGAGUUAGAUGAUUUCAGACUAUAAGUAUUAAUUAAAUUAUGAGGACUUCAAUUUUAAAUUUUACAGUAAUAACUACUGGCAAGAUAAUUAUCUUGUAAGACAUAAUUUCUAUAUGAUGAUGCAAAUUCAUCACCAUGUUAUAGAUCAAAACUAAAAAAUUGAAGACAACUUCUUUAGCUACUGCUUUCUGUUAAUCUUGCAAUACUCAUUAAUAUAGUUUAACCAAUUUUUUUCAAUAGUGUAAAAUAGUUAUGCUUUACUUUGUCACUAAAUCGUUUGUGUGCUCAUAUCCAAAUUAUAGAUUAAAUGGUUGUUUGAAAGAAAGAAAUUAUAUCCCUCCACAUUUAGUUUAUAAUAAGUGGAUAUAUGAAAGAACCAUAAAUACUUUAAAUCACGAAUAUAGAUUUAUUGGCUAUUGGACCAAAUUACAUUCAAGUUGUAAGCUAUGGGAAUUGAUGUCGAUAUUUUGCUGUAGGAACAUUAAUGAUAGAUUAGGUGGACAAAAAAGCCUUUCAAUUUUUGCCUAAUUGAUGUAAUAAUUAGUGUAUCGAUUAAUGUCAAGUGAAGCGGGAGGGAAUGAUUGUAAAUGGCUUAACCAUAAAAUUCAAUGCUACCCAAAUUUCUUAUUUAUGGUUCGAUAUGACAUCACUUCACUCCAAGUCCCUUUUUCAAAUGCGUCACGCUUACUAGAGCUAUCUAUGCUACUAUCAACUCAAACAAUCGACUAAGCAAAACAAAGUUGACACACUAAAACUCCAAUUGGGCUGUUUGUUUGCACCGACUAUCACCUGAGCCACCGUUUCUAAACAAUACUGAAGAGAUUACUCUACAAGUGAACAAAUCGAGCUCUAUAGGGUUCAAGCAAGAAAGCAUUCCUCAUCAUGAGCCAAAAAAAUGUCAAGGGCAGUCAUAUGAUCAUUGUUUGUGAUGAAACGGUCUAUCCUCUUGUCUCGUGCAAGUAUAUCUAUGAUGGUGUAGUCCUUAUGAAGUGCUGCCAAAUGCAGAGCCGUGUUUCCGUCAGUAUCUUGUUCCUUGAUAAGAUACUCCAAGUUCAGUUUCCGGAGUAUGUCCUUGACUACAUCCGCUUCUCCACCCAUCACAGCUGCGUGAAGAGCUGUUUGCCCGUUGAUGUUUAUGAUGUCCCAGGCACUAGGACAAAAUUUAACAAUCUCAUCAAUGACAAGAGAGUAGCCUAAAAACGCUGCAAUGUGAAGAGCUGAUUGUAUGACUCGAAAAAUCUGGAUGUCACAAAUAUCGUGCUGUAGUAGUUGUUGAACCGCUUUGAAUUUGCCCUUGGAAGCAACAUAAUGAAGAGGAGUCCAACCCAUUUCAUCUCUUUCUCUGAUCAAUUCCGGUCUGCUAUUCAGGAUUUUCUGCCAGCCUUUGCAAAUACAAUAUGAAUAUGUCAUGAUUCAGACUGUUUUUAGCAUCUUGACAUAGAUAUUAGAAUUGCAUUGUCUCCCGUGAAGUUUUCCCCUUUUUCUCCUUACUAGGAACGAAUAUGUCAUGGUUAUUACGAAGUUUCUCUAGUUAUCUCAUGUUAACGCACGUAGAAUCUGACCACCUUCAAUUCAGUAUAAUACAGAAAUCUGUAAAGGUUUUCUUUUUGAUAAGUGAAAUUGUUAAUAGUUGGUCAAGUUGAUCGACAAGAAGCUUUUCCUUUUUUCAGGAGGGAAUCUGCUCCGUCAGGGCUAGGAUAAAAGACCAGUGUUUUUUUCUCUGGUGCCAAUCAUAUUGCAGACCAAUCGUGCCCAACUCAAUUUCAUAGAAAUUUCAAUAUCGAAUUAGGACUUAGCGCCUUGUGCAUUUUCAAUGAUCGUUGCACUCCCAUUUUUUCAAGUCAUCAUGAUUUGCCUUCAAGAAUUAAAAAAAUUUACAUGCAUACCUUGAUCUUUCGGAAAUAUAAAGGGUUAACAUCACAAAAAAUCCAAACUAAUUCACAUAUAACAAAUUCACCAUAAAUUAAUUUUUUGACUAUAAAAAAUUCCAAAUUGAUAUACUUGUGACAAAUUUAUUCUAAAUUAAAUUUUUUACUACAAAAAACCCACAUUCUGAUAUAUCCGUAACCAUUUUAUCCCCCGUUAGUUUCUACUAAAUUGAUUUGAUAUCACAAAAGAAUAUCCAAAGUGGUACACCUAUCCACUAUCACAUGUCAUACAACUAAUUAAUUUGUAAUAGAUGUACUAGUUUGGAGUCAAAAAAAUUAGAUUUGGAUAGAUUUUUCACAAAUUAUAUAUAUUGCAUGCCAUGCCAUGCCAUUUAUUGUAAAAUGAAAGACAAUUAAUCAUAAACACAAAAUGUCGAAACAAAGAAGGACACAAGAAAAGAUAAUUAAAAAGAAGAAGAAGGUAAAACAACCGAACUGGAGAAGAGAGGAGAGGGAAGAGGCAGUGGUGCUAUGGUAGUGAUGGUGGCUGCUGCCGCUGCCACCGAAGGAGUCGAGUAAGAGUACAAGAUCUAGAAAAACACUUAGAAAGAAAUUAAGUGCGUGUACAAAGUACUUUCUUAAAAUAAAAUGAUUUUCCUGAAUCGAUACGUAAACCAGAAUGUAGUUGAAUCCUUUGAAAAACUCUACUCUUUUUUCCUUAGUCCGUAUGCUAAGACAGGACAAACCAGUUUGAACUUAAUUAAUAGUCAAUGAAUAUCCGGCCACAAAAAAAAAAAUUAAUGAAUAAAACAAUAAAGUCAAAUGCAACGAGAAUAACAAGUUAAAAUUUUAUUCAAAUUAUAACCCCCAUAUAUAAUUGCUCAAGAGCCAUGUCCUUGGGAAAAUGUAUGGCCUUUCAACACAAUAAAAGUAGCAAUCAAGAAAUAAAUAAAUAGCGUUGGCGGCCAUCACUGCUAACAUCAUCACGUCUCACCUAAAUGAAGCCUUGCACGAGAGAGAGAACUUUAGUUAAAAUUUGUUUCGGUGGAAAAAACCUGUGAUACUUACCAGCAGUGGGCGAUGGAUGGCAACAUGCAAAGCUGUCAAUCCCUUAGGGCCCUUAUGAGAGGAUGGCAACACAGAAGCACGUAAAAUCAGGUCCAUGAUAUACAAAUGCCCUCUAUCUGUUGCAAGAUAAAGUGGGGACUCAUCAGCAGCAUUAGUAACACCACCCAAUUGAGGAUCCUCUUCAAUCAGCAAUUUCACCACUGAUUCAUGGCCUCCUCUUACUGCAUAGUGCAGUGCAGUAUCCUUAUGCAAAUUUGGCUUUCUAAGUAGUUCUCUACAUGCAUCAACUUGUCCGUUUUCAACAAUGCUGUGCAGUUUCACCAUAUUAAUAAGGACUCGAACAGAUUUCCAGCUUCCCAUGGUGGCAGCAAUAUGUAGUGGAGUAUCUUCUUUGGAGUUACCCUGCCAAAGAAGAGGCGGUCCCGAUGGAUGUUGAAGAAGAUUUUCGAUGAAAUUUACUUGCUCGUGCUGAGUUGCAACAUGAAGAAUGUUGUUCCCAUUUGGCGUUGUUUGGUGAAAAAGAUCCUCUCCGUUUUCCGAAAUUGCUGUGAUUAGGGACUGAAACUCAGGAGAUUGAAAGUCUCCUGACUUUGCAGCCCUAUACACAUUAGGAUGCAUACUUAGGCUCUCUUUCAUUCUCGGAGUAAGCGGUAGUUGCAAGUGAACUUAUCAAUAAAAGAAAUGAGUUCAAAUAUAAUGAACUUCUUUGAGCUUUCUAAGAGGAUUGAUGUAAAUGGAGGAUGUUGGAAAGGAAAUUUAGUUGAGCUUCCCAGGAGUAGUAGAAAGGAGAUAUUUAUAUGCAUAUGGUGGUUCUUCAAUUGUUCCUAUGAAAUUGAAAUAAAUUUAUCAGGUUUAGAGAAUAGUUUCCAGAAAGUCUAAUUAGUAUGCGUUUUGGACUUCAUAUUUUACACAUAAGCAAAUAAUAAGGAAGUGGGGCAACUCUUGUUUAAAGGAAGGAGGACGAGUACAAAUAAAAAAUAAUAAUGAUAAAUAAAUUAUAUAAGCAUGAAAUUGAAUUAGCGGCUGCUUUCCACUUUUCAUCAAAAUCAGGACCAUCGAAACAUGCAUGAUUCAAACAUUCUUACUGAAGAAUCGAAUCUGAUUGAACUUAUUUAUUAAAGCAAAGACAUUCGUGGGCCCACGUUUAGCUGUAGAUUUCCUUUUGCUCCUUUCCUAUUUUUUAACAACAAGUCCUUAACUCUUUUUAGUCUUUAUGGUCUUAGUCCGUCGUGAGUCGUGCGUUCUCAUCAUGCUCCACGUGAUGGAAGAUUUACAUACGUAAUUUUUCCCCACUCGAAGAUUUAUAUAUGUAAAAUUUUAUGGGGAUCGAACUUAGGUAAAAAUUAGUUGACGCUCAAUUUGAGGAUCACCUCUACUCCAAGGACCAGACCAACCCAGUGGGUUCGGUCCGAUUCCAGGGUCAACCCGGGUUUUCAUAAUAUACUAUAACGAAUAAAAAUCUAAAAAAAUUCAUGAUAGAUCAAGGACUAUCUAUUAUUUUUACUAUGUGGAAGAGAGAUGUAAAAGCUUAAUUUUUUUUAAAAAAGAGAAGGCAACACCGAAGCUGUUCUGCUUUGUCAGCAAGGGCCAGUGAUCCUUGUUGGUGUGUUGAUGAGGGCCAUCGACCCUUGUUGGAGUGUCCAUGAACGAGGGUUUGCAGGAUCUCGUUUGUGCCACAUAGUAAAGACAACUGUGAAUUUAUAUGUAGAACUGAAUUCGUAAGACUAUUCUUGUGAUGUUCUGAACUUGUAUCUCUAUGGAACAUUAGCUACAAUUAUGUUUGUUUAUGGAAUUGGCAAUUAGUAUCCUAUCUGAACCCCAGUGACAUUAUGUGUAUGUAGAACUGAAUACUCUGUUAACGGCAAAACUGCAUUGGCAAGGGGUUAUUUUGUUUAACUUAACUUCUUCUUCUUUUUCCCAUUUAUGUUGGUCUAGACUUUGCUCCCAAAUAGGUGCCAUCAUUAAUCUUUUUUCAUUCAUUAGAAAAUGAAAUUAUUUUUGUUGAUUUACACUUUCCACUGUCUCUUGCUGUGUAGAGAAAUAGGAGACGGCUCAUGGGACUCGUGGACUGUGCCAUUUCUAGAGCGGGCAAGCUGUCGACUCUUGCCUGUUAUCCAUGAUGAUUUGUAUAUAAUGAAUCCGUGACAAUCUGUUAUGUUCCUUGCCUUUCAGACUGACAUUGCUUGCGAGAAGGUGUAGACAGUUUCUGGUGAGAUACAUCGUCUUCUGGUAUCCUGCAUCUGAAGUUCACUUUCAGUGGAACAAUUUUGAUAUCACAGGUGAAGAACAUGAGCGGACUUAGCGAUGGCUUCGACAUAGUCGGGCUUUCUCAAGUAAUGACGUUGAAUGUCGAUCUUCACGUUCUCCAGAUUCUGUGUAGUAGUCAUAGACAAGUGGGGAAUUUGGUAGAUCUACUAAAACAGUAAUUCAAUUGGACUUGAAAUUGAACAUAUGGAGAAGUUUGUGAUCCUUAAUUUGAUGCAAGAGAAAAUCCGGCAGCUGUCAAUUGAAUAAGUGAGCAAAUUGGGUCGACUGCAUCGAAGAGCCUGGACUUAAACUGGCUUAAACUAUAGGGACAGGACUAAAUUUUUCAUGAUCUAUAGUUUGAAUAGUUUACAUGUUACGAAAGAGAAGACGUUGAUCAUAACUGCACAUUUUAUAAACAACAAUUUUACUUAAAAUAGAAUUUACAAUUUUAAGUUGUUGGGGUAGUGAAAAAGUUCAAAAUAAUAUCCUCAUGGAAAACUUGAAGUAUAUCUAAAGUCUAUGCAAAAGCUUUUGAAAGCUUGAGAAAUGACACUCACAGUAGCUAUUAUUUACCCAAAAACAUGGGGUUUAGAUGCUGCAAUGGUCAGCUCUUUAUAAUUAUUCUGUGCCCUUCUAUGUUGUACUCCAGUAAUUCUUCGGUAACAUAACCAACAUACUAUAUUGAUGGAGUAUAUUGACAACACAGUUAGCUCAAUAAGUGGCAAAUGGAUAAAAGAUAAUGUUGUGUAUUCUUAUUGUCGUCUUUAUCCUGUUACCGAUUACCUAGGGUAUGCAUGGUAACGUUUGGGGACCAAUUUCUUUUCAAAAAUGGUUCUUUUCUAUUUUUAUUCCCUAAAACAAUUUCUGAGUAAAAUAAUGCGUUUGGUAACUAAAUAAAAUUUUUAUUCUUGAAAUAAAAAAAAAAAAAGGAAUAUGUUUGGUAUGAUACAUAAUUUUUUGUAUUUUUUGUUUUUUCUUCUUGCUCACCAGCUGCCAUCAUCGACUAGCCGCCGCCACUGGCCACCUGUUGAUCGCCGUUGACCAACGAUGGCCGGUGGGGGAGCAGUGGUGGGUGACUGCCUGCCAACGGUCGACGGCCGACUAGCAGCGACAAUUUGCGGCGAUCGGCAGGUGGCAAUUGGCGGUGGGUUGCAGUGGUGGGCGGUGGCAAGCGGCAAGCAAGAAGAAGAAAAGAAAGAAAGAAAAGAAAAAAUUGACUUUAUUUCUAGAAAUUGUUCUUGAAAACAAGAAGCUACUUUUUUCAACUUAUUAUUUUUGUUCCAAAUCUAUUCCCUGACUACUUUUCUCUUCUGGGAAAUAGAAAAAUUAAUUGACAUUACUAAAUGGAUUUAUUUUAUUUUUUUGUUCUAAGAAACAAAAAAUAAAUAAAUCGAAAAAAAUAAAAAAGUUACCAUAUAGGUCCCUAGUUUCUCAUGUUCAUAGUUAGAGUUGUCUAUCUACCGUCAUCGCAACUUACUUGCCUCUCUCACCAAGCACCAUGAUUGGUCAAGGUGUUGUUGAAUUUUGUGAUGGAGCAUCUUUAGUGAGAAAAAGUUCUAAAAAGAGUGAAUUACACAGCUUCGUGUCAUGCAUUCUUUCUUUUCAAUAUUGAGGUGAAAACAUAUAGAGAUUCAUUAUAAACAGUUCAUAGAUUUUAUUCCCCUUUUUCCUUUCACAAGUCAUAAUAUUCUUUAUUGUACUACCGACCAACUUUUGAGAUAAUGCACAGAAGUUCUCUUUGUUGUCUGUUGUUUCUUUACAGAUGUUGAUUCAUAAAACUUUUAGUCCACAAAGAAAACAUGAUUCCAUGUUGUAGAAUGACAAUUUGUUAAGCCAUGCCACCAUUGUGUAAAUUUCUGCAACUACUACUUUGAUCCUAGAAGUGAUGCUUGACUGCAGUAGUGGGCCUUUUAACAGCAAUCUCUUCCUAUAACAUUUUGUCGGUGCUAGUAAUGCUGUGGGCCUGGACUAAGAAUCUUGACUACGUUGGCAUAACUCAUCUGAAGCUACUUUUUUAAAGCAUAAUAUAGAGGUAAGAGUAUAUAGAAAGAAGAGGAACAAUAUCUGAACAAUAUCUUGACAAAUGUCUAAAGAGGAAUCAUUGAUUGGAAUGAUUUCCAUGGUGUAAAAGAUUAACUUCCUCAUAGGGGAAUUUCAAGUUUUAAGGAUGAGGCAAUUAACUGUUGAUCACAAGCCUUUUGAUGUUUACUUUAAAUUCGUGUAUUUCAAAGGGUGUGUAGUACAUUGCUGCGCUAAUUCCCCAUCUCCAACUAGCUUGCUAGAUAUUCUGGAGAAUUUUGGAUGGAACUUGGUGCUUAUCUCAUUUUUCCAUCUUUACUAGUCGGAUAUCUCAAUGAUUCAUAACAUGUAUUUUCCUGCACUGCAGACGUGAAAUAACAUACUAUAACAAAUUAAAUCAACUGCAGAGCUUGGUAAGUCUUUCUUGCUACAACCAUACCUGAUGUAAUUGAUAGAUAUGCUGACCUACCUUCUUGAUUGUGGUCCUUUUUGCUAUUAUUGGCAAAGGAAUAUUACUUAACCAGCAAAAAGAGCCACAUUAUUUUUCACUCUUUCAGCAAAAUUGAAAUUUACGUUUUGUUUCAUGAAAGGAAGUGCGGACGAUAAAAGACAAAGGGAGUUGUGAUAGGACGAUAUCAUAUCAUGUCACAUUUAGAAUUUUUUAUGGAAAGUGAAAAAUUAGUAGACCAUAGAAAAGAAGUGUCAGUCUAAGUAAAGACAGUAAAAAGGAAAAGUAAAGUAGGAUGAAAGAAAAGAAUAAAGUUAUCUAUGCUUUCCAUUUGUGUGUGGGUUUUUUUUUUUUUAAUUAAGUGGACAAUAGAGGAGUGAUCAAUAAAAAAUUAAAGGUUUUUAAAAAAAAAAAGUAAUUUAGCCCUAAAUUAAGCAUAAAAAAUAUUGCAGUUCCUUGGUAUUAAUUGUUCUUUUUUUUUUUUUUUUGAGGUUUAUGCCAUUAAAAAUUUGAAAUCUUUAUCCUCUUGGUACGUUUAUCCAAAUUAAUUUUUGUCUCAUAAAAAUGCAUGACACUUUUCUUUUAAACUAUAUAUAUAUAUAUAUUUUGGUAAGGUGUCUUUUAAACUAAUUUUUAUCUCUCAAAAAAUCCCAAAAUUGGUAACUUGACCGAAACUUACCCUCAACAUUAGAUUCUAAACUGUUAAAGGAUGUUAGAUUUGGGUUAGGUUAUCGGUUUGAGGUAAUUGUGUUUUGAGAAAUCAGUUUGAGAGAUGAAAAUAUAGUAUGGGAAAAAUAUGUUAUAAAAAAUCAAUUUGAAAUUUUUGAUGAUUGUAAUCCUAUUUUAAUUGCAUCUUGUAUGGUGAACCAAGACAUGCACAGAAUUGAAACAUUUUCUAAGCAUUAUAUACGGAUGAUUAACCAUGUUGAAUGUAAUACUGAGGAUUACGGAAAUCAUCAUCUUUACCGAGCUUCCUCCCCUACAAUCUUAUGGUAAACAAAUAGCAAGAAGAACCAACACAAUAAAUAGGUAAACAAACAAUAUAUAUGUAUAAGGGGUCUAAUUUGGUCUUGAUCUAUAUUCUAUAUAGCCCACAAGAGGAGUUUUGUUGGAUUCGCUAGACAGGUCAGCUUCAGCCCGGAUCAGUUCGCACGGCCCAUGUCCAAAUUCGUUGAUCCCGCGAGAGAAAAAGAAUAGAAAAAUUGCUCUGGAAGAGAAGCUCCGCUCGAGACGCUUGUGUAUUCUUCCCCCCGCCACCGUUGGACGUCGCCUUCUUCCUUUGGCCGUCGGACGGUGCUUGCCUCCUCCGGCAGUCGUUAAUCAUCAGUCUCAGGCAGACACUGAUCGGAGAGGGAACCAUUUUUGAGGUACGCAGGCACACCUGAGAGAAAACACACGGGCUAGGACGAUCGAGAAAAAGGAAAAGCUCGCACUCCCUCUGCACGUCUUUGGAAUUUCUUCUUCUUCGGUCAUCCUCAUCCACCGGUAAUCGCCAUCGGUUUACCAUCACUGGACAUCAACUAACGUGCGUACUAAAAGAGGACUUGAACUGGCGAGGUUUUUGGGCGUCCACAAGUCACUCUCUCGGUUAUUUCUUCUGAAUCCUUUCCUGCCUCUUCGUUGCCGAUUGUAUUUGAAGCAAUUUGCGUUUGUCUUAAACUUCAUUACCGGUGCUCAUCCUCACCAGCGACGUUUUCCAAAUCCUCCUUGUGCGAACUCGACCGGUAAUCACGACCGAGAACACCUCAUCGGCAAGGUAAUCUCUCUUCCCUACUAUGAAUAAAAGUAACCGAAAUGGCGUGUCCUAGAUUACGAUAGAAUCGGCUCAAAUUCGUAUUCAUAUUGACGAUUGCGUACUUGGACUGAUUUCGUUUGAACCUGAUCUCUAACCCGAUAAACUGAUUUUGUCUGAAUCUGAUCUCUAACCUGAAGUCAUCGCGCUUGCUUUCACUUCUCCACCGAAUGCACAUAACGUGUUUGAUAAAAUGACUCGGAAGUGUAUCAGUGAGUUUCUGCUAAAUCCGAAGACAUACUAGUUUAGUUUGCACAUUAUUGAUUGAUUCGUUGGUCAUUAAGCACGAUUUUGUAGAAUUUUACACAUUGACCAAGACUGACACACCUAUUCUUGUUCUAUUCCCAUGUAUGUUUGUCUCUGAGGUGAUGGGUGGUGGUGAAUGGCGAGUAAAUGGAUUUGAGUCAAUGGCCGGAGUGUCGAUCCAUUGAAGCAUUCGUGUCGGUUUGUUUCUCCAAUCUUAUGUUCUGUCCAUUUCCUUUACUAUUGCGAUUGUGGAGGAUUGAGUUGAUGGUGACGGAGGAUAGCCGUAGUCACUGAAUUGUACUGAUUUAGGUGAAUACCUGUUGAUAAUUUUACUGUCUGAGCUCUUGAACUUCGACAAGAAAUGGAUCUGGGAAUGGUGGACUCGGCGUCAAGGAUGAACAACGAUCGUAAAAAGAGAGGAGAAUAACAAAAAAAAGAAAAUAGGCCCUUUUCAAUGGAAAAUAAGUUUAAUGCGGACUUGGUGUGUAUUUGUCAUGGGGAUGGGUUUAGUGUAGUAAUGUUCAGGAAUGGAUUUAAGAUGCGAUUGGGCUGAAUCUGGUUCUAGCAAAUUUGUAUUGAGAAAAUGUAUUGAAAAUCCUAAAAUUUAUCACAAAAUGCAAUUGAGUUCUAAAACUUUUAAAAAGUGUAAUUAAGUCAUAAAACUUAUCAUAAAGUGCAAUUGAGUCCUAAAUUUUUUUAAAAAAGUGCAAUUAAAUCUAUCUUUUCCUGAACGUAUGAGGAGGGAUGGACCACUCUGAAAAAGAUAGUUUUAGAGGUAAUUAAUAUAUUAUAAAAGUAAAGUCAAGUUUUAAAAUUAUUGUUAAUUAGUGUGAGUGCCGGAUCAAACUUUUACAGCUUGAUAUGGUGAUACAUCUUUGGCCUCGUGUGCCUAAAUAUUUGCCGGUGUUAAUUGCCGGAUUGAUUUGAAAGUUCUGAGACUAUAGAGAAAGAUGACUUCACUACUUCUAUGAAGGUCUAUGAAGCUUUUGAAAUAAUCGCAAGCAUCACCCAUGACUCUUGCUCUUGAUAGAUGCAGAAAAUGUUACUUCCUGCGGUUUUUGCGCAUCUAUGCCACGAAAGAGAGAUGCAUAGAAGUCGAACACAAGUUCCAAUUCAAUGGCAAAGUCAACUAUAUGCUAGUAAACAUCACAUUCUUCAACAAACCUUCAGCGGAGUACAAACCAACAGUCGAUAAUGUGAUGAUAACAACAAUCGGUCCCAAUUGUCAUGUAGGUGCUUUAAAAUUAAGCAAAAAUUAGGAUAUGUCGCUAAUGUGAUGAUAACAUAAAACAAGCGAUUUCAACCAUCCUUGAAUUGAGAGUUUUUAACUUCUCAUUCUCUCACUAAUCAUCAUUUCAAGAAUGGAUAAUACUAUCUUUAGAAAAAAAUAUUUAUAUUGGUAAUGCAUUGUAUAACUACUAUAUAAUUAAGUAAUGAUUCUGAUUGCUUUGCUUAAGUAAUUUACUUCAAAAGUUCCUAAUUCUCGACACUCGGCCAAAGCUGAAUUAGUAAAAAGGGACCUUAGAGCAUCACCUAUAUUUUUUCACCGCACAUUCAUCCGCUCCUCCACAGUAUGAGAAGUUAAGAGAUCCUUCUUCAUCAUUGGCAUUAGGGCACCAUUUUCUCCACUCUCUUGAUAGAGGCUUGAUGAUCAUCGCGGAUACUUAGCCAAGCAGUGGAAGCACUGUAGCCAAGUGGACACGUUCAUAAGUUGAUGGACCCGAGUUGUAACAUCCUCGAUUUUAACCACUAUUUUGGCCUUGACUAGUAGGUCAAAGCCCGAUAUGUCAAGAGCGAGACUUGGCCAUGAGUUGGCCCGAAGCCCGGUCAUGAGUCAAUUGGCCAUUCAAGGAUUGGUAACCCAAGGUUGAGUUAUAGAGUAUUUGACCAUAAGAAUUGGUUGUGAGACGAUCACGUACCAUCAUGGAUUGACGGACGGUCAUGGUUUGAUUCCGCUCAAUCAUUAUGCUGGUCAUGGACGACCAUGAACUAAUCCCAUGAUACCAUGAGUUGAUACGAAUGGAUCGAUUCCACAUGAUUAUAUGACAAUCAAUAAUCGACUAUGGAUUGAAUAAACUCAAUGUGGUUCAAUUUCAAAUUCAUCAUGAGUUGUGGUGUAGAACCUUGGACUAGUCAUAGGACCGGCUAUAGAACUAGUCGAUUGGCCCAAGGAUUGAGCACAAUUUUGGUCAAGUAGAACUGACCCACAAACUGACUAGAGGACCAACCGACCGGGCCAGGACCUAGCUAGUAAACCCAACUGUGACCCAUUUUCUCAAUAAAGGGGAUUUUGAAUUCUGUUUGGCCAAUCAAGCUGAGUUGUGUCUAGCUUUGUUUGGGCAUGGCUUAGGCAUGAACCUCAGGCUAAAUAAGGUUGUCGAUCGUGAUCAAACUCAAUUAAUCCCUACCCAGUGACAAAUCUUUUAAAACUUAGAUAUUUUCCUAAGGUGCAUUCAAUGCCUUUGGCUUGUAGUUAAUUAAUGCACAUUGACUAAGGGUGGACACUUGGCAUGAAAGACUUUUGCAUUUGAAGACAAGUUUGAAACUUGGACUUUGAAUCAUUAAUGAGGAGGACACCUAAGCCUAAUUAGGAGAUCUUGGAGGCCAAGAAAUGGACUACACAACCAUUAGAAGAAGGAGGAAGCAAGUCAAGCCUUCUUGGACAAGAUAAGAGUGGAUUAUAUACAUUUGGCUUCUAGUUAUAUAAUGUCAAGAUGAAAUGUCCAAGCUAACCUAAGAUCUAGUUGGAAACUUGGAAGACAAGGAUGCCCAACAAUUAAUGCUUCUUGACCAAGUGGGCCAACUAAGAUUGCUACCUUUGACUUUUGAAAUUACUGGACCUCCACUAUUUUCCAAUUUUACACAGAUUUUUGUGGUCAAAUUUAAAGAAACUUCCUCAUGAAAGUUGUUCUAAAUAUCUUUAUCUAAAACAUACUUAAAUUUCAUGUUUUUUCUGAGGUGAAAUGAUAGGGACGAAGGCCCAAUCAUUCACCGUCUGGAACCUGUCCCGUGUAGUGAAACGGUGACCAGGUUGCCUUCUCAAAUUUUUAUAAAAUUUUCUCUUUCAAAUCUAACCAUGAUUCCUUCAUGAAAGUUUUAAAGGACAUCUAUUUCCACAACAUAUAAAAAUUUCAAAUAGUUUUGUGAAGAUUUAGAUUUCAGAAUGAGUCUCUCUCUGAUUGUUGAAUCUGCUUGACGAACAAAUAUUUAUGUUGUGUUCAAUGAUAUUUUGCUCUUUGCACAGCACGAAUUUGACUUGACUUCCUUCAUGAAAAAUGUUAUUUAAGGUCUUCUCCACAAUAUAUUAAAAUUUCAUAAUCUUUCAAUUCCGUUUGAUAAGGUAAAGACAUUAAUAUAGGAAAUUAUUCAAAACUGUUUUUCUCAGUCAGGAGGUGUGAGUCAUGCCCAAGCUUGGAUUCAAGUCCUUAAAUGCAAUGUUGAGGUGUCCCAAGCUAUCAAGCUAAAGCCGUAUUCUACCUUGAGACUUGGUGACCAAGUUACCUUGCAUUUAAUGCUUCUUGAUUUAGAGAGGAAGUCUUGACUUUUAAGGCUUCAAGAAUAAGUUAGAAUUGCCUAUAAAUAUGAGGCAUCCCUCCCUCAUUCCCACAACACACCACCUUCCUCCUUCACUCUCUCAACCUCACCCUCACCAUCGCCCUCUCUCUCUCUUUUUCGUGGCCGUGCCCCUCUUGUCCAUUUGCUCGCUCGCACGUUGCUCCGUCACCUAGGCCGUUCCUUGAAGUGUGGUAUGUAGAACUUACUAAUAUUUGGCUAGGACGUUGUGUUAUGCUAUUCUGAGCGUGUGACAAGUCCUUGACUAAAGUUGAUUGAUUGUUUGUUGCUUGAAGUUUGGCCGUAUUUGCUUGGAUUAGUUUAGACCUUGUUCCUUGAUUGAGUUCGAUCCUUCUUUGAUGAGCUUUAGCUUAAGUUGCUUGGAAGAAGCUCGAUUUGUGUGUUUAUUUGAUAUGUUUUGGUUUUUUCUUUGAUACAAACCUACUUUAAAAGUGUUUUAUGAAAGCUUGCUAUUUCUUCACAAAACUAUUUCAAAUCAUUUUCACAAGUGCAUGUUCUAUUUCAUGCCCCAAGCUCCGAAAAAAGGUUUUGUCGGCCUUGACGUACAUGGGAUCACGAUGGAUUAGUCCUCCCUUAGUCUUGGUGCGAUAUCGAGGUAUAUCAUUCUCGAGCCAACUUUGGUACUAGGUCGGUGAACAUAUCACGAUGGGCUAGUCCUCUCAUGGUCUUGGUGUGGUAUUGAGGUGUAUCAUUCUCGAGCCAAGUUUGGUACUAGGUCGGUGAACAUGUCACGAUGGGCAUGUCCUAUCAUGGUCUAAGUGCCAUAUCGAGGUAUAUUGUUCCCGAGCCAAGUUGGUUACUAGACCGGUGCUCAAACGUGUUGGAUCAAGUCGUGAUCCUUGAUUCGUGCUUAGCAUGCUUAACUUCUCGGUUUCGGUAAGUCAUUUCACACACUUAUGCAUGGCACGCCUUCAAGUCCUUGAACUAAAAGAAAAAAUAAGAAUUGGAUUAUGAUGCUUGAUGCAUGGACACACGAUAGACUAAUUUAUGCCGUCGACCGAUAGAUUCGGUGACAAUGCCCCCUCACCAACGAGAUGCCCCCACACCAACGGGAUACCUCGUUAGAAGGACAGGAUGUUGCGAUAAUUCUAGCCGUCACCCUUCGAUUAGGGGACGUUGCCCGAUUAAGUUCGGAUGCUCGGUGGAUUUUGGAGGAGUCAAUGGAUUUUGACUGUUAAUAAAUGAAUAUUGUGUGCAUGAGCUCCUCACAUUAUGAAAUAGAUUUUGGUUAUGCUUACAUAUUAUUGAGUGAGGCGUGAGUUCCUCAUACUAUGAAAUGGAUCUUGUUUAUGCUUGUACAAUAUUGAGUCAGGCGUGAGUUCCUCAUGUUGUGGGUGAAUAUUGGUUUAUGCUUGCAUACCAUUGAUUGAGUAUUUCUCAUGAUUCAUCCAAGACAAAGCUUUUAUUUUGCUAUUGAUCUAUCAUCGACUAAUGUUUUGGAUGAGUUGUAUGCUUGUUGAUAGGCGAGACAUCCUCCUACCUGGAAAUUAGUGGGUUUUACUUGCUGAGUUUAUGACUUACCCCAUUGUUUUUCAUAAUUUUAAGCAUUGAGGCCUCCCACUAGUGUUGGAGUUGUAGUCUUGCUAGAGGAGCUAAGGUUUACUCGGCCUGUAGAGUUAGAAAAUGUAGUGGUUAUAAAUAUAACUGCCCAUGACAAAGGGGCCUGUAAAUGUAACUAAGGUAAUUGUAUGUUUUUAAAUGGGUGUUUUCCUAGCUGCUUGUUGUUGUCCGGGUGUUAUAUAUAUGCUUCCGUAUGUGCUUAAUGAAAAAGAUAAAAAGAAACGGGAUGGCGACUCGCUUGAGAUGUCGAGAAAAUAACCCUUGCUGCUCAUGACCCUGAGGAUGGAGUUGGGGUCGUGACAUAAGUGUUAAGAAUUCACGCUUUGUUAUUUGUCACUGCUUCAAUGUUAGUCUUUCUUGGGGUCUCUGGGUUGUUUAGGUGAUGCUGGGGCAACCAUGCAUUAGCAUUGGUCCCAUUCAGGGCCUAUUGCCUUUCACCUACCAUCAUCGUGUCCAUGCUUGGCCUUAUCCAAAGCGCAACUUUCUGGAGUUCACAUAUCCCCAUGUCGGAGGCUUAUCUAGUGGUGGUUCUCGGAAAUGCAAAUUCCUACACUAUGCACUGCAUUGAGAACAUUGAACAGUAGAAGUCAUUUAAUGCCAAUUGCGCUACUAAUUGUUUCAUGAGAAGUUGGACGAUUUCUUCAUACGUGACCUAGUCAAUGUCAACAUUGUGCACAGUCUUUCUUUCCAUCAUUUUAUUGGUGAAAGUCAAUGAAAGAGCAUGAGCUUUGAUGUUAGCAAGUAAUUCUGUGAUGGAGGACGAAAUACAAGUUAAUAGUAGACUAUAGAAGCACCGAACACCAACUCAGCAAUUCAAGUGAGAUCUGACCCCCAUGAAUCAAUCAACUAAAAAGGAGGUUUCUCUCAUUCUGAACUUUCUUGGAUGACUACUCUCAAAAGCUCUCUAGGGUAUUCACAAGUUGUGUACAUAAUAGACAUCAACAUAGAAUUAUAAUAACUAGUAAGUGCAAAAUCAAGGCCACAUUAGGGUGGGCCCCGACCAAGAUAGGUAGAUUUUAUCAAUUUGAUUCUUUUCUUUUUUUUUUCUUUUUCUUUUUUCCUCUUCUCAAAAGCCAUUUUGCUAUGAAGACUAAAGUUAUGGCAGACAAGAGAGGUUAUUUAAACACUUAUUGUUUGGUUUAGAAAUUGUUUAAUUAGAAUCUUUUAUCCUUUCGCUGAAAGAGAGUUGGAGGUAGAAGCUCCCUUUUUGCAAACAUCAAAAUUGUCAGUGAUAAGUUAGAUAAAUGAGGCAUAAGGCGUAAUUAUCACUUUGAUGUAGGAUGCCAAUGUCACAGGUCGGCGGUUCCUUGGCUAUGAAAUAACUUGAGCAGCGCCUGGUGAGCGGAAUUCGCCAAACCAACCUUCCUUCUAUAGUUGUUCCAGUGAACAAUAUGGUGAAUAGCUCUUUUAUAUGAGAUCGUACCUCGCCCAGCUUUGCUCGGGCGUCUAGCCCAUCGAGUAAGAGAUCAGAUCUCUUUAAGCUUAAUAAUUGGUUUCGGCCUGCUAUGGCCUCAUUAGGAGAGUAGCAUCAGGUCCUGACUAGUAUGUGUAUGGGUGGUGAACCUCGCCUUUAGAGCUCCUAAGUAAUAUAAUUUUUCUAUAUUAAAACUCCUAACACCAAUUGUCCUGAUGCCACUUCCAUGAAUCAGUUGAGUUCAUCUUCUCUACAUCCUCAUUCUUUACUCGAUAAUCCCAAGCUUCACUUUCAAAGGUUCACGGGUGUGGAAGAAUCAUAGACUGUGACACCGGCAUAGCAUUUAACAUCAUAUUCCUUUUUAACAGUUGGACUUUCUUUUUCUCCGUGCUGGAUUGGGAAACAAGUGACAAGGUUUGUCCUCCAUGCAAAACGUGUUAUCUUUACCCAUUCUUCACAACUUUGGUCUUUUCUUAUUCUUUGUUAGGAUAAUUAUUUUAAUGAUAAAGCUACCUAGCUUUAUCUUUGUUAGGUCAACUUUUUUAACAAAGCUUUCUAACGUGCUAGACAAAGACCAGAUUUAUGUGACUCUGAAUGAAAGGCACUGGAUUGAUUAGAUUCCUUAAGGUCUCCUUAUAUACUAGCUACACCCUCUCCACUGUGUUAUCUCCAUCUAAAACAUGUUAGCUAGCCUUUUUUUCUACACUUGGUCAUGCUUUUUCAAUGUCAAGUCAAAUUUUCACAUUAAGCUUUUUGACAUACAGGACAAAGUUUUUAGGACAAUGAGAGGAUUUAUGUGGUUGUAACUAAAGGGCAAUAGAUUGAUUGGAUUUCCAAAUUAGGUCCACUUAUAUACUAGCAAUACCCUAUUUAAUAUGUUAUUGCAUUGGGAUAAAUGGUCUGUAAAUUUCAAUUCAAUGUGUAAGGUGAUAUUUCAAUUUGGGCUAAAUAUAUAAUGUCAUAUCUAAACUUUUAAUUUGUUCAAUAUAAUUCUUGAACUUUUGGCCAUUUAAACUUUUUGAACUACCAUGUCUUGGCUGGAAUAACUAUAUCAAAAAAUCGUUAAAAGGUUUAGGAAUAAAUUGAAUAAAUUGAAAAAUUUAGGAUUGAAUUGGCCGCCAUGUAAUAGGUUUAAGACAUCGAGUAAGCUAGCCCUAGGAUGCCCUGGUUGAGCCAGGAUGCCUUGGUUGAGCCCGGAUGCCUUGGUGAGCUAGCGCCAGAAUGCCUUGGUUGAGCCAGGAUGCCCUAGUUAAGUCUGAAUGCUGAACUUGAAGCUGGAUGCCUUGGUUAAGCCAAGAGGGCUGGUUGAGUCAGGAUGACGGUAAAUGAAUUUGCAUGAGUGCUAGUAUAUGCAUGAGCAUGAUAUAUUGAUGUGUUCAUUGAUAUACUGAAAGUAAGCAUGUAUUGAAGUAUGCGAUGACGGACAUCUGCAUAUAGUCGAGGAUAGCAAUAAGUUUGCUAUUGAUUUGCCAUCAACAUUACAUUACGAGUGUUGUACCUAUUGGAUUUUGAUGAUGAGAUAUUCUCCUAGUAGAGAAUUAGGGAUUUUACUUACUGAGUCCAUGACUCACCCCAUUAUUUUUCAAAACUAGAGGUAUGGAGGAGUUGCAGUCUCAAUAGAGGAGUUAAGAUUUACUCCAACUUUUUUGAGCAUAGAGCAUAUAAUGAUUAUAAAUAUAAUGGCCUAUGACAAAAGAGCUUGUAAGUAUAACUAAUGUAAUUGUGUGUUUGCAAGUGGUUGUUUUCUUGAUUGCUAGUUGUUAUCUGGGUGUUAUAGGUACGCUACUGCAUAUGCUUAAUGAAAAGAUAAAAAGAAAUGGGAUGGCGAUACGCCUGGGAUGUUGCAAAAAUAACCCUUGUUGCUCGAGACCUUGAAGAUGGAGUCAAGGUCAUGACAACUCCUCUAUUGCAGCAUUACAGUCUCGUCGAAGAUCAUGUCUCUGCUGAUUAGAAAAUUGGUGCACCAUAACUAGUAGCCUUUCACUCCAUGUGCAUAACCCAAAAAUAUGCACUUAUUCACUCUCGAUUCAAACUUACCAUCAUUCGUAUAAGAAUUCGUAGGACAUCUAAAUAUAUAUAAUCCAGAGUAAUUAACAGGUUUCUCUAAGCAUACAUCCUUAGGAGUCUUCAACUCGAUAGUAGAUGAUAGAAAUCGAUUAAUCAAGUAACACACCAUGUUUACUAUUUUGGCCCAAAAUUUCUUGCUAAGUCCUGCAUGUGAAAGCAUGCAUCAAACUCACUCAAGCAAAGUUCUAUUAUUCUGUUUUGCCAUGCCAUUCUACUGUGGUGUCCCGGGUACUGUGCCGUGUCUCAUAUUCCUUUCUUUCUCACAUAACUCAGUAAAAUCUUUACCAUAGAACUCUCUACCAUUAUCGGUUCUCACGCGCUUGAUUUGUUUAUCUGACUACUUCUCAAUCAAUGUCUUAAAUUUCUUGAACUGAUUGAACACUUCAUAUUUGUGCUUCAAAAAGUUUACCAAUACAUUCCUCGAAUAAUUGUCAAUAAAUAUCAACAUAUAUUGGGCACCUCCUUUUGAAGGAACCAAAAACGGGCCCAAGACAUCUGAAUGAAUAUAUUUCAACUGGUCGUUUAGUCAAAUGAAUAAACUUAACUCGAUGUUGUUUCUCAAAGAUAUAGUACUCACAUAAGUUCAGCUUCCCUGUCUUUUGGCCCUUCAACAAUCUCCUUUCACUCAGCAUCAUCAUACCCGCCUCACUCAUAUGCCAUAAACGCACAUGUCAUAACUAAGUCAAGUUAGAGCCUGACUCACUUGAUGAAACUGUAGCGGUUUUGAUCAUAGUCUCUCCCAGUAGAUAAUAGAGAGAAUUCACUUUCUUCCCAUUUAUCACUAUCAUGACACCUCAAAAGAAUUUCAAUACUCCACCUUCAGUGGUGUAACUACACUCGAUGUCAUCCAGUGUCCUCAAAGAAAUAAGAUUCUUCUUGAGCUCUAGUACAUGCCUCACGUCUGUCAAUGUGUGCACCACCCAUUGUGCAGCCAAAUCCGAAUUGUCCCUAUCCCCAUAGCCUUGCAGGCUACAUUAUUUUCCAAAAAAACGCUACCACCAUCUAUAGUUUGGUAAGUAGUAAACUAGUUCUUAUGAAGCGUUAUAUAUAAAAACACCUGGAAUCUAGCAUCUGUUCGUCUUCUGACGAAGUAGUAUUCAUACAUAAAAUAACUUAUGCAUCACUAGUGUUCCCCCUGGCAACGUUCGCCACAUUGCUUGUGACAUUCUGCCUAUUAUCUUUAUUCUUCUGCUUUGCACAAUAUUUCCUAAUGUGCCCCUCCUCAUGACACUCAAAGCAUUUCACACAUCCCUUAGAUUUUGUAUGGUGUGAUUUCGAUUUGCUUUUAUCUCUGUUGCUACUAAGCUCUCAAUAUUGUUCUCUACCGCCGAAUCGUCAAUGCUUGCACUACUCCUUGCACCAAACCGUCAUCUUAUAACUUUCUCUAUCACUCCUUAGAGAACAAUGAGGACUUUAUCUCUUCUGAGGUAAUAUUAGUCCACCCCUGCAACAGUGAAUUAGUAAAGUGCUCCCAUGACUCUAAUAAAGAAAUUAACAACAUCAUGUCUUGUUCUUCAUCAUCAAGUAUUCUACUGAUGUUCUUCAAACCCAUCAUGAGUUUAUUGAAUUUAUCUAAGUGGAUUUUGAUAAACGUAUUUUCAGUAUAUCUAAAUUGAAACUUUCUUUUUAACACAUACAAGUGAUUGUUGAAACCUUUCUUCACAUAAAGUGCCUAAAGUUUUGCCUAUAAUACUACAACAUCAUUCUCCUUCAUAACCUCUAUUAAAACCUUAUCCAGCAAGUUCAAUAGAAUUGUGCUCUUUGCUCUUUCCAUUAGCUCUACCAUCUUAGAGGUUUUCAUUAUAAUCGGCAACUCAUCUUCAAUAUCCAAUGCCUUGGUCGAAUCUUAUGUUGUCAAUAAUGCAUGUAUCUUGAUGCUCCAUAAUCCAAAGUUGUUCCUCUUGUUAGACUUCUCAAUUUGAAAUUUCCUAUCAGACAUAAUUGCAAUAACAGAAUUUUCAAAUAAUAAUUAGACAAGCAAAAGCUCCGGAUUACAAUCAAGAAAUCCGAUCCUAAGCUCUUAUACCAAUUGUUGGAACAUAAUAUGUAAAAAUGACAGGAUCUUGCAAUUACAUCAACGUAAAAUCACCAAAGAAAUGAAUGAGAAAUAAUAAAGACACCAAAGAUUUAUGUGGUUCAAUCCGAGCAUCACUACCUACUUUCACGGGGAGAGCCAGUAGCAAAUAAUCAACUAUAAUCGGAGAAUUAGAGUUUAUAAUCACUCACAUGCUUGAGUGUUUCACACACUUAGAUUAAAACCCAAAUCCAAAGUAUUUAUAAAUAAACAACUCACUUAAACAUAAACUCACGACACAAAAUCACAGCACGUUCAAGCUCAAAAUAAAACGCUCUAUGUAUGCUGAAACCGAGAAUGCCGAUGUUCAUCUCUGCCCUGCGUGCAUGCGGCUUCACGUUCAUCUUUAUUUUGCGAUGCUCUUUUGGAUGUGCAACUCCUCAAGUUUAUUUUGUGCGGUGCUUACUUGCAGAAAGGGAAGAAAAAACCUAGGUGUUUUAUGUGUGCCCAAAGUAAAGAAUUAGACCUUGGGCCCCACUACUACAACAAAACCAACGCCUACAAUGAUUCUUCUUUUGUAAAAGGGAGUUUCCUUCUUUUUAUCUCUCCCGGCAAAGACAUCUUUGCCCCUAAAAGAUAAAUAGAUAAAUAAAAUAUAGUGUGCCCCCUUUUGUCUUGUAAUGGCAAAUCACAUCCUCCUUGCUUCCUUUUGUACGUCCAAAAGAAAGUCCGACAAUAUAAAAAAAAAAAAAACUUCUCUAUCCGAUUUGUAAUCCACUUAGAAAUCUUUCUCAACAAAUUCAAUGUAAUAAAUCAAUAUUUAAAUUCAAAUUCGAGACAUUAAUUUAACAUUUAUCUUUAGUCGCAAGUAUCACUAUCUCCUCGGAGGAUGUUUCUUGUAGGGUAAGGUCUCACACACGUUUCUGGGAUGAUUUUAGAUUAAUUUGGCACUAAGAUCCACCAUUCUCUAGUGGUCUGCUGGAUGAGUUCUCAAGGGGGUGAAGUUUCCAUAUAUCAACCUAGUUUUAUUUUAUUUAUUUAUUUUUAUUUUUAUUUUUUGCCUCGUUUCACAGUGUGGUACCUUCUACGUUCUUGUGGACGAUUUGAUCGAGCUAGUAGGGGUCUACUCUGACUACAUCCAGGUUUGUCUCGGUCUUCCUUGUCAUUUCUGAUUCACAUUACCCUUUUGCUAUAACGAUACUCGAUGAUAAGUUUGCUCAAAGUCUUAUCCAGGCUACUUUUUCUGCACCAUCAACAACUAACUCUUUACCGUUGUCUGUCUUCUUUCAUACUUCACUAUUAAACCGCAUAUUCUUGUUUUAUUUGCAAACCUUCAUACAAUAACGGGUUCACUUGGCGCUCAUCGGUUAGAAGUCUGGAACGAAAAAAUGGUGUCUAACUUUGCUAAGAAGAUUUUGAUCGAAACUGUAAUUCAAGCUGCCCCAAUACACCAUAUCUAAGUUUAAGAUUCUUAUCUUGAUUUGAAAAUCUGUCGAGCAGAAAAUUGCCUCAUUCUGGCGGAAACAAAAUAUGUCCAGUUCAGGAAUCCAUUAGGAAGAAAUGGGAUGUAUUAAAAACUAGGAAAGAUAACAGGGGACUUGCUUUCAAAGACCUUGUCACUUUUAACAAGGCAAUGUUGGGUAAAUGGGCUUAGAGAUUGUUACAUUUUCCUUCAUCCCUGUGAAGUUCAAGUUAGAUUUUAGAGUAAAUGGUGCAUCUCAAUUUCAAAUUUUAACAAGAAUACCAAAUAUUGACUUUUGAGUUGACUUUUUAAGGGUGUAAGCGGUCUUUAACACAACAUGCUGAGCCAUCUUGCAAUCCCAAUAUAUGACAUUGCGCCAGCAAUCUUGCCACUGGCACAUCUUUCUUUUGCAGGUGUACAGGCGUGUCUCCACCGGCCCCCUCACUGCCGGCCACUACCAGCCGAUUACAGCCUUCCUUAGCCGGUGACGCAUUGGACUUAACGGCCACCACCGUGCGCUGCUAUAUUACCUUUUCAUUCCUGUCAUCGUAUCAAGCUAGAGUCCAGCAGUCUGGGCGAGCCUUUGCAAUCCUUGUUAUUGUUCAUGAGCGCUAACAAUUUUUUUGCAGUCGUGUGGCUAGCAAGCUUCUUGACGAGAUUCCAAGCAAUGCCACAGUACUGAGGAACCUCUUAACAUGAUUACCUCACCCGCCGUCGUUGGAAAUUUCCCUUGCCGCUGGUCCACCUCUUGGAAACAAAUACGUUAAAAUAGGCAAUGCUUUCGACCGAUUCUAAUUCCAAUAUUUUAUUUUCGGAUUUGAAUUAUUUGAUUCUAAUCGUGAUUUGGUAAAAUUCUUAGGCAUUACCCAAUUAGGAGAGUUUCCAUAUAAAAUCGCAAUAAUCAUUAGUUUGAGCUGCGGUCGGAUAAUUUUUUUGAUUUUUUUAAUCUUGGUGAAUAUUUUAAUGUUUGUUAAACACCUCUUGCAGAUCUUGUCGCCGUUGACGGUUCACGAGACGGAGCUCAUGGUGGAGUACGAAUAGCUCGAGAGAGGAGAUGAAGUUGGGGAGAAAGAGACAAAGCGACACAUGAACUCCAAGUGGCCCCCUUGUCGGCCUAGACAACAGACGAUGGAGAGGCCUAGAUCGCUCUAUUUGUGGGGGCGAUGGCGGUUCAGCCGUGGCGUGGUUGGCAACAGAUGAGCCGGUGGAGAGAGACAGAGAGGGAAGAGAAGGAGGUGGGUGUUAGGUUUUGGUUAGGCUGGGACGGUUUGCCGUGAAGUAUAAUGCAAAUGCAUUUGACAUACAGCAGUCUAAUUGAUACUUAGAAAUACGAACAUCACCCACAUUUUAAUUAUGUUUGCAUGUCCAAUAAAUUCAUACUUAUAACCAAGUGAAUACUUGGUUGGAGGAAGUUUUCUUUAGCAUGGGGAAAGAAACAAAAACCUCACAUAUACUAAACGGAAGCAACUCGAAAACAAAGACCUCACACAUACUAAACGGAAGCAACUCGAAAACAAAGACCUCACACAUACUAAACGGAAGCAACUCCUUGUCUCAUUUUAUCACCCUUGGGCGUUGUCCGGCACUCCUUCCUGCUUGGUCCGAUUAUUGUGUGAUGCUCCUCACUGUUCGGUUCCUUUCGUGCGGCAGAACUUCCCAUACGCUUGGAAUACGCACCGACAUAUCACUGGCAGCGCCCCUGCGAGCAGCACAUAGCGGAACCUCACCGACUCAUGUGGCGUCACGGCAAAGAUUGCCGACGCAUAUGUCACCAUCAUCGAGGCCGUGGCCACCCAUAUCUCAGGGUGGAGUGGGAACUUGUAAGUGAGAUAGACAAUGACAAGUAGAGAAGUGGAGAGCGCGAAAGUGUUGGAGAUCAAGAACACAUAAAAGGCAAUUUGACGAGAUGCGUAGAUUGCCAUGCCGGCCGAGUGGCUAUCUUCAUUGUCUUGCCAUACCCCGCCAGGAGGGUUCACGCCUGCCUGGAAUGUGAUAGUCGCAAUCAGAGUAGCGAUGAUCAGCAGGAUGUUCCGCACAUCACCCGGAAGGUCAUUGUCGGGGUCGUACUGGAAGUAUCGGAACCAGUUUUCUGCUAUGUUUGUUGGCGGGGGACUCCUUUUUCUUCGAUAAUUAUUGUCAUUGCCAUUCUCCAUUUCAGGUGCCAUUUUUUUCUCUCUGAGAGAGAGAGAGAGAGAGAGAGACUUAAGACUGAAGAUGCUGGACUGUGUUUCGGUCGUGAAGAUGCUGGACUGUGUUUCGGUCGUCUUAGUUAUUAUAGGAAUGUAGAAAGAGAGAAAGAGAGAGAGAGAGAGUGAGGAUGCUCGACUGUGUAUUGUUUUGGUCGUUUUAGUUAAUAUAGGAAUGUGAAGAAUCAUAAAAUAAUUGAAGGAUGUGUCUGAACUUUUUCUUGAUGAAUCCAACCGUUCCGCCCAAAUUUCUUCUGGGACAAAAUAUCUUUUAUCGAAAAAUAUUUCUUUAGCUUUUAAUAAGAGGAUACAUAUUUCAUGACAAUUCCAAAAGGAAAUGUCAUAGAUAUACAAUGAAAUUGAAAGCUUUAUUAAAAACAUAAUUACAUAGACACAAAUUGGAAUUUAAUCGAUUACAAAGCUUGGAGAAUACAAUAACUUCAAUAAGGAUAAAGGUAAACAAACAAUGUCAGAAUUUAAUCAUUGACAAUGCUUGAGACUACGAAGAUAAUACAUCAGAAUUUAAUUGAUGACACAAUACUCAUAAUAAAAUACAUGCCAGAAUUUAAGUAACAAUGCGAAUCUAGAAAUUACAACUAAACAAUAUGUCGGAAUUUAAUUGACAAUGUGAGUAUGGAAAUUUAAAGUACAUUGUAUGAAAAUAAAAAUAAAUGAAAGAUAGUAGUUUUGUUUGAUUUGUGCCGGGGCUCUCGUGUCUGGUUGGUGGUAUUUAUAAUGGUUUUUGCCAUAACUUCUCUUGAGAGGUAUCCCAGCGGUUGUACUCAUGUUUCUUCAUAACCAAAAGUUCUAUGCCCAUAUUAUCAUAAUCCCAUAAUCGCCUCAUUGGCAAUGUUGAAACUAACGUUUUGCACUAAUGUGAGAUGAAUCAAACCCAAAGCUUGCUAAUCUAACAAUUCCCACUUUUCUUGCUUCAUAGAAUCUAGUUUCUCUCCAAACAAAGCCUGAUGCAAUUUUUUUUUUUUGAUACAACACAUCCUCGAUUUGCAUUUUCCAAAAACCAAAGUCGUUGCCAUCGAAUCGAUCAAUCUUCACAUUCCGCUCAUCUAUAUUUGUUCCAAUUGAUUCGCCAAAACCAAUAUCUAAUACCAAUUUUUAGGAACGUAAAUAUAUGAAGAGAAAAAUAGAGAAGAAAAACAAACGAGAAUUUUUACGUGGAAAAAACUUCCCAAAAUUAGAAAGGGAAAACCACGGUAUGCACUAGGCAAUCUUUCUACUAUUAGUAUUAGAGUUACAAGUUCAAGAGUUACAAGCUUCAACAUUAUAAUUAUAAAAGAUAUUGUCCUUAUAUAAAACAAGUCUAGGGCAUACACAAUUACGAUAGAAAGUACAUGCAUGCCAUUAGCAGUAGUAAAAGCCCUAUUAUUUGCUUUAACAUGACAAGAUGAGUGACUUCAUGGGAAGUGUCUACCCCCAACAAACUUUUUCUGUGAUUAAACAUUAUUUUCCUCUAUCAGACUCCAUAGCUCUAUCUACUUUUGCUGUUGUUCAAAGUUUAAUACAUGUCCAAGAACCUUUUUUGUGAGUGUACCCACGAUCCAAAAUUUUAUGAGACAUUGACUACGCAUCCAUAAUAUAUAUUAUAGAUUAUUUAUUUUGACCAUUUUUUUUUAAUGUUUGAGUCUUGAGUAGUGGUAGUAUCUCUUUGAUAUAGAAAUCAAGUACGUUCCUAUUUUCAAUUAGAGACAAACCUAUGUCUCCCAAAGCAAAUAUUUUUUUUCAUUCCUAUUUUCUCAUAUUUGACCUUCAUAGAACAUUAGCCUCAAUUAUGUCUGCGAAUUGGCAAUUAGUGUCCUACCAGAAUCCCAUCGACAUUAUGUGAAAGUAGAUCUGAAUUCUUUGUUAACAGCAAAACUGCAUUGGCAAUGGGUUAUUUUUUCUUUUUUUUUUAACUCAACCCUUUUUUAUGUAUGUUGGCCUAGGCUUUGUUCCCACAUUGGUGCUAUGAAUAAUUUUUUAUUAGUUCAUUAGAAAGCGGACUUAUUUUUGUUGAUAGACUCUUUCCACUCUCUGACUUUGUAAGAAAUAGGAAACGGCUCAUGGGACUCAUGGACCAUGUCACUUCUAGAGCAGGUAAUUUCUCAUACGACUAUUGCUUGUUAAUUUUAACGAUUUGCAUCUGAUGUCCGCGACAAUCUGUUAUGUUCCUUGCCUUCCAAACUGCCGUUGCUUGUGCGAAGGUGUUGACAGUUGCUGGUGAGAUAUAUAGUCUUGUGGUACCUGAAGUGUAUCUAUAAGUCUACACAAAUGCUUUUGAAAGCUUAAAAAAUGAAAGUUAUAGUAGCCAUUAUUUACCUAAAAACAUGGGGUUUAGAUGCUGCAAUGGUCAGCUCUUUAUAAUUAUUCUGUGCCCUUCCAUGUUAUACUCCAGUAAUUCUUGGGUAAUAUAACCAGCAUACUAAAUUAAUAUAGUACAUCGACAAAACAUUUAGCUCAAUAAGUGGCGAAUGGAUAAAUGACAAUGCUGUGAUCCAUGUAUUCUUACCGUUGUCUUUGUCCUGUUGCCGUUUACCUAGUUUCUCAUGUUCAUGGUUAGAGUUAUCUGUCUACCAUCAUUGCAACUUACCUGCCUAUCUCAGCAAGCACCGUGAUUGGUCGAGGUGUUGUUGAAUUUCGUGAUGGAGGACCUCUAGUGAGAAAAAGUGCUGCAAUGAGUGAGUUACACAUUUCCGUGUCAUGCCUUCUUUCUUUGCGAUAUUGAGGUGAAAACAUGUGACGAAUCACUUUAUACCGUUCGGAGAUUUUGUUCCCCUUUUUCCUUCCACAAGUCUUAUAGUAUUCUUCUUUAUUAUAUUACCAACCAACUUUUGAGACACGCACAUAAAAUUCUCUUUCUUGUCUGUUCUUUCCCUAAACAUGUGGUUGAAGUAUAAUACUUUGAGUCUGCAGAGAAAAUGUGAUUCUGCUUUGCAGCAUCUGCAGAGAAAAUGUGAUUCCGCUUCGCUGCAAGACUCUUUGCCAAGCCAUGCUAUUGUGGUGUAAAUUUCUGCAACUUCUAGGAAAAUAAAAGUAAAAGAUAUCAUAAAUGCUAUAACUUUCGUAUGGUACUCUUUUUUUUUUAAUCAUUUAAAUGUUAUCACUUAUGUAUGGCACUCUUUUGAGUACCAUAAUUCUUUUCACGAUCACUUGAGUGUUAUAUAAAUUUUUAAUCAAUUGCUUGAUUAUUAUAAUUUUUUUUUUUUUAAACGUUCACUAUAAGCACUAAACUACAUCAAAUUUCUGGUAUUUGAGUGAACAUUUUUAAAAAAUUUUGACACUUAAGUGAUCAACUAAACAUAAUAUUUUUUUAGAAAUAAUGGCAAUUAAGUGAUAAGAAAAAAAAAGUUAUAGCACUUAAGUAAACGCCCUAUAAAAGUUAUUCUUUUUUUUUUUUUUUAGUAAAGGUAAGAAUAUAUUGAUAAGCUAAGGACAAAUGUACACAAACGGCACCAAAACUUACACUCUCAAUGCGAACAAAAGAGUGGAAGGGAGUCGUGCAAAAGCCUCAAGAAGCAAGGACAGAAAGAGCGCAAACAACAGACACAACACGACCACCAGAUUCAGCCACCAGACCUCCAUGGACGCCUGGGAAUCCGUGAGCCAAAACAUCCGCACCGGAGACGACCGAGCAAGAUCAAAUGAUAAAAACCCAAAGGGUUACGUGAAGAUAAUAGGGUCGAGAUUCCAACCCCUCUGAAGACGCCGAUUCCUUGGAUUGUCAAGGACAUCCUUGUAGGUAAUUGCUUUAUCUUUAACCAUCUUUAUCAAAUGGUUCUUCAAAGCGGGAAUAUCAAGAGAUUCCCCUCGGAAAAUCAUAGCAUUUCUUUUCUUCCAAAUUAGAUAGCAAAGAGCUCCAAAGGAAUAGCGAGAAAGACUGUGAGAGAAGUCCUUACCAGCAAGGAAUUUCAUAGCCCAAGCAAGGUUUUCUGCCCAAGUGCCGUUCCUCCACGGCAAAUUGCACCUAGUUGCCCAAAAGUAGAUAAUGGUAUUUGAAAUAUUGCAAUCAAAGUACAAAUGGUUGGUCGAGUCCGGCUGAGUAUUACAAAAAGUGCAAGCCGAGUAAUCAAUCAUUCCAUAUGAGAGGAGAAGUGACUGCGUUGGCAAGCGGUUUUUAGUAAUAAGCCACAAAAGGAAUUGAAACCAAGGGGCUACAUCCUUAUCCCACACAAAAGGAGUCCAAGGUGCUUUGGCUUUAGAAGCUCUGAUGACGUUCCAAGCAGAAGCUACGGAGAAGGCCCCCGAAGAAUCAUGACGCCACACAAAACGAUCGCUAUCAACCGAAAGAGGAGGAAGCGAGAAGCCACAAUUCUCUAACCGGACUUUACAGGAUCUACCAGCAUAAGAAUAUAAAGAAGCCACAGUCGCCUUUGCAGGAACGUCGAGGUCCAACAAAAAAGAUUGAGGAACUUGUAGAUGAAGAGGGCCACAAGGCAACCAGCUAUCGAACCACAAUGAAGUAGACCGGCCGUCACCGACCUCCCAACCGAAGGAUUGUCUACAACAGCCCCGAAGAUGAAGGAUCUUCUUCCAACUCCAGGCACAAACUGAAGGCUGAGGGGCAACCCAGAAGUUAUGUUUCUUUAAAAAGUUGGAGUGUAUCCAACGGCAUCACAGAGAUUCCUUAUUCGUAAGAGGAUCCAAAUAAAUUUCAGCAUUGAGGCUUUGUUACAGUCCUUGAUAGACUGAAUACCUAGGCCCCCUUCCUCCUUAGGCAAACAAACAUCCGCCCAUGAGACUUUUGCACCUCCCUUAUCCAAGGAGGUGCCUUUCCAAAGAAAUCUACGAAGAAUGCUUUCAAUCCCCAAAAUAACCGAAGAGGGCAAAGUGAAGACACUAGCCCAAAAAGACUGAAUAGCGUGAAGCACUGACCUUAUGAGCUGAAGUCUUCCAGCAAAAGAGAGGAACCUGUGGGACCAAGAGCGGGCUCGCGCGGUAAUGCGGUCAAUUAACUUAGUACAGUCAACCUUAGUCAACCUCUUUGAGAUGAUCGGCACUCCAAGAUAUCGAAUUGGAAGUUUACCUUCUUGAAAGCCAAAUGCUAGGAGGAUUCUGUUGCACAAAGCAGGAUCGCCUCCUGAAAGAAAGAUGUCGCUCUUAUUUUUGUUGGGGAGAAGACCACUCCAUGAAGAGAAAAUGUCGAGGCUUCUUUUAAGGAUCAUAGCUAAUUUCCAAUCUGCUUGGCAAAAAAGGAACACAUCGUCUGCAAAAAACAGAUGAGUGAGCUUGGGAGACUUACAUCUCCAAUAACAUUUGAACUCUUUAGCCGAAGACCUUUGAUUCAAAAUUCCCGAGAAGAUUUCCAUGAUCAAUGUAAAUAGAUAAGGUGACAUUGGGUCGCCCUGCCUAAGGCCUCUGCCUCCUGGGAAGAAGCCAUGAAGCUCCCCAUUAAUAGAGAUAGAGAAUCAAGGUGUGCGUACACAAGCCAUAAUCCGGCGAAUAAUCCACAGAGGAAACCGGAAGGCAGUAAAGGUAAGCUCUAGGAAAUCCUAGUCCACAGUGUCAUAGGCCUUGCAAAAAUCCACUUUGACUGCACAUCUUGGGAGGUAUGGGUCUAAGUGGAAGCCUGCAAACAGCUCUUGAGCCAAUAAGAUAUUAUCCCUUAUCCUUCUACCCUUCACAAACGCAUUCUGGGACGGACUAACAAUAUCCUGAAAUACAGGCGCAAUUCUAUUGGCCAAGAUCUAGGUGAUAAGUUUAUAGAUAGUGUUGCAGCAAGCAAUCGGUAUGAAGUCGUUUACUUCACAAGCAUUCGGCACCUUGGGAAUUAAAUUUAGGAUAGUCGCAUUAACUUCUUUAAGAAGACAACCUACUGAGAAGAAAUCUUUCACAGCCUCUGUAACUAAAGAGCCCACAAUAUCCCAGUUACUUUUAAAGAAUUCUGCUGUAAAAUCAUUUGGACCGGGGGCUUUUCCCUUCACAAGCGAGAACAAGGUCUUCUUAACUUCUAAAUCAGAGACAGGCGAAGCUAGGGAACAUACCUGGCUAUUGGAUAGCGGCUUUCGAAUGAGAGAAGUAAGCUCUUGAAGAUCAGGCUUAGCUAAGCCAACUCGAGGAGCAAAUAGAUCCGAAAAGAAAGAUAGAAAAACUUGGGGCACCAAAUCAGGAUCCGAGAUCACCGUACCUGCAGUGUCUUUGACAGAGAGGAUACGGUUAUUGAGAUGUCUACUUUAACACAGUUGUGGAAGAAUCUCGUGUUGUGAUCUCCUUCCUUCAGCCAUCUAAUUCUUGAUUUUUGCUUAUAGAACGAUUCCUUUUGACCACGAAGGUCUAUAAAAGCACAGCGCUGCCCUCUUUCAAGUUCAGCUAGUGGAAUAUUUUCAGGAUCCAACUAAAGGAGAUGCUGAGUAGAACGCAAGGCUUCCCUCGCUUCAAGAGUUCUUAGAGAAAUAUCCGAGAAAGCCUCCAGAUUAAGAUCCUUGAGGCGAGAUUUCAACAAUUUCAGCUUCGAGACUAAUUUAAACAUGGGAACUCCCCAAACUUGACUAUCCCACACCUGCAAAACCGUAGAAUGAAAAUCCGGGUGAUCAACCCAGAAAUCAAAGUACUUAAAUGGCUUCCUCCUUGGACGCGGAUCCACAACCCUGACAACCAUAGGAGUAUGGUCAGAAAUUCCAGGAUUGAGAAAAGACGCCUCCGAGUAUGAAAAGUCCAUUCUCCAUUUAGAGUUGACAAGAACUCUGUCAAUUUUUCGCAUCUUCCUAUUUGCACCCGCCGAAGUUGACCAGGUAAAUCGAAGGCCAGAGUACCUGAGAUCCUCAAGUUCUGUUUGGUCCAGACAAAGCUUGAAUUCAUCAAAACAGGGGAUCCAGGCAUUAGAGGUACCAACGCGAUCAGAAGGGUCCUUGAUUGCAUUGAAAUCUCCCGCUACUAUCCAGGCAUAGUCUUGAAAAAGAUCGUCACAAUGGAUAAAAUUAGACCAAAGAGGCCUCCUCCGCACAAAGGAAUGCUCUCCAUAAAUAGCAGAAACACAGCAGGUAAAAUUAGAAGAUAACCCCUUCACGCACCCAUGGAUGGCUUGGUCAUUUGAAGAGAUCAACUCAAAAUUGACGGUAGCUGGAUCCCAUCCAAUCCAGACUCUACCGCGAGGAGCAAAAUCAUAGUUCGCAAUCCAAUUCCAACCUCUCAAAAUAUUGGAAGAAAUGGAACCAAACAAAGGCACUGGGACUUUAGUUUCAAAACGCCCCAUAAGGCAAAGCUUAUUAGCAACAGCAAACUUCCUAAUCUCCGCCCUUCUGACAGGGUUCAUAAUACCUCUAACAUUCCAAAAGCCAAAAAACAUAGAAGCAAAAGGAUAGAAUUAUUUCCGCUUGGCGUUCCUACGCCUACCUCUAUUUGGUUUCGAGUCCUCCGCAGGCGAAGGUCCCGGCGAGUCAGGCAGCAAAAGGAGAAGCUGAUCUUGGCUUGAACCAACCCCAGUAGGUUUCGAAGGACCACUCAAAGGAGCGGGUCUAGGCGUGUGGCCACCGUCUUCAUUAGAUGAAUUGCUGGUAUCAUCUUCCUAGUCUCCAGACGGCAUUAUGGAAUCCGGUGCCAAGUCAGAAGCCUGAGUGUUUUUUUCAAGUAGUUUAGCAGGGACUUUAGGAGGUUUUUGGCCAGGCACAGCUUCCUUCAGGUUGCGAGACAGCCCCUCCUUCGAGUAUGGUAUCAGAGAAGCAUUCAGAUUCUACGGCUUAUGCUCCUUUUCUUUGUCUUUGACCUGAUUCCCAUGCUGAGUAAGGUCACUUUGGUGCGAUGGAAGAGGUUCCUCCAGAUCCACAACCAGCUGAACGAGAGGAAAGGAACCACCAGAGGAGCUCCUGUUCUGUCCUGCAUCAAUUGGAGAUUCCGGAAGAGGGACCAAAGGCAUACCCGAAGACAUUCCCCUUUAAUCCUCAUACGCCACCGAAGGUGGUCUGGUUUGCUGAGAGAUGCUCCCACUUGCGGCCUUGCUAAGAGGUUCAGACUCCUCUGAAGGACGACCAGCAUCAGCGCGUUUUGUUCCAGGUCUACCAGGCCUACUAGCCGUUUCACAAUUGUGGCCAAAAAUGCCACAUCCAGCACAGGCAGUGGGUCGCCACUCAAACUCCACUCCUAUUUCACACUUCGUACCAUUAUGGGUUGUCUCAAUCAUUUUACAAUCAGGUUGAUCAGCAGUAAUUUCGAUGCAGACCCUAGCAAAGGUAAGGCUGCUCACCUGCUCUGUUCUCUUAUCCAUAUAAAGGGGUUUGCCAAGCGCACUUGCAACCCUCCCGAUGAAGUGGGCGGACCAGCACGAAAAGGGAAUAUUCGAUAGUCUAACCCAAACAAGAACCGUACGGUGGGUCUCCCUUCUCAGCUCAAGACCAGGGGACCAUUGUUGCAGGACAAGUGGUAUUCUAGCAACCGUCAUCCGACCACUUUCAAGCACACUUCGGCGGAAUUCCCUAUCAGGAAUGUGAAACAUAAAAAGACCUUUGCCAUUUGACAUGAAUUCAACAACGUUCGGCCCCCACACUUUCUUCAUAGCCUCCUCAACUACCUUAAAAGGCAUUCGGCGACCAAUGAAGUAGCCCAUUAAACAUUCAAACAUCUUGGGAUCUGCAGCUUCCAGAUCUUGAUCAGUGAUCUCAAUCACAGGUCUAUUGUUAACCAUAUUCGGUGGGGUAUACACCAGAUCGUAGCCCUUGGCCACGGUUCUUGCCACUACAACCCACGAUUUCCCUGAUGGAUUCUUAGACGCAUCCCUGCCUUGAGGCUUAGCUGAGCGGGACCUUCCUUGCUAGACAGGUCGCGCCCCACCAUUUGGGCGAGGAACUCGCGCUUCGUUCGGACUAGACAUGGUGUCCGAACUCGAAUUUCCUCCCAUAAUAGUUAACAACGAAGGUUCCCUAGUCAGAAUGGGAGGCCCACCAUGGGAACUUGUCCCUUUCUCCUCAUUUCGAGACCUCAUCGACUCCGAUUCCAUCUCAACUAAUGAAUCACAGCAGCAAGCAGGCGGGCGGAACCCUAGCCAUAGAUAGCCAUGCGAAACGAGGAGAGGAGACGUACCAGGAGACGAUGCCGGGGGGUUGAAAGAGAGGCAAGAGGCGCCCCUUUCCCCUAAAAUAUUGGCCUAAACGAACGGGCAACACCCCUGGAAUCAGCAGCUCGAAUUGCAGAAGGAACAGUAUCCAGUCGCCCAAGAAGAGAGAAGCGUGAACAGUUAUAAAAGUUAUUCUUUUAUCCCUAACUUCUAGUAUAAUCCCAAAGGUGACGAUUGCAGUCGCGGUCCUUUUAACAGCAAGUCUCUUCCUAGAACAUUGUGCCUGUGCUAGUACUGCUGUGGGCCUAGACUAUGAACCUUGACUACGUUGGCAUAACCCAUUUGAAGCUUCUUCAAUGUGGCUUCAUUUUUUAAGCAAGAUAUCGAGGAAAGAGUAUCUAGAGAGAAGAGGAACAGUAUCUUGGCGAAUGAUUAAGUAGUAAUUAUUGACAGGAAUGAUUUCCAUGCUACAAAAGAUUAAAUUCCUCAUAGAGGAAUGUCGGGUUUUAAGGAUGAUGUAACAAAUCGUCGAUCACAACCCUUUUGAUGUUUGCUUUACAUUUGUGUAAACAAACAUUUGUGUAAACAAUCUCCAAAGGAUCUGUGGCACCUUGCUACGCUAAUUUCCAAUGUCCAACCAAUUUGCGAGAUAUUUUGGAGAGUUUUGGAUGGGACUUAGUAAUUAUGUCAUUUGUCCUUCUUUAAUAGUUAGAAAUCUAAAUGGUUCAUACUAAAUAUUUCUCUACACUUGAACAUCAAAUAACAUAAUGUCACAAAUUAAAUCAACUGUAGAGCUUGCUAAGUUCUUUCUUGUUAUAACCGUACCUAAUAUAAUUGAUAGAUCUAUUGACCUACCUUCUUGAUGUUUUGGUCCUUUUUGUUGUUAUCGGCAAAGGAAUAAAGUGUUCUACUACUUAACCGGCAAAAAGAGUUACUUUAUUUUAUACUCUUUCACUUGAAUUGAAAUUCACAAUUCGUUUGAUGAAAGAAGCACAAAUAGUAAAAGAGAAAGGGGUUGUCAUAGGACAGUAUCAUAUAAUGUCACAUUUAGAAAUUCUUAUGAAAAGUGAAAAAAUUAGUGGGCCCACAGAAAAGAAACCCAGUCUCUCAUGUCUUGAAUAAUGACACUUCAGUGCCAAGUAAAGACAUAAAGAAGGAAAAUAAAACAAUAAUGAAAGAAAAGAAUAAAGUUAUGUGUGCUUUCCAUUUGUGUAUUUUUUUUUUAAUAAAUGGACAAUAGGGGAGGUUUGUUUCCAUGCUUCUUUUACUUGCCAUAGACAGCAACUACCUAUCUGGAAAAUUUCAAACUAUCGCGUCAUUCAAAUAUUUAAGCAACAAAUCAUUCUCCUAAAUUCUUUGAUUCCUACUACUCAAUUCAUUAGGAAUCUAAAAUACUUCUCCAAAGUACUUUCGUUAGCUGUUUUAACUUACCGUACUUGUUUCUAUCUGGAAUUCGUGAUCUUCCGAUUCGUUAAUUUGGUUACUGCAGUAAAAUCAUUUUGAAUCAGUUGUUGGUUAAACGCCACAAAAAUGACAGAGAUUUUUUUUUUUUUGGAGGGGGUGUGGGGUUGGAGAGAGAAGCCCUAUUGUAUUGUUCAUGUUGCCAUGUUAGACGAAAAAAGUUCUGCAUUGGACUUCUUUUUUAUAAGAAACACCACGUUUUAAUAAAAAUUUCAUAUAAAAAACAUAGAAUAUGUUGGGAUUUACUACUAGAAGCACUUGAGUAAUCAUUUUUCCACCUUGAGUAAUUACUUGAAAAAUUUCGGCACAAAAAAGAUAUGAUAUUUAGUUUUAUUUUCCUACCAAUGCUCUUUGAAAUAGAUAUUGAUAAGGAUUGGUAAAGUAUUUAAGCUAGAUCAUGGUAAAAUGUCCUAAUGGUUUAGAAAGCAUGCGUUUUUAAUGGUUCCAUUCUUUUGAGAAUUAUUUUCUGCACUCAAACCAAUUCCAAAAAUAAGAAUUCGCUUGAGAAGUUGCACGCCCAUAGAUAAAUGAGAAAUUAGGGGAUUGGAAUAUUUUUAACAUUGAUACUGACUUGGACUUAACUGUUCUUUUUUUUUUUUUGGGUCUAUGUCAUUAAAAAAUCGAAACCUGUAUUCACAUAAUAAAUUUAUCCAAACUAGUUUUCGUAUCACAUAAAAACCUUCAACACAUUUUACCCAAACUAAUUUUUGUCUUAUGAAAAAUCCCAAAAUUGAUAAUCUGACCAAAGAUUACCCUGACCGUUUGAUCCUAAACUAUUAAUGGAUGAUAUAUUUGACUUAGGAUUCCGCCUUGGGGCAAAUAUGUUAUGAGGAACUAGAUCAAGAUUGUUUGCAAGAUGAAAAUAGAGUUUAGGAUAAAUAUAUUAUGAGGUAUUGAUUUGAGAUUUUGAUGGUAAUAAACCUAUUUUUGUUGCAUCUUGUAUGGCCAACAAGAUAGAACAUAGAAGUAUUUGAAACAUGUUCUACGCCUUAUAUAUGAAAUUUAACCAUGUUGAAUUUAAGGCAGAGGAUUACGAAAUCGAGAUUGCCGAGCUUCCUCCUCUACAAUCUUAUGGUGCAGGAGUUGUAAACCCAUGACAUGGUCCGCAAUUACAUUGUGCAGUGAUUUAUGAUUGUCAUUUGAUCAUGGAGCACCCAAGUUUUUAAAGUCGGUGAUCUAAUGAAAAUUGCAUUUACACGAGAAAAAUGGAUGUAACAUAACGGAUGAAAAAGCAUAUAAUGAUAUGGUGUCGUCAUUGUGGUGUAAUAUUGCCGUACCAUGCUUUUGCGACUUACUCAAUGCUACCAUUUGCAUCCUUUUUAACCUUUGAUCCAUUGGGAAAAAUAAUAUGAAUGAAUUAACUGAUGCAUUUCCUGCAAUCCAAGCUUUACAUCGAGGAUAGGAUUAGAUUGAAGAACUUGAGUGAAGCUAGGAAAGUCAAAUUCAUCGUCUCUGUGUCGACAUCUCAUUUGAGUCAAUAGUUUAAGUAUUUAUUCUUGUAAAAGUACCCAAAAAAAUAAAAAAUAAAAAAUAAAAAAAACAAGGGAAUAGCAAAAAGAACUAAAACGAUAAAUAGGCAACCAAAUAAUAGUCAAAUCAACAAAUAAAAAAGGGAUCUAAUAUGGUCUUGGUCUUGGUUUAUUUCCUAUAGCCCCGAUCAGCUGGCACGGCCCAUGUCCAAAUUCGCUGAUCACAAGAGAAAAAAGAAUAGAAGCCCUGGAAGAGAAGCUCCGUUCGAGAAGCUUCCGCAUUCUUCCCCCACCACCGUUGGAGAUCGCCCACCUCCUCCGGCUGUCGGACGGUGCUCGCCUCCUCCAGCCGUCGUCGAUCCUCUGUCUCGGGAAGACACUGAUCGGAGAGAAAACCAAUUUUUGAGGCACGCACGCCCGCCUGAGAGAAAAACACCCGGGCAAGGACGAUUGAGCAAAGGGGGAAAAGCUUGCACCCCCGUCAGCACGCGUCUUUGGAGUUUCUUUUUCUUCGGUCAUCCUCAUCCACCGGUGAUCAUCACGGUUUACCAUCGCCGGCCAUCAACUCACGUACGGACUGUAAGAGAACUAGAACAGAAGGCAACGGUUGAAAUCACUCUAGAGGUUUUGGAAGCGUCCAGAAGGCACUCUCUUUCAGUGAUUUCUUCUGAAUCCUUUCCUGCCUCUUCGUUGUCAACCGUGUUUUUGGCCGUGAAGACUUGAAGCAAUUCGCGUUUUUCUGAAAACUUCAUUACCGGUGCUCAUCCUCAGCAGCGACGUUUUCUGGAUCCUCCUCGACUAGAUAACCCAAAUGACGUUUAAGGCCCAGACCUCUAAGGUAUAAGUUUGACCCACAUGCGAACCGGGCCCAUCCUGUGUCCCCCUCAGCGAGGGCUGGACGAGGCUGCCCCUCGCCAAAUCCGACUAGGGGCCUUGCCAACGACCAGUGAGGGAAAAGAGAAAAAAAAAUACAAAAUUCGAAAAUAAAUUUAAAAAUUUUAAUAAUAUCCACAUCAGUGCCAGUCGUAUCACGUAGGACUAUUGAUGUUCACACCAGUAAUUUCCAACUAAAAUUAAUCUAAUUGACUCAAUUGGUAUAAAAGUGAAAAUGUUUAAUUUUAAAUUGAUCCAUUUAUAUGUUUAAGACUAAAUUAAUAUCAAUGUUAUGAAUUUUUUUGGUACUUUUCUCGUUAACAGUUUAUAUCAAUGAAUGGUUAGGCUGCUUGAGGGCCACUGCUCCUCUCUUUGCAUUAGCAAGUGAUGCAUAUAUUCCACACACAAACAUGAAAGACAAAGUGAAAUAAUUGUUUUCAGCAUGAGUGGGUGAUUGAAUUUUGAUAGGCUGAUAUAGUGAUGCAUUUUUGGGCUCGUGUACCUAAUUAUUUGAUGAGGUUAUUCGCUGGAUUGACUUUGAAAGUUUUGAGAUUACACAGAAAAAUGAUACUUGCACUUCCAUGAAGGCUUAUCAAGCUUUUGAAAUAAUAGGAUAGGAAGGAUCUUCCACCACUCGUGACUCUUGCUCUUAACAGAUGCUGAAAAUGUUAUGGCACUUUCUAUGCCGAGAAAGAGAGAUGCAUAGAAGCAAGAAGGCCAAGUCCCAAUUCAACGGCAACUUCAACUAUACGCUACCAGACAACUAAACAUCACAUUCUUUCACAAAACUCCAGGGGCGUACAAACCUUCAUCUUGAGCAUGGCUAUCUAGCAGGUGAUCAAUCCAACGAUUGGCGUUGGCAGUUUUUAAAUUGGACAGAUGACAUAAAAGUGCUCGAAAUCGACGGCUAAGAAAGCAAAAAAGAAAAUUUCCUGUGCCCAAGGUACGGGAAUGUAGAACGGGCCCGUAUCUUUAGCUUGCGUAGCGACCAAGGAAUGGUCCCCGUAAUGAAAAAAGCAACUUGCAUCGGAAGCCCAACCAUAAGCCUUUGGAUGUAUCUCUGGGAGACCUACGUGGCACCGACGAAUGAGCCCCGUGGUCCGGGUAAUCAUAAAAUAAUAAAAGAGUGAAGAGAAGCUUCCUCGCAACAGAAAAAAGGGACGUUUCGCGGGUACUGCCGGUGGGUCUAUGCAAUACACUAUAUAUCCCGAAAACAUAGGAUAGCAUCAUCCCGAUCGUUGCGACUUGAAUGAAACAUCCCACAGUCUGUAUCGGCUCUUGACGCUGCCUGAACAUAGUUCCUUCACAAUGCAAGAAUAUUGCCAUGAUGGAGAAGAAGAACGCCCAAGUGUUACAAUAUACAAAGGCUUUGAAACUUGCCCUCUCACCGAGAAUCGCCAUUCCUCGAUCUGGUCCAUCGUUGUUAUAACCUCCGGGCACUGUGAAGGCCGCAGUGAAGGUUACUGUGGCUAUGAGCCCUGCCACUAGUAGUUGCAUAUCCAUAAUGCCUCUUUUUGACAAACCAAAAUUAUCUCGGUUGGCAAUAUUACUUCCUGUGUUUAUAGACACAGAUGGUUGACCCUGAACGAAUUGCUUAUCUAACCUCUUCUUACCAUGUUCAGUAAACCAAACUUGAAAACUCGGGAUUCCAUAAGAUCCUUUCAACAUUUGACGAGCCAUUUUAGCAGAAAUGCUCGCCUAAAAAUGUACAGAAUGAAUGAAUUAGUGAGUGAAAGUUUCCCGAUGAAAUACUUCCAGACUCUCACUUUACACACUCAAAAUCCAUCUAUAACAAACAGAAUUUCCAACGAGUCCAAAAACGUUAUGAGGAAUUCAUUCAAAUUAUCUCUUUUAGAUCAAAUUAAAUGGUAUAUAACACCUGUAAAUUGAGUUUCAUGGAGUAAACAAUUACAGUUUCGAGUAUGCUAUUUCAGUCAUGAUUUAUUCUCCAUUUUUCUUUUCGUUUUCCUUUCCUUUUCUUUCUUUUUCUGCUUUACGUUAUCAUCUAAUUUUAAAGGAUUCCAACCUUGAAUGUUUUGCAUUGUUUUUUACAUAACCAAGACAGACAAUUGCUUGAGAACUAAUUGAAGGCCAGUUUGUUGAACGGAUUUGAAACUUAUUGAAAUAUUUUGUUCUGCUGAUGAUAUAAUAUGAUCAAACAUAAUAUUUACAAACGUAUAUGUGCUUAUCAACCAAACAAUCGAAUUAACUAACAUUGAAAUUACUUUGCAAACUGAUUGGUCUUAAACUAUACAUUGUUAUUUGGAUAUUUUGUCACUGAAUGAUUAUAUUGAAGCAAAAUAUACAAACUUAAAAUUGUUUUUUGUUAUAUGCAUUUAACUGUUGGCUAUUAGUAUGAUAUUUGGUUUUUUCAUGUAAUCGGAUUGGAAAAAGGGCUUUAAUAUGUGGAAAUGAGUUAGAUGGUUUAAAAAUAUAAGCAUUUGUUGGAUAUAUAAAGACUUCUACUUUUAAAUACGACCUUUAGCUACUGGUAAGAUAAUUAUCGCGUCAAAUAAAAUAUUAUAUGACAAUGCAAAUUCCUGACUAUUUUAUAGAUUACAAAUAAAAUUUUGAAUACGACUUUUUAGCUACAAAUUUUUGUGAUUUUUGCAAUACCCACAUAUAUGGCUUAGAAGAAGAAGAAGAAGAAGAAGAUAUGAUCAUACACAUUUAUUUAAUAAUAAACAAAAACAUUAUGUACCAACUCAUAUAUUGAAAGAACCAUAAAGACUUCAAAUAAUGAUUUUACGUUUAUUGGCUAUUAUAUCAAAUAAUAUUUUAAUCACUAAACUAUGUGAAUUGAUGUUGAUAUUUUGUUGUAGGAAAAUGAUAGAGGAAGCGUUUGUUUUUUUUGUCCAGAUAGUAAUAGUUAAUUUACUAACUAAUAUUAAGUGAAGUGGGAAGGAACGAAGUUUUGAGAAAUGUGGCUCAACCACAAUGUUCAAUUCUGCCUAAUUUUCUUAUUUAUUUAUUAUAAGAUAUGAAGUGUGAAAUCACUUCAUUCCGAGCCCCUUGAGCCCUUAUUUCAUAUGCGUGUCUCACUCAAUAAAGAAAUCUAUGCUACUAUUUGCUACGGAAAUUGAAAAUAUAGUCAAUAUGCUUAAACGUUUGAAUAAGCAAAAGAAAAAGGUUGACGCAAAGACUUCAAUUGGGUAGUUUGUUUGCACCUGAAAGAGCAUUACUUGGGCCAUAGUUUCUAAACGAUACUGAAGAAAUUACUCUACGAGUGAACAAAUCUGGCUCUACAGUGUUCAAGCAAACAUACCUCUUUAUGGGCAGAACAAAUGUCAAGAGCAGUGAAAUAUCCUUAUUUUUGGUCAAAUGGUCCACCCUCUUGUCUUCUCCAAGUAUGAAUAUGAUGCCGUAUUCUUCAUGAAGUGCAGCCAAAUGCAAAGCCGUGUUUCUUCGUUGCCUUGUUCGUUGAUAAGAUUCUCUAGGUUUGGCAUCCCUAGUAUGUACUCGACUACAUUGUUUUGUCCACCGAUAAUAGCUGCAUGAAGAGCCGAUUGCCCUUUGGUGUUUAUCAUGUCACAAGCAUCAGGACAGGAUCUAACAAGCUCAUCAAUGACAUUGAUACAGCCAUAAAAUGCUGCAAGGUGAAGAGCUAAUUCCCCUGCUUUGUCUAAUUCAUAUGCCACAGAAGUAUCGUGUUGCAAGAGUAGUCGAACUGCUUCGACUUUGCCCAAGUAAGCAACGUAAUGAAGAGGCGUCCAUCCCAAAUCAUCUUUUUCUUUGAUCGCUUCUGGUCUCUUCUCCAUGAUUUUCUCCCAACCUUUGCAAAUAAAAUGGGAAAAUUUCAUUAUUUGGUCUGUUUAUAGCAUCUUGACAUACAUAUUAAAGUUGCCCUUCAUCCCAUUAAGUUUUCUCCAUUUUGUCUGUACUAGGAAGGACUAUGUCACGGUAACUGUGAAGUUUUUAUAGCGAUCUUGUGUAAACGUGUAGAACCUAAUUGCCUUCAAUUUAGCAUAAUGCAGAAAUUUAUAAAGUUUAUAAAUUGAUAAGUGAAAUAGUUAGAAAUUCGCGGAGUUAUUUGAGAAGAAGCUUCUCAUAUUUUCGGCAACGCAUCUAGGCUAGAAUAAAAGACCAAGCCUUUUUACUCUGGUGCCAAUAAUUUUAUUGAAAAUAUUGUGCCCAACUCAAUUUUAUAAGAGAAUUUAAAUAUUGAAAGAGGACUAGCACCUUCGACAUUUUCAAAAGUAAAAUCAUUUCAUCCCUUUCCUUUCAAGUCCUCAUAAUUUGCCCUCGAGGGUUAAGAAAUUGAGCAUGUAUACCCUGAUCUUGUGGAAAUGUAUUGCAAUGUGCUCAGUCACCAUUUGUAAACUUAAAAUAGAAAGAAAAAAAAAGCGGUAUAAUUCAGAAAAAUGUAAGAGAACUAGAUCUAGAAAAACAUGUAGAAAGAAAUUAGCGGGUGAGAUAGACUAUUAACAAUACUAUUAUCAAAAUAGCGAUUUUUCUGCAUGAAUGUAUAAUUUUAAAUUGAUACUAUUUUUUUGGUCCACACUCUUAAGAGAAGACGAAUCGGUUUAAACUUAUUUUUAAUAGUCAAUGAAUAAAACAAUAAAAAGAAUGCAAUGAGAUAACAACUCCAAUCUUUUCACAACAUAAACCUCGCAUAUAACAUAAUCAAGAGGCAUGUCUUUGGGAAAAAAGUGUAUGACCUUUCACCAAAACCAAUGGAAAAUAAAUAAAUAAGUUUUGAAUUUACUAUUAUAUUUAUUGAAAGCUAGGAUAGAUGGCGGCUCUCACUGCUGACACCAUCACUCUCAGCUAAGAGAAGCCCUUGCACAAGAGAGAACUCCCGUUAAUUUUUCCUUUAACUAGGCUUCGUAUCUUAUGAUACUUACUGGUCAGUGAGAGAAAAAUUCCGACGUGUAGAGCUGUCAAACCCUUAGGGCCCUUAUGAGAGGAUGACGACAAGAAAGCACUCAAUCAACUCAAUGGUACGAGAAAGUCCUCGAUAUGCCGCAAGAUAAAGUGCAGACUCAUCAGCGGCAUUAGUAAUAUCACAUAGUUGAGGAUCUUCUCCAAUUAGCAACUCCACCGCCAAAUCAUGACCUCCUCUUAUUGCAUAGUGUAGGGCGGUAUCCUUAUAUAAAUUCUGCUUCCGAAAUAGCUCUUUGCAUGCGUCAACUUGUCCAUUCUCAGCGACCCAAUGAAGUGAUUUUGACAAAUCAGUGAACAUUCGAAUCGCUCCACAGCUUCCCACUUUAGCGGCAACGCGUAAGGGAGUGUCUCCUUUAUAGUUACCCUGCCAAAGAAGUGAUGGUCCCAAUGGACAUUGAAGAAGAUGUUCAAUGAAAUUUACCUAUUUGUAUUGAGCCGCAAGAUGAAGAAUGUUGUUCUCCUUUGGUGUUGUUUGAUGGAAAAGGUCCUCUCCAUUUUCCAAAAUUAUUGUGAUCAAGGAACCAAAGUCUCCUGAUUUUGCAGCCUCAUACACUUUAGGAUGCAUUCUCGCUCUUUGUUUGUUGUUUACAGGACACUAAAAGUAGUUGCACAGGAACUUAUCAAUAUAAGCAAUUAGUUCAAGCGAAAAGAACUUCUUUGAGCUUUACAAGAGGAAUCAAUGGAAGGGAGAAUGUUGGGGAGGAAAUAUUUUCAUGCUUCUCAAGUGUAAUUGAAAGGAGACUUAUAUGUAUAUCUAUGAAACGUGAAUAUGCCAGGCGUGUUCCUGUGAAGUUUUUAUUCUCUCGAGAGCAACUCUAUAAUAACGAUAUAGGGCGAUCAAGACAAGUACGGGAAAAAAAAAACAUAAUAAUAAUAACCGACGACUAGGUCUCCCCGACAGCUUCCUUUCCCUUUUUGACUUUGGGACAAUGUGCUCUUCCCUGGAUGGGUGAUAACCUUCUUUGUUAAUAUUCAAAUGAAUCUUCGAGGAUGGUGUCAUCGAAAUAGGAAAAUCCCAAUGAAUUCAUAUUUAAAGGCCGGGAUUAUCCAAUUACUCAACUUGAUCAACUAUUGUCAUCCAAAUAAAAAUAGUUUAUGUACAAUGUCACUCCCUCCACACUUCCCAGGAUAAAGAUUGGUCAAAAGUGAACCUAUGAGUUCAAGUGCGAGGAAUAUAUCUAAUCUUAUCAAGAUGACUUGACUAAAGAAGCGAUGUUGGAUAGGAAAUAUCCUUCAAUUUUUCAAUACAACUUUUUUUAGCUUUCAACUAGACUAAAGGAAAGAUAUUGGGAAAGACAUUUUGUGACAUCCCGAUUUUUCUCAAGUUUAUUUUCAGUCAAUUGAGUUGGGCAAUUCAUCCGUGCAUAUAACUCGUUUCUCAGAGUUGGCCACUCACGAGAGAACUAGUUUAUUGAGCGAAGUAAUUAAGGAAUUGUACCGCGUCAGACUUGGGGACUGUCACCCACGGGUCGGAUGCAAGAAAAUUUCCCCAAAAGCUACUCAGUGGACUAGGCGCGCUAAAAUCGCACCAGAGUGAAAUUAACCGUGAAAUUGAAAUUGAAUUCUGAAAUUUGAAAGUCAAAGGGUGUUGCAAAUCUUAUUAGGAACAUUGGAUUAAUUCAUGGACUUUAAUUUAGACUCAAUUAGAAGAGAAUUGAUGGAAAUUGAAAUAAUUAAAUUUGCAAGAAGUUGGACCCCGGCGGAAAAUGAAUUGGACCUAUUGGAAGAUGUUGUGAAGAUUUGAGUUAGUGGAGAGUGACAUCAGCAGGUGAUGUCAUGGUGGAGGCCAAAAUUAAGGAGAGCUUGACAAGUGUCACAAGCCAAUUGGCUCACCAAAAGUGGGGGUGUCCCAUCCACUUCAUCUUCAACCUCUAGCACCUUGGGAAGGGGAAUUCGAAAUUGGGAGAGGGAGAGAAAGGAUCCGGCGAACUUGCAGCUGGUCCGUCCGCCCUUCGUCGCGUCUCCGUCGCCGCCGUCUCGCCUGCCAUCGCACGCCGUCGCCGUUCGCCGCUCGUUCGCGUGUGAGGCCCCGGGUGCGAGCUCGUCGCGUCUCCGUCGCCGCCGUCUCCUCGCUUGAGCUGCUGGUCGCCGUCCGCCAAAGCUCCCGCCACUGCCGUCCGUCCACUCAAAGCCUCCGCCGGUUGCUGCUCAAGCUGUCGCCGGUUCUCCUCCACCGUUCUCCGCUCGUUCGCCGCCGUUCCGCCGCCCCUUCAAGCCGGUUAGUUGCUGGAAAGAAAACCAGCAAGAUCUAGCAUCCUCGGAGCUCCUUUUGGUCCCCUAUAAGUGCUCAUUUGGUCUUGAUCCAUGUAGGUUUUUCGUCGGCGUCGUCGCGCUCUUCGCCGGAGACCUGUCGGAAAGUGAUUCUGGUGAGUUUACCUCACUAAUCCGCGAUUAGUGAGUUAAUGAUGCCUUAAGUAUGUUUAGUUCAAGUUGAUUGAGAUUAGGUGGAUAGAUUGGCUUAAUUAGACAUGGAUUAUAUUAAGGUGAUUAAUUAAGGUAAAAGGGUGUUUAGUUUAAUGGUUAAGUAUGUUUAUUUUUAAAAUAAACCUUGAUGUGACUUAAAAGAGUUUAUUUAUGAUUUAAAUAAAUGCUUCGAAAUUGUUGGAUUAUUUAAUAAUAUAUCUUAUUCCGAAAUUCAUUAAAAUAUUGUUUUAUAAAAAAAAAACUCGAAAAAUUUAUUUUGACCCUAAUUGCUCAGAAUUUCGUGCCGAUCGCUGCUGUGCAUGUAGAAUUUGAAAUUGAUGAUUGGUUGUGGCGAAUUGAGUGUGAUUGCGAUUUAUGAGGAUUCUUUAGAAAACCCUAAGUGUGGGAAUUGAUGGGAGAUUAGCCGUGAUUAAUCACCUAUUAGAGGUCGUGCCUAGUGAGGCCGUGAUUAACCACCGAUUGGAGGUCAUGCCUAGUGAGGCUGGGAUGGACCACCUAUGAGAGGCCUAAUAAGGCCACGAUGAACCACCUAAGAGGGGUCGUGCCUAAUGGGGCCGUGAUUGACCACCUAUUAGAGGUCGUGCCUAAUGAGGCCGUGAUGGACCACCUACGAGAGGUCAUGCCCAGUGAGGCCGGGAUGGACCACCCAUGAGAGGUCGUGCCCAGUGAGGCCGUGAUGGACCACCUAAUUAAAGGUCGUGCCGAGUGGGGCCGUGAUUGCCACUGGUUAUUAAGCCUUCCUAUAGGGUCGAGAUUGGAAGUAGUAAGUGAUUCACUAGAAUGACAUGUAAUCGACCGAGUCGAUUGAUAGCUGAGACGACCCCAUGAUUGAGCUGUGAUGAUGAUGUGAUUGUAUCUUCGUUGUUGAGUUAUUAGAAUUACACGUGGUUGAAUUAUAUAAACUGUGCUAACUUGCAGAUGAGGGCUAAGACGAGGUAAGUCUUCUUGAUGUUGCGGCUAAGCUGCUUUGGGGCGUAUUUACUUUCUAAUAUGGGUUUAGGAGGGGUGAACUUGCUGAGACAAAGUCUCAUCCCGGUUUGGGGAAAAAUAUUACAGGACCGUAGAUGGUGGGACCCCCAGAGAAGAAUGGCCUCCCAGUGCAGAUCAUCGAGCAUGUGCGCAGCGCCCCUGAUCCUGGGAGCCAUUGGGUCUAUGAGCUGAUCAGGGCUACCGUGUGGAUCCAGGAGACUAAAGAUGUUAGGGUGCCCCAUAGGUAUAGGGCUUGGUUCCGUUUUGGGGCCAAUGGUUUUAGGAUUGGUCCGCUUGACAGUUUUGACAUCCCCCUGGCUGUGAUGGAUGCUCUUCUAGGAGAGGGUGUGGCUGACCUUCCCGAUGGUAGGGUGGACAACCCACCAUCUCCGGACCCUACGCCGUCAGACGUGGAGGAUGUGGGAUCGUCGAACAAGUCCAAUUAGUAGUUACAGGACCAUUCUUCUUUUCGGUGGGCUGAUCCUUGUUGUGUAGGCUAACCCUCUUUUGAUGCACAUAGACUCUGACCCAUUUUUUGUGCAUAGGCCCUGGAUCCAGUUGAUGUAUGUAAGCCCUGAUUUGUUGAUGAUAUAUGAAAGUAUGUUGUUUGAUUUUGAGUUGAUGUUCCUGCUGUCCUAUCCCGUAUGCUUUUGUAAGGGGUUUCUUAGUACGUUCCGCUUGCACAUUAAAAAAGUAAAAUCAAGGUCGGCGACACUACCUGGGAAUGUCGCAUUUGCAUGACCAUGGCGGGUAGUUCACGUGUCUCGGGGUUCGGGGCGUGACACAUUUCUCAUAACUUUUCUAAGGAGCCAACUAAAGACAGGAUAUGGACAAAAAAUUUCUUUGAACUUUCUAAAAGAAUUGGAUUAAAAAGAAGAUGUUCGGGAGCAAAUUCAUUUGAAUUUUUUUAAGGGAAUUGAAAAGGAGAUUGUCAUGUUCGGGAGCAAAUUCUUCCUUGCGGCCUAACUAGCAGCUUAGCUUGCUGUUGUCAGUCUGGUUUGCAUUCUAUUCAAAGCAUUUUUCUUCCUCGCCACCUUCAAGGGCAAGGGAUUAAAUGAAAAAGAAGAUCGCCUAGUGCCCGAGGGGAUAAGGUUGGCCCUUCUAUGAGUAAGACAUACCAGUUAUAUAUAUAAAGUACGACCCUCCUGUAGAAAAAAGGGAAUGAUCAAUCAAUGGUUUAGAUAAAAUAUGAAUUUCUGAGGUGGAAGCAUAGUUUCCGCAAAACCAAGUCGGUCUGUUUCUCUAAAUUUGCCGUUCUGCCUCUCGCUAAUAUAAUAAGAAAGUGGGCAAAUCUUGUUAAACAUAGGAUGGACAAGUAAAAAAAAAAAAAAACCAAAACAAUCAACAGCCCUCCUGCAGAUUCCUAAUUUAUUUCAACUUUUAUUGCACCUGGUCUUCCACUUAUGAGGGCUUCUUAUUUUAUUUUAACUUUUUGACUUUUGUCCCAUCUGCUCUUCCACUUUUGAGUUGUCUUAACUUUUCUUUUUGGACUUUUGAGGCACCUAUUCUUCCAUUUUUCAUCAAAAGCAAAAUCAUUACGCUUCCACGAUAUUUCCUAAAGCGGGGUAACUUUAGACUUCUAUGCCUUCCCAGGGAGUACGUAGCAGUGAGAAUUAUCGUCGAAAGUUCUUCAGCCAAGUGAACAUUCUCUAAAACCUAUAGUGAAUAUAAAAAAUUAAACAAAGGUGAGUCACAUCAGGGACAGAUAUGAUGAAAACACAUAAUAAGGAGUAAAAAAUCGCAGCCCAUUAUUGAAUAUAGUUACUAUUAUAUUUACAAAGUACUAGCGUAGAAGGGGGCAUUGCUGCUACCACUAGCAGUCUCGCCCAAGGGAAGUCUCGCGCUAGGGAGAGAACUUCGGUUACUUGGGUUAUCAUUUGUUUAAAGUGGGUUUAGAAUCUUGUGAUACUUACUUGAUAGUGAGAAGGUCACUGCAGCAUGCAGAGCUGUCAGUCCUUUAGGGCCCUUAUGAGAGGAUGGCCAUGAGGAAGCACAUAAAAUCGGCUCAAUGAUAUCCCAAAAUCUUUGAUGUAUUGUGAGAUAAAGUGGGGACUCAUCAGCAACAUUAAUAAUAUCACAUAGGUGAGGAUCUUCUUCAAUAAGCAAUUCCACGACCCCCUUGCAACGUCUUCUUAUUGCAAAGUGCAAUAAGGUAUCUUCAUCUGAAUUCGGUAUCCUAAGUAGCUCUUUUUAUGCAUCAGGUUGAUGUAUUGCUUUCACUCGAUCGAUAAAAACUCGAACCAUUUCAUGGCUUCCCACUUGGGUAGCAACAUGUAAGGGAGUGUCUCCUUUGUUGUUACCUUGCCAAAGAAGGGAUGAUCUCAAUAGAUCUUGAAGAAAAUCUCGGAUGAAAUUUACCUGCCCGAAUUGAGCUGCAACAUGAAGAACGUUGUUUCCAUUUGGCGUUCUUUGGUGGAAAAGGUCCUCUCCAUUUUCCAAAAUUAUUGUCAUAAAGGAAUGAAAUUCUCCUGACUUUACAGCCUCAUACACUUUAGGAUGUAUACCUAAUCUCUCUUUCAUUCUCAAGACACGCGGUAGCUGCAAGUGAACUUAUCAAUAUAAGCAAUGAGUUCAAGUGGGAGGAAUUUCUUUGAGUUUUUCAAGAGGAUUUGUCAUGCCCCGAUCCUCAUGGCACGCGCACAUCCCUUAUCUUUGGUCAGUUUAAAAUUUGCAAUAACCCAGGAUUAUGUAUCGCCGACCCUUUCAUUUAUAUAUGCACAUGCGGAAGCAGUCAUAAAAUCCCCAGACAAUAAAGCAAUGAGAUAUACAAGUAGGACUAGGAAAUUGAACCUGAAAACCAACACCCUUAUGCUCAUAUACAAGCCAUACUAAAUCGAUUGGUUUCUACUCAAAUUGAUUUUAUAACAAUCGUCAUCAGAAUCCUACUCCGGAUCAUCCUCGGGGUUCUCCUCCACGUACUCCUCUUCGGGUUCCUCAACAAGGAUCUCCUCAUCAGAUUCAUGCUCUUUAGGCUCCUCAUCCAGGUCCUGAAAUGGUUAUUCAAUAACCAUUGAGACAACGUCUCCGCAAGUUCUACCUCCUAAGACCCGAUUAGUAAACUAAUACACCUUAGGGCUGCCUAUGCACAACAUGAGUCAGAGGACUUACCUUGGCCUCAGAUUCCACCUGCAUAUUAGUACAGAUUAAAUAGGCACCCAAGCAAUCCCAUCACAGAUCGAAGCAUCGAUCAAAUCGACCUAGUCGAUUUCACGUCAACAAGACCACUCACGGUCAUUUCCACUAUUCCAACCAAUUUACAACAUCAAUUCAAGGCAAUGAUCAAUCGACCUAGUCGAUUACGUCUCAAUCAACCAUUCACCGAUCAUUUCAUUCAAUCAAUCAAUCCACAACAUCAAAUCAAGACAACGAUCAAUUGACCUAGUCGAUUACAUAUCAACAAGACCACUUUCGAUCAUUUCAACUAUUCCAAUUCAAUUCCCAAUAAUGAAUCACGGUCCUUAGGACACAACUUAAUUAUAGGUGGUAAUCACGGCCCCACCAAGCAAUUUUCUUAGAUUUAGUGGCAUCACGGCCCCACUCGGCAACUUUUAAUAUGUAGUGGCAUCGCGGCCCCACUCAGCAAUGUUAUAUGUAGUGGCAUCACGGCCCCACUCGUCAACUUUUAAUAUGUAGUGGCAUCACGGCCCCACUCGGCAAUGUUAUAUGUAGUGGCAUCACGGCCCCACUUGGCAACUUUCAAUAUGUAGCGGCAUUAUCAACUGAUGCUCGGUUAUUCUUCAAUUAAUAACCAAAGAUGAUUCAAUUUAGGAAUAAAUCCUAAAAUCAUUGAUAAAUCAAUUUAGCACAAAAUCAUGCUCAAUUAAAUAAACAGACUGUACAACGACAAUCAGCACGAAAUUUCGAUCGCUGGCCAUCCUAGUUGAAUUUUCGGAAAAUAAAUAAUUAAAUAAUUAAUUUCGAAAAUUAAAUAAAUACAUACAAUAAAUUCAAUUUAGAAUAAUAUAAAGCUCAAUUAAAUAAACAGACUGCACCACGAUCAUCAGCAUAAAAUUUGGGUCACUGGCCAUCUCAUCCUUAAUUUCCGAAAAUAAAUAAUUAAUUAAUUAAUUUCAAGGAUUAAAUAAUUAAUAUUAAAAACUCAAUUUAACUCAAAAUAAAGCCCAAUUAAAUAAAUGGACUUCACCACAGUUAUCGGCAUAAUUUUCUGGUUCCGGAUCAUCUUAGUUGAAUUUUCGGAAAAUAAAUAAUUAUUUAUUUUAAUUUCGAAAAUUAAUAUUUAAAUACUAAAAAAUCUCAAUUAGGCUCGAAUCGCCUAAUUAACACCCAAUAAGGGACGGGAAAAAUCCCAAGAAUCAUCCAAAAAUACUACAAGCAAUUCUCUAUCUAAUUACACUAAUUAUUUCACUAAUAUGCAAUGAAAUUAACUAAUAAUUGCUAAUCCAUUCAAAUCUAACAACUUAAUUACACUUAAUUAACACUAAUCAACCUUUAAGUGUAAUUAGUAAGCUAAGAAGGCAUUAGUGAGUAAAACUCACUCAAAACGACGGGCUCGACGCGAGGAUCGACUUUCCUCAAAGCGGGCCGAGCAUCCAGGCUUGAGAAGGCGGCCAAAAAGGGCUAAAACCCACUGUCAUACCCAUUUUCUACAACCCUCUGAUCACUGUUGGUCACGGCAGAUUCGGGGCUGGUUGAGGCGGCCAAGGGCGGUUGAGGGCGAGGCAAAGCUCUGGCGAGGUCGACGGUGGCCGGAGGUGUUUGGGUGGCGGCCGUAGGUGGCCGAAUGGGACCGACCAGAGGUGAAACAGAGGCUGGACAGAGGCGGUAGCUCGGCUGGGUGAGGCGAACGGCAUUCGAGCGGGCGAGCGCGAAGCGGACGGGGCGGCGGUGCGGCAGCUUCGGUGCGACGGCGUCCAAGCAGCUGGUCGCGGCUCCUUCCGGCAACGCUAGACUUGCUUCUACUUCUGCUAUUUGGUUCUGUUCGAACCAGAGGGAGGAGAGGGGCGAAGCUAUGCACGGGCAGCAGGACGGCGGACGGCGGCGACUCCGGCUCCAGUUGCUUGCUGCAUCGGCGCCAAGAGAAAUCACUGCUUCGGCUUGCUAGUUUGCUAAUCUUAAGCUUCCAUGGAGUUUUGAAGAAAAAGAAGGAGAUGGGGGAGGAGUUCAGUCGACGAAGGAGAGAGAGGAGAAAGAGAAAUUCAAUUUUUCCUCUUCCUCUCACACACUCUCUCUCUUAGGCCAUCACGCAUGGGCCACCAUGACAUCAUGUGAUGUCACCUUCCACCUACCAUUUCUUGACAAAUUUGCCCCUUCUAGAAGCAUUUGGGUAGGCCAAAAUAUGUGGGUAGAGGUGGCAUACGAAUUUUGCUAAGGUUUGUUUCCAAAUUAAAUCUUAAUCCUACUUGAAUCAAAUCAAAUUGAACCCUAUUAAUUUAUUCAACACCUCAUUAUUCCAAUUGGUAUUUUUCCUUACCAAUGUAGCCCACUUGCAUCCCAAUUUCACAAUCCUUGGCUUCAAUUGAACAAAAACGGCUCUAUUUAUCCAAUCGAAAUUAGAACCCGAAAAUCUGGAUGUCACAGGAUUGGUGAAAAGGGAAAAUGUUGGAGAGGAAAUUGAAUUGAGCUUCCUAGGAGUACUAAAAUGGAGACAUUUAUAUGCAUAUGGUGGUUCUUCAAUUGUUUCGAUGAAAUCGAAAUAAAUUUAGCAGGUUUAGAGAAUAGUUUCCAAAAAGUCUAAUUGGUAUGCGUUUUGGACUUCCUGCUUUCCACUUUUUAUCAAAAUCAAAACAUCCUUCUAGAAGAAUCGGAUAUGAUUUAACUUGUUUAUUAAAGUAAUAAUAUCCGUUCACUUUGAGCUGUAAUUUUUUUUUUUUUUUUAUGAAUUGAAUCGGAUCUGAUUUAACUUAUUUAUUAAAGAAAUGAUUUUCGUGGACCCACUUUUAUCCGUAGUUUUCUUCUUCUUUUUUUAUUUUAUUUGUUCAUCGAAAAGUCCUUUGCUCUUUUUAGUCUUCACGGUCCAAGUUCGUCGUGAGCAUGCAUUCUCAUCAUGGUGCACAAGAUGGACCCUACCCAAGCUUGGUCCCACUCGAAGAUUUACAUAUGUAAUUAUUAUGGAGCACGAACUUAGGUAAAAUUCAACCAAUAAAAAACUUAGGUAAAAAUUAGUUGACGACCAAUUUGAGCUCAUCCAAUAAUCACCUCUACUUCUAUAAUCCAUUGGCAAAAGUUGGAGCUCAUAAUGAUAUGUUUUCUAUUGUAAUGUUUGCACAAUAUUCUAUAACAAAUAAAAAUCUAUCAAAAAUUUAUGAUCGUUCAAUGACUAUCUAUCAUUUUUAAUAUGUGGAAGAGAGACACGACAAAAACUUAAAUUUAAAUAAAUAAAAAAGAGACAGCAAGGCCGAAGUUGUUCUACUUUUUUAACAAGGGCAGUGAACCUUGUCGAGGUCUCAGUGAGGGCCAACAACCCUUGCAGGUCUGUCCAUGGGCAAGGGCUCACAGGCCCUCAUCUACGUCACACACAGUGGUCUUCAUUGUGAAAUAAUAUGUAGAACUAAAUUCUUAAGACUAUUUUCUCAUAUUUGACCUUCAUAGAACAUUAGCCUCAAUUAUGUCUGCGAAUUGGCAAUUAGUGUCCUACCAGAAUCCCAUCGACAUUGUGUAUGUAGAUCUGAAUUCUUUGUUAACAGCAAAACUGCAUUGGCAGUGGGUUAUUUUUUCUUUUUUUAACUCAACCCUUUUUUUAUGUAUGUUGGCCUGGGCUUUUCUCCCACAUCGGUGCCAUGAAUAAUUUUUUAUUAGUUCAUUAGAAAGUGGACUUAUUUUUGUUGAUGGACUCUUUACACCGUCUCUGACUUUGAAGAGAAAUAGGAAACGGCUCAUGGGACUCAUGGACUAUGUCACUUCUAGAGCAGGUAAUUUCUCAUAAGACUAUUGCUUGUUAUUUUUAAUGAUUUGCAUCUGAUGUCCGUGACGAUCUGUUAUGUUCCUUGCCUUCCAAACUGCCGUUGCUUGUGCGAAGGUGUUGACAGUUGCUGGUCAGAUAUAUAGUCUUGUGGUACCUGAAGUGUAUCUAUAAGUCUACACAAAUGCUUUUGAAAGCUUAAAAAAUGAAAGUUAUAGUAGCCAUUAUUUACCUAAAAACGUGGGGUUUAGAUGCUGCAAUGGUCAGCUCUUUAUAAUUGUUCUGUGCCCUUCCAUGUUAUACUCCAGUAAUUCUUGGGUAACAUAACCAGCAUACUAAAUUAAUGUAGCACAUCGACAAAACAUUUAGCUCAAUAAGUGGCGAAUGGAUAAAUGACAAUGCUGUAAUCCAUGUAUUCUUACUGUUGUCUUUGUCCUGUUGCCGUUUACCUAGUUUCUCAUGUUCAUGGUUAGAGUUAUCUGUCUACCAUCAUUGCAACUUACUUGCCUGUCUCAGCAAGCACCGUGAUGAGUCGAGGUGUUGUUGAAUUUCGUGAUGGAGGACCUCUAGUGAGAAAAAGUGCUGCAAUGAGCGAGUUACACAUUUCCGUGUCGUGCCUUCUUUCUUUUUGAUAUUGAGGUGAAAACAUGUGACGAAUCACUUUAUACCAUUCGGAGAUUUUAUUCCCCUUUUUCCUUUCACAAGUUUUAUAGUAUUCUUCUUUAUUAUAUUACCGACCAACUUUUGAGACACACACGUAAAAUUCGCUUUCUUGUUUGUUCUUUCCCUAAACAUUUGGUUGAAGUAUAAUACUUUGAGUCUGCAGAGAAAAUGUGAUUCCGCUUUGCAGCAUGACACUUUGCCAAGCCAUGCUACUAUGAAGUAAAUUUCUGCAACUUCUAGGGAAAAAAAAAAAAGAUAUCAUAAGUAAUAUAACCUUUGUACGGCACUCUUUUUUCUUUUUUUAUCAUUUAAAUGUUAUCACUUAUGUAUGGCACUCUUUUGAGUACUAUAAUUAUUUUCACAAUUACUUUAGUGUUAUAUAACUUUUUAAUCAAUUACUUGAUUGUUAUAAUUUUUUUAAAAACGUUCACUAGAAGUGCUAAACUACAUCAAAUUUAUGGUAUUUGAGUGAACAUUUUUAAAAAAAUUGACACUUAAGUGAUCAACUAAACAUAAUAUUUUUUUAGAAAUAAUGGCAAUUAAGUGAUAAGAAAAAAAAGUUAUAGUACUUAAGCAAACAUCCUAUAAAAGUUAUUCUUUUAUCCCUAACUUCUAGUAUAAUCCCAGAGGUGACGAUUGCAGUCGUGGUCCUUUUAACAGCAAGUCUCUUCCUAGAACAUUGUGCCUGUGCUAGUACUGUUGUGGGCCUAGACUAUGAACCUUGACUACGUUGGCAUAACCCAUCUGAAGCUUCUUCAAUGUGGCUUCAUUUUUUAAGCAAGAUAUCGAGGAAAGAGUAUCUAGAGAGAAGAGGAACAGUAUCUUGGCGAAUGAUUAAGAACUUAGUAGUUAUGUCAUUUUUCCAUCUUUAAUAGUUAGAAAUCUCAAUGGUUCAUACUAAAUAUUUCUCUACACUAUGAACAUCAAAUAACAUAAUGUCACAAAUUAAAUCAACUGCAAAACUUGCUAAGUUCUUUCUUGCUACAACGGUAUCUAAUAUAAUUGAUAGAUUUGUUGACCUACCUUCUUGAUGUUUCGGUCCAGCAAAGGAAUAAAGUAUUCUACUACUUAACCGGCAAAGAGAGUUAUGUUACUUUAUACUCUUUCACUUGAAUUGAAAUUCACAAUUCGUUUGUGAAAGAAGCACAAAUAAUAAAAGAGAAAGGGGUUGUGAUAGGACGGUAUCAUAUAAUGUCACAUUUAGAAAUUCUUAUGAAAAGUGAAAAAUUAGUGGGCCCACAGGAAAAAAAAACCCAGUCUCUUCUGUCUUGAAUAAUGACACUUCAAUUCCAAGUAAAGGCAUAAAGAAGGAGAAGAAAACAAUAAUGAAAGAAAAGAAUAAAGUUAUGUGUGCUUUCCAUUUGUGCAUUUUUUUUUUCAAUAAAUGGAUAAUAGGGGAGGUUUGUUUCCAUGAUUCUUUUACUUGCCAGAGACACCAACUACAUAUCUGGAAAAUUUCAAACUAUUGUGUCAUUCAAAUACUCAAGCAACACAUCAUUCUCCCAAUUUUUUUUAUUCUUAUCACUCAAUUCAUUAGGAAUCUUAAAUUACUUCUCCAAUGUACUUUAGUUAACUGUUUUAACUGACCGUGCUUGUUUCUUUGUUCAUGGAAUAGGUGAAGAACUUCAAAUCAUUAGCAGAUAUUCAAGCUGAAAACCUUUUAAAUCUUGAUGACAUAUGAGUUUAAAGUUUUAGAGCACCUUAGCAAUAGUACCUUGGAAUACAGUUUUCAGUGUCUUCAGCCAUCAAUGCCUGCAACUGCAAAGUGACAAUAUUAUAUUAUAUAAACUCCGAUAUGGCUUGCCAAUAAAAUUAAGUUAGCAAUUAAAUAUCUAAAAGACGUUCAUUUAGAGAUUGAUUGCCCUAAAUUAAGGAAUUGGGGCAAAAUUCAAUGUGUUCUUAAAAAACCCUAGCCCUUAUUCGUCGAAUUGGGGCAAAAUCAUCUUAUCAAAUCUCCUUAUCAAAUCUUGCUCUAAGAAGAGCAAAGUUGGCAAACGUUCAAAACUUGUCCACGAUACGAUUUCACUACAAGGCCUUACUUUCAAUCCUCCACGCAUGGCCUCAUCUUCACUGCAAGUCCUCUUCCUUCUCCAAGCAGAAGAACCGAUCCCUUCUUCACCCAUUCUCCAAUUUCGUCGUCCUGAGCUGUAGCGAAGUAGAAUCGAAGCAUCAGACAAACAAGAAUUGAGAAAGAGGGCUCUGUUCUCUAUCGAGAAAACAGAGCUCUAUUUCGUCAUUGCGUUUGCUCUGUUGUCUCCUCACCGUAUGAGUGCACAAACGCAAGAACAUUGAGAUUAUUUCUUAGUGUUAUUAUUUUUCGUUUGCCCUUUUGCUCGUCACUUAUGCAAACACUAAAAUGUCCAAUAGGUAAUUAUUCUUCUCUUUCAAAACAAGACCGAACCAACCUCCCAAUUUCUUUUACUUCUUCAGCUCCACCUCUGUUUUUACGUAGAACCAAACUCUUCUUCCAGUUUUCUGUCCUGAAUUCGUGAUCUUCCGCUUCGUUUAUUUGGCUACUGCAGUAAAAUCAUUUUGAAUCGGUUGUUGGUUAAACGCCACAAAGAUGACGGAGAAAGUUUUUUUUUUUUUUUGGAGGGGGGUGGGGUUGGAGAGAGAAGCCCUGUUGUACUGUUCACGUUGCCAUGUUAGACGAAAAAAGUUCUGCAUUGGACUUCUUUUUUAUAAGAAAAGCCACGUAUUAAUAAAAAUUUCAUAUAAAAAACAUAGAAUAUGUUUGAAUUUACAACUAGAAGCACUUGAGUAAUGUUUUUCCACCGAUAUAACACUUGAGAAAUUACUCACAAAAUUUCGGCACUAAAAAGAUAUGACAUUUAGUGUUAUUUUCCUACCAAUGCUCUUUGAAAUAGAGAUUGGUAAGGAUUGGUAAAGUAUUUAAGCUAGAUCAUGGUAGACUGUCCUAAUGGUUUAGAAAGCAUGCAUUUUGAAUGGUUCCAUUCUUUUGAGAAUUAUUUUCUGCACUCAAACUAUUUCCAAAAUUAAGAAUUCGCUUGAGAAGUUGCACGCGCAUAGAUAAAUGAGAAUCUAGGGGAUUGGAAUAUUUUUAACAUUGACUUCGGCUUAACUGUUCUAUUUUUUAUUUUGGGUCUAUGUCAUUAAAAAUCCGAAACCUGUAUUUAGGGUUCCGGCUUGGGCCAAAUAUGUUAUGAGGAACUAGUUUUCGUAUCACAUAAAAACCUUCAACACAUUUUACCCCAAACUAAUUUUUGUCUUAUGAAAAAUCCCAAAAGUGAUAACCUAACCAAAGAUUACCCUCAACGUUUGAUCCUAAACUAUUACACUGGAUGAUAUAUUUGAGUUAGGUUUCUGGCUUGGGGCAAAUAUGUUACGGGGAACUAGUUCAAGAUUGUUUGCAAGAUGAAAAUAGAGUUUAGGAUAAAUAUAUUAUAAGGUAUCAAUUUGAGAUUUUGAUGGUAAUAAACCUAUUUUUGUUGCAUCUUGUAUUGCAUAUUGUAUGGCCAACAAGAUAGAACAUAGAAGUAUUUGAAACAUGUUCUAAGCCUUAUAUAUGAAAUUUAACCAUGUUGAAUUUAAGGCUGAGGAUUACGAAAUUGAGUUUGCCAAGCUUCCUCCUCUACAAUCUUAUGGUGCAGGAGGUGUAAAUCCAUGACAUGGUCCGCGAUUACAUUGUGCAGUUAUUUAUGAUUGUCAUUUGAUCAUGGAGCACCCAAGUUUGUAAAGUUGGUGAUCUAAUGAAAAUUGUAUUUACACGAGAAAAAUGGAUGUAACAUAACUUAUGAAAGAGGACAUAAUGAUAUGGUGUCGUCAUUGUGGUGUAAUAUUGUUGUACAAUGCUUUUGCGACUUACUCGAUGCUACCAUUUGCAUCCUUUUUAAUCUUUGAUCCAUUGGGAAAAAUAAUAUGAAUGAAUCUAAUAAAUUCAUUUCUUGCAAAACAAAAGCAAACUCCUCUCAACGCUCGGAGCUCUCUCUCUACCGAAGGUGUAGCAAUGGCAACCCUCCCUCUCACAAACCCUAAUCAUCCACCAUAACCUUGAUUCCCACCACUGUCUCAUCCAUUUCCACGAUCCCAUACCCACAAAAAAACCUAAUCACCCAUCACAACCUUGUUUCACAUUACUGUUUCAUCCAAAACCGAGAACCCAGGGCCACUGUCCUCGUCACCAGCAGGGAUUUCGCUGUUGUUCCAAGAUCCACUCACCGAAGAAGGGAAAACUGACGGCACGUAUGGAUCAGGUGUGACUCCCCUUCGAAUCCUCCAUCCCGCGGCCAAUCCCUAGUAGUAAUGGAAGGGGAAGGAGAGGCUGUGGACCGUCUUGCCCAUCUCUGCAAUAAAUUAGGUAAGAUGAUGUAUGAGAAUGAUAUGGCUAUUCUUGAUGAAGAUUUAUCGGCUGAGAAACUUCAAGAAUGCCGAUUCUCUCUAGUUGGGCAACUCUACAAUAACCCUAUUGUCAACUUUCAAGCACUUACAACAGCUAUGAAAAAGGCGUGGAAAAAUGAAAGUGUAGAGGUAAAACCCUUAGAAAAUGGGAAAAUUAGCUUUGCUUUCAAGAAUGAAGGGGAAAAAAACCGAGCAUUAGAGGGAGGUCCUUGGUCGUUUUCAAAUCAUUUAUUAAUAUUAAGAGCAUGGGAACCGGACACUCCUCUACACUAUUAUGAAUUUAAAACAUGUGCAUUUUGGGUCAGAAUUUAUGGGCUCCCACUGGAAUGGAAUUCUGAAAGCAUGAUAAAGAAGAUUGCAAGUUCAAUGGGGAAAGUUCUGGAGGUGAAAACGGAUGCUAGAGGCCUUGCUUUUCAGAAAAUAAGGAAAGCAAAAGUGGAGUUAGAUGUGGAGGCUGAAUUGCGCGUAGGACAACUGAUGCGACAAGGGAAUAAAAAAGUGUGGCUGGACUUCAACUAUGAGAGACUACCAUUUUUCUGCUUCUCUUGUGGCAAGAUAGGCCAUUAUGCAACUAAUUGUAAAGACAUACCUUAUGAGGAGGAGAAAUUCACAACUGAAUUAGGAGGCUGCUUUGGAGGCUGGUUGAAAGCAGAAACCUCUGACCAUAGCUCAUUCUGGAAAGUAUUCUAUGAUGAAGCUUCACCAACACAAAAUGAAGAAGAGGUUGUUCCUGAAACCCCUGUACAACCGGGGCAAACCGAGAUUAGGGAAGCAAACCAACACCUUCCACUUAUUAACAGCCAAAAUCUGCAGCAGGGAAGUAUGGACCAGAUGCUAAUGGAUCAUUACUCUCACACCACAAAUGAGAUAAUGAUGCAAAAUUUAGGGAAAAGAACGCUUCUACUCACUGGUCCGGAGCACAACAACAAUCUUAACAUCCAGACAUCUACUUCAAUCAGCCUCAAAAAGAAAACCAAAAUGCAACCAAAAACCCCCUCUUUCAAGAAACAAAGGAAAACCCAUGUGCAAGCAACACUAACCCCAGCACAGGGUUGGUUAGAUGAAACUCAGCUCCUUGAAACACCCAUACAGAUGACUAAAGAAGUUGAAGCAUGGGCUGUGGUGGCUAGCCCUAAUAAGCCACCAAAUGACCCAUGAAUAUACUGAGCUGGAACUGUCAAGGGUUGGGCACACCUUUGACAUUCGAGAGUUGAGAGCCUUAACGGCUCAAUAUAGGCCCUGUUUGGUUUUUAUUAUGGAAACAAAAAAUAAGGCUGAGUUUGUGCAAAGAAUCAAAAGAAGACUCCAAUUUCAGAGGUGUGUAGUAGUGGAUCCUGUGGGUACGGCGGGAGGAUUGGCCCUUAUGUGGGAUGAUAGGAUUUCAGUAGAUAUUGACACAAUGACUGAAGACUUUGUGAAUUUAAAGUGUGAAGAAGGGAUUUCAGGUAAAACAAUGCGUAUCACCUUUGUUCAUGCUCCAUAUACCUACUCCAGAAGGCUGCAACUUUGGGAGAACUUAUAACAAAUCAGCUCCUCAAAUACUUUGCCAUGGGUUUGCUUGGGGGAUAUUAAUGAAGUGCGGUUCCAUUGGGAAAAAGUAGGGAAGAGGCUGGCUGAAAAUUUCAGAAUGAGUGCUUUUCGGGAUUGCUUGGAUGCAUGCUCUUUCAUGGACAUAGAUAGUAAGGGAUGUGCUUUUACCUGGGCUAAUAACAGAGAUGGGGAAGAAUAUGUGAAAGAAAGACUAGAUAGGGUGUUGUGCACGAUUGAAUGGAGAUUAAUGUACCCUGAAGCUGAGGCUUUUGCCCUACCUACAGUAGGGUCAGAUCAUAGCCCUCUUAUAUUGUCUCUUCAAACAACUCAAGUUAGAAGAAAACGAAACUUUAAAUUUGAGGCGUUUUAGCUUUCGAAUGCUGACUGUAGGGAAGUGGUGUUGGAAUCAUGGCGUAUGCUUAAUCAAAAUCAAACAAAUCUUGCUGGAAAACUUUCUGCUGUUAAGAACGCUCUAUCCAAAUGGAGUAAAGAGACAUUUGUGCAUGGAAAAAAGAGAAUUCAAGUGCUGAAGAAGGAGCUUGAGUGUCUAACAAAUCAUAUUUCAGGUUCUUUCAACAAGGCACAAUUUCAAAAGAUCUAGAAUUGAGUGGCUGAGAUGGGGAGAUCGGAAUACCAAAUACUUUCAUGCAACAACUAUCCAAAGAAGAUAGAGAAACAGGAUUUCUAUGCUACAAACUGAAGAAAAUACAUGGUUGGUUGAGCCAAAUCAGUUAAAAGAACAUACCGUGCAGUUUUUCAGGAAGUUAUACCAGUCAUAUGGUCCCUGGAACUUCGCCCCAGUGGUAGAGUAAAUAUUUGCAGCAGUGACAGAAGAUAUGAAUAGAAGUUUAAUUGCUGAAGUUACUAUAGAAGAAGUUACUAAAGCAGCAUUUGAAUUGGGCGCAACUAAAGCUCCAGGACCAGAUGGUCUUAGUGGUUUGUUUUAUCAGCAUCAUUGGAAAGACAUCAAAGGGGACAUCUUCAAGGAGGUCAAGAACUUUAUGACCAUUGGUUCCCUCUCAACAGCACUCAACAAAACACAUAUCUCCCUCAUUCCAAAGAUUCCAAACCCAGAAAGACUGGACCAAUAUUGUCCCAUCAGUUUAUGCAAUUUCGCAUACAAAAUUAUCUCAAAAGUGCUAGUAAACGGACUCAAACCCAUAAUAUCAAAAAUUAUAGCACCAGAACAAAGCGCAUUUGUGGGCGGGAGACAAAUCCAGGAUAACAUUUUUAUUGUUCAGGAAGUACUUCAUCAGAUUCGAAUCAGGAGCAGGAAAAAGAAAUUCCAGGCUAUUCUUAAACUAGAUAUGAAGAAGGCCUAUGAUCGUGUGGAAUGGGAUUUUUUAUGGGUGGGAUGGAUAAUGAAGUGUGUUACUACGGUCACAUUUAGUGUUCAAUUUAAUGGAGAACCCCUGCAAUUCUUCCAACCCUCAAGAGGACUCAAGCAAGGGGAUCCUUUAUCUCCUUAUCUAUUUAUUAUUGUGGCUAAUGUAUUAUCUUUAUUGAUGAAGCAAGUUGUGGAAGAUGGGAGUGUUAAAGGAAUUAGACUAAACCGAAGUUGUCCUACCUUAUCUCACCUAUUAUUUGCCGAUGAUUCCAUUUUCUUCUUAAAUGGCACUAUUUUAGAAUGUCAAAUCUUGCCAUGAUCCUCAAUCAAUAUUGUUUCGCAGUUGGACAGGAGAUUAAUUUAAAUAAGUCGGGGAUCUUUUUCAGCAAGGGAUGCCCUCAAACAUUAAAAGAUAAUAUGGCAAGAGUAUUGAGAGUCCCUAUUAUUGAAAAAACAGGGAAAUAUUUGGGUAUCCCUUCUAAUUGGGGAGCAUCCAAAAAACAGAUGUUUGCAUGGGUACUUGGGAGAAUUAGUGCCAAACUAGAAAGCUGGAAGGAAAAAUUACUAUCCAUGGCUGGAAAAGAAGUCCUGCUGAAAACGGUAGUACAAGCUCUACCACAGUUUGCAAUGUCGGUGUUUAAAAUCCCGGUCUCUAUAUGUAAGGCUAUUGAACAUAAAAUUGCAGCCUUCUGGUGGAAGAGUAAUGAAAAGAAGGAAGGUAUUCACUGGAGGAAAUGGGAGCUAUUGAAAACUAGAAAAGACAGAGGUGGAAUGGGGUUUAGAGACCUUCUCUCAUUUAAUAAGGCAAUGUUAGGGAAGCAGGUUUGGAGGUUGGGACAGCAGCCCUCUUCUCUUUGGAGUUCACUGUUUAAAGGGCUACAUUAUCCUCAUACAGAUUUUUGGCAUGCAGCAAAGGGUCUUCGACCUUCAUGGGGAUGGAGAAGCUUGAUUUUAGGAAGGGAUUCAAUUGCACUGCAAGUAAUGUGGCAGGUUGGAGAUGGCUCUAGGAUAAAAAUACGGGAAGAUAAAUGGUUGCAACGAGGAAUCAUUGAGGGACCAGUAAACGCAACUGAACCAUCCUUGGUUUCAGAACUCAUCGAUAAAGAACAAGGAAUAUGGAAAGAAACGACAAUAGCAGCACACUUUGAGGACAGCCUAGUUGAAGAAAUCCUAACCAUUCCAAUCAAGCCUCAAACGGAAACAGAUAAAAUGGUAUGGAUUGGAACUUUGGCAGGCAAGUAUACAGUCAAAAGUGGGUAUAAUCACAUCAAGGAGGACACAGAACAAUGUCAGACAAAUCAUGCCACAACGUCAUUUCAGACUCCCCCCGCACUCUGGACAAACAUUUGGAAGCUACACACUCCUUCUAAGGUUAAAAACUUUAUGUGGUGCUUAUGUCAAAAUGCUUUACCGACGAAGGACAAUUUGUUUAGAAGGAACAUAUUACCUGAUCCAAUAUGUCCUCUAUGCAAUCAUGAAAGAGAAAUGGUGGAACAUCUCUUCUUAUUAUGUCCGUGGACAAGACAGGUAUGGAGCGAUCCUGUGAUGAACAUCAAAAUCUCAAGGCAGGGCUUGACAAGAGUGGAAGAUUGGUUUUGCAGACUCAAAGAAAAGGCCACUUACCCUCCAAACUUGCAAUUGGUAGCUGUUGUGUUGUGGUCUAUAUGGAAAGCGCGAAAUCAAGCUAUUUUUCGGGGUAGAGAACCCGAGGGAUCGGCCAUCAUAGAAUCUGCACAAGCAACAUUGAACAGCUAUCAAAAAUGGAAUCCACAGAUGAGUGGCCAUCAAGUAGGAGCAGGUAAUGAAUCUCAAAAUAGAGCAGAUCCAAUAGAGCAAAAUGAGCAGAUUUGGGAGCUAAAACAGAGGCAUGGAGAGUCGGGUCGAGAGCAACGGGCUAUAAAUAAUGAGCGGGGACUCAGAGUAGCGGCUGAGUAGGCAAGUAGAGAAGAUGACUUGAGAACAGACCUGCGAUUUCAACUCAACGGUGCAUGGAGUGGGCGAACUAAACAGCCUCAUGCAGAGGAGGCACCUAGAUGCUAUAGUAGAAACGGAUCUGGUGCAGGGCCCUCUUCGCUAAGAACCUCAACCGCGCAAUACAAUGAGGGAGAUGAGGACAAAACAGAGAGAUCUGCAGACAGGACAUCAAGUGCAGAGCUGCGUCCUUCAAACCGAGGGAAAGGCACCACCGACGAAGACAAAUCGGAGAACCACCUAGUUGAGCCGCGCCUUCGAAUGAGAGGUGAGCGAGGACAGGAGCUCCACGAGAGGGACGCCGAAAAAGGAAGAAGUGCUGAAACCAUAUCCCAGAACACUUGCUGCGAUGUUGAUUGGAAGACCCAUGAAAAUCCCAGAUCUGAAACCCACGAACUCCAAACACCUCAGCCAUGGAUUCCACCACACAAAGGAGUCUUGAAGAUCAAUCUGGAUGGAACGUACGAAUCUGGGAGGUUGGGGAACUCCAUUGCUUGUGUGUGCAGAGAUUCGGGAGGCAGGCUACUUGAAGGAAUCGCUAAAGGGAUCAGAGCUUCCUCUCCACUUAUGGCCGAAACCCUAGCUUUAUGGGAAGCCAUUGACUUUUUUUACCCUAAAAGACACAAAUCCAUUAUCUUUGAGUCAGACAGUUCAACACUUGUCCAAGCCAUGAAUAGUUUGGAUCAGUUCAGUUGGGAAAUUCAACAUAUUAUCAGCAAAUGCAAGGAAAAGCUACGGGCCUUCACACAUUUCCAUAUAGCCCAUUGCUAUAGAGAGGCUAACAUGGUUGCAGAUUAGGUUGCUAAAGCCCAAAAAAAAAAUCACCUACCUUGGAAUUGGGUCUCAUCCACUCCCCAAACUUUAUUAGACUUAUUAUGUAAUGACGCCCUUUUACCGGGCCUCUCUUAUUUACGUCCUUAAUGAAAUUGACGCAUUUCAGACCCAAAAAAAAAAAAAAAAAUUCAUUUCCUGCAAACCAAGCUUUACAUUGAGGAAAGGAUUAGAUUGAAGAACUUGGGUGAAGCUAGGAAAGUCAAAUUCAUCGCCUCUGUGUUGACACCUCAUUUGAGUCGAUAGUUUUAAGUAUUUAUUCUUGUAAAAGUAACCUCCCCCCCCCCCCCCCCAACCAUAAAAAAAGCAAGGGAAUAGCAAAAAGAACUAAAACAAUUAAUAGGCAAACAAAUAAUAAUCAAAUCAUUAAAUAAAAAAGGGAUCUAAUAUGGUCUUGGUCUAUUUUCUAUAGCCCCGAUCAGCUGGCAUGGCCCAGGUCCAAAUUCACGUUGAUCGCAAGAGAAAAAAGAAUGGGAGAAAAAUUGCCCUGGAAGAGAAGCUCCCCGUUCGAGAAGCUUCCGGAUUCUUCCCCCCACCUCCGUUGGACGUCGCCUACCUCCUCCGGCCGUCGGACGGUGCUCACCUCCUCCAGCCGUCGUCGAUCCUCAGUAUCGGGAAGACACUGAUCGAAGAGAAAACCAAUUUUGAGGCACGCACGCUCACCUGAGAGAAAAACACCCGGGCAAGGACGAUCGAGCAAAGGGGGAAAAGCUUGCACCCCCUCAGCACGCUUCUUUAGAGUUUCUUUUUCUUCGGUCAUCCUCAUCCGCCGGUGAUCAUCACGGUUUACCAUCGCCUGGCCUGCCAUCAACUCACGUACGUACUGUAAGAGAACUAGAACAGAAGGCAACGGUUGAAAUCACUCUGGAGGUUUUUGGAAGCGUCCAGAAGACACUCUCUUUCAGUGAUUUCUUCUGAAUCCUUUCCUGCCUCUUCGUUGUCGAUCGUGUUUUUGGCCGUGAAGACUUGAAGCUGUUUUUCUGAAAACUUCAUUACUGUUGCUCAUCCUCACCAGCGACAUUUUCCGGAUCCUCCUCAACUAAAAAUCCCAAAUGACUUUUGGGGCCUAGAUCCCCAAAGUACAAGUUUGACCCAUAUGCGAACCGGAUUCAUAGGCCCAGCCCACACCCCUUUGGCGAGGGCUGGAUGAGGCCGCCCCUCAUCAAAUUAGACUAGGAGCCCUUACCAGCGGCUAGCGAAGGAAAGAGAAAGAAAAGAAGCAAAAGAGAAGGAAAAGAAAAAGAAAAUAUUUAAAAAAAAAAAUUCAAAAAGUAUUUAAAAUUUUAAAAAAUAUUCACAUCAACGCCAAUUUUGUAACAUUAGAUGGUCGACGUUUAUGCCAGCAAUUUUUUUUUUUAUUUAUUAAAAUUGACUAGAUUGACUCAAUUAAUACCAAAGUGAAAAAAUUUAGGAUUAAAUUGGUCAAUUGAUAUGUUUAAGACUCAAUUGACAUCAAUGCUAUAAUAUUUUUUUUUUUUUGGUACUUGUCUCGUUCACAGUUUGUAUUGAUCAAUGGUUAGGCUGUUCAAGGGCCGCUGCUCCUCUCAUUGCAUUAUAUUCCACACACAAACACGAAAGACAGUGAAAUAAUUGUUUUCAGCAUAAGUGGAUGACUGAAUUUUUAUAGGUUGAUAUGGUGAUACAUCAUUGGCGUCAUGUGCCUAAUUAUUUGAUGAUGUUGCUUACUCACUGGAUUGACAUUCAAAGUUCUAAGUUUACCUAGAAAGACGACAUUCUCAUUUCUAUGAAUGCCUUACGAAGCUUUUGAAAUAAUCGGACAGGAAGGAUCUCACAUCACCCAUGACUCUUGCUCUUAAUAGAUGCUGAAAAUGUUACGGCGCUUUCUGUGGUUUUGCGGAACUAUGCCAAGAAAGAGAGAUGCAUAAAAGUUAGAAGACAAAGUCCCAAUUCAGCGGCAACUUCAAGUAAAAAACUAAACAUCACAUUCUUUGACAAAACUCCAGGGGCGUGCAAACCUUCAUCUUGAGUAUGGCAAUGGAGCAGGUGAUCAAUCCAACAAUGGACGUUGACAGGUUUUACAUCGUACAGAUGACAUGAAAGUGCUCGAAUCUAUGGCUGACAAAGCAAGAAAGAAAAUUUCCCUGUGCACAAGGUCACGGGACCGUAAAACCGGCCCAACUCAUUAGCUUGUCUAGCGACCAAUCGAUGAGCCUCCAAAGGAAAUCAGCCCAUUGCAACGCACACUUAACCAAAAGCCUCUGGAAGUACCUCUUGGGAGAGCUACGUAGCGCCCACGAAUGAGCCUCGUGGUCGGGGAGUUCAUAGGCGAAGAAAAAAGCCAAGAACCAUCCACACCACAUAUGAAAAAUCAUUCCUUCCCCGAUAGUCUCGGUGGGUUUGACCGAUAUAGUAGCCGCCCCGAGAGGAUAGGCUAGCGUGAUCCCGCAUGACGCAACAUAAAUUAAACAUCCCACGGACGAGAUGCGUCUCAGCUCUUGACGAUGGCUGUGCGUAGAACCUAGACAAAUAAAGAGUAUUGCCAUCAUGGAUAAAGUGAACGCCACACCGUUACAUAGCAUAAAGCCUUUGAAAGAUCCCCUGCCAGCAUGAAUCGCAACUCCAUCAUUGUUAUAACCUCCGGGCACUGUGAGAAGGCCGUGUUGGAAAUUUCCUAUAAUAUGGGCUUACAUUAAUUAAUUGAUUUUCUAUUUUAAAUAAUCGGGUUAAUGGAUAUUUCAAUAUUUGUUAAACCCUAAAGUGAUCUGAUUGAAUUGGGUAUUGGCAUUCAUUGUUAACGGGCCUAGUUGAGCAGCAAAGUGUAAGCAAUUGUGUUUGACUGAAGCCUGUAAUGGAAAGGGCCCAGUUGACAAGCUAUUGAUUAGGGUUUGCUAGGUCCCCUCUCUAGCCUAUAAAAGGUAGGUUAUACCUAUCAGUUGCUUUAAUCCCAUUGAAAGUUGCUAUAUCAAAAUAAGUCAUAGAGAGGAAGAUCUGGUAUUGCAAUAGAUCCCUGAUUAUCAGAGUGAUCUAGUUUUCUUAAAGUAAAGCAAUGGCUCAAACAGGUACGCUUUAAUUCCGUUGUAUUUAUUGAUCUUGGUGUUUUACAAUCAUGUAUGAAUCCGUUUGUUCUUAAUUGAUUAAAUAAUAUUCUACAUGUGGUAUCAGAGCAGAUCGUAUAUGAUUGUAGAACCCAAAUUUUCUUUUUAUGGAAAAAUUUGAAACCCUCCUUUUUGAGCCGAAUAUGGGCAUUAUUUUUUCGUAUAGAUUUUUUGCUUGAUUAAUCCUAUAACCAUAGGGCUUUUGUUCUACAUGUUGAGAUCUUUCCAACCAUAUAUAAUUUGCAUAAUUUCAUUGAGAAUUGAGAGAGAAUUUUAGAUUUGAAAUUCUAGGGUUUAUACGUGAAAAAGUUCUAGAAUUUGCAAAUUACUUGCAAUUGAUUGAUGUAUGAUGUAAACCGUUGCAUGGGUAUUGUUAUAUAUUUGUUUUAGUAUCUUUUGUUGUAUUGAAUUGAGUUUUUAGGGUUUAAAUUUAGGAAAUUCGAAAUUCGGACAUGGGAGCUUUAGAUCCGAAACUUUGAGGCUUGUAUGUGGUAGAUUCACUUGGUUUUUCUUCAUUUAAUUCAUUGUAGUUAAUUAUAUUGAUGUUUUAUGCAAGUACCAUGGAGAAAUUUCACCAAAAACCAUGUUAAUUUGUGCCUUUGGAGCUUCGGGUUGAAACCGGGUCAUGCGACCCGGUUUUCUGCAAAUUCAUGACCCGGCUGGAGGUUGAAGAAGACCUCUAGCCGAGCUGGGCCAUCGAAUUGGGCUCACGUCCAUUAUAAAAAAAAAAAAAAAAGGUUCUCGGCGUAAGCCCAGAACCAUAAACAAAUUAAAAGGUUCUGGGCUCACGCCCAUGAACCAAAGUAAAGAGGUUCUGGGCGUGAACCCAGAACCAAAAAAUAAAUGGGACCAUAAACAAAUUAAAAGGUUCUGGGCUCACGCCCAUGAACCAAAGUAAAGAGGUUCUGGGCGUGAACCCAGAACCAAAAAAUAAAUGGGUUUGGCCCAUUUUUUGUUUUAAUUCGUGGCCCACCCGCAUGGUUUGUGUGCGGGCCAGGCGCACGUAUGACACGUGGGUCUGGCCCGCGGUCUGAUAAGGGCUGCUUGCGGGUCCUGGGCCCACGGGAGUCCGAAAUAUUUAAAUAAUAUUAUAAUAAUAUUAUAAUAAAAAUUUUAAAAAUUUUAAAAAAUUUUAAAAAAUUAAAAAAAAAGUGGCAAAAAAUUGUUGUUUGAAAAUGUGCAAUAUGAUCUUUGGAAACACAUGUUGUGAAGUGUUUCAUAUUGUUUGAUGAAUUUUGGGCAUAAAUUUUGGAGUUCCCUAUUGAUAAAAGAUUAAUAUACACAAUUACUCACCCAAAGGGAGUUAUUGUGUAUAUUAAUUUGGAAAAAUAACAUGAAAUUUAUACACAUAUUUAAAAGAUGGGGAUGUAUAAUUGAAAAAUAUUUCUCUGCCCAAAGGGUAAAUGUUUUGAAAAUUAUAUGUAAUUCCCCUCUAUGUUGAUAUUAUGGAGAUGUAUGAUUUAAAGGAUUUGUCUGUCCAAAGGGGAUGGAUCCUUAACAAUUAUAUGUAAUUCUCCUGUUGUUGCUUUAUAAAUUUUAUGCUGGGAAAAAUAAUUGUGCAUUAUACACUCUGCCCAAAUGGGAGUUUAUGAUGUACUAAUUAUUUUUGUUGAGUGCCAUAAUUGAUCUUAUUGCAUCAUGUGUGUCAAACAGUUACCUUUCCUGUAAAUAACAACAAUGCCACGGUUGAAAUAUUAACUGGAUCGAACUUCAAGAGAUGGAAGCAAGAUAUAGAGUUUGCUUUGGGCAUCAUUGAUAUGGACUUGGCUCUACGUGAGGAUGAACCUACCAGGCCCAAUGAUCAAAGUACUGCAGAUCAAAAGGCCCAUUAUGCUCGAUGGGAAAAAUCUAAUCGACUGAGCCUCAUUGCUAUGAAGAGGUCUAUUGCUGAGCAUUUGAUUAGUGGUUUGCCUGAAGAUACGAAUGCCAGACAAUUCCUUGAAGCAGUGGGAGAAAGAUAUAGAGUCUCAAAUAAGGCUGAAGCUGGGAACUUGCUGAGUGAGUUAACGAACAUGAGGUAUGAUGCUGCUAUGGGUGAGAGAAUUUAUACUGAAGAUGGUCCACAUUCAGUCCAAACUUAAGGCCCAUGAAAUUGUUCUUUCUGAAAAUUAUAUUGUGCAUCAAGCCUUAAAUGUUUUGCCAGCUGAAUUUAGCCAGAUUAAGACUGCUUAUAAUGCUCAAAAUGAGACAUGGAGUGUUAAUGCCUUGAUUACUAAGUGUGUGACUGAGGAAGAGAAAUUAAAGAAGGAAAAGUAUGAGUCUGCCCACUUAACUACCAAUGCCAAGUUGAGUUCAUAUAGAGGCAAAUGGAAGCCUAAGGGGUCAAAUGCUCAUGGCCCAAAGAAAUGGCAAGACUUUAGGAAAAAUGAGAACUAUGUGAGGAAUGGAGAUAAGGAUUUUAAAUGUUUUCACUGCAAGAAGCAGGGUCACAAGAGAGCCAAUUGCUACAAAUUUCGAGCUUGGCUAAAAACAAGAAAAGAAAGUCACCAAGGUGAGUUGUUGGUUUGUUUUGAAUCAAAUUUGGUUGAUGUUCCUUUGGAUUCUUGGUGGCUUGAUUCUGGUGCUACUGUUCAUGUGACUACUACCUUACAGGGUCUCACAAAUCUAAGGAGUCCAAGUCUAAGGGAGUCAAAGCUUAAAGUUGGAAACAAUACUGGAGUUGAUGUGGAGCGUAUAGGGACAGUUGUUUUGAAUUUAGAUUCUGGUUUUCAGCUUGUCUUAAACAAUGUCUUUUAUGUUCCUAAUUUUAGGAGAAACUUAGUAUCUCUUUCUUCACUUGACAAAGCUAGAUAUUGUUUUCAUUUUGCGAAUAAAAGAGUGGAUUUGAGUUAUGAUUCCAGAAUUAUUGGGAAUUGUGUUUUGUUUGAUGGAUUAUAUCGAUUAUCCUUAUCUCCCGAUAGACCAUAUUGCUCUUUCAAUGUCGAGAAUGUUGUUGCUAAGAGAUCUUUGAUUAAAGAUAGAUCUUCAUUGCUAUGGCAUAAGCGAUUGGGGCAUAUCUCAAAAGAACGGGUAAAACGACUUAUCAUGGCUGAUAUUCUCCCUCCUCUUGACUCAGAUGAUAUUGAGACUUGUAUUGAUUGUGUAAGGGGAAAAUUAACUAAAACAAAGAAGAAAGGUGCUACUUGUAGUCAAAGUCUAUUGGAGAUAAUUCAUACUGAUAUUAGUGGGCCAUAUUCAACCACCUUGUGUGGAAAUAAAUACUUCAUCACGUUCAUUGACGAUUUCUCCCGUUAUUGUUAUAUUUAUCUAAUUAAGGAGAAGACUGAUGCUCUUGACAUAUUUAAAGUGUUUCGUAUUGAAGUUGAGAAACAAUUAGGAAAAAUUAUCAAAAUUGUCAGAUCUAAUCGUGGUGGUGAGUAUUAUGGGCGAUAUACUGAGGUUGGACAACAAAAGGGACCGUUUGCAAAAUAUUUGCAGGACUGUGGUAUUGUUGCUCAAUAUACAAUGCCUGGGAGUCUUGAGCAAAAUGUGUAGCUGAACGGCGAAAUCGCACACUCAUGGAGAUGAAACGAAGUAUGAUGGGCAGUUCUAAUUUGCCUGAAUACUUAUGGGGUGAUGCGAUUAAAACGGCAACUUAUAUAUUGAAUCCUGUACCUAGUAAAUCGGUGCCGAAAACACCUUUUGAAUUGUGGAUGGGAGGAAACCUAGCUUGAAUCAUUUUCGAGUUUGGGGUUGUCCUGCAGAGGUGAAAAUUUAUGAUCCUUCUCAGAAGAAGACCGAGUCCAGGACUACUAGAUGUUAUUUUAUUGGAUAUCCUGAUCAUUCUAAAGGGUAUAGAUUUUAUUGUUCUGCUCGAGGCACUAGAAUCGUUGAAUCUCAAACUACCAAAUUCCUGGAAUUAGAUGUUGCUGAAAAGAAUUCUUCUCAAUCUUUUGAAAUGGAAGAACCAAAUAAAACGGUCUCUAUUCCAUUGCCUAUAUUACAUGAUGAUUCUAUGCGAGAUCCUUGUCGCGACCUCUUUUUUUUGGCGCUCACAAUUAGGUGCGAGCGCCUAAGGAGGCUAAUGGCUCAGCUGAAAUUAAUUAUGCCCGAACUCUCCCAAGUCCACAAAUUCAUGACUUUAAUAGUUUGAGUUUUUAACCUAUGGAGUGGGUCGAUUAGAAACCCAAGUGAAGUAUCGGGAGAAAUACUUGCUCCUGAGCAACUAGAGAAAUUAGGAUCAGAGACUUGAUUACACUAGUUAAUCACUAAUGCCCUUUCGGUACCUAAUCUUGUUUAAACCCUAAGGCUUUUUUGGAUGUUAGAGAGAUUUUCCAUGCAUUUUUGGGAGGAAAAACAUUUUUUUGAGUCAUUUUCUAAUUUUUUGACGCAAAAGGGAUUUUUUGGGAUUUUUUUUUGGAAAAACACAAGUCUUUUUGGCUUUUCUGAAUUUUUUUUGGCUUUUUCAUGAAUUUUUGGCUUUUUUUUGGAUUUUUGGCAUAUUUUUUAUUUUUUUUGGAAAAUAAAAUAUUUUUUUAAUAUUUUUCAAAAUAUUUUUGGAAAAUAAAUUAUUUUUGAUUUUUCUCGAUUUUUUAGAAAAUAAAACAUUUUUCGACAUUUUUUUAAAUAUUUUUCGAUUUUCUGGAAAUUAAAAAAAAAUUUAAUAUUUUUUUGAAAAUAAAACACUUUUUGAUUUUUUUAAAUAAAAUAUUUAUUUGAAUUAUUUUAUAUUAAAAUAACAAAAUAAAACCGACCCGGGUCGGAUCCACGGGUCGGGUCCAACCUGGGUUGGCGACCCAAACGCGGACAAGCCCGCAUUGCGGGCCCGACUCGGAUUUUUCAUCUUUUUUUUUUAAAUUUUAUUAAAACGAUGCUGUGGUCGGGCGUUUGGGGAUGCUCGGCCCGGCCCGACGACCCAGAUCCAUUGACCCGCUCCGCGACCCGGCUCCCUGCGAACCCUACCCGACCCGGAUCCGAAUCGCGACCCGACUCCUGCCGCCCCCCGAAUCUCGCGAAACCUACCCGGUUCCGAGACCCGGAUCCGACUCGGCGACCUGGAAAAUCGCAAACCCUAGGGUUUGCGAAUCCGUGGCGCCGAGGGGGGGACCAAGGUGCUUAGCGGCGGCGGCGACUACAGCGGCGACGACGAAGGCAACAACGGCGAUGGCAACGCUAACGGCGGCGCUCUUUUUUUUUACCUUCUCUCGAACGAGGACGGCGACGGUAACAAUGCCAGAUCGAAGGCAGCAGCGGCGGAGGCGCUCGGCAGCACGGCGGGGUUUUGCACAGCAGCGGCGUCGGGGGGUGUGACGGGGACGGCACGGCUCAAUGAUGGUGACGGAACCCUGCUCUUCGAAGUUCACUCAGAUUUGGACGACGUCGGGGAAAGCGGCGGCGGCGAGGUGUGAGGACGUCGGCACGGCAAGAUCUGGGGCAGUAGCAGCGUCGGGGCGGGGAACAGCAACGACAGAGCAGUGGUUGCAGGUGGUGGAGAGCUUCCGGCUUCCUAAAUCUGGCCCUCCCUCCUCCGGCUGACCUCGUUCAACCCUUAUUUCACAAAUCCAGGUGCUCGGAUCUACCUUCCUUGGGCUCAAUCUUCUCUCACUCAGGCCAGAUCCGAGCCUCCACCAGCCGGAUCUGACCUUCUCGAAGUCGCUUGCGGUCGGCCUUCCCCGAAGUCUCUCGGUGGAAGGUGGGCUGAGUUUGCAACUCGAGUUCUCUCCCGCGCUUGCCCUUCAAUCCUUCCCGAUGUCUCUCAGUGAAGGAUCUCCGAGCUCGCCCGUGCCGUUCUUCGAUGAAGGUGGUGCCCUUUUAUAGGCGAGGGAAUCCAAUCGACGGAGCUUCGACCGCCGGUCCCCUUCGUGCGCCGAGCGGUUCUCCUCGGCUGAACCGGCGUCCCAUCCGAGCUCAUCCAGCGAAGCAUGCUCGGCAUUGAUGGCGCUCGUGAUCUUAUCUCUCCGGCUGACGUCGGCCUACUCCCCUCGGCCGUAGGCCGUCCUUUGCGCUCGUCAUCGUCUUCUGCGCGUGAACUACAGNNNNNNNNNNNNNNNNNNNNNNNNNNNNNNNNNNNNNNNNNNNNNNNNNNNNNNNNNNNNNNNNNNNNNNNNNNNNNNNNNNNNNNNNNNNNNNNNNNNNNNNNNNNNNNNNNNNNNNNNNNNNNNNNNNNNNNNNNNNNNNNNNNNNNNNNNNNNNNNNNNNNNNNNNNNNNNNNNNNNNNNNNNNNNNNNNNNNNNNNNNNNNNNNNNNNNNNNNNNNNNNNNNNNNNNNNNNNNNNNNNNNNNNNNNNNNNNNNNNNNNNNNNNNNNNNNNNNNNNNNNNNNNNNNNNNNNNNNNNNNNNNNNNNNNNNNNNNNNNNNNNNNNNNNNNNNNNNNNNNNNNNNNNNNNNNNNNNNNNNNNNNNNNNNNNNNNNNNNNNNNNNNNNNNNNNNNNNNNNNNNNNNNNNNNNNNNNNNNNNNNNNNNNNNNNNNNNNNNNNNNNNNNNNNNNNNNNNNNNNNNNNNNNNNNNNNNNNNNNNNNNNNNNNNNNNNNNNNNNNNNNNNNNNNNNNNNNNNNNNNNNNNNNNNNNNNNNNNNNNNNNNNNNNNNNNNNNNNNNNNNNNNNNNNNNNNNNNNNNNNNNNNNNNNNNNNNNNNNNNNNNNNNNNNNNNNNNNNNNNNNNNNNNNNNNNNNNNNNNNNNNNNNNNNNNNNNNNNNNNNNNNNNNNNNNNNNNNNNNNNNNNNNNNNNNNNNNNNNNNNNNNNNNNNNNNNNNNNNNNNNNNNNNNNNNNNNNNNNNNNNNNNNNNNNNNNNNNNNNNNNNNNNNNNNNNNNNNNNNNNNNNNNNNNNNNNNNNNNNNNNNNNNNNNNNNNNNNNNNNNNNNNNNNNNNNNNNNNNNNNNNNNNNNNNNNNNNNNNNNNNNNNNNNNNNNNNNNNNNNNNNNNNNNNNNNNNNNNNNNNNNNNNNNNNNNNNNNNNNNNNNNNNNNNNNNNNNNNNNNNNNNNNNNNNNNNNNNNNNNNNNNNNNNNNNNNNNNNNNNNNNNNNNNNNNNNNNNNNNNNNNNNNNNNNNNNNNNNNNNNNNNNNNNNNNNNNNNNNNNNNNNNNNNNNNNNNNNNNNNNNNNNNNNNNNNNNNNNNNNNNNNNNNNNNNNNNNNNNNNNNNNNNNNNNNNNNNNNNNNNNNNNNNNNNNNNNNNNNNNNNNNNNNNNNNNNNNNNNNNNNNNNNNNNNNNNNNNNNNNNNNNNNNNNNNNNNNNNNNNNNNNNNNNNNNNNNNNNNNNNNNNNNNNNNNNNNNNNNNNNNNNNNNNNNNNNNNNNNNNNNNNNNNNNNNNNNNNNNNNNNNNNNNNNNNNNNNNNNNNNNNNNNNNNNNNNNNNNNNNNNNNNNNNNNNNNNNNNNNNNNNNNNNNNNNNNNNNNNNNNNNNNNNNNNNNNNNNNNNNNNNNNNNNNNNNNNNNNNNNNNNNNNNNNNNNNNNNNNNNNNNNNNNNNNNNNNNNNNNNNNNNNNNNNNNNNNNNNNNNNNNNNNNNNNNNNNNNNNNNNNNNNNNNNNNNNNNNNNNNNNNNNNNNNNNNNNNNNNNNNNNNNNNNNNNNNNNNNNNNNNNNNNNNNNNNNNNNNNNNNNNNNNNNNNNNNNNNNNNNNNNNNNNNNNNNNNNNNNNNNNNNNNNNNNNNNNNNNNNNNNNNNNNNNNNNNNNNNNNNNNNNNNNNNNNNNNNNNNNNNNNNNNNNNNNNNNNNNNNNNNNNNNNNNNNNNNNNNNNNNNNNNNNNNNNNNNNNNNNNNNNNNNNNNNNNNNNNNNNNNNNNNNNNNNNNNNNNNNNNNNNNNNNNNNNNNNNNNNNNNNNNNNNNNNNNNNNNNNNNNNNNNNNNNNNNNNNNNNNNNNNNNNNNNNNNNNNNNNNNNNNNNNNNNNNNNNNNNNNNNNNNNNNNNNNNNNNNNNNNNNNNNNNNNNNNNNNNNNNNNNNNNNNNNNNNNNNNNNNNNNNNNNNNNNNNNNNNNNNNNNNNNNNNNNNNNNNNNNNNNNNNNNNNNNNNNNNNNNNNNNNNNNNNNNNNNNNNNNNNNNNNNNNNNNNNNNNNNNNNNNNNCACUUAAAAGGGUUGGAACACCUGGAUAGCCACAGGUGUACAAAGUACUGGGAUACUUGGAUGAACACAAGUAUUUAAUGAUACAACCUGGGACCACUCAGUUGGUCCAAGUGUAAGAAAGCAUACCUAGGUAGGCGCAAGCACACAAAGCAGUGGAAUGCUUGAACAGCAGCUAUUAUUUGGGGACAACUCACGCAAGUUGAGUGUCAUGAAAAGGAAGUACCUAGACAAGGGUGGGUACUUGAUGAUAUGGGGAUACCUAGAUAGCAGUAGGUAUUCCAAGAGAUACUUGGUCAGUCACAAGUAUCAAUACUCUGGGGACAACUCGUACAGGUCGAGUGUCAGAAAAAGGGAGUAUCCAAAUGGUGACCGGUACUCAAAGACAAUAGGGAUACCUAGACAGCAGUAGAUAUUCAAGGAUAAAGGGAUACUUGGUCAGUCACAAGUAUCAAUACUCUGAGGACAACUCGAAUAGGUCGAGUGUUAAGAAAAAGGAGUAUCCGGAGGGUAGCCGAUACUCAAAGACAAUGGGAUGCUAAGACAGUUGCAAGCAUCGAAACUCAAGAGACAAUUCGAAUAGGUCGAGUGUCAAGAAGAGAGUACCCGGACAGUGAUAGGUACUUUAAGACAAAUGGGGAUAGAGAUAUGCUUACUUGGCAAUAUCUCUGAUCUCUAAGAGUAUGUCUGCUAUUUGCAUAGUAUGCACACAUGAUUGUAUAUGUUGUAAAUUCAUGAGUUCAAAUGAGAUUCAUGCAGGAUAAUUUUGUUAAUUUUGCAUCAUAUGAUUUCCACUGGGGAAGAUUUUGAAAGACAACCCUCAUUUAGAAUGUAGAUGUCUUGAGCAUGCCAGAUGAGGGACUUUAAGUCUGGAAAGACUUUCCGCUCACUCUCAUGGAAAAGGCUAUCCUGACCAUUGAUGUAGGAUUCAUAAGGACCACACUAUCUCACUGUCAUCAUGUCAGUAGGGGUCUGAGUAUUCUCGCAAGUGGUACAACUUUACCAAUGUGAGAGGUCUUUGUCGAAAUUGUGAUGAAGACUUGGUCAACGGCUCAUCAAAUGGGACCGUCAAGGUUAAGGCUUAUGAACAAAGUGCCACACGAUCAUCUCCGAGUUUGCAAGUCAAGAAUCCUGCGAAAAGAGAUAGAGUAAUCUUGCUUGUACUUCUUCGAGCGAUGCUUAUGAACAUAUGAAAUCCUACAUUAAUUGAAGUGCCCUUAGUCUGAAGAGACUUUUACAAUGGGAUAUAAUGUAGGCUUGAUUCAUGUGUGAAAAGGUAGAGCUGGUGAUUGCCUUGACAUUUGUCACCAGUCUUUCUUCUCAUUGUCAAAUGGAGGUUCUAUGGACCACAACAGCAACUUUUUCUUGGCUGUAUUUUUGACUGGGGGGCAUUGGCCUUGCUUUUACCGUGCACACUGCUUUUUCCAUGUCCUUAUUUUUAUUCCAGUUCUUCAUUUAUGGGCAUUUACCUUGCUUUUACUAGGUACAUUGAUUUUUUAUGCCCAUGUUUUUUCAUUCUUGUCGUUGGAGGAACUGGCCUAGGCAAGUUCAAUCGAAGCAUCGUUAUUAGACUCUUGAGUCUUCAUCUUCAGUAGGUGCUUUGGGCUAUGCUGCUUAAAUGGUAGUAACUUCUGUUUUGUCUCAAUGUGAGGGUAAAAUUACAAACUCACUUAGGUUGUACAAUGAAUACAAGUGCAUAGAGAAAGAAAUGCUCUUCGUCAAGAAAUGCUCUUCGUCAUUCUAGGGCACUUAAAUUAAUGUGAGUGUUCAUAUGCAAUAAAGACAUCCAAAGAUUGAUGCAAGUGCGAGCAAGAAAAUUUUUAUCUCUCUUCUCACCUUGUGAUGCUGCUUCGCUUCUAAUCUGCCCCGGUGUAGGGGUUGUUCUUGAUGGGUGUAUGAGAGAAGCUUCACCAAUGUAUGGGGCUCAAUGGGGUGAGUGAUGGAAUGCCUCUCACUAUUUUGGUUAUCAUACCAUUCGCAAGAGAACUCUUUACCUUGCAGCCAUGGAAUCUUCUGCACUCAUCUCACAAGUGUAUAGAUGGGGGACUGUGUAUAGGAUAUGGCUUGCCUUUCAUCAUUCUGACACGCCUCAUCCAACAUGCUCAAUUAAUCUUGUAUUCCUCACUUAGCUGUCUAUUUUAAUAAUCCUUAGUGGAAUCAGUGACUUAGACAGGCAAAAUCAUUAUGCAGAAUUCAUCUGGAAAUGACAUGCAACAUUUCAAAUAUGAUGGAGUUUGAACUCUUCAAAACAAGUGAAUGGUUUUGACUCAAAAAAGACCCAAUUGACAACUUUAGGGGCUAACAUAAUGGUAUUUCCAAAUACAUUAGAUUUUGAACAUCAAAAGGGUUAUUCGCAAAUGGGUGUCGAUAGUUGUCCUUAUUGGUUAGGGAUAUGACACAUGAAGGAUCAGCCAGGGUUGGGAAUCUGAUCGAGCCUCUUUGCUUUUGCCCCUGCAGAAGAGAAGAUGUACAAGUAGAUCAAUUAGUCUGGCCAAAAUUAAAUGUGGGUUGAGGCUUGAAGAUUUUCUGUCAUUUGCUUUGGUGAUUACUGAAGACGCCAUUUCAUUUAGGAGAGUUUGUCAUGCCUCUCAUUGAUUAUUAUCCUUGUCAAGUGAUCCUGCAACAAGACAUGCUUCUCGUUGAUUUGUUAUCCUUGCUUUUGACAGUCAGGUGAUCCUGCAACAAACAAGAGGGAAUGUGUUAGUCAUGAACUCUUUCAAGAGUCGAAUAACUGGAAUCGAUACAACUUUACCCUUCAUUGGCUUGUAGAUGAUUGGGUGAACCUGAAGUGAGAAGGGGGACACGAAGUCCUAUGUCCCUUGUUUCAUUAGGUCAAUUAUUCUCUGAAUUAGCUCCUGGAUAUCAUGUCUUUUUACACGAAGCUAGGUAAAUUUGAUGUAGGUCAUUUCCAUGUACUAGCUUGGCCAAUAUUGAUUUGCCUAACCAUCAAAUUUGGCUCUUGAAUCCUAGCGCUUCCUGCCAAUAGGGGAAAUAUGUCAAAAGUGAAUUCAAAGAGGGGGGAGUAUUGGAAACGAUACCAAAUUAUUCUUCCCCAAAGUUUGUAUUUUGCUAACUCCUGAUGAUGUUUGAAUGUCGAUGACAGCCUUUUCGUCUUGGCAUAGUUUGACAUUUCUUUCGAUUGGCCUUCCUCACUUGUGACCAUGUAUGCAUGAUUGUUGGUCGUUGAUUCAUCUUCGACGCUUUCCUUAUGUGGAAUUUCUCCUCCUGUCUUUAACUAUAGCAUCAUGGGGCAAAAGUCAUGUACCUCAAGCUUCUAUGGAAUCUGAGAUCAAAAGUCUCAAGCUUUCUAAUGGCAAUUACUCCUCAGAAGAAUACACGUCUGGAGUGAAGUUUCUAGAUUCCAACAUCAUUUUCCAGGGUGUGGGGCUAUAGGUCGCUUUGACUGUCUAGAUUUUCUCCCUGUUGACAGUAAUCACUUUAAAGGAAGAGAAGCAAAUCCUUCUUUGUGCUUCUUGGCUCGUUGAAGCUGGAAGUCCUGUCAAUGAACUUGGGACAUCCUGCCUUGAGCUAUCAUGCUAUGCAUGCUUCAAGUUUGAUAAUAUGCCUGUGCCUAUUACAUCCCAUCCUUCGUUUCCUGUAGAUGGAAGAGAGAGGAUGUCAUUUUCGACAUUAUGUUCAGGGAAUAGGACUUACCAUUUUGAAACGUGAUGAUCCUUUAUGUUUGCCCCUACUUUCUUGGGAGGGUGUCAUUGAAUUCGAUGAGUUCACAUAAUGUGCUUGCUUCAAAUGCCCCCUGUCACACUAAGUCAAAGGGGACGGGAAUGAUUUUCUGAGACAUGAAGUGAGUGAGUCAAAAAGACAAACAUGAUUAAAUUUAUCAUCUUUUUUUGAAAUAUUUUGGUGAUGAAGUGUUUUUUGUUUUCAAAAUAUGUAUUCGGGGGAGAAAAAGCAUGGUUGGAUAGCACCAUCAGGCUGGUUUGGAGUACCGCCUCAUGCUCUUAAAACAAAAUAUUAUAACUACACAAUAGAGUACUUGGAAUGGAAUAUACAACCGUAGCACACUAGAUAAGAUAAGAAACAUGAAAUUAUAAAAACAAGUAAAACCCAUGAAAACUCCUAUGUAAAGGAGUGCUUUGAUAGUGUUGGUUCUAAAAUCAAGCGCCUUUGAGUUCCUCGCCUCCAGUAGACUCGAAGUAUUCACAUGAGAGGACCACUUCAUUGAAGCUAUGGAAAUGCAACCCAUACAACCAACAACGAUACUUGCGAGGUAAAGCCCGUAUGAAUAGCUUUAUCAGCUUUAUCAUCUCUUCUUCAACCAACUGAGGGUAAGUUUGCAUCAUAAAAGCCUCCCACCUUCUUGCAUAUGCUCGGAAAUCCUCCAUUGGUCUUUUUCUGAAGUGAACUAAGUUCUGACAAGGCACUUCAGUUCCAAUCUGGCGUUGAUACUGAAGCAGGAAUGCAGAAGACAGCUCAUUCCAAUCUCUCAUGAGGUAGAUAUCUACUGUGAUGAACCAUUGUAAUACAGAUCUCGUAAGACUCUCUUGGAAGGCCUGAGUUGUGAAUGACAUCGGGCCAUAGUACCGACUCAUUUCAGCAUGGAGGUACUGCAAGUGGACCACGGGGCAAGUCGUGCCGUUAUACUUGCGAAGAUUAGGUAUCCACAUCUCUCCAUGGGUCAUGAUCCUAUGAGUGCAAGACGAGUUUGAUGUAUCCUGGUUAGGCCACUGGUUUUUCCAUUGCAUAUCUGUUGUAGUGGUGAAUUUUUCUGUUUCAGGGAAGUUGGAUUCUAUCCAGAUUACCCCAUUGCUUUCUUCUUGGUCAAAAUUUCCAAAUGAGGAUAAAAUAUUGAAGCUAUCCUCAUGGUCAGAGGACAAGCUUAGUACUUCGUUAGGAUCAUAGCGGAUAAAGACGUAUGCUUCCUCUUCUGACGGGCCUUCAUCCCUGGAUGAGAGUAGGAAACAGUUAUAUGAUGAAUCGUCAGUUCAUUGUUAAAAUAACGCUGGAAGUCCUUGGGGUCGUAUUCUAUAGCCUUCAAAGCUGUAUUCUUGGGAAUGCUUGAAGCCUUGGUGCGGUGGCUCGUCAGCAGGUGCUGUAUUGAUUUGCUUAGGCUUUCUUUUCUUGACCUUUAGUCCAGACCUUUUGAGUAAGGCCCUUCAUUUUGCCAGCUCGAUUCUAUCAAGGGAAGUGAGAGACAUUAGAGUUUUACUGUCUGAUUCGCUUUCCAGGUUGAUAAGGGUCGGUAUUUUUUUUGACCCUAGCUCUUGGAGUAAGCUUGGGGAGUCGUCCAGUUGUGCCCCGGUCUUGAACAUGCUCUGUGUCUUUGAUCUCGUACAAAGGCUCCUUGCCUUUCCUAGUGGGAAAUUUUCCAAUAACAGGGUGUUGUUCAGCUGCCCAUUUAUCAUGCAAGGCUUUAUUGACAUGUUCUUCUCCUAACUCAGCAACUAACGGUUCCUCGUGCUUUGCGAUCAUCAGCUCUUCAUAAGGCAAGGCUAUGUCAGGGCUGAUGUUAAUAUCAUAUUCUUGGUGAAAAACAUGAAUUAGUUGCCUCUAGGUUUUAAGGAGACUAAUCUUCCUGACAACGUACCAUCGCAAGGUAGGGGCGGUCAAGCUCGAUUGGUUCGAUUGAAUCAUCCUUCAGAUUAGGUAGGCCUGCAAGUAGGUCUCUGGGUGGGAGGUAUCAACGUUCCUUUCACAUUCAGGUGCUUUGAGCUCUUCAGGAAUCUCAAUGCCGGCGUAAAUGGACAGGUCCAUGGGAUUCUGCUCCUGCAGCUAGCUUAACUUUUUCAUGAUCUUUUCAAACUGUCUAUGGUACUGGCUAUUUACUGGCAAAUUUGUAGGUGUCAUGACGGUGUUUGAGGCAACUAUAAAGUUGGGCUCAGCUUGAGUGAAUUUCAUUUGUCUUGAGAGUUGUUGAAGGACAAUGGACAUCUGUCCUACGCUGUCUUCAAUGUUAAUAAGGCGAUUUUGUACAUCAUUCUGAUCAGGCCCUAUUACUUGAGGCCAUUCGCAGGUGAUUGGUGGCCGGCGAUUCAUAAUUACCUGUUUAUUGAGAAAACAAUAAAUGAGCAUGGAAGUAAACAAAGAUUGACCCAUGGCAAUGGUCUAACUGCUUUUUUUAUUUAUCAAAAGAGGANNNNNNNNNNNNNNNNNNNNNNNNNNNNNNNNNNNNNNNNNNNNNNNNNNNNNNNNNNNNNNNNNNNNNNNNNNNNNNNNNNNNNNNNNNNNNNNNNNNNAAAUGAUAGAAUGAAAUACUAGAUAUUAACCAAAACUAAACAUUGGGACGGAAACUUUCACACUAUUAAUAUUAAGGGGCACAUGAUUGCCAAUUUAUAUGCGACAGGGAGCCUUGUUCUUGCGAGAACGCAUGCUUCCUUGAACUGGCUCUGAGGUGUGCAUCCAGUCCAUUCCCAAAUCCCUAUCCAUGAGCUCUGCUUGCUCGUGCUGGCUGCUCUCGCUGAUUGAGUGAGGGACUGAUGGCUUCCAUUUUUUCGGGAUGCGAUGGUUGUGGAUGUAGGACAUGGAGGCGUGGUGGGCUUUUUCUUCUCCCUCAAGCCCUUUAGGUAUCACAAUCCUUUUGCGAUGGUAGCUGCCCCAGGUUUCCUCAGCGGUAGCAAUUUCGAAUGCAUAGUCACGGCUUGUGUUGAAAAGAACUGGAGGGAUCAUCAUCUUGAAAGGCGAUGGGAUCUCCUAAAGGGAUCCAUAUUGUCAUGCUACUUGAUACGGGUAAUAGGGAAUGGCGCCGGUGAGGCCGAGUAACGGAAUUGGGCGGGUGAGUAUGUAAGCAAAGCGGGCCCUCUUUUCAUGGAACCAACCAGCACACCAUUGGAAUGCCUCAGGAGCUGGGUCUCUUAGGAAGCUUACCCAAUUUAAACAGCUUUGAUUGGGAAUAUACGGUCCUAAAACCAUAAAUUUUUGUAAUGGAUUUUCAAAAGCAUUUGUUUCAGACGAUCGCAUGAAGUCUCGAAAUUCACUUAAGUGAGAAAAGAACUAGACUUGUAAAAUUUCAGGAGAGGCUCGCAUGAUUUUCUCCGAGUCGUCUUUAAAACGAUUAAAGGACAAGAAUGUUUUAGUUAAAAUCAUGUUGACAUAAUUCCCCCCUCUUAAGAUCUAAUUAACUAUCCAUGCCAUCUUGGGAGUUAUGGCAUUUCUUUGAUGGGGGAACAUGAUGAGCCCGAAAAAGGCCAGGAGGAAAAUCUCAAUUUUCUGGGUCAUAGGCUGAUUUUGGAAACAGGCAUUCAUAAAUUCUAGUGGGCAAGUAUUAUGAUUGUCUUCAAGAAUUUGCCUCAUGACAUGGAUUUCAGUUCCUAAAAGUCAUGCUAACCCACGCCAUGGGAGGGCGCCUGUCGAUGGCCUGACAAGCUUUUACUCGAGAGGCAUUCCAGUGAUGAUGUUGUAUUCUUCCAGGGUUGGGGUUAGCUCAAACCUACCGAAUAUAAAAGUAAUUGUCUUCGGGCACCGAAAAUGUGCCAUGGCUUGUAAAACUUCAGGACAAACAGUGAUUUGAAUCAACGAUAGGAGAUGACCGACUUUGGCCUUCACGCACUCUUAGGCAAACUGAUCUAAUUGACCCCACUAUCUGAAGAGCUUCGCCUUGGGAGUAGGAAUGAACUGGAUAUCAUCUUUCCCCAUCGCAUAUAAACUAGGCUUUGAAAGGCUUAUCCUAAAUUGCCAUGGGCCAAAUAAAAAGACUGAGUAACAGUAAAGAAAUUACUUUUGCUUUUUAAAGAAAAAUGGCAAGCACAAAGACAUGCGCGUGAGACGUUCAGCUUGAUUUCUAACUGAGAAGUAUUGUUGAAAUUAAAAAGAUAUCCGCCCGUCGCAGUCUCGCGUUAGCAGCAUACCCUCCUAACCUCAGUUAAGAAAUUCGGGGAAAAGAAAGGCAACCUCUACAUCGCAGUCUCGCGUUCGAGGUUGUAUCAUUCUUAACACCAUCCUAAAAAUCAUAUGGCGGCCCAGGUCUGGCGGCCGGGUUGUGUGUGCCAUGUGUAGUGCUAAAACAUUUAAGGAUGCACAGCAGUUUAUAUUCACAAAACAUUUUAUUUUAACAUAAUAAAAAAACUCUAAGCUAUUACCCUGCACAAAAGAAAAAAAAAAGUCAAUAAAUGGUUUAAACAAGAUAAAAUGGCCUAAGUCCUCAAAUGUCCCCAGCGCAGUCGCCAAGCUGUUGCGACCUCUUUUUUUCGGCGCCCGCAAUCGGGUGUGAGCGCCUAAGGAGGCUAAUGGCCUGGCUAAAAUUAAUUAUAACCGAACUCUCCCAAGUCCACCAAUUCAUGACUUUAAUAGUUUGAGUUUUUAACCUAUAAAUCAAUUUUUAAAAUGGAGUUGCCACUAAUCGAUUUGGAGUGGGUCAAUUAGAAACCCAAGCGAAGUAUCGGGAGAAAUACUUGCUCCUGCGCAACCAGAGAAAUUAGGAUCGGGGACUUGAUUACACUACUUAAUCACUAAUGCCCUUCCGGUACCUAAUCUUGUUUAAACCCGAAGGUUUUUUGGAUGUUUGAGAGAUUUUCCAUGCAUUUUUGGGAGGAAAAACAUUUUUUUUUUAGUCAUUUUCUAAUUUUUGGACGCAAAAGGGAUUUUUUGGGAUUUUUUUUGGAAAAACACAAGUCUUUUUGGCUUUUCUGAAUUUUUUUUGGCUUUUUCAUGAAUUUUUGGCUUUUUUUGAUUUUUGGCUUUUUUUGAUUUUUGGCAUAUUUUUUAUUUUUUUUGGAAACUAAAAUAUUCUUUAAUAUUUUUCAAAAUAUUUUUGGAAAAUAAAUUAUUUUUUAUUUUUCUCAAUUUUUAGAAAAUAAAACAUUUUUCGACAUUUUUUAAAUAUUUUUUGAUUUUUUGGAAAUUAAAACAUUUUUUAAUAUUUUUUUUGAAAAUAAAACACUUUUUGAUUUUUUUAAAUAAAAUAUUUAUUUGAAUUAUUUUAUAUUAAAAUAACAAAAUAAAACCGACCCGGGUCGGUGACCCAAAUGCAGACGCAGGCUCGACUCGAAUUUUUCAUCUUUUUUUUUUUAAUUUUAUUAAAACGAUGCCGUGGCUGCGCAUUUGGGGACGCCCGGCUCGGCUCGACGACCCGGAUCCAUUGACCCACUCCGCGACCCGGCUCCCUACGAACCCUACCCGACCCGAAUCUGCAUUGCGACCCGACUCCCGCCGCCCCCCGAAUCUCGCAAAACCCUACCCGGUUCCGAGACCCGGAUCUGACUCGACGACUCGGAAAAUCGCAAACCCUAGGGUUUGCGAAUCCGCGGCGCCGAGGGGGGGACCAAGGUGCUUGGCGGCGACGGCGACUACGGCGGCGACGACAAAGGCGACAACGGUGACGGCAACACUAACGGUGGCGCUCUUUUUUUUAACCUUCUCUCGAACGGGGACAGCGACGGCAACAAUGCCAGAUCGAAGGCAGCAGUGGUGGAGGCGCUCGGCGGCACGGUGGGGUUUUGCAUAGCUGCGGCGUCGGGGGGUGUGACGGGGACGGCACGGCUCAAUGAUGGCGACGGAACUCUGCUCUCUGAAGUUCACUCAGAUUUGGACGACGUCAGGGAAAGCGACGGCAGCGAGGCGUGAGGACGGCGGCACGGCAAGAUUUGGGGCAGUAGCGGCGUUGGGGCGGGGAACAGCAACAACAGAGCAACGGUCGCAGGUGGCGGAGAGCUUCCGGCUUCCCAGAUCUGGCCCUCCCUCCUCCGGCUGACCUCGUUCAGCCCUUAUUUCACAGAUCCAAGUGCUCGCAUCUACCUUCCUCGGGCUCGAUCUUCUCUCACUCAGGCCAAAUCCUAGCCUCCACUGGCCGGAUCUGACCUUCUCGAAGUCGCUUGCGGCCGGCCUUCCCCGAAGUCUCUCGGUGGAAGGUGGGCUGAGCUCACGACUCGAGUUCUCUCCCGCGCUCGCCCUUCAAUCCUUCCCGAUGUCUCUUAGUGAAGGAUCUCUGAGCUCGCCCGUGCCAUUCUUCGACGAAGGUGGUACCCUUUUAUAAGCGAGGGAAUCCGGUCGACGGAGCUUCGACCGCCGAUCCCCUUCGUGCGCCGAGCGGUUCUCCUUGAUUGAACCGGCGUCCCAUCCGAGCUCAUCCAGUGAAGCAUGCUCGGCAUUGAUGGCACUUGCGAUCUUAUCUUCUCCGGCCGACGUCAGCCUACUCCCCUCGGCCGUAGGCGGUCCUUUACGCGCGUCGUCGUCUUCUGCGCGUGAACUACAGAGGCGAAGAAAGAAGGAGCGAGGAAGAAGAAGAGGGAAGAAGAAGAAGGAAGAAGGAGAAAAGGGGGGUGGGGCCAAGUCGCACGAGCCCACGUGAAGAAAAAAAGGGGGGCUGCUACUUUUUUUCGCUUUUUGCUUUUGUUGUUUUUAUUUGUUUUUAUUUGUUGUUUUUGUUAUUUGUUUUGUUUAUUAUACGAAAAAGGAAAAUAAAUGUAAAAAAAACCUAAUUAAAAAAACGAAAUUUAGGUGUCAACAAUCCUAACAGUGAGGAAAUUCAGCAAGUAAUAAAUACUGAAAAUAUGGCGAUAGAUCAUCCCAUAACAAAUGAAAUUCCCCAGAUGAAUGAUGUAGCUCCAGAAAUGCCUGUGCGAAGAUCACAGCGACAAAGAAGACCAACGCUUUUAAAUGAUUAUUAUGUCUAUCUUGGAGAAGCUGAUUUUGACAUUGGAAGUAUAGUUGACCCGACGACCUUCAAAGAAGCUCUUAAUAGUGAUCAGGCAGAUAAAUGGUUAGGAGCGAUGAAUGACGAGAUGAUGUCCAUGUCAACUAAUCAAGUAUGGAAACUUGUUGAUUUACCUGAUGGGCAUAAACCAAUCGGCUGCAAAUGGGUAUUCAAAACCAAGAAAGACAAUAAGGGUAACAUCGAGAGAUUCAAAGCAAGGUUAGUCGCAAAAGGGUACACACAGAGAGAGUAUUGAUUAUAAUGAAGUCUUUUCCCCAGUAUCUACUAUAGACUCUUUUCGGAUAAUCAUGGCUUUGGUGGCUCAUUUUGAUUUAGAGCUUCACCAAAUGGAUGUCAAGACAGCUUUUCUAAGUAGAGAUCUGAAUGAAGAAGUAUAUAUGCAGCAACCUGAAGGGUUCAAAGAAGCCGGAAAUGAGCAUAUGGUGUGCAAACUUCAAAGAUCCAUCUAUGGUCUCAAACAAGCAUCACGUCAGUGGUACUUAAAAUUUCACAAAGUUGUGAGAUCAUUUGGCUUUGAAGAAAAUAAGUUUGAUCAAUGCAUCUACAUGAAAGUAAGUGGGAGUAAAUAUAUUUUCUUAGUACUUUAUGUAGAUGACAUUUUACUUGCUAGCAGUGAUGUUGAUCUAUUGAAUGACACCAAAAAUUUUAUAUCUACAAAGUUUGAUAUGAAAGAUCUUGGGGAAGCCUCUUUUGUUCUAGGCAUUGAGAUUCAUCGUGACAGAUCUAAGAAAGUUCUGGGGUUAUCUCAGAAAGGUUAUAUAUAUCGUGUUUUGAAAAGAUUCGAUAUGCAAACCUGUAAGUCAGGUGAAGCUCCUGUUGUGAAAGGAGAUAAAUUGAGCAUAGAUCAAUGCCCCAAGAAUGAUGUUGAAAAGGAAGUCAUGAAAAAUGUUCCAUAUGCUAGUGCAGUUGGCAGUCUUAUGUAUGCACAAGUAUGUACCAGACCUGAUAUUGCUUUUGCUGUGAAUACUCUUGGAAGAUAUCUGUAGAAUCCAGGUCAAGAACAUUGGGUUGCAGUUAAGAAGGUGAUGAGAUAUCUACAACGGACAAAGGAUUUCAUGCUCGUUUAUAGCAAAGUUGAGGACCUAAAAGUGAUUGGAUAUUCAGAUGCUGAUUUUGCUAGUUGUUCAGAUGAUAGAAAAUCAACUUCUGGAUAUAUUUUUAUGAUGGCUGGAGGUGCUAUUUCUUGGAAGAGCACAAAGCAAACAUUGAUUACGAACUCUACAAUGUAUGCUGAGUUUGUAGCAUGCUACGACGCGUCGGUUCAAGCAGUUUGGCUCAGAAAUUUGAUCUCAGAAUUGCGUGUUGUGGACUUUAUUGCUAGACCUAUGGUGAUCUACCGUGACAACACUGCAGCUGUGUUUUAUUCCAAGUAUGACAAGAUUAGUAAUGCGUCUAAACACAUGGAGAUCAAAUAUUAUACUAUUAAGGACUUAGUAAAAAAUGGAGACGUUGUAAUUGAAAAUAUCAUAACUGAGUCCAUGUUGGCUGAUCCUCUAACAAAAGGCUUACGACCCAUUUUGUUUAAAGAACGUGUAAAGAAUAUGGGUGUUUUAGAAUCUUUUGAUUUCUUUUGUUAGUGGGAGUUAUAUAUUUUGUAUUUCUGGAUAUUAUAGUUAUAUGCAGACUGAUAAUACUUUUAUAAUGUCUAUUAAAGCAUUUAUUUUCAAUGAUUGUUGUUAUUGAUUCUAUUGUUAUCCUUUCUCCUGUUGAUUGAAAAAUGGAAAUAUAAAACAAUAUCUUUAAACAAAUUUUAGUUUAAAGAUGACUAGAUGUCACUGAUUAUGAGAUCUCAUAUUGGAUUGUGACAUAAUUGUACAAUUUCUUGUUGUUUAGAAAUCGCACUGAGGCAAUUUCAUGUUGUUUAGAAAUUGCGAUAAUGUAAUUUCAUGUCGUUGAGAAAUUGCAUUGAGGACCGAUAAAAAAUAGUGUAUAUCUUGAUCACAUGUUGGCACUAUUUCUUACUACACUACUAGGCCCAUGAUCCAUGAAAAUAUAAUACUUAUUAUAUGUGAUUAUGGAAGGUCUUGUGUUGUGGUAUUUUCUUAACACAUUGAUCUCCAUAGUCCUAUAUUGAGGUUAUAUAGGAUUGGAUUGGUAUUGAGAUGCGAUUAUUGGAAUAUUAUUUUAAAAGUUGUGGCCACAUAAAACAAAAUUUUAGUUAUUAACCCGAUAGUGUCGUUUUCAAUAUAAAAUCUUUUUCAAAAUAAAAUAAGUUAAUUAAUGUAGCCCAAGUGAGAGAAUGUUGGAAAUUUCCUAUAAUAUGGGCUUACAUUAAUUAAUUGAUUCUCUAUUUUAAAUAAUCGGUUUAAUGGAUAUUCCAAUAUUUGUUAAACCCUAAAAUGAUCUGAUUGAAUUGGGUAUUGGCGUCUAUUGUUAACGGGCCUAGUUGAGCAGCAAAGUGUAAGCAAUUGUGUUUAACUGAAGCCUGUAAUGGGAAGGGCCCAGUUGACACUCUAUUGAUUAGGGUUUGCUAGAUCCCCUCUCUAGCCUAUAAAAUGGUAGGUUAUACCAAUCAGUUGCUUUAAUCCUAUUGAAAGCUGCUAUAUCGAAAUAGGUCAUAGAGAGGAAAAUCUGGUAUUCCAAUAGAUCCCUGAUUAUCAAAGUGAUCUAGUUUUCUUAAAGUAAAGCAAUGGCUCAAACAGGUACGCUUUAAUUCUGCUGUAUUUAUUGAUCUUGGUGUUUUACAAUCAUGUAUGGAUCUGUUUGUUCUUAAUUGAUUAAAUAAUAUUCUACAGGCCUGUGAAGCUUAAUGUAGCUAUGAGUCCUCCCACCAGUAGUUGAACAUCCAUAAUUCUUUUUUUCGACAAAUUAAAGUUUUCUCGGUUGGCAAUAUUACUUCCUAUGGUUAUAGAGACAGAUGGUUGCCCCUCAACAAAUUGUUUGUCUAACCUCUUCUUACCAUAUUCAAUAAACCAGCCUUGAAAGCCCGGGAUUCCAUGAGAUCCUUCCAAUGGGGACCAAGCAUUGCAACGGUUGUCCCUCUAAAAAAGCACAUAAUAGAAUGUAUCAAUUAACAAGUGAAAGUUUUCCGAUAAAAUACUUCAAGACCCUCACACCCUCAAAAUCCAUUUAUAACACAUAGAACUUCUGGCAAGUGCUAAGAGGUCAUGGAGAAUUCAUUCAAGUAACAUCUUUUAGAUAAAGGUAAAUGGUAAAUAACACCCGUAAAUAGAGUUUCCUAGAGUAAACAAUUACAGUUAUGGGUAUGCUAUCCCAAUCCUAAUGUAUUAUCCAUUUCCUUCCUUUUAUUUUCUUUCUUUUUCCCCAUUUUGGCAUCGCCUAAUUUUAGAGAAUCCCAACAAAAAAUGUUUUGCAAUGUUUUCGAAUUAACUAAGAUUUAGACAAUUACUUUUGAACUAGUUGAAGACCCUCGUGUUGCCCAGAUUUGAACCUUAUACUUACUGAAAAAUUUUGUUUUGAUACAAUAAUAUGAUAAUAAAACAUAAUAUUUUACAAAAGUAUAUGUAUUUAUUUAUCAACUAGAUUACAAAAUUAACUAAUUUGAAACAUCGUAAAGUAAUAAACAAAAGCAUUGUAUAUCGACGCACAUAUUGGAACAACCAUAAUGACUCCUAUAAUGAGUUUAGAUUUAUUGACUAUUAUAUCCAAUAACAUCCAAGACAUUGAUAUUGAUCGACCAAAAAAAAGAUAUUGAUAUUUUGUUGUAGGAAAGAUUAAUGAUAGAGACAGCCCUCUUGUUUUUGUCCAAUUAGUAAUGGUUAGUUUGAAGCAGCUACAAAAAGAAGUCAAUAGAAUAAAUAAUUCUCAUAAUAGAUAGUGCUUUCAAUUUUUUUUUUAGUAGAUAUAUUAUUUAAUGAAAAUUGGGAAGUCAAUAGAAUUAUGAUGAAUUGAAUAUAUUCAUUGGAUAAUUUCAUCUCCCCCAAUACCACAUCAGAAUGCUUCCUUCUUUCACUAAAUCUAGAUCGGUAUCCUCCAUUUUUUUUUGUCAGUCCUACUCUAUUCCUACUCUACACUCACUCUCAGACUUUUGCCCUGCCUCUUGCAGGGCGUGGGAGUCGAAACCCACUCCUAAAACUUACGCGUCCCCACCCCAUCCCCCCGAGAAGGUAGGGAUUUGAACCCAUCACCUCAUCCUUCCAUGUUGGAAGGGUGGCCACUGGGGUGAAUCCCAGUGGUUCGGUAUCCUCCAUUUGAAACAGUUAUAAUGCAAUCAAUGGAAAGAAUUCUUCUUAGGAAUUAGAUUGAAAAAAAUUUAAGAAAGUCGAGACAAUUUUAGGAUUUCUUAUUCUCCGAAGGACCACUUGAGAAAAGACAAUUUGAAGGACAAAACAAAAUUUUGAUGGAAUAAUCUUGACUUUAAUUCCAUUAAUGGAUUGAUUUUUCGAUCAAAAGUAAUAUGUGAGUGAAAUCUUCCUUUUUUUUCCCUCUUUCUCUAUCCCUAUUCCUAUCCCGUAGGUACACCCUUUGAAUUAAUAGAAAACAUUUUCUUCUAUGUCUGUAUGAAUCGAUAUUUAUAGGGUAGAUAUGUUCCAAGUGCACUAGUUCAAGGGCUUUUAAGGUGUAUUGGAAAGCUUAAGGUGGCUUAUUUAAGAGAGCAUGGUUUAGGAUUUUCCGUAGAUAUUUCUAAAUAUUAUCUAACUAGCUUGACUUUUUGUUUAAGGUAGCUUAUUGUUCAAGGUCUUGAUCUAUUUUCUAUAGCCAAGAAAAGGAGUUUUGUUCGAUUCGCCAAACAUGUAAGCUUCAGCCCGAAUCUGUUCGCACAGCCCAUGUCCAAUUUCAGUGAUCACAAGAGAAAAAGGAUAGAAAAAUUGCUUUGGAAGGAAGCUCCGUUCCAUAAGCUUCUGGAUUCUUCCCCCACCACCAUUAGACGUCGCUUACCUUCUCCAACCGUCGAACGGAACUCAUCCCUUCUAGCGGUCGUCGAUCAUCAUGUAACAGUUUUUCUAAUGUGGACUACAUUAAGCAAGAUUGUGAUUUACCAUUUUUACGAAAUUAAUUUAAUAAGGUAAGAUAGUAAGUUUUUUAAUAGUCGAAUAUGGCCUGGCUUAUGUGAGUCAAAUUGAGCUCAGCCAGUGAUGAGAGGAUCCACCAAAACUCUAUAAAUAGCCUAAGGUCCCUCCACUAAACCUCACUUUUGUCAUUAUAAAAUGUAUACACCUGCUACCUCACAUAAGGAAUGUUUGUGAGGGAUAGUCUCACUGAGCCAAGGUAUCAAGAGAGAGUAUCAAGAGUGAUAGAGGAGAAGGUCUUCAGCAUUGAAGAUUCGAAUUGCUACCGUUGCACUCCAAGAAUCAUGAAUUCCAAAUCAGGCAUGCAAAUCUUCAUCUUCUCCUCCAAUACUUUUGAGUUUCUAACAAUGUCGAUCUUGGAAACCAUAUCGACGGCCAACACAUCAAUCUCAAGAAGACACUGAUCGGAGAGAAAACCAUUUUUGAGGCACGCGUGCGCACCUGAUAGAAAACAGACGGGCAAGGACAAUUGAAAAAGAGGGAAAACUUGCAAUCCCUUAGCGCGCUUCUUUUGAAUUUCUUGUUCUUUGUCAUCCUCAUCUGCCGGUAAUCGCCAUCGGUUUACCAUCACCGGGCACCGACUAACGUAUGUACUGGAAAGAGAACUAGAACAGAAGGCACCGGUUGAAAUCAUUCGUCUUUUGAGAUAUCAGAAGUUACUCUGUCAGAGAUUUCUUUUGAAUCCUUUCAUGCCUCUUCGUCUUCAAUUGUGUUUGAAGCCAUUCGCAUUUGUCUGAAACUUCACUAUCGGUGUUCAUUCACCCAAGCACGUUUUCCAGGUCUUCCUCGUGCAAAAUCGACCAGUAAUUGUGACCAAGAAUUCCUCGUCAACAAGGCUAUCUCUCUUCCCUACUAUACUCUGCUUUCGAUGAAUAAAAGUAACCGAAAUGGCAUGUUCUAGAUUAGGAUAGAAUCGGCUUAACUGCAUAUUCAUACUGAUGAUUGCAUCCUUGGACUAAUUUUGUUUGAACCUGAUCUCUAAUCUGAAGUUAUUGCGCUUUGUUUUGCUUCUCUGCCGAAUACGCAUAACGUGUGCAUCAGUGAGUUUCUGCUAAAUCCGAAGACAAACCAGUUUAGUGUGCAUAUUAUUGAUGUGUAUUGGUGGAUCGAUAAGCAUGAUCUAGUAGAAUACAACGCAUUGNNNNNNNNNNNNNNNNNNNNNNNNNNNNNNNNNNNNNNNNNNNNNNNNNNNNNNNNNNNNNNNNNNNNNNNNNNNNNNNNNNNNNNNNNNNNNNNNNNNNAUUCCCGUGUAUGUUUGGUCUCCCGAGGUGAUGGAUGGGGGGUCAAUGGCGAGUAAAUGGAUUCGAGUUAAGGACUGGAGUGUCGAUCCAUUGAAGCAUUCGUUUGGUUUGUUUCUCCAUUCUUAUGUUCUGUCCGUUUCCUUUACUGUUGCGAUUGCGGAGGAUCGAGUUGAUGGUGACAGAGGACGGCUGUAGGCAGGGAGUCCCUAAAUGAUACUGUUUCACGGAUGUUCUUGAUUUUAUGACAUGUGUGGUAACGUGUCAAACAGUGCCAAAUUCUGAUUUUUUGUUCACAGAAUUAGUUUGGGACGUGAAUCGCAUUUGGUAAAAUUUUUGUUCCCGAGAACAAUUUUGGACAAGAUUUGAGAAUAAAAAAAAUUUUGAUUCUCUGUCCGAGAAUCAGAAAAAGAAUCAAAAUGGUGAAACCCUCACUCUUCCCUUUCGUCAUCCCGGUUGCCGUUCACCACCGCCUGCCACCGUCUGCCACCUUCGGCCGCCGCCGUCCGCUAUUGGUCGCAGAUCCGGUGAGGUCGCCAGAGGCUCGCCAGGCUAGGGCGAGGUCUGGCAAGCUCNNNNNNNNNNNNNNNNNNNNNNNNNNNNNNNNNNNNNNNNNNNNNNNNNNNNNNNNNNNNNNNNNNNNNNNNNNNNNNNNNNNNNNNNNNNNNNNNNNNNGGUGAGGCUGGGCGAGCCUCGCCUAGGAGUGUCGCCGGCCCUCGUUUGGCCGGUCGCCAGUCCAGUGACCAGCCACAUGAAGAAGAAGAAUAGGAAAAAAGGGAAAAAAAAAAGAAAAAAAGUAAAAAUUUUAUUUAAAAAUAAAAAGAAACUAAUUUGGAACAUAAUCAAUUAGCACGGAAUCAAACACAAUUCUAUUCCAGAAUAAAAAAUUUUGGACAGUUACCAAACGCGCUUUUUUACUCAGAAUUAGUUCCUAGGAACAAAAUAAAAAAUAAUCAUUUCUAGUCAGAAUCAGCUCCCAAGAAUAGAAUUGUUACCAAAUGUGCUCUUUGUGUCUCGGGUCUUGAACUUGACAAGAAACGAUUGGGCUGAAUCUGGUUCAAGUGAAUUCGGAUUUGAUGAGUUCUUUUAGGGAAUUUGGGCCCAAUUCAAUUUUUUAGGUGAAGAAUCUAGAUAGAUAUAUAGCCCAAAGGACUUUUACGGCCCCGACCUCAAAAGUAUAAGUUUGACCCAUACAAGAACCGGGCCCAAGGGCCCAGCCAGCGUCUCCUUAUAUCCAAAAUAAAAAAUAAUAAUAUUAAUUUAAAAAUAAAAAUUUGAAAAAAUAGAAAAAUAUAGAAAAAAAAAUGGUUAGAAAUAGGGGCCUUGACUAGGCCGUUAAUUUCCAGUGCUAGAUUUGGCUUAGUUUCAUUUAGUUAGCAUAUAUAUAGUUUAAAGAAUUUAAUAACUUUGAUAUAGUUUAGUUUUCGCAUAUUGAUCUUUUGGACAAGGAAUUGGAUUCAACUCUUAUUUAGCUUAUGGGGAUUGCUGUAUGAGGGACUUAAUGAUGAUCCUUUGCUUGAUACUUUAUUGAGUUUACUUCUUUUUACUUUACUUUAUCAUAUCGAUUGUGAUUGUUUAUUUGCUCUUGAUUUUGCACUUAUGGAUGGAUAUCGUUUAGUGGCAUAGGGCACUAAAAUGGUUAAAAGAUUGCAUGAACAUCUUAGGUACCAAACGAAUCUAGCUAAGGUAUUGAAAAAGCAUUAGGUAGACAAUUAGUGUAAUGAAAUCACCAAUUUUAGAAUAUCUAGUUGCGUAGAAAGUGAGAUAUUUUUCCAUAUCUCAUUUGGGCUAGUGGCAGCUCCUUCUUUUAGGUUAAAUUGCACCAAAACAUUGAAAAUUCUAGUGUCGCGUGAGAUAAGGGUUAGGGAGAACUCGAGCUAUUAGGGAACCACUGGUCCACUGUUGGCAUUAUGUCUAAAUCCGUCUUUCUCUAAACGUGUCGGGAGGGUCACAACACUCUGCAAGCCAUCUUUACAUCUCUCUCUCACAUGCAAGAACAUAUAGUACCGUACUUGGUGGAUGAUGCAACUUUAGCAAAUGCAUGGCAACAGAGACGGUUUCUAGUAGUUGGACCCCUAGGCUUCAAGGUUUGUAUUGAAGAAUGGUUAGGUUGUUCGAGGAUUAGCCGCUACUCCUCUUUGUGCAUUGGCGAGGGAUGCAUGUGUUCUGCGUACGAACACGAAAGAAAAAGCGAGAUGAUUGUUUUUGGCAUCAUUAUAUGAUUAAGUUUUCAUAGGUUGAUAUGGUAAUACAUUCUUAGCUUUGUGUACCUAAUUAUUUGAUGUUGUUACUUACUGGAUUGACUUGUAAGUUCUAAGGUUACACAGAAAUAUGACAUUCCCAUUUCUCUGAAAACUCAUGCAACUUUUGAAAUAAUUGAAAGGGAAGGAUCUUGCGUCAGCCAUGACUUUUGCUCUCGACAGAUGCUGAGAAUAUUAUGAUAUUUCCUGCAGCUUUGCACAACCAUGCCAUUAAAAAGCAGUGCAUAGAAGUCAAAGCCAAGUCCCAAUUUAACGGCAACUUAAAAAUAUAUGGUAGUAAAUAUCACAUUUUUCGGCAAGCCUUCAGCUGUAUACUAACCUUUAUCCGAGCCGACUUGUAAAACUUAAAGAACAAAUUUGGCGUUGGUAAAUGCAUUACAAUAGUGCUAUAUUACUAACUUUUAACUGCGCUCACUUGUAAAAAUUAAAUGGUUUGGUAACUUAAUUCAUUUGACAUUUAUGUCUUCAUUACCAUGUCAGGAACUUAUUAACCUAUUACUCGAUCUGCUCAUAAAUUUAAAAGUUGUUAACUUCCUUACGAUGUCGAUAAUAUAUUAAUCUCUAUCUUGUCCACCUGUAAAAUUUAAAAGAAGUUUGUAACUUACAUAUCAACUUGGUGUUAGUAAAUUCAUUACAAUAUACUGGAAAUUUGCUAACCAAUAACUUGAUUUGGCCAAUCUACCACCGUUGAAGAAUGUUCAAGAAAUUCAUAGAAAUUAUAGUAAUUGUAAUCGACAGUAAAGACAAAUAAAACUCAAUAUAUGCCAUGGAAAUCAUUUUUUUUUAAUUGAAAUUCUGCAAAAUCCGAUACCCUUGCAACCAAACAUCUAUCAACAAACAUUAGACAAUACCAAUAUGGUAGUUAAACCGCAAUCGCUCAGCAGCUGCUAACCCUCUUGGCUUUCAUUUGGUCAACUGAGAAGCCGUCGAGUUGUAUAUCCUUCACAUACACGAAAAGCCUCAACUUGUUGGCCUUUGCUGCUCUCCAGACAUCUUUGAUAGGGUUUAAAUCAGACGGCUGACAUAAAAGUGCUCGAACUGACAUGGCCAGAAGAAAAUCUCCUGGGCACAAAGACAUGGGACUGUAGAACCGGUUCAAUUUAUUAGCAGCUUCCCUAGAGUAUUUUAUAUUUAAACAAUAAGUUUCGGACAUAUCUUCCCGGAUAGUGAGGUGGCCGAUUUAAAAUUACUAUAGGGUCAAGUGAAUUACAGAUAAUGUACAUAAUCACGAUACAUCCGCCAAUGAUAAAAGGAGAGAUUCCAAGCUCGAUGGUUCCGGUCAAUACCACAUACGUACCACAAGCAAAAGCUAGCACCAUUGCCCAUAUCGCAAUGAAAAUGCAAAGUCCCACGGGGUAGGUGUAUCUCACCUCGUAGCGAGGGCCCGGGACCCAAGGAUCAAAUUGUAUGAAUAAUGCCACGACUGAGAAACUGAACGCUGUAAUGUUUAAUAGCACAAAGGCUUGGAAAGCUUCCCUGUCAGCAAGAAUCGCCAUCCCUCGGUUGGGUCCAUCGUUGUUAUAUCCUCCGGGCAUGGUGAAGGUUGCAGCAAAGGUCACCGUGGCUAUGAGCGUUGCCAUUAAUUGUUGAAGGUUGAUCAAGUUUUUCGUUGAUGAAUCAGAAUUUUCUCGGUUGGCGAUAUUACUUCCGGUGAUUAUAGAUGCACCUGGUUGACCCUCAACAAAUUGCUUGUCCAACAUCUUCUUUAUUUUUUCAAUAACCCCACCUUGGAAAUCCGACAUUCCGCAAGAUUCUUUUAAUAGAUAAUUAACUUUGGCAGCACUGCAGCCGACCUAAAAAAUUUACAACAUGUAUUAAUUAAAGGGUGAACUCUUCCGGCGAAAUACCUUUACGCACUCAAAUUUCAUUUAUAAACAACAGAACUCCCGGCGAGUCAUAAAAUAUUAUGAGGCAGAGGGUAGGUUAUCUCUUUUAUCUCAAGAAUUGUUUGAAUGGGGGCAGAAAAAAAAAAAACAGAAGGAUUAUAGCUAAUUAUUGUUAAAAUAUUCCGAUAUUUUCAUGUGAAUGUGACAGAAUAGUUGUUUCACAGUCAGAAGGUGCAGAUAAACUUUUUAAAUUGAGAUCCUCUAAAGCUACAUCUAAUCUAACAUUUAAAGUCACCGCUGUAUGGUUGACACCCUAGCACAUAGGGGUCAUUAGACGGCACAUAUUUAUUCUCCAUUUUUCUUUUGUUCUUUUUUUCCUCCCUCUAGCUUAACUUUGGAGGGUCCCAACCCUAAUGUUUUGCAUUGUUUUCAAGAUAAAUAAGAUGACAACUAUUUGUGAACUCUUUGAUGACCCGAUUCUCGCACGCAUUUGAAAUUUCAUGCUCAAUGAAAGUUUUUUAUUUGAUGAGAUAAUAUGAUUAUAAAAUCCAUAUUUACCAACUUCAUACAUUAUAUUGUACACAAAUAAUAUACAUUUAUCAACCAAACAACAUAAUUAAUUACUAUUGAAUAUUACUUUAUUGAAUUCUUUGUUAUUGAGGUCCACUCUUCCCACAUGGAAAGAGAGAGGUGGGGAGUUUGAUUCCCCACCUUCUCAUAUGGAUAAAAGGUAAGAAGAUUCAGUUUUAAGUGUGGGGUUUGACUCUCACACUUUAUAAAGAAAUAGGACAAAAGUCUGAAAAUAAUUCAAGAGUUAAACUAAGAUAGGCAAAUAUAUAUAUAUAUAUAUAUAAUAAAAAAAAAUCAGACAUAUAUUUGUUUUAAACUAUUUAUUUUUAUAGUGUGCAAUUCAUUGUUGGCUAUUAAUUCAAUAUUUGGCUUUUUUUAUGCAAUUAGGUAUUAAAUAGGGCUUUUACAUGUGCGAAUGAGUUAGAUGAUUUUAGACUAUAAGUAUAAAUUAAAUUAUGAGGGCUUCAAUUUUAAAUUUUACAGUAAUAACUACUGGCAAGAUAAUUAUCUUGUAAGACAUGAUUUCUAUAUGAUGAUGCAAAUUCAUCACCAUGUUAUAAAUCAAAACUAAAAAAUUGAAGACAACUUCUUUAGCUACUGCUUUUUGUUAAUCUUGCAAUACUCAUUAAUACAGUUUAACCAAUUUUUUUCAAUAGUGUAAAAUAGUUAUGCUUUACUUUGUCACUAAAUCGUUUGUGUGCUCAUAUCCAAUUUAUAGAUUAAAUGGUUGUUUGAAAGAAAGAAAUUAUAUCCCUCCACAUUUAGUUUAUAAUAAGUGGAUAUAUGAAAGAACCAUAAAUACUUUAAAUCACGAAUAUAUAUUUAUUGGCUAUUGGACCAAAUUACAUUCAAGUUGUAAGCUAUGGGAAUUGAUGUCGAUAUUUUUCUGUAGGAACAUUAAUGAUAGAUUAGGUGGACAAAAAAGCCUUUUAAUUUUUGCCUAAUUGAUGUAAUAAUUAGUCUAUCGAUUAAUGUCAAGUGAAGCGGGAGGGAAUGAUUGUAAGUGGCUUAACCAUAAAAUUCAAUGCUGCCCAAAUUUCUUAUUUAUGGUUCGAUAUGACAUCACUUCACUCCAAGUCCCUUUUCAAAUGCGUCACGCUUACUAGAGCUAUCUAUGCUACUAUCUGCUCAAACAAUCGACUAAACAAAACAAAGUUGACACACUAAAACUCCAAUUGGGCUGUUUGUUUGCACCGACUAUCACUUGAGCCACCGUUUCUUAACAAUACUGAAGAAAUUACUCUACAAGUGAACAAAUCGAGCUCUAUAGGGUUCAAGCAAGAAAGCAUACCUCAUUAUGAACCAAAAAAAUGUCAAGGGCAGUCAUAUGAUCAUUGUUUGUGAUGAAACGGUCUACCCUCUUGUCUCGUGCAAGUAUAUCUAUGAUGGUGUAGUCCUUAUGAAGUGCUGCCAAAUGCAGAGCCGUGUUUCCGUCAGUAUCUUGUUCCUUGAUAAGAUACUCCAAGUUCGGUCUCCGGAGUAUGUCCUUGACUACAUCCGCUUCUCCACCCAUCACAGCUGCGUGAAGAGCUGUUUACCCUUUGAUGUUUAUGAUGUCCCAAGCACUAGGACAAAAUUUAACAAUCUCAUCAAUGACAAGAGAGUAGCCUAAAAACGCUGCAAUGUGAAGAGCUGAUUGUCCCUCUUUGUCUAAGUCAUAUGCCACGGAAAUAUCGUGCUGUAGUAGUUGUUGAACCGCUUUGAAUUUGCCCUUGGAAGCAACAUAAUGAAUAGGAGUCCAACCCAUUUCAUCUCUUUCUCUGAUCAAUUCCGGUCUGCUAUUCAGGAUUUUCUGCCAGCCUUUGCAAAUACAAUAUGAAUAUGUCAUGAUUCAGGCUGUUUUUAGCAUCUUGACAAAGCUAUUAGAAUUGCAUUGUCUCCCAUGAAGUUUUCCCCUUUUUCUCCUUACUAGGAACGAAUAUGUCAUGGUUAUUACGAAGUUUCUCUAGUUAUCUCGUGUUAACGCACGUAGAAUCUGACCACCUUCAAUCUAGUAUAAUACAGAAAUCUGUAAAGGUUUUCUUUUUGAUAAGUGAAAUUGUUAAUAGUUGGUAAAGUUGAUCGACAAGAAGCUUUUCCUUUUUUCAGGAGGGAAUCUGCUCCGUCAGGGCUAGGAUAAAAGACCAGUGUUUUUUUCUCUGAUGCCAAUCAUAUUGCAGACCAAUCGUGCCCAACUUAAUUUCAUAGAAAUUUCAAUAUCGAAUUAGGACUUAGCGCCUUGUGCAUUUUCAAUGAUCGUUGCACUCCCAUUUUUUCAAGUCAUCAUGAUUUGCCUUCAAGAAUUAAAAAAAUUUGCAUGCAUACCUUGAUCUUUCGGAAAUAUAAAGGGUUAACAUCACAAAAAAUCCAAACUAAUUCACAUAUAACAAAUUCACUGUAAAUUAAUUUUUUGACUAUAAAAAAUUCCAAAUUGAUAUACUUGUCACAAAUUUAUUCCAAAUUAAAUUUUUUACCACAAAAAACCCACAUUCUGAUAUAUCUGUAACCAUUUUAUCCCCCGUUAGUUUCUACUAAAUUGAUUUGAUAUCAUAAAAGAAUAUCCAAAGUGGUACACCUAUCCACUAUCACAUGUCAUACAACUAAUUAAUUUGUAAUAGAUGUACUAGUUUGGAGUAAAAAAAUUAGUUUUGGAUAGAUUUUUCACAAAUGUAUUAAUUUUGAGUUUUUUGUAGUAUUAACCUAUAUUAUAUAUAUAUAUAUAUAUAUAUAUAUAUAUAUAUAUAUUGCAUGCCAUGCCAUUUAUUGUAAACUGAAAGACAAUUAAUCAUAAGCACAAAAUGUCGAAACAAAGAAGGACACAAGAAAAGAUAAUUAAAAAAAAGAAGAAGGUAAAACAACCGAACUGGAGAAGAGAGGAGAGGGAAGAGGCAGUGGUGCUAUGGUAGUGAUGGUGGCUGCUGCCGCUGCCACCGAAGGAGUCAAGUAAGAGUACAAGAUCUAGAAAAACACUUAGAAAGAAUUAAGUGCGUGUACAAGUACUUUCUUAAAAUAAAAUGAUUUUCCUGAAUCGAUACGUAAUCCAGAAUGUAGUUGAAUCCUUUGAAAAACUCCUCUCUUUUUUCCUUAGUCCGUAUGCUAAGAGAAGACAAACCAGUUUGAACUUAAUUAAUAGUCAAUGAAUAUCCGACCACAAAAAACAGUUAAUGAAUAAAACAAUAAAGUCAAAUGCAACAAGAAUAACAAGUUAAAAUUUUAUUCAAAUUAUAACCCCCAUAUAUAAUUGCUCAAGAACCAUGUCCUGGGGAAAAUGUAUGGCCUUUCACCACAAUAAAAGUAGCAAUCAAGAAAUAAAUAAAUAGCGUUGGCGGCCAUCACUGCUAACAUCAUCACGUCUCACCUAAAUGAAGCCUUGCACGAGAGAGAGAACUUUAGUUAAAAUUUGUUUCGGUGAAAAAAACCCGUGAUACUUACCAGCCAGUGGGCGAUGGAUGGCAACAUACAAAGCUGUCAAUCCCUUAGGGCCCUUAUGAGAGGAUGGCAACACGGAAGCAUGUAAAAUCAGCUCCAUGAUAUACAAAUGCCCUCUAUCUGUUGCAAGAUAAAGCGGGGACUCAUCAGCAGCAUUAGUAACACCACCCAACUGAGGAUCCUCUUCAAUCAGCAACUUCACCACUGAUUCAUGGCCUCCUCUUACUGCAUAGUGCAGUGCAGUAUCCUUAUGCAAAUUUGGCUUUCUAAGUAGUUCUCUACAUGCAUCAACUUGUCCGUUUUCAACAAUGCUAUGCAGUUUCACCAUUUUAAUAAGGACUCGAACAGAUUUCAAGCUUCCCAUGGUGGCAGCAAUAUGUAGUGGAGUAUCUUCUUUGAAGUUACCCUGCCAAAGAAGAGGCGGUCCUGAUGGACGUUGAAGAAGAUUUUCGAUGAAAUUUACUUGCUCGUACUGAGCUGCAACGUGAAGAAUGUUGUUCCCAUUUGGCGUUGUUUGGUGAAAAAGAUCCUCUCCGUUUUCUGAAAUUGCUGUGAUCAGGGACUGAAACUCAGGAGAUAGAAAGUCUCCUGACUUUGCAGCCCUAUACACAUCAGGAUGCAUACUUAGGCUCUCUUUCAUUCUCGGGAUAAGCGGUAGUUGCAAGUGAACUUAUCAAUAAAAGAAAUGAGUUCAAAUAUAAUGAACUUCUUUGAGCUUUCUAAGAGUCUUGAGCUUUCUAAGAGGAUUGAUGUAAAUGGAGGAUGUUGGAAAGGGAAAUUUAGUUGAGCUUCCCAGGAGUAGUAGAAAGGAGAUAUUUGUGGUUCUUCAAUUGUUCCUAUGAAAUUGAAAUAAAUUGAUCAGGUUUAGAGAAUAGUUUCCAGAAAGUCUAAUUAGUAUGCGUUUUGGACUUCAUAUUUUACACAUAAGCAAAUAAUAAGGAAGUGGGGCAACUCUUGUUUAAAGGAAGGAGGACGAGUACAAAUCAAAAAUAAUAAUGAUAAAUAAAUUAUAUAAGCAUGAAAUUGAAUUAGCGGGCUGCUUUCCACUUUUCAUCAAAAUCAGGACCAUCGAAACAUGCAUGAUUCAAACAUUCUUACUGAAGAAUCGAAUCUGAUUGAUUAUUAAAGCAAAGACAUUCGUGGGCCCACGUUUAGCUGUAGAUUUCCUUUUGCUCCUUUCCUAUUUUUUAACGACAAGUCCUUAACUCUUUUCAGUCUUUAUGGUCUUAGUCCGUCGUGAAUCGUGCGUUCUCAUCGUGCUCCACGUGAUGGAAGAUUUACAUACGUAAACUUUCCCCACUCGAAGAUUUAUAUACGUAAAUUUUUAUGGGGAUCGAACUUAGGUAAAAAUUAGUUGACGCUCAAUUUGAGGAUCACCUCUACUGCUAUGAUCUAUUGGCAAAAGUCAAAGCUCAUAAUCAUAUGUUAUAUAUUGUAAUGUUUUCAUAAUAUACAAUAACGAAUAAAAAUCUAAAAAAAUUCAUGAUAGAUCAAGGACUAUCUAUUAUUUUUACUAUGUGGAAGAGAGAUGUAAAAGGUUAAUUUUUUUUAUAAAAAAAGAGAAGGCAACACCGAAGCUGUUCUGCUUUGUCAGCAAGGGCCAGUGAUCCUUGUUGGUGUGUUGAUGAGGGCCAUCGACCCUUGUUGGAGUGUCCAUGAACGAGGGUUUACAGGAUCUCGUUUUUGCCAAUUCAGUCCUAAACCUUUUAACUUUGCCAAUUUAGUCCUAAACAUUUUCACUUCUUGUCAAUUCAAUCUAUUCGACCAAUUUUGGCCAGAAAAUUCUGACGUGGACGCCAGCGAUGCCAUGUAGGACAGCCGGCGCUGAUGUUGACAAUUUUUAAUAAUAUUUUUUUAUUUUUUAUAUUUUUUUAUAUUUUUCCCUUUUUUUCUUUCUUUUCUUUUUGGCCUUUUUCGGUGGCCAGCCACUAACCACAACUAGCCAGCUAGCCUCACCCACCACUGGCCAGACCCAACCACGCGAGGAGGAGCCCCAGCGAGGGGAGCCCUCACCUAUGUGCGGCCCAGCGAGGGGAGCCCUCGCCCAAGCGCGGCCCGGCAAGGGUCGGCUGGGCGAGACCGACCCUCACCCAGGCUAGGGCGGCCCCACCGGGCGACGGCGAUGCCGGGCAAGGCCGCCCUAGCCUGGGUGAGGGCUGGCCUCACUAGAUCUGGCGAGGGGAGCCCUUGCCAGGCCUAGCCCUCGCCCAAGCGAGUGUCAGCCUCGCCUAGUCCAGAUCUAGCACGAGCUCUGGCUGACGGCCCCUCAAUCAAUGUCGUCAAGCUAAACCUGGUAAGCCCUUGCUUGUGUUAGGUUUUCGCCCUGUUUAGCGCACGUCAGGCUGGAGCCUGCGGCUGUUCGAGUCACGUGAGCUCCGGUCCCGCUGGUUCCCCGUCAAGUUGUUAUGUGUUCUCAUUCGCUUUUCGAAAGUUCUGGUGUGGACUUGGGUCACAAUCAAGCCGAAAUCCUUCCCAUAGCGUAUACCAAGUGUUCGAUGUAAUGCCACAGUGAGAUUUAGUUUUCUUUCGUUGUCUUGGCCAUAAUCGAGUUGUACGGGUUUUGUCCGGGUGAACCAAGUUUUUUCUUCACAUGAUGGUUAGCGUUCCAAGUGUCUGGUGCCGGUCGAACCGAACGACCGACGUCAGACGGUGGCUCCGGUGCCUCAAAGGUCGGUGAAGGGAUCGUCGUAGUGGUGGCACUGGUUUAAGCAGGGGAGCUACAGGGGAGCUACAGGAGAGCAUUUGGUGAGGAGAGGGGGCUGGUCGAGGAAGAAGACAAGCGUGGAGAACAACAGAAAAAGAAAAAAAAUAAUAUAAAAGGAAAAAAAAAAGGCCAAGAAAAAAGCCAAAAAAAAAAGAAAAGACAAAAGGAAAAAAAAUCAAUAAAAUAAUAAAAUAUUAUUAAAAAUUGUCCACAUCAAAGCCGUCGGUCCUAGGUGGCACUGCCAACGUCCACGUCUGCAUUUUCCAGCCAAAGUUGAUCGGAUGGAUUGAAUCGGUAAAAAGUGAAAAUGUUUAGGACUGAAUUGGCAAAAGUGCAAUAGGUUUAUGACUUUUUGGACAAUUUUCCCAUAAAGAAUGAGUUCAAGUGGGAAGAAUUUAUUUCAUAAUAUAACUUUAAAAAAGCCAUAUUGCUCUAAUUCUUGGAAGUUUCCGUUCUCCCACACCCAAAUUAAAAGGUCUCCCUGCAACUUCUUUUUUCUUUUUUCUAAACUUCUAAGGCAUCUUGUCUUCCACUUUUCCCUAAGAAGCAAAACCAUUUCACAUCCAUCAUACUUCUUGGAACGUGGUAACUUUAGACUUCUACGCCUUCCCCAUGUGAGGUAGGUAGCAACGAGAACCAUCUACCAUAGUUCUUUAGCCAAGUAAAUGUCUCAAGAACCUUCAAGGAUGGAGUCAUCGGAUCGUCAUCAAGGCUGAAUCAACUGCUUAUGAAGUUACCAAUAACUAUCACAACCACUGUUGUCGUUACCAUGCACCAGCCCUACCCCCAUUUCUAACAUCCCAUUAUCAUUCCAAAUCUAACAACAUGCCACCGUUGUCACUAGAUUUAACAUUGACAACUGAAUUAUGAUUUUUUCUAGUCGUUACACUAAAAAUUAGGGCUUGGAUUCAAUCCCUAAACAAAUAAUUUCAACAUAGCAUAGUUUGCAUAAUGGGGAGUGCGUACCAUGGAACAUUACGCAUGCGACUUUUUCUUAUUCAGUGGUGCAACUUAAAAUUGAAGUAAUUUUGUGAAAUCAGUGAAGACUCGAACCACUCGCAACUUAAAAGGUAAGCACAGGUCUUCCUGCAGCUUCUUUUUUCUUUUUUCUAAAUUUCUAAGGCAUCUUGUCUUCCACUUUUCCCUAAGAAGCAAAACCAUUUCACAUCCAGGAUACUUUAGACUUCUACGCCUUCCCCAUGUGAGGUAUGUAGCAACGACAAACACCUUCCAUAGUUCUUCAGCUAAGUAAAUGUGCUAAGGAACCUUCAAGGAUGGACUCAUCGGAUCGUCUCAUCAAGGCUGAAUCAACUGCUUAUGAAGUUACCAAUUACUAUCACAACCACUGUUGUCGUUACCAUGCACCAGCCCUAACCCCAUUUCUAACAUCCCAUUAUCAUUCCAAAUCUAACAACAUGCCACCGUUGUCACUAAAUUUAACAUUGACAACUAAAUUAUGAUUUUUUCUAGUCGUUUAUUACACUAAAAAUUAGGGCUUGGGUUCAAUCCCUAAACAAAUAAUAUCAACAUAGCAUAGUUUGCAUAAUGGGGAGUGCGUACCAUGGAACAUUACGCAUGCGACUUUUUCUUAUUGAGUGGUGCAACAUAAAAUUGAAGUAAUUUUGUGAAAUCAGUGAAGACUCGAACCCCUUCGCAACUUAAAAGGAAAGCACAGGUCUCCCUGCAACUUCUUUUUUCUUUUUUCUAAAUUUCUAAGGCAUCUUGUCUUCCACUUUUCCAUAAGAAGACAAAGCAUUUCACAUCCAAGAUACUUCUUGGAACAUGGUAACUUUAGACUUCUACGCCUUCCCCAUGUGAGGUAUGUAGCUAGGUGAACAACCCUCGAUAGUUCUUCAGCCAAGUAAAUGUCUAAGGAACCCUUCAAGGAUAGAGUCAUUGGAUUGUCUCAUCAAGGCUGAAUCAACUGCUUAUGAAGUUACCUAUUACUAUCACAACCACUGUUGCCGUUACCAUGCACCAGCCCUACCCCCAUUUCUAACAUCCCAUUAUCAUUCCAAAUCUAACAGCAUGCCACCGUUGUCACUAGAUUUAACAUUGACAACUAAAUUAUGAUUUUUUUUCUAGUCGUUCAUUACACUAAAAAUUAGGGCUUGGGUUCAAUCCCUAAACAAAUAAUAUCAACAUAGCAUAGUUUGCAUAAUGGGGAGUGCGUACCAUGAAACAUUACGCAUGCGACUUUUUCUUAUUGAGUGGUGCAACUUAAAAUUGAAGUAAUUUUGUGAAAUCAUUGAAGACUCGAACCACUCGCAACUUAAAAGGUAAGCACAGGUCUUCCUGCAGCUUCUUUUUUCUUUUUUCUAAAUUUCUAAGGCAUCUUGCCUUCCACUUUUCCCUAAGAAGCAAAACCAUGUCACAUCCAUCAUACUUCAUGGAACGUGGUAACUUUAGACUUCUACGCCUUCCCCAUGUGAGGUAGGUAGCAACGACAAACACCUUCCAUAGUUCUUCAGCUAAGUAAAUGUCUAAGGAACCUUCAAGGAUGGACUCAUCGGAUCGUCUCAUCAAGGCUGACAGCCGAGAUCGGCCCACCGAUACCAAUUACUAUCACAACCACUAUUGCCAUUAUCAUCCACCAGCCCUACCCCCAUUUCUAACAUCCCAUUAUCAUUCCAAAUCUAACAACAUGCCACCGUUGUCACUAAAUUUAACAUUGACAACUAAAUUAUGAUUUUUUCUAGUCCUUUGUUACACUAAAAAUUAGGGAUUGGGUUCAAUCCCUAAAAAAAUAAUAUCAACAUAGCAUAGUUUGCAUAAUGGGGAGUGCGUACCAUGGAACAUUACGCGUGCGACUUUUUCUUAUUGAGUGGUGCAACUUAAAAUUGAAGUAAUUUUGUGAAAUCAGUGAAGACUCAAACCACUUCGCAACUCAAAAGGAAAGCACAGGUCUCCCUACAGCUUCUUUUUUUCUUUUUUCUAAAUUUCUAAGGCAUCUUUUCUUCCACUUCUCCAUAAGAAGCAAAACCAUUUCACAUUCGGGAUACUUCUUGGAACGUGGUAACUUUAGACUUCUACGCCUUCCCCAUGUGAGGUAUGUAGCUAGGUGAACAACCCUCGAUAGUUCUUCAGCCAAGUAAAUGUCUAAGGAACCUUCAAGGAUAGAGUCAUUGGAUUGUCUCAUCAACGCUGAAUCAAGUGCUUAUGAAGUUACCAAUUACUAUCACAACCACUGUUGCCGUUACCAUGCACCAGCCCUACCCCCAUUUCUAACAUCCCAUUAUCAUUCCAAAUCUAACAACAUGCCACCUUGUCACUAAAUUUAACAUUGACAACUAAAUUAUGAUUUUUUCUAGUCGUUUAUUACACUAAAAAUUAGGGCUUGGGUUCAAUCCCUAAACAAAUAAUAUCAACAUAGCAUAGUUUGCAUAAUGGGGAGUGCGUACCAUGGAACAUUACGCAUGCGACUUUUUCUUAUUGAGUGGUGCAACAUAAAAUUGAAGUAAUUUUGUGAAAUCAGUGAAGACUCGAACCCCUUCGCAACUUAAAAGGAAAGCACAGGUCUCCCUGCAACUUCUUUUUUCUUUUUUCUAAAUUUCUAAGGCAUCUGGUCUUCCACUUUUCCAUAAGAAGACAAAGCAUUUCACAUCCAAGAUACUUCUUGGAACAUGGUAACUUUAGACUUCUACGCCUUCCCCAUGUGAGGUAUGUAGCUAGGUGAACAACCCUCGAUAGUUCUUCAGCCAAGUAAAUGUCUAAGGAACCUUCAAGGAUAGAGUCAUUGGAUUGUCUCAUCAACGCUGAAUCAACUGCUUAUGAAGUUACCAAUUACUAUCACAACCACUAUUGGUCGUUAUCAUGCACCAGCCCUACCCCCAUUUCUAACAUGCCAUUAUCAUUCCAAAUCUAACAACAUGCCACCAUUGUCACUAAAUUAACAUUGACAGCUAAAUUAUGAUUUUUCCUAGUCGUUUAUUACACUAAAACAUUAGGGAAACAAAUAAUAUCAACAUAGCAUAGUUUGCAUAAUGGGGAGUGCGUACCAUGGAACAUUACACGUGCAACUUUUUCUUAUUGAGUGGUGCAACUUAAAAUUGAAGUAAUUUUGUGAAAUCAGUGAAGACUCGAACCACUUCGCAACUCAAAAGGAAAGCACAGGUCUCCCUGCACCUUCUUUUUUCUUUUUUCUAAAUUUCUAAGGUAUCUUGUCUUCCAGUUUUCCCUAAGAAGCAAAACCAUGCCACAUCCAUGAUACUUCUUGGAACUUGGUAACUUUAGACUUCUACGCCGUCCCCAUGUGCGGUAGGUAGCAACGAGAACCAUCUUCCAUAGUUCUUCAGCCAAGUAAAUGUCUAAGGAACCUUCAAGGAUGGACUCAUCGGAUCGUCUCAUUAAGGUUGAAUCAACUGCUUAUGAAGUUACCAAUUACUAUCACAACCACUGUUGUCGUUACCAUGCACCAGCCCUACCCCCAUUUCUAACAUCCCAUUAUCAUUCCAAAUCUAACAACAUGCCACCGUUGUCACUAAAUUUAACAUUGACAACUAAAUUAUGAUUUUUUCUAGUCCUUUGUUAUACUAAAAAUUAGGGAUUGCGUUCAAUCCCUAAACAAAUAAUAUCAACAUAGCAUAGUUUGCAUAAUGGGGAGUGCGUACCAUGGAACAUUACGCGUGCGACUUUUUCUUAUUGAGUGGUGCAACUUAAAAUUGAAGUAAUUUUGUGAAAUCAGUGAAGACUCGAACCACUUCGCAACUUAAAAGGAAAGCACAGGUCUCGCUGCAACUUCUUUUUGUCUUUUUUUCUAAAAUUCUAAGGCAUCUUGUCUUCCACUUUUCCCUCAGAAGCAAAACCAUGUCACAUCCAGGAUACUUCCUGUAAUGUGGUCACUUUAGACUUCUACACCUCCCCAUGUGAGGUCGGUUAGCAAUGAGUACCACCCUCGAGGGUUCUUAAGCCAAGUGAAUGUCUAAGGAGCCUUCAAGGACGGAGUCAUCAUAUCGUCUCAUCAAGGCUGAAUCAACUGCUUAUGAAGUUACCAAUUACUAUCACAACCACUAUUGCCAUUACCAUGCACCAGCCCUACCCCCAUUUCUAACAUCCCACUAUCAUUACAAAUCUAACAACAUGCCACUGUUGUCACUAAAUUUAACAUUAACACCUAAAUUAUGAUUUUUUUUCUAGUCAUUUAUUACACUAAAAAUUAGGGAUUGGGUUCAAUCUCUAAACAAAUAAUAUCAACAUAGUAUAGUUUGCAUAACAGGGAGUGCGUACCAUGGAAUAUUAUGCAUGCAACUUUUUCUUGUUGUGUGGUGCCCCUUAAAAUAGACGAAUCUUGGCUGAAAGUUCUGAGUUAAUUGCCAAUCCAUGACUGUGGGGGCCCACUUAUGGAUUGUGGAGACUGAGAGAUGAUGAAGCCGUGAUUAUGGGGGCACACUCGAAAGGCUGAGGAGAAUUCGGUGGCUUCUUUUCCGUGAAUGACGGCCUCACAAAUUUAAGGAACGUGUCAUAGGAGACAUGACAAUUUUUUGGGAGCGUGAUUACCUCGGUCCUUGGUGAAAAGUCAAAGGAUUUGGGACAGGGGAACAUAUUGUGACUUAUCUUCUCCAAACGGAGCGUACUGAAGGCAAAAGCAAACUAACAAGGCAAAGUGUUGUAGAGGCCCGUUUACUUAACGAAGGAAAAGAGAAGAAUUCUUUCCAACUAGUGAAUGGCAAAAUCUCAGCAAUAAAGGCACAAAAUUCCAAAAAAUAAGGAGAUAUCGCCAAUAUUCAACGUUCACUAUGCCCUCUUGUUGUCACCAUUACGCCUCGAUGGUCACUGCCCCUGCUGCCCCCGACAUCACCGCUCCACCCAAUCAAGCCAAGUCCUCAUCAUUCCCUUUGGUGCCAUCAAUGUGGCCACCAACGCAGCGACGAGUCCAAACCAUACGCUAGACAUUAGGUUUCCAGCCAAACUAAAGAGACCUGCCAGUCCGGCGAACUCCUACAGCCGUUGUUCGCCACCAACAUUGAUUAACCAGCACCGGCGAGCAUCAAUUCUGCCCUGCAAUCGCGCCGUGAAGCCGCAACUAGGAAACAGACGCGGACGAGCAGGCGAACCAAAGUGCGCUCGCUGACGGUUUGCAACCUGAGCAACGGCCAACAAACUUUCUCCGUCGCAUCAAUUUAGCUGGCUUCCAGGCCCCACUCACAGCAAUCACUAGCCUUGCCGAUGCACGCCAGUAUCCCUGUUGUUGUCGUGUCCAGCCUGUUAGAAAAAUAUUAUAUAACAUGAAAAAUAAGGAUUGUUAGGAAUCUAUUAAAAAUAAUGAGAAAAUAAGAUUAAUUAUCUAAGGCCUGUAAACAUUGUCCUUAAGGACAAUAUCCUUAUAAUUUAUUUUCAUCAUAUCAAUUGUGAUUAUUUACUUACCCUUAAUUAUACCCAUGAAUGGACAUUGUUUAGUGGUAUAGGAUACUAAAAUAAUUAAAAUAUCAAAUGAAUCUUAGGUAAUAAACCAAUCAAGUUAGGGUAUCGAGAGGAGACUAGUUGGAUAAUUAGUGUAAUUAAGUUCCCGAUCUUAAAAUCUCCGGUUGCGUAAAAGGUGAAAUAUUUCCCCUAUCUUACUUGGCUCCUAACCUGCCUUAAUAAGCUAACAUUAGCUCCUUUAUGUAGCGUAAGUCAUACUAUAAUAUUGAAAAUUCUAAUGUCACACUAGUUAAGGGUUUGGGAGGACCCGAACUAUUUGAGAACUAUCGGUCCACUUUUGGCAUUAUCUCUAAACUCAUUUUUCCCCAAAAGUGUUGGGAGGUUGCGACAAGGAGAUUUCUCUUGCUGACAUGGAAAAGUACAUAGUCCCCUAAUUUACAACUCCCAACACAGAUAAUGCAGCUUUAAUGAAGAACAUGGCGAUGGGAAUGGCUUCUUGUAGUUGGACCCCAACGGUUCACGGUUUGUAUUGAUGAAUGGUUAGGUUGUUCGAGGAUUGGCCACUGCUCCUCUCUAUGCAUUAGCGAGUGAUGCAUAUAUUCCACAAGCAAAUAUAAAAGAAGAAGCGAAAUGAUUGUUUUUUGCAUGAGUGGGUGAUUGAAUUUUUAUAGGUUGAUAUGGAGAUACUUUUUUGGCGCUGCCAACCUAAUUAUUUAAUGAUGUUACUCACUCGAUUGACUUUGAACGCUUCGAGAUUACAUAGAAAGAUGACAUUCCCCACUUUUAUGAUGGCUAACGAAGCUGUUGACACUGACAGGUUUUAAAUUUUACAAAUGACAUAAAAGUGCUCGAAAUCGACGACUGGCUGACAAAUCAAAGAGAAAAUUUCCUGUGAGCAAAGGUCACUGGUUUGCAGAACCGGCCCAACCGAAAAUGACAGUAAAAAACUUUCGGAUUUAUCCUCCUCUGGGAGAGCUACCUAGCAGCCACGAAUGAGCCUCGGGGUCGGUGAACUCAUAAAUGAAGCACAAAGUGGACAGAAAUCCAUACGCAAUAUAAGGAGCGACUCUUUCCGCGGUACUCCCGGUGGGCCUGAUUAAUACAGUGAACAUCCCGAAAAUAUAGGCGAGCCCCAUCGCGGCUAUCGCAACUUCAAUGCAACCUCCCACAGUCAGGAUGUAUUUCGGCUCUUGAUGAAAGCUGAACGCACAACUUUGACAAUGUAAGAUUAUUGCCAGGACAGAGAGAAGGAAAGCAAUACUAUUGCAUAGGACAAAGGCUUGGAAAUCUGCCCUGCCAGCAAGAAUCGCCAUUCCCCGGUUGGGUCCAUCGUUGUUAUAACCUCCAGGCAUUGCGACGGCCGCAGUGAAGCUCACUGUGGCUAUGAGUGCUGCCACUAGUAGUUGAACGUCCACGAUGCUUUUUUUUUUGAUAAAUCGAAAUUAUCUCGGUUGGCAAUGUUAUUUCCUAUGAUUGUAGACAAAGAUGGUUGACCCUGAACAAAUUGCUUUUCUAACCUCUUCUUGCCAUGUUCAAUGAACCAGGCUUGAAAGCCCGAUAUUCCAUGAGAUCCUUCCAAUAGGUAAGAAACAUUUCUAGCACUGAAGUCGAUCUAAUGAUGUACAAGAUGUGUCAAUUAAUGAGUGAAAGUUUUCUAGCCAAAUACUUCAAGAUCCUCACUUUACAAACUCAAAAUCUAUUUAUAACAAUCGGAACUUGCAACGAGUGGUGAAACGUCAAGAAAAAUUCAUUGGAAAAAUUGUUCUGAAAGUCAAAAAUCUAUUGAACUUUUGUCAAUUCAGUCAUAAACCUUUUAAUUUUGUCAAUUGAGUCAUGAUUUUUUUCACAUUUUGCAAAUUGAAUCCAUUCAGCCAAAUUUUGUUGGAAGUCACUGACAUAGACGUCAAUCAUCCUAUGUGACAUGACCAGCACUAAUAUGAACAUUUUAAUAUUUUAUUUUUAUUUUUUUCUUUUUCCCUUCUCUAUUCAAUCGCUAGUCUCAAUGACCUCUAGUAAAGCUCCCCACCCUGCCCUCCAACCUAGCCACUAGUGAGGCCAAGCCUUGUCGUCAUUGGAAGAGGUCAAGCCUUGCCAAGGGUAAGCAAGACUUGCCAAUGGUGGGCAAGGUCGACCUCACCCACCCCUAGUGAGGCUCACCCUCGCCAGUGGCUAGUAGGGGUAAGCUUUGCUUGAGGCUAACAAGGUCAACCUUACCAACCCUUGCCUCUAACUAGUUGUUGAGGCUUGGUGACUAGAUAAAGGAGGAAGAAAGGGAAAAAAAUAAAAUAAAAAGAAAAAGGAAAAAGAAAAAAAUAAUAAUAAUUUGAAAUAUAUUAAAAUAUCAAUUACAAAUUAUCCAUGUUACCAUCGGCCGUGCCAUGUAGGUUGACUGAUGUCUAUCUUAGCAACUUUCGAUUAAAAUUGACUAGAUGGACUCAAUUAGUAAAAAGUAAAAAAGUUUAAGACUCAUUUAGUAAAAUUAAAAAGAUUUAUAACUGACUUGCCAAAUAUAUGAUAGGUUUAGGACUCUUUGGAUAAUUUUCUCGAAAUCAUUCAAAUCAUAGCUGAUAAACUAAAUGGUAGAUAACACUCGUUAAUAGAGUUUCCGAUAGCAAACAAUACAGUUACAAGUAUGCUAUCCCAGUCUUGAUUUAUUUUCUAACUUUCUUUUCUUUUUUUCUUUUUAUGCUAUCCCCUAGUAACAAAGAUUUAGACAAUCACUUUUGAAGUAGUUGAAGGCCCUUGUGUUGCCCAAAUUUGAGCUUUAUACUUAUUGAAAAUUUUUGUUCUGAUGAUACAAUAUGGUCAUACAACAUAUGAUUAACAAACGAAUAUGCAUUUAUCAACCAAACAACAAAUUUAAUUAAUACUCAAAUUACUUUACUACGUGAUUUGUUUUAAACUAUACCUUGUUAUUUGAAGACUUUGUCAAUGAAUAAUCUUAAUAAAGCAAAAUAUUCAAACUUAAAUUGUUUUUUAACUAUGUGCAUUCAACUUUUGGCUAUUAAUCUGAUAUUUGGUUUUUUGUUUCAUGCAAUCUGUACCUGGAGCUUUUAUUUGGGAUAAUGAGUUAAAUGUUUUAAAAAUAUAAGCAUUAAUUGGAGCUAUAAAGACUUCUGUUUUAAAUACAACUUUUUAGCUACUGGCAAGAUAAUUAUUUUGUCGUAUGAAAUAUUUAUAGGACAAUGCAAAUUCCUGACUAUGUUAUAGUUUAAAAAUAAAAAUUUGAAUACAACAUUUUAGCUACGAAUUUUGUUAUUUUUGCAAUACUCAUAAAUAUGGCUUAAUCAAAUUUUUAAUUAGUCAAAGAAUAUUUGACAUUUACUUUUCACAAAAUCGUUUCUAUCCAUACAUCUACUUUGUAGAUAAGUUAGCAAUUUUGAGAAAAAAAAAAGAGAGAGAGAGAGAUAUGACCAAACACUUUUAGUUAAUAACAAAUAUAUAUACCAACUCACAUCUUGAAAGAACCAUAAAGACUUCUAUAACGAGUUUAGAUUUAUUGACUAUUAUAUCAAAUCACAUAAAAACUACUAAGCUACGUGAAUUGAUGUUGAUUUUGUUGUAGGAACAAUAAUGUUAGAGAGAGCCUUUUUAUUUUUACAACUAAUAAUAGUUAGUUUGCUAAUUAAUAUAAAGUCAGGGAGGCGAGGAAGGUUUGAUAAUGGCUCAUACUCUCCCCCCAUUUUCUGGGGUGAAGUACACUAGAAGUGCCUUAACUUGUGUACGACACAUACUUUAGUGCCACAACUUUUUUGUAGGCUCACUUAAGUGCCACCUUUAAAAAAAAAAAUGAUUACUUAAGUACUAACUCAAAUCUGAGUGGCCGGAAAUCUAACAUGAUCAUAUUUUAUUAAUUUCUCAAUCCUAUGUGGCUUGCCGCAUGCCCAAUCAUUAUGUAAUCUCUAAAUGAUGCCAUUUAAUAAGUUAAAAAAGUGAUCACUUCAGUACUAAUCAUUAUAAAAAAAAAAUCAUUUCAGUGUCAAUCGUUAUUAAAAAGUGAUCACUUUAAUGUCAAAAAAAUCCUAAAUAGAGUUGUAUAAUAAGUUAAGAAGUGAUCACUUCAGUGCCAAUUUUAAUGAAAAAGUGAUCACUUUAGUCAAAAAAUUCCACCUCAAAUAAAAUUUCUAAUUAUAAAUUUUUUUCAUUGGAAGCACUUAGGUGAUCAUUUUUCUUCAAUCUUGACACUUAAAUGAGCCGGCAAAUAAGUUAUGACACUAAAGUAAACGCAGUAUACAAGUUAAGACACUUCUAGUGUAUUUUUUCCCAAUUUUCUUAUUAUUUGUUGUAAUAUAUGAAGGGUAAAAUCACUUUAUUCCGAACCCUUUUUUAAGUGUGUCACGCUUAAUAAAGAAAUCCAUGGUACUAUUUGCUGCAAAAAUUGAAAAUAUCGUCAAUAGGCUUAAACAAUCAAAUAAGCAUGACAAAGUUGACGCAAAAAGACUUCAAUCGGGUCGUAUGCAUGCACCUGAAAUGAGUAUUUCACUGGGGCCAUAGUUUCUAAAAGAUAAAAGAAGAAAUUACUCUGCCAGUGAACAAAUUGGGCUCUGCAGUAUUCAAACAAGCAUACCUCCUCAUGAGCAGAAAAAAUGUCAAGGGCGGUUAAAUGAUCUUUAUUUUUAGCCAAACGGUCCACCCUCUUGUCUCGUGCAAGUAUGUCUAUAAUGUCAUUUUCUUUAUGAAGUGCGGCCAAAUGCAGAGCCGUGUUCCCAUUAGUGUCUUGUUCGUUGAUAAGAUCCUCCCGAUUUGGCAUCCCUAGUAUGUACUUGACUACACUCACUUGUCCACCCAUAACAGCUACAUGUAGAGCCGUUUGUCCUUUGUUGUUUAUAAUGUCACAAGCAUCAGGACAGGAUGUAAUGAGCCCGUCAAUGGCAUUGAUGUGGCCUCGAAAUGCUGCAAUGUGAAGAGCCGAUUGUCCCUCUGUCUAAAUCAUAUAUUGCAAAAUUAUCGUGUUGCAGGAGUAGUUGAACUGCUUCGACUUUGCCAAAAUAAGCGACAUAAUGAAGAGGUCUCCACCCCGUAUCAUCUCCUUCUCUGAUCGCUUCUGGGCCUCUUCUCCAUGAUUUUCUCCCAAACUUUGCAUAUAAAAUAGGAAAAUGUCAUGAUUUAGUCCGUUUAUAGCAUCUUGACAUACAUAUUAAAGUUGCACUCCAUCCCUGCAAGUUUUUCCCAUUUUGUCUGUACUAGAAAGGACUAUGUCAUGGUAAUUCCGAGGAUUUUCUAGCGAUCUUGUGUAAUAUGCAUGCAACCUAACAGCCUUCAAUCUAGGACAAUGUAGAAAUUUGUUAAAUUUAUCAAUUGAUAAGUGAAAUUGUGAGAAAUUCGUGAAGUUGUUUGAGAAGAAGCUUCUCAUACUUUAAGCAAGGCAUCUGCACUCCCAAGGCUAGAAAAAAAAGAACAAGACUCUUUACUUUGAUGCCAAUCAUUAUACGGAUUAUAUAAGAGAAUAUAAAUAUUGAAUGAGGACUAGCACCUUCUACAGUUUCAAAAGUAAAAUCAUUGUAUCCCUUUCCUUUCAAGUCGUCAUUUUUGGCCCCCGAGGGUUAAGAAACUUAGUAUGCCCUGAUCUUUUGUAAUAUAGUGCCAGAUGCCCUGUCAUCACUUGCAAACUGAAAAAAGUGGUAUAAUUUAGGGAAAAAAUAAGAGAGAAACAAUUAUCAAAAUAACGAUUUUUCUAAAUGAACGUACAAUCUAAAAUGGAUACUAUUUUUCUGUCCGCGUUUUAACAGAAGACCAAUCGGUUGAAACUUAUUUUAUAGUCGAUAAAUAAAACAAUAAAGAGAAUACAAUGAGAAUAACAACUCAAAUCUUUCCAAAAACAUAACCCCACCCCCCCCCCCCCCCCCCCCCCGCGUAUAUAACUAAUCAAGAGUUGUGUUCAAUCUUUCACAAAUAUAAACGUAAUAAUAUACAAAUUAGUUUUGAAUUUACUAUUAUAUUUAUUGAAAGCUAGGAUAGACGGCAACCCUCUUGCUAGCACCAGCACUCUCAUCUAAGAGAAGCAUUGCACAAGAGAGAUAACUUUCGUUGAAAAAAAAUUCAUUGGGCUUAGUAUCUUGCGAUACUUACCAGUUAGUGAGAGAGAGAUUCCAGCAUGCAAAGCUGUCAAACCCUUGGGGCCCUUGUGAGAGGAUGACAAUGAAAAAUGGCCUAAAAUCAGCUCGGUGGUACAAGAAAGUCCUCGAUCUGCUGCAAUAUAAAGUGGGGACUCAUUGGCGGCAUUAGUAAAACUGCAGAGUUAAGAAUCUUCUUUAAUCAUCAACUUCACCACCCAAUGAUGGCCUCCUCUUACGGCAUGGUGCAGUGCAGUAUCCUUAUUCAAAUUCUGCUUUCGAAGUAGCUCUUUGCACGCAUUAACUCGUCCGUUAUUAACAACCCAAUGAAGUGAUUUUGCCAAAUCAAUGAAGGCUCGAACCGCUCUAUAGCUUCCCACUUUAGCAGCUAGGUGUAGGGGAGUGUCCCCUUUGUAGUUACCCUGCCAAAGAAGGGACGGUCCUAAUGGACAAUGAAGAAGACCUUCAAUGAAAUUUACCUGCUUGUAUUGAGCCGCAACAUGAAGAAUGUUGUUCUCCUUUGGUGUUGUUUGGUGGAAAAUGUCCUCUUCAUUUCCUGAUAUUAUUGUCUCAAAGGAAUCAGAGUCUCCCGACUUUGCAGCCUCAUACACUUUAGGAUGCAUUCUCACCGUUUCUCUACCUUUCCCCAGACAAAGAGUAGUUGCGAGUGAACUUGCAUAUAUAAGCAAUGAAUUCAAGCCGUAGGAAGUUCUUUCAGAAAAUAGUUUUCGAAAAGCCAAAUUGCUCUAUUUCUUUGAAGUUUCCGUUCUUCCACACGCAAAUUGGAAGGAAAAAGUCAAGCACGACAAAAAAUUCAACGGCCAGUCUCCCUGCAGCUUACAAAUUUUUUUUUUUUUUUGACUUUUGAACUAUCUUGUCUACCGCUCGUCAUCAAAAGCCAAACCAUUGCACAUCCUCGAUGCUUCCUAGAACAUCAUAACUUUAGACUUCCAUGCCUCCCCCGGGGAGUACACGGCAAUGCGAACCAUCUUCAAUAGUUCUGGCGAAUCAACCCUAAACGGCUUAUGAUGUUAUUAGUUGCUAUCACCCUUGCUGCUACUAAGCACCAGCCGCUACCCCCAUUUCUAACAUCCUACCAUCAUCUCACAUCUAGCAAUAACUUGAGACCGUUGUCACUAAAUUUAACGUGGCCAUAAAUAGUCUCUACCUCAUUUACCUACGGUUUGAUACCUAAAUAUUGAUUUUUCCCAAUCAUUUAUUGCAUGAAAAUUAGGGAUUGGGUUCAAUCCCUAAAAAAAAAAAAAUCAAAAGUACAAAGUUUGCAUAAUGGCCCGCGCUCCAUGAAGUAUCACCCAUGGAGCCAUUUAAAAAUGACAUUUUGGCCAAAAGUUCACGGUUAAUUGUCAAUCCAUAUCGCAAUUCGAAACUGAAAUUUCGUACUAAAUUUUGCAGAGGAAACGGAGAGAUGACCGAGCCAUGAUUGUGGGGGCAUGCUCAAAAGAAGGACUAUUGGGUGAAUUCUUUUCCAUAAAUGAUAGACUCACAUAUUUAACAAAGGAAUCAUUGGACACAAAUAUUUUUCUUGAGAAUAUUGGCUAAAUUUGUAGGCAUAUAAUUACCUCAAUCCUUGGCGAAAGUCAAGGAUUUGGGCAUUAUUGCGUCGAUCUUCUUCAGACGAUCGAGCGUACAUGAGAAGGCUUCAGUAUUGACUAAGGCAAAAGCAAAUUAACAAGGCAGUUCUGUACUGUGUAGGGGUCCGAAGAAAGGCAACUGUGUACCGUGGAGGGGCCAUUUAAUCAAUGAAGGAAAGGAAAGGCAAGUAAAGAGGAAAAUUCUUUCCAACUUUUCAAAGACAACAUCUCAGCAAUUAAGGCACAAAAUUCCAAAACAUGAGAAGAUAUUGCCAAUAUUGGACGUUCACUAUGGCCAGUUGUUACUGCGUUAAGCCUUCAUGGUCAUUGCCCCUGCCCCCACGGCAUCACCGCUCCUCCCAACCAAGCCAAGUCGGCAUCAUUCCCUUCGGUGCCAUCGACACCGCCACUGACGCAGCGAAGAGUCCGACCCACGCCAAACAUAGAUUUCCAGCAGAACCGUAGAGACCCGCCAGUCCAGCCAACUCCUGCAGCUGCUGUUCGCCACCAACAUCAGUUAACCAGCACCUCCGGCGAGCAUCAAUUCUUCCCUGCAGCCGCGCCACGAAGCUGCAACUGGGAAGCAGACGCGGACGAGCCAGCGAACCAAAGCGCCCUCGCUGACGGUCUGCAACCUGAGCAACGGCGAACAAACUUUCUCCGUCCCAUCCGUUUAGCUGGAGCUUCCAGGCCCCACUCAUAGCAAUCACUAGCCUUGCCUACGCGUCCCAGUAUCCCUUUUGUUGUCGUGUCCAGCCCGUUGGAAAAAUAUUAUAUGAAAUGAAAAAUAAGGAUAGUUGGAAAUCUAUUAAAGAUAUGAGAAAAUAAGAUCAUUUUCUGGAUCCUGCAAGUACUGUCAUACUCUGAAUACAAAAUUCGGUGCUAUAGGUUCUAAUCGCUAUCCUCCUAAGAAACAACAAACCUUCUUUUUUAUUAUGUAUAGAAUGAUAGAAGAAAUAAGAAUAAUGUUAUACAACCCAGCAAUGAAGAAAAGAUUUGAGAAAAAAAUGAUAUUCUCUUCAUAAUUCGGCAUAUAUUCAAAAAUGUCUUUUGUAGUUAUUUUAUAUUCAAAAUGAAACCAUUAUAAAGCCGUUGUAAAAUGAUAGAGGGUAUAUGAAAAAAUAAACUAAUCGUUACAAAGUCGUUAAAAAGCUGACCGUUAAAAAGGUACUUAUAUAACCAUUAAUAUAAUCAUGAUUUUCACUUCAGUCAUAACUUCUAUAAAAGUCAUUACUUUAAAAUAUUUCAAAAAGUGUUGCAAUGGCCUUUUUGCACGACAUCACCCUAUAGUCCACGCAGCUUCCAGGUUUUCCCAGUGGGCAAUCAGCAAGCUUUGAGCACACCCAAGUGACCUGGCUCUUCCCCAGACCAGUUCAAGCAAACCCCAUCGAGCUCUUGAUGCGUUAAUUGAGUCCAGUAGCCUCAGUCGAGCUUCCUCCGCGCCUAUAAUUUUCCUGCAGUGUCCAAAGCUAUUCCCGGUGAACCAGCGAAUUUCAGCAAGCCCUGACCUUCAGCCUUGCCUUCUUCGACUUGCUGAGCUCCCUGCGGUCAACUCCAGGUGUCUCCACCAAUCUCCGGCGAUUCCUGCUCAGCCCCGCUGCAUCCCCAGCUACAUUUGGACUUGUUGGCUUUGCUUGGAACCUCUUCCUUGAGUCAACCUAGCUUUUUGGACGUCCCUGCAGGAGCUUCACGAGCGUUGAUUACCUUUGUCGACGCUACUACUAUCACUUAGUUGCCAUUUUGAUUCUACGUAAGCUAAGUCUUUGAUGUGGUGGCUCAAUUUUUAGUAUAUAAUGUUAAGUUCGUGACAUUUAGUAAAGCCUUAGGAUAUCUAAUUCCGCUUUAAAUAUUUUCCUGCAUUAGUCAAGGAAUAUUAGGGCGCCGGACCAUUGGGCCUAGAGGUCAGGUACUUAGUAUCGCCCCUUCAUUAUUCGUGACUAUAACAUAUCUUUUUAUGCGUGAUUGGUUGGAAAAAUUUUACAUGCAUCACAAUAAUGUCUUUGAUUUUUAAUGGUAAACUUUGGUAAAACAUAUACUUUGAUGCUUGACAAUCAUCAUGUAUAAAUUGCAUAUCAUAAUCUCUUAUACAUAUUUAGAGCUUAGGGUGCACUCAUAAUUUCAUAUUUGGGGCAAUGCACUUAAUCUUAAAAUGAACAUAAAUUUAGGAUAACGCCUAGUUUUCAUUAUAACAAAAUGUCAUUAUUAUAUGUAGAUUGCAUGUAAGUUUCGAGUUAAUCAGUCCCAUAGCAUGCGUAUCAUAGAAUACAAGGCUUUUAGAAUUAAUCAUAUGGAUAACGUUAACUAUUAAUGGCAUUACUGCAUCAUCCAUUGCAUAUAAUUCCAUAAUCACUAAAUGUUCGUUAGGUCUCGGAUUUUUAAUAUAAGAAUUGCACUCCAUAUGGUCCUCAUAUAGAAUAGAUUCAUGAUCUCCAUAGACCACUCAUUUUUGAUAAUUAACUAAGAAUAGGGCGUACAUUAUUUAAAAUGUUCCAUAUUGCAUAUAUAAUAGAAAUUGCAUGCUCAUUUAAUUUAUAGACUUUAGGGUCAUCUGUCUUGUUGUUAAUUUAUAAAAGAAAAAAGAAUAAAAAAAGUCAAAUUAGAGAGUCUCACGUAGAUUGCAUUAAUUAGGCUAACUUUUUCUAAAAUUCAUAUCGCCCACUAUUCAGUAGAUCAUUUAGGAUUAAUCUGACUAAUGUCCCACAUAGAUAAUUUUCGGAAUUAAUUCCAUCAUUUGUCAUUUAAAACUAAUCAUGCAUAUCACGUAGCUGCAUCAUUCUUGCAUGUCAUUUAGUUAUUUUAUUAGGUCCUUGGCAUAUCGGUAAAUUUCUUUUAACAUAGAACUCUAGGGUUUAUUUGUGUUUUUCUUAAAUCAUUGUGUUGGUUAAAUAAUAAAAAAAAUUUAAAAAAAUUAGAAUAUAUUGCAUAUUAGUUAGUCAUUAACUCAUGCUAAUCAUAGACACCAUUCAUGCAUUAUGUAUGCAUAUAUUCCUAGCUAAUGGUUUGUAGAAACCACGUGGUGAUGGAUAGUUAUAUGCUUUGCUUUGGCUUGGUGAAUCCAGGUUCUUUAAAAUUUUUACAAUCUAUUUACUACUUUGAUUAUUGAGUGUUACUUUCUUGAUUGCACGCUCACGAAAUCACCAUCACCCAUACUAGCACAUUUGAUAAAAUCAACUAAGAUUGCUUGCAAAAAUAUUUUCAAAAUAAUAAGAAAAGGUACCAAAACGGCGUUGAAUUAAUCUAGUGUAAUUAACUCCUUGAAUCCAUUUGAAUAUCUGAUUCGAAGAAGUAAAAUAUACUCUCACAUUUUACUUGUGUGUCUAAUCGACCCAUGGAGAUUAGCGGUGGCUCCAAAAGGUAAGGUAAAUUACAUAUCUAAUUAAAUACCAAGUUAAGAUUGGUGGGGCUUCUUGGAAAGAGCCCAUGCUAAACACAAACAAUUGCCUCAUGAGGAAACCUUCAUUCCCAGUAAUAAUCCAUUAGCCUUCCCCUAGUGGUUCACUAUUGGGAAGGUCGCAAAACCUACUACCACUUAGCAACUUCACUUUGUUGACACCUAAAUUUUGCCUUGGUAUUUUAAAUUAGGACUUAGUUUUUAUUUGCAUCUAUAUUUAUUUUCUCUUUUCACCUUUUUUGGAUAAAAAUAAUGAUAAUAAUAAUAAAUAAAAAAAAACAACAGCCCAGCCCCUUCCUCUUUUCUUCUUUACCCUCGUGCGGGCCCCCAGGGCCCGGCCCGGCCCUUUUCUCCCCCCAGGCCUGGCCCCCUUCUCCUGUUUGUCUUCUUCCUCACAUUGUCUUCUUCCCCGUUCGGAUGAGCAACACACGCUAGAGGCCGAACGCGCGUGAUGCCGAAAUGGAGGAGGAGACGGCGACGUACCACAUAGCAGGCGGAGGGGAUGCGUCUUCAAUGCGAGGUGGCCUAGCUAAAGCCACCUCGACAGAUGGAACGCCAAUUUGGCCGACGAAGGCCGUUUGGUGUGUGAAGGACGAACGACCGAACCUUCGUCAAUCAGCCUUCCCCUCGCCUAUAAAUAGGGCGUUGGGGAAGGCUAAACCACGGCAAAGAGAGGGAUCACCGACAGCAAGCUUCGAGAACCUUCCCCGAGAGAGAUUCGGGGGAGGCCCGAGGGCUAGCCUCUGGAGAUCUCAGAUUUGACCGGAGAGGGUCAGAUUCUGGGGAUAGACGUCGAGCAAGAGUAGCCAAGGCCAGCCGGAGGAGAGACACCAAGUAGGAGCAAUCGAGGUCAGUCGGAGACAGAGAUCCGAGAGAGGCCAACCAAUCCGAAGGAGGGCGAGAUCCAAGCAAAUCGCACCCCUCCGCCAGACCUCUGCCGUGUCGACGCCUUCCCCGAUCCCUGCCGUGCCCUGCGUUGCCGCCGUGUCAGGUAAGAAUGCUGCAGCUGCCCCUUUUCUUCUUCUUUACAUCUUGUUCGGCCUCACUGCGUCCAAGGUUUCCCGGUGCCGCCGUCACCGUAGCUUAGAAGACGCCGAAGCUUGCACCACCCCCUGUUUGUAUCGCUCCAACCACCAAGCCCCCCACCAUCUGCUGUUAUGGCCUCACCGUCGCACUUGCUAGCGUAAGCUACGGCUGCCCCUGUUAGGGUUCGAAGGUGAGGAGUAAAGAUCCCACGACUGGCUUCGUUGACUGGUUUUCCUAAUUUACCAAAAAACCAAAAAUGAUUAAUAUUUUCAAAAAGAGAUCAAAAUUCCAAAAAUGCUUUUUAUGUUCAAAAAAUAGAAAAAGACCCAAAAAAAUGUUUUUCCUUUGCAAAUGUAUGGAAUACCCCUCAAAAUUCUAAAAAGCCUUCGGAUUUAAACAAAUUAGGUACUUGAAGGGCAUUAAUGAUUAACUAGUGUAAUCAAGUUCCUAAUUUGGUUUCUCUGGUUGCGUAGGAGCGAAUAUUCCUCCCAAUAUUUACCAAUAUAUAUAUAUAUAUUCCUCUCAAUAUUUCGCUUAGAUUUCUAAUCGACCCACCCCAAAUUAAUUAAUGGCGACUCCUUAACUUAUAGGUAAAAAAAUAUCAAACCAUUAAGUCGUGAAUUGGUGGGCUUAGGAGAGCCCGAAUUAAGUCUGAUAGACCUAGUCAAACCAUUAGCCUCCGCAAGCGCUUGCCUUGAUCGAGUGCCGAAAAAAGAGGUCGUGACACACUUCGAUCUCUACUAUAACCCUAUUUUUAUUGUUGAAUAUUAAAGUAGAAAAAUUGUGGAAUCAUGACUAGCUGCAUGGAAAAAUUAAAAUGUUAAAGUAUAAUGUCUCAUAGUAUUAUAAUGCAUGUGUGAAUUGUGCUAAAAAUAUUUACAUUGGAGAAUUGAUUUGUUAUUGAAUAGUUAAUAAUCUUAGUUGACCUAUAACUUAUUAACUUAAGUUUUUUUAGUGAAUAUAGGUAUAACUGAAUAUAUUCAUGAGUUCAGACUUUGAUUCUCUCUUAGCGAUCUUUCCAAAUGAAGGUAUCAAUUUUGACUAAAGAUUGAUCCAACUAAAUAUAUUGAUAAACUUAGACUUAUGCUCGUCAUUGCUAAUCUCCCCUAGAUAAAGGCAUCAUAUGGUGAUUUUAGUGCAAAGAGAGUUUACAUCCAAUUGAGGCAUUUUCUUCUUGGAGACAUGAGUUUUUCAAGCUAUGAGAUAAAUCUCGGUGAUUUCUUUUAUCAAUAUUGAGUAAUUACAUGAAACUAAAUAUUGUAUGUUUGAGUGUAAUCUAGAGUUGGAAAAUACUCAAGCAUAGGAGUAAUUAUAACUCUAUAAUUAUGUAAUUGAUUAAUGGAUUAUUUGCUAUUAACUCUCUCUUGGAGUAGAAUUAGACACUUGGAUUGGAUCAUGUGAAUUUCUCAUUUACUUUUUUGUUUCUCAUUCAUUCCACCGGUAAUUUCAUUCUCUCGUAUUAAUUUAAUUGCAAGAUCCAUUAUCUUUAGCAUAAUUUUACAAUAGAUAGCUUAACAUUUUCAUUGUAUACACCAUAUAAAGAUCUCUUAAUUACUUGUUGAAUAACAUUUCUAGUAAAGUAAGAAUAUAGAUUUAUUCGUAGAUUUAAACCACUCGACUAAGUGAUAUUUUCUUCUUGGUUGUGGAAUAUGAAAUGCUUCGAACUCCGGAGGUAUUUUUUAGCACACUAAAAUAAGGUUAAUCGGAUGAGACCAAAGAAAGCUCUUUUUCGCCCAAAAAAACUUUCUUAGUAGAAAUAUAUCAUUCAAAGUGGAUUUUUUUUUUUUUAAACCUUGGGGUACGGAUGUGAGAUCUAGUUAUUCGGAGGCUCAUAAAAUAUCUCGUAGUCGGUGAGAUUUGAAUAUUUAGUUUCUGAUCUGGAAAUCUCUGUUGCCAUAGCUUUAUGCUGCUAUUGACAAUAUCUCCUCUAGUUGAUCAAUUAUGAGACAAGAAAUAGUUGAAAAAAAAACGCUUUCUCCCCACCAUAUUAUAUCUCUUUAUGUGUGCCAAUUGAUUUCAUUGAUCAAUUUAUUAGAGACUUGAUCAAGAUACCAACUCGAAUAUAUAAUGAACAAUUGGCCUAAAAUUUCUUGUAGUUAUGCGGUAAUCAUCAAAAUCUUUAGGUAUUUGAUUAAUCCCCACUAGAUGAAGGUAGUCGUCACAAACAGACAAUUUAGAUUUUAAUAAACAUUCAACACUACAUGAAAAUUAACACGAAUCAUAAAAUCCGUUACGUGAUAACCUUCAUAGGAUGCUUAAUGCACCUGAAAAUUAAAGACCAUAUGUCUGCUUUUUGACCAAGCAAACAAAGCCAAAACAAAACUUUAGUUGGACAAAUGGACCCUCUAUAAAGAAUAGAUAGACUUGCUUUGAGGUGCAAAAAGAAAGUCAAGCCCUGCCAUGUUCUUUAUUUUUAAAGUUGUCAUAUUUUCUAAGGAUAAGUGUUUUGUAAGUCCUAAAAUUUAUCAUAAAAGUGUAAUUGAGUUCUAAAAUUUUCAAAAAGUGCAAUCGAGUCCUCAAACUUAUUAGUAUUUUCCAUUUGCCAAAUUGGACGAAGUUAAUGAAAUGACUAAAUUGCACCAGUUCAAUAAGUUUUAGGACUAAAUUAGACUUUUUAAAAGUUUAGGACUCAAUCGCUUUUUCAUGACAAGUUUAUAACUUGGUCACACUUUUUGAAAAUUUUUACACUUUCAUGAUAAAUUUUAGAACUUUCAGUACACUUAUCCCAAUAUUUUGAUAUGAAGCAACGUUGCGUGGUAGACAAUUAAGGGUACUUUGUAAUCAGUUUUAAUUUUUCAUAUGCAACUAUUAAUGGACAUGAAGAUAUUAAACUUCAUUUAAAUAGUAUAUGCUUUGUCAAGACACUACUCCAGUUACCACUCCCCCGCUUGUUAAAUUUCGUGGAUAGACAUAUGUAAUGUGUUGACCCAAUAGGUCAUGACUUUUAAUUUAGAUAUGUAGGGUGCUAGAUAUGCCUCUGAUCUCACAUUGCCAUAUAUGAGUUGUAGUUGGUAGAUAAAUCUCACAAAUUCUCAAAUUAAUAUGGUAGGCUCUUCCGCCGUGUUGGCAUGAGUGAGCUAGAGCCAAAGCUAGAACUUUAUGUGUUGGCACGGCGAGCUUGUGUGUCAUUUCCUACAGUGGUAUAGGCAAGUUAGUCAAGAUAGAGAUGUUAGCGAUUGUUUUUAAUUUCACAAUCCCAUGCAUGUAAGACGUGUUGUAUUGGUUAGGAGUAUGCAAUAGGAAUAGUCUAAAUUGGGAACCACCCAGACCAGACUGGAUUGGCUGGUUAUGAGCAAUUCCCAGAGAGGGCGGUCCAGUUCCAAUUCUAAGGUGGGAAUUAGACCGACGGGACUGAUUGAUAUAAAAAAAAAUCGAGAAAAAUCAUUUUGCCCAUUUUAGGUUUUGCUUUCCCCUCCUUCCUUUUUGCUUACUGCUUUCCCCUCCCUUUUGAUUAACACAAGCUGAUAAAAACCCACUGAAAAAACCGAAGCUUUAAGCUUGAUUCUUGAAGACAGAAACGGUCGUUGUGGUCGCAGUCCUCCUGAGGCUGGGCGAAGGACCAUCGUGCAAUCAAAAGACACGCCGAACUACACCAGUUUAGGCGUGCGGUACAUGGACGUGGGAGAAGGAAGGAGGAGAAAUCAUAAGUAAAGGGAGCAAAAGGGAGGACCUGGAGGUGCGCGUCGUAGUCGGAAGGAUUGUUGUAGAGCUGGGACUCUAGGGCUUCAAUCUGGAGCUUGUCCUGAGCCUCGGAGUCGAAGUCGGAGUUGGAAUCGGAAUCGGAAUCGGAAUCAGAGGCAGAAGGGGAAGAAUCGGCAAGGACACCCACGGGCUCGUCUGGAGGUGAAGGCAUGGCUGAAUCUCGACCUUCGUCGGCCAUCUCCUUCUGGUCUGCUUCUCCGACCAUCUCCAUCUCCGUCUUUCUUUCUCUUUCUUCUGGAUUGACGAUGGCGGACGCUUUUUGGAUCAGAGAAAACCCCGCUAGUCAGUAGUCACUGCUCUGUUGGCGAAAAACUGAGAAACGUUGCGACGGGAUCUAUAAAAAGCAAGUUUAUUGGCAUCACACCAACUCCUUUGCAAUUAUGCUGCGGUUUAUGAAGUGACAACAAGGCCAUGCAGCCACUGAACAAAAUUCUUUCUGGAUAAUCUACAGAAAAAGACAGAGCUAUCAACAAAACAGUGCACUCCCGUCAGCCUAUCGACAAGACGGGGUCACUAAAAAAGGACCGAUCCAACUGAAACAACCACUUAUCUCCUCAUCCUUCACUGCAAUAAUUAGAACAUCCUCAAGCCGCGAGCACCAACUCAUCCAACACGGCAACAAACAAACAACAAAUUAUCAAUUCCACCGGACCAAAUCGGACCAAUCAGUCGGUCCAAUUACCAUUUUCAGGACUGGUCGGUCUGAUUUCCUGAUCCUAGAAUCUGGGAAUUGGUCCUCCUAGUCCGAUUCCCGGUUCCACCUCGGAACCAGAUUGGCCUGGGAACCAAUCAGUCCGAGUACAGUUAUAUGACUCUAGCUCAAUGAAGUUAGAAUGAUGCAUUUUAAUGCCGUGUGGAGGUAGAUGAGUCGCAGUUAGAAUGGGCAAUAUCAUGUUCCCGGUAAGGUCGCAAUAUUUGUUGUUUUGGCUAGAAAAUAAAGCAUACAUACAUACUGGAAGACAUCCUUGCAGACACCGCCAAUAAACCCAUUUGCAACUUUGUCCUCUCUCACUUCAUUUUACUAAUCAAAAGAAAUUCUUGCAAACACUAACGUGUUGAAAUUAAUCAAUUUGUAACUUUUCUCUUUAUAUAAUCUAGGGCUACCAAAGUGAGAAAACUCGGUUAUCUGAAGAUUCAUAAAAUAAUCUACAAGUCUUAUAUAUUGAUUAAACUUAUACUUUAGCUUUGCAAAUAGCUAGUACUAAAAAUAACUUGCACACAGUUACAAUAUAGGAGGUUAUAGAUACGAAAGUGGGAUUACAUCCUUUGGAAAGUUAAUUUUUUGACCGAAGUUUUUGAAAUAGCUAGUACGAGUACCUAGAGGGGGGUGAAUAGGUAUACAAAAAUUUCUCGAACUUGGGCAAGCAGCACCCCCACUUCGCGCUAGAUUCGUCCUUGUUAUUGAAUAAAAUACUAAAAUAAUAUGAGUUUGCGAAUUACUCAGUAAAUCAAGAGAAAUUUUUUCAAUAAAUUUUAAACAUGACAUUCCCGUCUAUUUAAGUUGACCACUACUCAGGCCAAAAGAAAAAAAAAAAAAAUUGAUCACUACGUGUUAGUAUUAUUAAAUUUUAUUAUGUUUUUUUUUCAAAAAAUAAUAUAUCACAGUAAUUAAUCUGGGUGAACGAAACAGAAUCAUAGUAUCAAAGAAUCACAAUAAUCUCUCCAUAAAUUAACCUCAAAAAGAUAAAAAGAAAGUAAAACCAGCAACUUUUUGGAAUCUUCUUAGUCACUAGAAGCCAAUGUUAUUGUGUAUAUUUUACUGGUUAAUGAUAAGUAACUGGCAUAUAGCAUUAGGUCUUAAUUUUCUUUUAAUUGAAAGGUAACGUUUCAUUCAUUUCCACAAAAAGACAAUGCAUCCAACUGCAAACCAAAAUAAACCCCAAAUAGUUUCAAAGCAAAACAAAUUCCAAAUAAUAAGAUGAAUCAUCAAAACAAAGUUAAGAGCCACACGUUCAAAGAACAAAUAUGUGAUUUUUUCAAAUCAAAAUCGUCGAUCGAUCACUGAAUCCAUCUUCAAUAAUGAGCACACACCGAGAACUCCAUAAAUUGCUAUGGCUUUGUCUUUCGGUGGUGUGCAUCUAGGUUCGACGUCCUGAGCACAUAUCUGAUUGAAAGAAGCCUUCAUAGAACUGCUACAAUGUGACAUCCCGAUUUUCCAAUUCUAUUUUCAAUAAAUUGAGACGGGCAUUUCGUUGGCACGCAUAUAGUUCUUUUCCUUGGGUCGGCCACUCAUGUAAAAACUAGUCUAUCGGGUGAAGUCGUUAAGAAAUUCUAAUGCAUCACACUCGAGAAUUUGGUCAGGAAGCAACCUUUCAACCGAGCUAAUCUGAAAGGGUCAUUACGACACAAAUGAAAGUCGAUUAGAGACCGGAGAUAGGUCAACUCGACAGAGGCGUGUGAUCGAGUGUGGGUGAUUCCACCGGAUCGCAUAAUCUUUGUCGAUCGACACUGGACCGACUUUUCUAUCGAUUGGGUACCCUGUGUUCGUAUUUGAAACCUUGAGAUUACCCCGACGACCGAAAGUCGCCAAUGUUUCAAAGAUGUACAUUGUGGCUUGACAUGAUCAACCACAGGUCAAAUGCAUAAAAAUCUCUAAGGGCUACCCGGUAGGUUAGGCCGCGCUAGUAUCGUGCCAAAGUGAAAUUAACCGUGGAAUUGAGAUCGAAUUCAGAAAUUGGAAGUCGGGGUGUGUCACAAAUCAUUUCAAGAUCAUUGAAUCAUCUUCGGGAAGAUUUUUUUCAUGCAAGCCGAGCUUUUCAGCAAAAUAAUCAAGAAAUAGCUAAUUUGGCUCGAGAAAUUAGUAGGCCACUUUUGGUCGCGCUUUUGGGACUCAAGUUGAUUUUAUAGACAAGUGAAGAUGUGAAUUGAAGUGUGGUGGCAUUGAAUUUAUUUUAUGGACCUCAACUUGAUUCAAUUGGAAGAGAAUUGAUGAGAAUUGAAGAAAUGGGACGUACAAGAAUUGGACCUCGGCGGAAAAAUAAAAUGGACCCAUUAGAGUAUGGUUGUGGGAGAUAGUGGAGUGUGAUGUCAUGCAUGAGGUUAUGGUGGGGCCAAAGAGAGAGAAAGAGAGAGAGAGAAAGAGAAAAAGAAAGAGAAAGAGAAAGAGAGAGAAACCGGUUUUCUCCCUUUCUCCUCCGUCGAGACCUCCCCUCCAUCUUCUUCUUGUUGCUUGAAGAAACGCAGCAAGCUGAAGAGGCUGAAGACCAGCGAACCAGAGCAGCUCCGCCCGUCGCCGAUCGCCGCCGCUGCACGCCGUCGUAGUCCCGCGCCUCACCACGCGCAACCGGCUCCCUCUCCCUCUUCAGCCGUAGUCGAAGCCCUCUCUUCUCCAUCUCCAGUUGCUGCUCGUGUCCCAGCAGAUCUGGGAAGACGCCGAAGCAGCCAGGAGUCUAGUCAGACCGCCAUCGCGCCCCGCUUGCCGCCGUCCGCCUCUCGCGACACCCUGCCAUCCUCGCGCAACAAGCCUGCUCGUCCCUGCUGUUCCGCGAGUUCAGCAGUCAUUCCAGAUCUGGGGAAGCUCAGCCGGAGCCGCCCAGCUCACCUCUGGCCACCGUGAAGCCCCGCCUAGGUCCAGUUCAGCUCCUCUGCCCAUUCCCGACCCCAACCAUCCCCGGAUCUGCUCAUUUUCGGCCCCAACCAACAGUGAACAGAGAGUUGGAAAAUGGGUAUGCAGUGGACGUUUGGCUCGUUUUGGCCGCCUUCCCGAGCUCGGAUGCUCGGCCCGCUUUGAGGAAAGUUGUUCUCCUCGGCGUCCCCGUCGUUUUGGUCCGCUCAGCUCAAUAAUCCGGUGAGUUUAACUCACUAAACCUCGCUUAGAGGGUUAAUGAUGCUUUAGGUGUGUUUAGUUUAUGUUAAGUGUUUUUAGGUGGUUAGUUUAAUUUAUUUAAGUGUAGAUUAUAUUAAUGUGCUUGAUUAACUUAAAUUGUGUUUAAUUUAAAGUUAAGUGGGUGUUUAUAUUAAUAUAAACAUUGAUGUGACAUAAAUGAAUUUACUUUUGAUUUAUUUAAAUGUCUCGAAAUUAUUAUAUAAUUUAAUAAUAUAUUUUAUUCGAAAGUAAUAAAAUAUUAUUAUUUAAUUAUUUUCGGAAUAAAUUAAAUUAUUUGUUAAAUUCCGAAAAUUUUGUCGAGACCUUAAAUUCUCAGAAUUUCGUGCCGGUCGUUGCUGUGUAGUCGGAUUUUGAAAUUGAUGAUUGGAUAUUAUAAAUUGAGUGUGGAGUUCGAAAACUAUGGAUAUUAUUAUUUAAUUAAUUUUCGGAAUAAAUUUAAUUAUCUAUUAAAUUCCGAAAAUUUUCAUUGGGACCUUAUUUGCUCAGAAUUUCGUGCCGAUCGUUGCUGUGCUAGUAGAAUCUCAAAUUGAUGAUUGGUUGUGAUGAAUUGAGUGUGAUUGCGAUUUAUAGGGAUUCUUUAUGAAAUCCUAAGUGUAGAAAUUGAUGGGAGAUUGGCUGUGAUUGACCACCUAUUAGAGGUCGUGCCCGAUGAGGCCGUGAAAUACCACCUAGGAAAGGUCGUGCCCGAUGAGGCCAUGAAAAACCACCUACGAGAGGUCGUGUCCGAUGAGGCCGUGAAAUACCACCUAUGAGAGGUCGUGCCCAGUGAGGCCGUGAUAAACCACCUAUGAGAGGUCGUGCCCAGUGAGGCCGUGAUAAACCACCUAUUAGAGGUCGUGCCUGAUGAGGCCGUGAAUUGCCACCUGUUAAAGGUCACGCCUGAAAUAGCUAGUACGAGUACCUAGAGGGGGGUGAAUAGGUAUACAAAAGUUUCUCGAAGCUUGCACGAUAUCAAUUAGAGUAUUUGCAACAGUUAAAAAUUCAAUCGCAAGACUGAGUAAGGGAAAGAGAGAAUUGAACACUCGGUUUAUAGUGGUUCGGCUUGAUUCAAGCCUACGUCCACUCUUCUGCACUGACAGCCGAUUGGCUGGAUUCCACUAUGAUCAAAGAGUUGUUACAGUGUUGAUCUUCCUUGAUUUCUAGGUGUAGAUGAUCUACCGCACUCACUCAAGGCGUCACCAAGUAUAAACACUCUCUGUAUACAAUUUCGCUCAGUCUCAACUAACAAUCAAGGAUCUUCAGACUCUGGAAUUUUUCUAUCGAUCACACACUUAAAACAACUAGAACGUCUUCCUUUUAUACUCCUUCAUGCCAUCAUAGCCGUUGGCACUUACCAAAGGAAUUCCUCCAAUCUACCCGUUGGACGGAAUCAAUCAAGAAGAUCAUCCGAGCUAUUUAAGGAAUCUGAUGAUAGCCCAUCAAUCCUGUUCGCCCAUACAAUCAGGAUCUCGGUUUCCAAGAAUAGAAUAAUCCAAAAUUAUUUCGUCGACCAUCGGAUCUUCAAUCGAUCUUAGAUAAGAAUUAAAGAAUCCGAAAUGAUUAUCCAACCAAAGAAUCUAUUCCAGAGGAUAGGAUCGAAUCCUCAACCAUAAACCUCGGCUUUGGAUUUCCUUCAACACUGGAUUAGAAAAGACUGUCAGUGAGAUAAAGUCUUGAGUCCUGAGUCUUAAGACUUGAGACUUGNNNNNNNNNNNNNNNNNNNNNNNNNNNNNNNNNNNNNNNNNNNNNNNNNNNNNNNNNNNNNNNNNNNNNNNNNNNNNNNNNNNNNNNNNNNNNNNNNNNNUUGAGUCUUGAGUCAGUGAGAAUAGACUUAAGUCUUGAGUCCUGAGUCUUAAGUCUUGAGUCUUGAGACUUAAGAGAACAAAGUCUUCAGACUUUAAACUGACGGUCUCCGAACAUGCAGACUUUAGACUGAAAGAAACGUUUUGUCAGCUUCAAAAUAUUCUGGAAAGAUUUCUCCAACAAUCUCCCCAUUUUUGAUGGUGACAAAACUUUCUUGAAGAUUUGAACAACUUUGACCUGCAAAACAUUUCUCAAGCAAUAUGGCUAACUCAUAAAGAUUAAUAAAACAACCAGACUCUGCAUCCACAGAAAAUUGGUUAGUCUUUCAUGAGAAACACCAUAUAACAACACUUGAAUAAAUGCAACCAGUCAAGUUCAUAAUCCACAGCCAAUUCAGUCAAAUUCACACCCAAGUUCAAGUUCUCAAAUUCACACCCAAGUUCAAGUUCUCAAGUCAUACUCAAAACUAAACAUAACCACAAAGGUCAAAGUUUAAAAAAUGAAUGAAAGUUCAAAUUGGUUCUCCCCCUUUUUGUCAGCAUUGAAAAGGGUGAGAAAGGAGUCAUGUCUGCUUGGGAAUGCGCACGAUCUGGAAAUCCCCAAUGGACUGGACUACUCCUUCGAGCUUCUUCAGGUCUUCUCGCAGAUGAGCUACCUCUUCUCUCUUGGCAUUUGCUUAAAGUUGCAGAGCGAGGUCUUUGAAUUUAUCUUCCAGAGAGACUGAAGAUGCUUGUCCAGCAUGCUUCAAAGCUUGGAUUUCACAAUCCAGAACAUAUAUCUGGUUACGCAUUUCCAGAAGAAUAUUCAUGAUACUACGAAAAUCUGCAUAAUCAUCCAUCUGUGUACUGGCAUUAACUUUCUCAGAUGGUGUGUAUGCAGACGAUGGCGCUUCUGUAUGGUCUGGCAGAUUUGGAAUCGAUGUAUCACCUUCUUCAUGCAAUUGAGAGACCUGAACUUCUUCUGGUCUUCUGGAGAUUGUCUUAGAUCUUCAGCAGCAUGANNNNNNNNNNNNNNNNNNNNNNNNNNNNNNNNNNNNNNNNNNNNNNNNNNNNNNNNNNNNNNNNNNNNNNNNNNNNNNNNNNNNNNNNNNNNNNNNNNNNNNNNNNNNNNNNNNNNNNNNNNNNNNNNNNNNNNNNNNNNNNNNNNNNNNNNNNNNNNNNNNNNNNNNNNNNNNNNNNNNNNNNNNNNNNNNNNNNNNNNNNNNNNNNNNNNNNNNNNNCUUGUCGAGGGAGACUCUAAGAUGGGAUCUUCAUCAUCUUCAUCCUCAUCUUCUUCCUCCAGGAUAAAAGUUCUUUUCCUCUUUUUCGAUGAAGCACCAAUGGCCUCCUUUCCUUUCCUUUUUGAAACAGACUGGACUGGAGAUUUCACUUUGAAUUUCUCCAUUGCCUUAGAGAGUUCUUGCAGACACAUCUUCAUUAACAUUUUCAACCCUACCACCAUCUUAUCACACGAUCGAACACAAAAAGUAUGUGGCAGUUCAAUAUUCAGAUGUCUGAAGAUCUUGGUCACCAGACCAGGAUAAGGCAAUUUUCCUUUGUCUUUUGACACUGCUCUGUACAUAUGGAAAAGAAUAGUGUGCGGGAGAGAAAACUUCCGUCCUGAGUUGAUCGCAUACAUCAACUUUGCUUCAGAAAGAGACACAGAAGUCUUUGACGUAGACUUCGGUCUGAGACAAUUGAUCACAAUCUUGUGAAGCACAAUGUUGAUGGCAUUCAUCCUCGAAUAGAUAAUUUUCUUAUCUACAUCCCUAUCUUUGACAAGAUCCAGAGUGGCUCGAGCAGGUGAGACUUUGAUUGGGAGAUAGCGUCCCCGUUCAACUCCAAUUAUGUCCGCCAACAUACUCACAUCUACCACAUAGACUUGGUCUCGAACACUGAAUGAAAUUCUAUUCGCAUCCAAAAAGCUAAGAUUUGAAUAGAAAUAAGCGGUCAGUUGAUCAUACCCGUCUGUAGAGUCAGAGCAGAAAGUCUCAAGUUGAAGCAAAUUCAACUUCUCUCUUAACUUCAAGUUGAUGGAAUCCAGGAAGUCAAAAUCGACACUGCUAGGAUUGAUUAUCCCUCUUUUCAACAGCCUGAAAUACACUUUUUCCUGAUCCUUGGAUUUAAACAAAUCCAUCCGAUUUCCUUUCACCUUUGCUGCCACACCCAUUCUAGGUUUAAAUUCAAGGAACAUUUUGUCAUCAUCGUUCCCGUCAAUCAGAUUUUGUCCUGGCAUACGAGGAUCACUUGGAAUGUUCGCAAGAGCCUGCUCUGCUCUUCCUUUCGAAGCAAUUCCCAACUCUUCCAUUUUCCGCAAAAAAAGAUACUCAUUUCCAUAAUUUUUGUCCUUUAGAAAGUCAUCUAUAUAUUUUAAUGAAGAACCGGUGCUUUUCAACGCACGAUAAAGCUUAUAGAUAACAGAAGGUCUUUGGACUCUUACUGGGUCAGCUUCCUCGAUUAUCUCUUCUUCCAGAUUUUGACUUGCACUUUGUGGGGCAGGAGAUGCUGAAUGACGUGGAGGAGAGCGAAUCGGACUUUGUCGCUAACUUGGUAAGUCUUCUUCCUCAGUGAGAUCGAAGUGAGUCGGUCCCUUCUCCAUUCUUUGUGGUCCCCUGUUUGCGAUUCUUGAUGAUUUCCUCGAAGACGACAUCUUUCUUUGUCUAUUGGAGGAUUCCUUCACUUGCUUUUCCCAAAAAAAAAAAAUGACCACUUUCUCAACAAUGAACAAAGAGUAGAAACAGUAUCGAGAGGAGAGUGCUUUUUAGGGUUUUGAAAAUUGGGGGUAGAAUAACCAUAUAUAUAUACCUCGGAUUUGAAAAGGGAAGUUUAAACGGUACAAGGAAAGUGUACGAACAAUUUUUUUAAAAUCAAUAACUGCCAAAAUUAACUUUCUUUAAAAAAGACAAGUUUUCAAAUUUCACACGAAUUAUAUCUGAAUAAUAGAAAGUACCUUUUAGAUAAAAUAAACGAGAAUUCGUACCUUUUAGAUAAAAUAGCUACUUACAGUCUUUAGCCAUGAAUGCUUGAGUCUCAGGAUUUAGAGUCUAAGAGAUCAGAGUCUUAGAGUUGGUGAGUCUCUAGAUUUUAACUUCUCAAGCUUCAAAAUGUUGAGUCUCGAGCGGAUAAAGUCAAACUGAUUCUUCUCCAAAGGCUUUGUGAAUAUGUCCGCUAGUUGACUUUUUGAAUCAACAAAGUGAUGACGAAUCUCAAUAUGCUUUGCUCUUGAAUGAAGGAUUGGAUUUUUGGUGAGAUUGAUAGCGCUGGUGUUGUCACAUCUGAUUUCUGUGCAUGAGUCUUCAAUGCCAAAGUCUUGUAGCUGUUGUUUUAUCCAUAGAAUUUGCGAACAGCAGCUUCCAAGAGCUACAUACUUUGCUUCUGUUGUUGAGAGAGCUACAGUGCUUUGCUUCCUUGAAAACCAAGACACUGUCCUGUUUCCAAGCAGUUGACAAGUUCCAGAAGUGCUCUUUCUAUCGACUCUGCAACCGGCCAGAUCUGCAUCUGAGUAUCCUAGAAGAUUAAAGUCUCCCCUCUUUGGAUACCAAAGACCGAUGCUUGAAGAUGAAGCAACGUAUUUGAUAAUACGUUUCACGGCAAUGAGAUGUGAUUCUCUAGGAUCUGAUUGAAACCUAGCACAGAUACAAACACUAAACAAAAUAUCAGGUCUAGAAGCAGUAAGAUAAAGAAGUGAACCGAUCAUGCUCCUGUACAGCUUUUGAUCUACUUUCUUCCCUUCUUCAUCCUUGUCUAUCUUCUGAGAACAUGACAUUGGUAUGUCGGUCUUUUUGCACUUUUCCAAUCCAAACCUUUUGACAAGAUCAUUCGCAUAUUUUUCUUGAUGGAUGAAAGUUCCUUCCUUCGUUUGUUUUACUUGGAGUCCAAGAAAGAAUGUUAACUCUCCCAUCAUACUCAUUUCAAAUUCAUCCUGCAUAGACUUAGAAAAUUUCUUGCAAAGACUUUCAUUAGAGGAUCCAAAAAUAAUGUCAUCAACAUAUAUUUGAACAAGUAAAAAGUUUUUGUUUUCCUUUUUGAUAAACAAAGUAGUAUCUACUUUACCUUUGACAAAACCAUUCUGUAAUAAAAACUUACUUAGUCUGUCGUACCAAGCUCGAGGUGCUUGCUUUAGACCAUACAGAGCCUUUUUCAGUCUGAAGACUGAGUCUGGCUUCUUUGGGUCUUCAAAUCCAGGCGGUUGUUCCACAUAAACUUCCUCAUGGAUAAAUCCAUUUAGGAAAGCACUUUUGACGUCCAUUUGGAAUAAUCUGAAAUUUUUGUAACAAGCAAACGCAAGUAAUAGACGAAUAGCUUCUAACCUUGCAACUGGUGCGUAAGUCUCGUCAUAGUCUAUUCCUUCUUCUUGCGUAUAUCCUUUGGCCACGAGUCUUGCUUUGUUUCGUACGACUUUUCCUUUUUCGUUCAUCUUGUUCCUGAAUACCCAUUUGGUUCCAAUAACGGAUUUACCUUUUGGUUUAGAUGUCAAUUCCCAGACAUCAUUGAUGUUGAACUGUCUGAGCUCUUCUUGCAUAGCUUCGAUCCAGCUUUCAUCAGAUAAAGCUUCUUCUAUGCUUUUUGGUUCAAUUUCAGAGAUGAGAGCCACAGCACUAGAUUCUUCAUGCCUUUUUGAUCUGGUGCGGAUUCCUUCAUUAAGUUCACCAAUAAUAAGAUCUUUGGGAUGCCUGGAUUUGUGCUUCCAGUUACCAGGUUGAUGAUCUCUUUCUUUAUUUGAUUCUCCAUGAGCGUCUUGAUGAUGGACUUCCAGAAUCUGAGAUGCUUCUUGAGAUGUAGACAUUUGAAGAUCUAGAGCGGAUUCAGUCUCCUCGUACUGAGUCUGGCUGGAUUCAUCUUGCACUGAGUCUUGGAAUUUGACAUUCAUUGAUUCUUCCACAGACUGGCUUUUUUUUUGUUGUAGACUCUGUAGGCUUUGCUUGAUGUAGAAUAUCCAAGGAAGAUGCCUUCAUCUGAUCUUUCUUCAAACUUACCAACUCGAUCAUUUGCAUUUUUCAAAAUAAAGCAUUUGCAACCGAACACAUGAAAGUAUGAAACAAUAGGCUUCUUACCUUUGAACAAUUCAUAGGGGGUUUUAUCAAGAAUAGGUCUUAGAAAGACUCUGUUUAUAAUAUAGCAAGCAGUUGAAACAGCUUCAGCCCAAAAUCGUGAAGAAAUUUUACUUUCAAUUAAAAGUGUUCUAGCCAUUUCUUGAAGAGAUCUAUUCUUUCUUUCCACAACUCCAUUUUGCUCUGGAGUAUACGGAGAGGAAAACAUGUGAUUAACACCAGAUUUAUCACAGAAUCUCGUAAAAUCUUGAUUUUCAAAUUCACUUCCAUGAUCUGUUCUUAUACUCGAAAUAGCACAUCCUUUUUCAUUUUGAACCUUUUUAGCAAACUUUUCAAAGUACGAAAAGGUUUCUGAUUUAUUUGCAAGAAAAUAUACCCAGGUAAAACGAGAAUAAUCAUCUACAAUUACUAGACAAUAUUUCUUACCUCCAAUGCUCUGGGUUCUUGUUGGUCCGAAGAGAUCCAUAUGAAGCAAUUGCAGUACAUGAUUAGUAGAUACAUGAUUUAUUUGCUUAAAUGAAUUUCUUACUUGCUUUCCCAGAAUGCAUGGAGUGCAUAAGUCAGACUUUUGGUAUGGCAAUUUAGGUAGACCUCGAACAAGCUGCUUUGAAGAGAUUUUGGCUAAUUGCUUCUUGUUGAUAUGGCCAAGUUUUCUGUGCCAUAGAACUGCUUCAUCUUGAAUUGAGAUUAAGCAUUGUUCUUCAUUUGGCUUUACAUCAAGGAGGUAGAUGUUUCCAUGCCUUCGACCCAUAAAAGACUGAGUCGAAUCUUUGCUAAUUCCAGAACAUAUGCCUUCUUGAAAGAAGAUCUUGUAACCAGUAUCACACAAUUGGCUAAUGCUGAGUAGAUUGUAGUUGAGUCCUUCCACUAGAGAAACAUUGCUUAUUGUGAGAUUUCCAAUUUUCACAGUUCCGAAUCCCACAAUACUUCCUUUGCUAUUUCCUCCGAAUGAAACUUUUCCACCAUUUACUUUAAUAAGCUUUAUGAAACAAUUUGAGUCUCCUGUCAUGUGUCUUGAGCAUCCGCUGUCAAGAUACCACUUUACCUUCUUUUUGACAGAGACCUGCAUUCAAAAGAGAGUCUCAAGCUUUCUUUGGUACCCAAAUUUUCUUGGGUCCUUUGGUGUUAGUAGGAUGAGCAUUAUUAGGCCAUACUCUCUUAACAGGCUUCCAAACCAUAGGACACUCUUUUUCAAAAUGAUCCUGACUGUUACACUUAGAACACCUUAAAGCAUUUCGACCUACAGGCUUUACAAAAACUCUUUUGAAAAGAUUUUUAUAAGCCUCUCUCGAUGGUCUUUUCUUAAUUCUUUCUUUUACUUUCGGAAAAUCAAUCAAAGGGAUUAUUUCAGCUGUCAUACCUAGACCCGACCUAUUGAAGUAAGGUCUUUGGAUUGAAAGGACUUUUUCAAGUUUUUCGGAUCCUAUUGAAAAUUUCUUUGAAAUAUUUGAUAAAUCAGUUUUUAAGAAAGCAUUUUCUUUUGAAAGAUUUUCUUCACUCUCUUUAAGAGUAGAAACAUUCAAGUCUAAAUUUUUUACCUUUUCUUCUAAAAUGUUUUCCUUUUGUUUUAAAACUAUGUUUUCCUUUUUAAGUUCGGAAAUCUUUUUAAGAGAAGUCUUAAGACUAAAACAUAACUCAUCAAUAUAUUUAGAGACUUUGACAGGAAUUUUAUAAUCACUUACUUCAAAUUCACUGUCCGAGUCUAAUCCAGAGUCUGAGUCUGAUUGCGCCAUUAGACACAGGUUGGCAUAUUCCUCAUCACUCUCUUCACACUCUGUAUCGCUCCAGGUUUCGGCUUUAAGAGCUUUUCGAGAUUUCUCAGCUUUUCCUCUUUUCUUUUUCAGAAGAGGACAGUUGGGUCUGAUGUGUCCCUUCUUUUUACAUUCGAAGCAAACUACAUCUUUGUUUGGUUCCUCAACAUCAACAGACUUGGUCUGUUGUCUCUGAAAACUUUGUUUCUUUGGGAUGAACCUUCUGCCUUUUCUAUUCAGUUUUCUGAAUCUUCUUAUCAUGAGGGCGAGCUCCUCAUCAUCCAUAUCAUCUUCAGAAUCUGCAUCAUCAGAAUCAUCAUUUGAUUUUAGUGCAAUAGAUUUCUUACCUCUUGGAUCUUCGUCUUCAUUAAUUCGUUCCACUUCGUAAGACUGAAGAGUUCCAAUCAGUUCAUCUACAGAUAAUGGCAUGAUUCUUUGCGUCUCUCUUAUUGAAGUCUUUAUAUGAUUCCAAUCCUUGGAGAGUCCACGUAGAAGCUUGUUCACCUUCAUGGGAUCAGAAAUUUUUUGUCCUUGGUUCUCAAGACCAUUGACAAUAUCUGUAAAACGACUAAACAUGUCAGUUAUAGAUUCUCCUUGUUUCAUUUUGAAGGAUUCAUAUUGACCAAGAAGAAUGUUAAUUCUGGUCUCCUUCACUCGAUCUGUCCCUUCAUAAGUGAUAUGUAACCUGUCCCAGACUUCUUUUGCUGUAACACAAGAAGAUAUUCUGUUAUAUUCAAUUGGUGACAAAGCACAAUAUAAAGAAUAAAUUGCUUUAGCAUCGAGUGCUUGUCUCUUGUUUAUUUCUUCUUGAGACAUUCCGCUGGCUUCAACAGUUUCUUUCCCUCUUUCAGAGAUUGAUGCAGCAGUAGGAGUGAUUCCUCUUUCCACAACGUCCCAUUCCAGAGGAUCCUUUGAUCGUAGGAAAGCUUUCAUCUUGUUCUUCCAGAUGUUGUAAUCCUUUCCAUCGAAGUAGGGAGGUCUGGUAUUGCUUUGCCCCUCCAUCAGCCCCGGUGCUAGCAUACUAGCCAUGGAUCUUUUACUCUGAAGUAAAACACUUCAAACAAAGUAAGAACACGAGCUCUGAUACCAAUUGAAAUAGCUAGUACGAGUACCUAGAGGGGGGUGAAUAGGUAUACAAAAAUUUCUCGAAGUUUGCACGAUAUCAAUUAGAGUAAUUGCAAUAGUUAAAAAUUCAAUCGCAAGACUGAGUAAGGGAAAGAGAGAAUUGAACACUCGGUUUAUAGUGGUUCGGCUUGAUUCAAGCCUACGUCCACUCUUCUGCACUGACAGCCGAUUGGCUGGAUUCCACUAUGAUCAAAGAGUUGUUACAGUGUUGAUCUUCCUUGAUUUCUAGGUGUAGAUGAUCUACCGCACUCACUCAAGGCGUCACCAAGUAUAAACACUCUCUGUAUACAAUUUUGCUCAGUCUCAACUAACAAUCAAGGAUCUUCAGACUCUGGAAUUUUUCUAUCGAUCACACACUUAAAACAACUAGAACGUCUUCCUUUUAUACUCCUUCAUGCCAUCAUAGCCGUUGGCACUUACCAAAGGAAUUCCUCCAAUCUACCCGUUGGACGGAAUCAAUCAAGAAGAUCAUCCGAGCUAUUUAAGGAAUCUGAUGAUAGCUCAUCAAUCCUGUUCGCCCAUACAAUCAGGAUCUCGGUUUCCAAGAAUAGAAUAAUCCAAGAUUAUUUCGUCGACCAUCGGAUCUUCAAUCGAUCUUAGAUAAGAAUUAAAGAAUCCGAAAUGAUUAUCCAACCAAAGAAUCUAUUCCAGAGGAUAGGAUCGAAUCCUCAACCAUAAACCUCGGCUUUGGAUUUCCUUCAACACUGGAUUAGAAAGACUGUCAGUGAGAAUAAAGUCUUGAGUCCUGAGUCUUAAGACUUGAGACUUGAGACUUAAGUCUUGAGUCUUGAGUCUUGAGUCUUGAGACUUAAGUCUUGAGUCUUGAGUCUUGGGUCUCGAGAGAACAAAGUCUUCAGACUUUAAACUGACGGUCUCCAAACAUGCAGACUUUAGACUGAAAGAAACGUUUUGUCAGCUUCAAAAUAUUCUGGAAAGAUUUCUCCAACAGCGCCGAGUGGGGCCGUGAUGCCACUGAUUUAAAUUUGCCGAGUAAGGCCGUAGUUGAGAGCAAUGAUUGAUUUGCUAGAAUGACAUGUAAUCGGCCGAGUCGAUUGAUCGCUGAGACGAUCCAAGUGGUUGAAUUGUUUGAUAAUGCGAUUGUGCCAUGGUUGUUUGGUUAUCAUAAUUGCACGUGGUUGGUUUAUAUAAAUUGUGCUAUCCUGCAGAUAAAGGCUGAAGCGAGGUAAGUCCUCUGUGUGAUGUGGCUAGGCCACCCGGGGCGUAUUUUCUUUCUAAUAGGGGUUUAGGGCGUUGAACUUGCUGAGACAUCGUCUCAUCCCGGUUGUGGGAUUAAAAUUUCAGGUCAUCGGUGGACGGAGUGGCCAGAUAGCUUUGGUUGGCCUUGAGGAGUUGCAGAGGUGAAGUCAUAAGGGUUGGAGAGCGUGUCCUGCUAGUUGGUUGUAGGAUAGUUCCCAUGUUGUCGAGCUGGUCUAUUUUGUAGAAAGUCAAGUGUUGUAUUUAAACCCUUUGUGUUUGUAAAUGGGUGUUUGGUAUUGUGAUUGAUUGCCUGCUUUUCUAUCCCAAGUUAAAUGUUGUCAGGAGAUUUGUUUCACUUUCGCAUGCGUAAAGAUAAUGAAUGGGUCGGCGACAUUUCCUGGGAUGUCGCAUUUUUGAUCGACCGUGGUGGGAUGUGCGCGCGCUCGGGGUUCGGGGCGUGACAUACAAUGUCUUGCAACUCUAGACUUGUACACCAAGUAAAUCCGAGAGAAACGAAAUCUUGAAAAAAUAAAUGCAAAAAUCCUCAGAUCUAAACUAAAUUGGAAUAUAAACCUCCCCAAAUUGGGAGAGAGAAGCUUUUAGAUUUAGAUUAGAUUAGAAGAGAAAAGCCCCUCAAAUGAGAAGGAAACAAGAAAAAAAAAAAACCAAAUCAAUCAAAGAAAAAGGGAGCGAAGAGAGAUCUAGCUCAAGCCCUUCCCUCCAUAGAGGUUGAAGAAGAAAGUUGCAUGGAGAUGACUGGGAGAGGAGAAGAGGAGGCCGGCAGCUAGGGCUUGAUACAAUCUCAUAUUAGGCCUUAAUUAAAUGGUGAUAUAAGUAUGUGGUGACCUAUAGGAUAAGCAAUUACUUUUAAUUUGAGUGGUUCAAACUUUAGAAUUUAUUGUCCCAUCUUUACAGUUGGUGUACUCAUUCAAUUAGGCUUGCCGCUGGGUUGAACAGAAUAUUUGAUAAUAAAACUUGCACCUUUCGGAGUAAUUUUUUUGUUAGUUUUUUUUUCUCAUUUUUAUUAAUUGGAAAAUGAUAAGAAAAAUCAGAAAAUAUCAAUUCACUAGGGAAACUACUUCCCAUGUGGCAUUUUCAGUUUCGGAUUUAUAGGAAAAAAGAGUGGUUCGUAGGAGGAAUUGUCAUGGAAGUUUGCAAUCAAUUAACCUGUCCCAUGCUACCGUCAUCAAAAUCUUUUGGAGCCAAUUCACAUUGUUAUUACUAAAUAUUUUUCUGCCAUUCAGCAAAAGAGAUCGUUCAUGUAUCGCGGAGGAAUUUCUUUUUGGGCUUUCGAAGAGGAAUGGCCAAAAUAGUUGAGUGGGAAUAGGGGCACUGCAGAGCAGUUUCUUCGGGAUUUCCUAGUACAUGAAGAAAUUUCCUUGAGUUUUCCAAGAGAACCGGAAAGGAGGUUAUGACACAGACUACUGUACGAACGGUCCCCCCUUGGACGGUUGGUGAUGCUUUCCUGAUUCUUCGCAGCGAUGAACCGGUGCGGUCUCUCCCUACCUCCGGUUUGAGUGCGCGCCUUUCUGGAUUCAACUGCAUUGUCAAUGCAGCAUGAGAUUUCGGUGUAACUUCUCAAUAUUUAUGGAGCCACUAUCCUUGUUGAUUUCGAUGGGGAUGUUUGCAUGGUGGAUUAAGAGCACAUUGAAUUUUCUCCGAGCAAAAGCUAUGAUCAAAGUGAACGCCAAAAUUAACCACAAUAUAUAUAUAUAUAUAUAUAUAUAUAUAUAUCAUAAAUUUGUUGUACGAAUAUCAAUUCAACCUUAGCAAGAAAAAAAAUUUGCCUAAUCAAAAAAAAAAUUCAAUUCAAUAUUAAAGCUUUCAAUUUGAUUAAUCUAGCUUUAAUGUAGUCAUUCCGGCCAAAGGUGAUGUGGAUGAUAGCCAUCCUACGUAACAUAAUCAGCACUAUUGUAGAUAAUUUUUACAACUUUUUUAAUGAUUUUUACGGAUUUUAUUUUUUCUUUCUUGUUUUAUUUUCCCUUUUACUUCUUUUAUUUUCUUUCUCCAUUUUAUCAAACUCUAACCCGGUAACCCUCGCCAGCCACUAGGUGAGGAGUGUGAAGCCCUUGGUUGCCCAUGCCACGUAGGAAAGCGGUAUCCAUGUCAAUAGUUGCCGACCAAAUUGACGGAAUAGAUAUACUAAUAAAUUGCCAAAAGUUUAGAACAUAAUUAGUCAAAUUAAAAUAUUUAAAACUGAAUUGACCGUGUACAAUAGGUUUAUGAUAAUUAUCCCCAAUUAUAACUAUUGGGGGUUCCAAGAAAUCUUUUUGAUCCUUAUUUUUUUGUGGAUGGAAAUGUGAUUGGUAUAAGCAAUCAAAAUGAUAUAGAAUAUAUCCACAUAUCUAUUCCCACGUAUGUGGAUAUAUUCAAACGUAUUUAGGCAAUUAGGAACAGCUCCUUCUGGAUCUCGCACCAGAUACCCAAGUAACUCAUGCACACGGGGCAUGAAUCAUGAUUACUAUUUUGCAGUGAGAGCUGGUGUUUUGCCUGAUCACUUCUCUCCAUUUAUCUCUCGAUCUACAUGCUUCUUUGGCAGACCUUUCAGCAAAGAAAUCAACAUACAUGAUCAAGGAAGGGAUUCUCAUCACAAAGCUAAUGUAUUAAUCAUGAGGCAUACCUUGUGCAUCAGCUUGAAAGCAUCAUGCAUGAUCGUCCUUACAAAUUCAACAUGCUACUUUCACACAUCAAUUAGCCUCUGCUAAAGAAAAAGGAAAAGCAAAAAGCUUUGGGCCCAUUUUCAUCUCCAUGGGUCUUCGAACUACACCUGAGCCUUUCCAGGGACAAGGGGAAAAAAAACCAGGAUUUUAAUUUUAAGGGUUCUUGGUGAGUUGGGCUUUAGUGAUCGUCGUUGGCACAUCUUUUUUUAGGGUCAAAUUCAUCGUUGUCACUUCAAUUGGCAAACUGUCUCCGCAGUCUCUCUUUCGCUUUUGAUAAAUGGCUCGUGCCCUUACCCUUUCAAACCUUUCCGUGGUCUUCUAUAAGGUGGUCUCCCAUAUGAUCUGUUUUUAUCCAGUGGCCGAGGCUCUUUUUUCUUCUUCUUCUUCUUCUUCUUUGAUUUUUUUUUUUUUUUAUGAUCAAAAAACUGCCGGAGAUCACCCUCUGGGGAUCACACAACCCUCCAGUGCUCGGUAGCACCAAUGGAGUCUCGCUGUAAGCCGUUAUUUAGACGUAAAUCCUCGAGAGGUUGGCUCAGUAAAUCACCCCUAUGACCCCCACUUAAGUCACAAGUAUCUAGAGAUUCGAACUUGUUCCCUCAGCGAUGAGGUAGUAAAGCCCAACCAUCAUGGCUACCUACAAAUGAGUCCCUUACAGCUUCUUUUAUAUAUAUGCAGUCGUUUAAUGUCCUCAGAGGCAUAUCCAUAUCUUUUUGUCUGCAGAUGACUUGCUAUUUUGUUUAUAGCCUACUAGUAGGGCCAUUAACAUUGUCUAAAGCAACAUUACUAUGGCCUCGCAAUGAAGUUACCAAUUUCAUAAUAGAUGAGCUGUUUUUCAACAAUUCACAACGAUCCAAUGUCUAUGAUGGUGUUGAAUUACUGGAGCCAACAGGAGAAUAAAAUUAAGGAUAGGAGGUUGGUCGCCUCUAGAAUCACAUUCAAAUAUGUAAAAGAAGAAGGAAGAAGAAAAAAGAGUCUGAUGAAGUCAGUGUGGAGCCCAGUGUGCACACAUGGCAACUAAUGAAUGGACUACUGUAAAUCCUAUAUGAUAAUACUCGAGCACUCAAUAUUUUCUCAAUCGGAGAGUAGAGACUGUCCUCCCACAAUGGAUAAUUAUGGAAAAGUUCCGAGUAAGUUUGCAACAAAUUUUCAUAAAUGGAACACUUGAAUUUCCUAAUGACCACAGUCACGAUCAUGACCAAUGGAAAAUGGAGAACUUUGGAUGGAACUCGGUAGUUCUGUCAAUUUUCCUUCUUUGCUUGUUGAUAUCUCAAUGAUUUGUAGCCAAUAUUUUCCGACAUUGCAAACAUGAAACAACGUGACGUCACAAAUUAAAUCAGCUGCAGAGCUUGCUAAGUUCUUCUUGCUACAACUAUACCGAAUAUAAUUUAUCAAUUUGCUAACCAACCUUCUCGACAUCGUGGUCCUUUUCGCUGUUAUUGGCAAAGGAAAAGGGUAUCCUAUUGCUUAACCCGCAAAGAGAGCCACGUAAAUUCAUACUAUUUCGCUUGGAUUGAAAUUUGCGAUUCGAUGGAUGAAAGGAAAACCAUAAGGUAAAAGAGAAACGGGGUUGUGAUAGCACAGCAUCAUCCCAUGUCUCAUUUAGAAUUUCUGACGUAAAGUGAAAAAUUAGUGGACUUGUGGAAAAGAAACUCAGUCUCUUACAUUUUGAAUAAUCCUCCGAUCCAUGUAAAUGGGGGAAGAAGGAAAAGAAAAAAAAGAAAAGAACAAAGUUAUGUGUGCUCCGCUUGUCGUCUUCUUCUCCUCCUCCUUUUUUUUUACUUUUUUUUUUUUUGUGGAUUGAAUAGAGGAGGUUUGCCAUGGUUCAGUUUCUUUGCUUUGACAUCAACUACCUAUUUGAUAUUUUUCAUAUUGCUGUGUUAUUCAAAUACCAAGCUGCGAGCCAUUCUCCUAAAUUUUUUUGUCCUUAUCACUCAAUUCAUAAGGAAGCAAAUUGCUCUUCCAGAUUGCUUUUGUUAAUGGUUCUAACAGAGGAGGCUUGUUUCUCUGUUCGUGGAAUAGGUGAAGAACUUCAUAACUAUGGCAGGUAUCCACGCUGAAUUGCAUCUAUACCGUUUUGUGGAGUAAGUACUGCAUUCCUUUCCCGUUUGAUCCAUUCCUUUCACCAAUGAUUAGCAGAGAGAAGGAAGCUUGUUAUGUUUGUGAUCUCAUCAGAGAGAAAGUUAAAUAUCCUUUCACAAAAUGCUCUUGGUAAGUUGAUAUAUUUGAUGAAGAGAUAAUCUGUUUAGCUAUUCUAGAGUAGCCCUCUCUGGUAGAAUCGUACAUGACAAAGGCAAGAAGAAAUUGUCUUCUCAAGUCUUUCCCCUAUUUAUUUCCAAAUAUCACAAAUUGCAUUUGUAGCGUGGUUUUAGAUUGAUUUGGCAUUAGGAUGCACCAUUCUCUAGUGGUCUCUUGGUUGAGGUCAGAGGGGGAUUAGAGUUUGCUUAUAUCAUUGCAGUUUGAUUUUUUUGUCAUCUUUUGCAGUCUGGUAUCUUCUGCGUUCUUGUGGACUAUUUGAUCGGGCUACAAGGGGUCUCCUCUGACUAUGUGCAGAUUUUGCUCGGUCUUCGUAGUUAUUUUCUAAUUUACAUUACCAUUUUGCUAUAUCCAGGCGCCUUUUUCUGCAGCAUCAACAACUAGCUUCUCAACAUGUCCACAUGUAGAAAUACUGCACCAAACUAUUGGAGUCUCUUCGUUAAUACUUCACUAUGUAACUGCGGCUUCUUCUUUUGUUCGGGAACCUUCACACCAUCACAGGAGCACUUGGCACCCGCUGGUUAUGUGAAGAUUCUGACUGUGAGCACGAUUCUGUGUUAAGAGAGCAUAUAUUUAGUGAUAUUGCUAGUACGAGUACCUAGAGGGGGGGUGAAUAGGUUUAUAAAAAUUUUCUUGAAGAUUGCACAAUACUUAGACAGAUGAAGGAUUUGCAAUAAUAAAAAAUCAAUCGUAAAACUGAGUAAAGGAAAGAGAGAAUUAAACACGCGGUUUAUAGUGGUUCGGCUUGAUUCAAGCCUACGUCCACUCUUCUGCACUGACAGCCGAUUGGCUGGAUUCCACUAUGAACAAAGAGAUGUUACAGUGUUGAUCUUCCUUGAUUUCUAGAUGUAGAUGAUCUACUACACUCGCUCAAGGUGUCACCAAGUAUAAACACUCUCUGUGUAUACAAUUUGCUCGAACUGUAUCGACUAACAAUCAAGGUUCUUCAGACUCUGGAAUUUUUCUAUCAAUCACACACUUAAAACAACUAGAACGUCUUCUUUUUAUACUCCUUUAUGCCAUCAUAGCCGUUGGCACUUACCAAAGGAAUUCCUCCAAUCUACCCGUUGGACGGAAUCAAUUAAGAAGAUCAUCCGAGCUAUUUAAGGAAUCUGAUGAUAGCCCAUCAAUCCUGUUCGCCCAUACAAUCAGGAUCUUGGUUUCCAAGAAUAGAACAUUCCAAGAAUGUUUCAUCGAUCAUCGGAUCUUCAAUUGAUCUUAGAUAAGAAUCAAAGAAUCUGAAAUGAUUAUCCAACCAAGGGAUCUUUUCCAGAAGAUAGGAUCGAAUCCUCAACCAUAUACUUCGGCUUUGGAUUUCCUUCGUCACUGGAUUAGAAAGACUGUCAGUGAGAAUAGUCUUGAGUCUUGAGUCUUGAGUCUUGAGUCUUGAGAUUACAAAGUCUUGAGACUUUAAACUGUCGAUAUCCAGACUAGACUAAUAGAAAUGUUUUGUAAGCUUCAAAAUAUUUUGGAAAGAUUUCUCCAACAAUCUCCCCCUUUUUGAUGGUGACAAAACUUUCUUGUAGAUUUGAACAACUUUGACCUGCAAAAACAUUUCUCAAGCAAUAUGACUAACUCAUAAAGAUUAAUAAAACAACCAGACUCUGCAUCCACAGCAAAUUGGUUAGUCUUUCAUGAGUAAUACCAUGUAACAAUACUUGAUAUAAAUGCAACCAGUCAAGCAUCAAAAUCCACAGCCAAUUCAGUCAAAUUUAAAUUCACACCCAAGUUCAAGUUCUCAAGUCAUACUCAAAAAUAAACAUAACCACAAAAGUCAAAGUUUGUUUUAAAAUUUGUUGGUUCAAAUUGGUUCUCCCCCUUUUUGUCAUCAUUAAAAAGGGUGAGAAAUGAGUCAUGUCUGCUUGGGAAUGCGCACGAUCUGGAAAUCUCCCAUUGACUGGACUACGCCUUCUAGCCUCUUCAAGUCCUCCCUUAGAUGAGCUACCUCCUCUCCUUUGGCAUUGGCUUGAAGUUGCAGAGCGAGGUCUUUCAUCUUGUCCUCCAGGGUGACUGAAGAUGCUUGUCCAGCAUUCUUCAUGGCUUGAAUUUCACAAUCCAGAGCAUAUAUCUGGCCACGCAUUUCCAGAAGAAUAUCCAUGAUGCGACGAAAAUCUGCAGAAUUGUCCGUCUAUGUACUGGCAUGAGCUUUCUCAGAUGGAGUAAAUGUAGACGAUGGCACUUCUGUAUAGUCUUGCAGAUUUGGUGUCAACGUAUCACCUUCUUCAGGCAAUUGAGAAGCCUGAAAUUCUUCUGGGUCUGCUGGAGAUUGUCUUGGACCUUCAUUAUCGGCAGCAUGAGGUGUGGACCUUUCUUGCUCGCCAACUCCUCCUGUCUCUAGGACAUCCAAAGGGGAAGAGUGAUGAUCAUGCUCUUGAUUUCCCUUCUCUCUAGAUUCAGCAGCAGACUUUUCUUUCUCUUCUUCAGCUUCUUUCUCCUUCUUUCUCUGCUCUUCUUCUUCUUUGUUCUUGGUUUGCUCUUCUUCUUCUCUCUGUUUCUUCUGAAGUUCUGUCGGCUGAGACACAGAACGUCUGGUUCUUGUCAGUGCAUGGAUAGUAGGAUCUUCAUCCUCUUCAUCUUCAUCCUCCAGGAUGAGAGGUCUUUUCUUCUUUUUUUGAUGGGGCACCAAUGGCCUCCUUUCCUUUUCUCUUUGAAGCAGACUGAACUGGAGAUUUCACUCUGAAUUUCUCCAUUGCCUUGGAAAGUUCUUGCAGGCGCAUCUUCGUUAACAUCUUCAAACCUACCACCAUCUUAUCACACGGUUGAACACAAAGUGUUUGUGGCGGUUCAAUAUUCAUGUGUCUGAAGAUCUUGGUCACCAGACCAGGAUAAGGCAAUUAUCCUUUGUCUUUCAACAUUGCUCUGUACAUAUGGAAGAGAAUAGUGUGCGGGAGAGAGAACUUUCGUCCUGAGUUGAUUGCGUACAUCAACUUUGCUUCAAAAAGAGACACGGAAGUCUUUGACGUAGACUUCGGUCUGAGACAGUUGAUUACAAUCUUAUGAAGCACAAUGUUGAUGGCAUUCAUCCUGGAAUAGGUAACUUUCCUCUCUGCGUCCCUAUCUUUGACAAGUUCCAGAGUAGUACGAGUAGGUGAGACUUUGAUUGGUAGAUAACGUCCUCGUUCAACUCCAACUAUGUCCGCCAACAUAUUCACAUCUACCACGUAGACUUGGUCUCGUACACUGAAUGAAAUUCUAUUCACAUCCAGAAAGCUAAGAUUUGAAUAGAAAUAAGCGGUCAGAUGAGCAUACCCGUCCUUAGAGUCAGAGCAAAAAUUCUCAAGUUGAAACAAAUUCAACUUUUCUCUUAAGUUCAUGUUGAUGGCGUCCAGGAAGUCAAAAUCGACACUUCUAGGGUUUAUCACCCCUCUUUUCAACAGCCUGAAAUACACAUUUUCCUGAUCCUUGGAUUUGAACAAAUCCAUCCGAUUUCCUUUCACCUUUGCUGCCACUCCCAUUUUCGGUUGAAAUUCAAGGAACAUUCUGUCAUCAUCGUUCCCUUCAAUUAAAUUUUGUCCUGGCAUACGAGGAUCACUUGGAAUGUUCGCAAGUGCGUCCUCUGCUUUUCCUUUCGGGGCAACUCCCAAUUCCUCCAUUUUUCUCAGAAAAAGAUACUCAUUCCCAUAAUUUUUGUCCUUAAGAAAGUCAUCUAUAUAUUUCAAUGGAGUACCGGUGCUUUUCAACGCACGAUAAAGUUUAUAGAUACAGGAGGGUUUUUGGACUCUUACUGGGUCAGCAUCCUCGAUUAUCUCUUCUUCCAGAUGAUGACUUGCACCUUGUGGGGCAGGAGGCGUUGAAUGACGUGGAUGAGAGCGAAUCAGACCUUGUCGCUGACUUGUUAAGUCUUCUUCCUCAGUGAGAUCGAAGUGAGUCGGUCCCUUCUCCAUUCUUUGUGGUCCCCUGCUUGCGAUUCUUGAUGAUUUCCUCGAAGAAGACAUCUUUCUUUGUCGAUUAGAAGAUUCCUUCACUUGCUUUCCCAAGAAAAAUGACCACUUUCUCGACGACGAACAAGCAGUAGAAACAGUAUCGGGAGGAGAGUGCCUUUUAGGGUUUUGAAGAUUGGGAAAAGAAAAACUGUAUAUAUAUAACUCAGUUUUGAAAAGGGAAGUUCAAUCGGUGCAAGGAAAGUGAACGAACACUUCUUUUCAAAAUCAAUAACUGCCAAAAUUAUUCCUUUUUAAAAAGACAAGUCUUCAAAUUUCACGCGGAUUAUAGAAUAACUGAACGAAAGAUCGUACCUUUUCGAGUUUGGAUAAAAUAACUAAACGAAAAUUCGUACAUUUUAGAUAAAAUACAACUUACAGUCUAUAGCCACGAAUGUCUGAGUCUGAGGAUUUAAAGUCUAAAAGAUUAGAGUCUUAGAGUUGGUGAGUCUCUAGACUUUAACUUCUUCAAGCUUCAAAAUGUUGAGUCUUGAACGGAUAAAGUCGAAUUGAUUUUUCUCCAAAGGCUUUGUGAAUAUAUCCGCUAGUUGAUUCUUUGAAUCAACAAAUUGAAUCGAGAUUUCUCCAUUUUGAAUAUGAUCUCUAAUGAAGUGAUGUCGAAUCUCAAUAUGCUUUGCUCUUGAAUGAAGGAUUGGAUUUUUGGUGAGAUUGAUCGCAUUGGUGUUGUCACAUCUGAUUUCUGUGCAUGAGUCUUCAAUCCCAAAGUCUUGUAGCUAUUGUUUUAUCCAUAGAAUUUGCGAACAGCAGCUUCCAAGAGCUACAUACUAUGCUUCUGUCGUUGAGAGAGCUACAGUGCUUUGCUUCCUCGAAAACCAAGACACUGUCCUGUUUCCAAGCAGUUGACAAGUUCCAGAAGUGCUUUUUCUAUCGACUAUGUAACCGGCCAGAUCUGCAUCUGAGUAUCCUAGAAGAUUAAAGUCUCCCUUCUUGGGAUACCAGAGACCGAUGCUUGAAGAUGAGGCAACGUAUUUGAUAACACGUUUUGCAGCACUGAGAUGGGAUUCUCUAGGAUCUGAUUGAAACCUAGCACAAAUGCAAACACUCAACAAAAUAUCAGGUCUAGAAGCAGUAAGAUAAAGAAGUGAACCGAUCAUGCUCCUGUACAGCUUUUGAUCUAGUUUCUUCCCUUCUUCAUCCUUGUCUAUCUUCUGAGAACAUGACAUUGGUAUGUCGGUCUUUUUGCACUUUUCCAAUCCAAACCUUUUGACAAGAUCAUUCGCAUAUUUUUCUUGAUGAAUAAAAGUUCCUUCCUUCAUUUGUUUCACUUGGAGUCCAAGAAAGAAUGUUAACUCUCCCAUCAUACUCAUUUCAAACUCAUCCUGCAUAGACUUAGAAAAUUUCUUGCAUAGACUUUCAUUAGGUGAUCCAAAAAUAAUAUCGUCCACAUAUAUUUGAACAAGUAAAAAGCUUUUGUUUUCCUUUUUGAUAAACAAAGUAGUAUCUACUUUACCUUUGACAAAACCAUUCUGUAAUAAAAACUUACUUAGUCUGUCGUACCAAGCUCGAGGUGCUUGCUUUAAACCAUACAAUGCCUUUUUCAGUCUGAAGACUGAGUCUGGCUUCUUUGGGUCUUCAAACCCAGGUGGUUGUUCCACAUAAACUUCCUCAUGGAUGAAUCCAUUUAGGAAUGCACUUUUGACGUCCAUUUGGAAUAACCUGAAAUUUUUAUAACAAGCAAACGCAAGUAAUAGACGAAUAGCUUCUAACCUUGCUACUGGAGCGUAAGUCUCAUCAUAGUCUAUUCCUUCUUCUUGCGUAUAUCCUUUGGCCACGAGUCUUGCUUUGUUUCGUACGACUUUUCCUUCUUCAUUCAUCUUGUUCCUAAAUACCCAUUUGGUUCCAAUAACAGUUUUACCUUUUGGUUUAGAUGUCAAUUCCCAGACAUCAUUGAUGUUGAACUGUCUGAGUUCUUCUUGCAUAGCUUCGAUCCAACUUUCAUCAGAUAAAGCUUCUUCUAUGCUUUUUGGUUCAAUUUCAGAAAUGAGAGCCACGGCACUAGAUUCUUCACGCCUUUUUGAUCUGGUGCGGAUUCCUUCAUUGAUUUCGUCAAUAAUGAGAUCUUUGGGAUGACUGGAUUUAUGCUUCCAGUUACUGCUUGAUCUGCCUGGUUGAUGAUCUCUUUCUUUAUUUGAAUCUUCAUGAGUUUCUUGAUGUUGGACUUCCAAAGACUGAGAUGCUUCUUGAGUUGUAAGCGUUGGAAGGUCUGGAGUGGGUUCAGACUCUUCAUACUGAGUCUGGCUGGAUUCAUCUUGCAUUGAAUCUUGGAAUUUGACAUUCAUUGAUUCCUCCACCGACUGGCUUUUCUUAUUAUAGACUCUGUAGGCUUUGCUUGAUGUAGAAUAUCCAAGGAAGAUGCCUUCAUCUGAUCUUUCUUCAAACUUACCAACUCGAUCAUUUGCAUUUUUCAAAAUAAAGCAUUUGCAACCAAACACAUGAAAGUAUGAAAUAAUAGGCUUCUUACCUUUGAACAAUUCAUAGGGGGUUUUUUCUAAAAUAGGUCUUAAAAAGACUCUAUUUAUAAUAUAGCAUGCUGUUGAAACAGCUUCAGCCCAAAAUCGCGAAGAAAUUUUGCUUUCAAUUAAAAGUGUUCUAGCCAUUUCUUGAAGAGAUCUAUUCUUUCUUUCCACAACUCCAUUUUGCUCUGGAGUAUAUGGAGAGGAAAACAUAUGAUUAAAACCAGAUUUAUCACAAAAUUUCGUAAAAUCUUGAUUUUCAAAUUCACUUCCAUGAUCUGUUCUUAUGCUUGAGAUUGCACAUCCUUUUUCAUUUUGAACCUUUUUGGCAAAUUUUUCAAAAUGCGAAAAGGUUUCUGACUUACUUGCAAGGAAAUAUACCCAAGUAAAGCGGGAGUAAUCAUCCACAAUUACCACCGCAAUAUUUCUUACCUCCAAUGCUCUGGGUUCUAGUCGGUCCGAAGAGAUCCAUAUGAAACAACUGUAGUACAUGAUUAGUAGAGACAUGAUUUAUUGGCUUAAAUGAAUUUCUUACCUGCUUUCCCAGAAUGCAUGGAGUGCAUGAAUCAGACUUUUGGUAUGGCAAUUUAGGUAGACCUCAAACAAGCUUCUUUGAUGGGAUUUUGGCUAAUUGCUUCAUGUUGACAUGGCCAAGCUUUCUGUGCCAUAAGACCGCUUCAUCUUGAAUUGAGAUUAGGCAUUGUGCUUCAUUUGGUUUUACAUCAAGGAGGUAGAUAUUUCCAUGCCUUCGACCCAUGAAAGACUGAGUUGAGUCUUUGCUAAUUCCAGAACAUAUGCCUUCUUGAAAGGAGAUCUUGAAACCAGUAUCACACAAUUGGCUAAUGCUUAGCAGAUUGUAGUUGAGUCCUUCCACUAGAGAGACAUUGCUUAUUGUGAGAUUUCCAAUUUUCACAAUUCCAAAUCCCACAAUGCUUCCUUUGUUGUUUCCUCCAAAUGAAACUUUUCCACUAUUCACUUGAACAAGCUUUAUGAAGCAAUUGGAGUCUCCUGUCAUGUGUCUUGAACAUCCGCUGUCAAGAUACCAUUUAACUUUCUUUUUGACAGAGACCUCAAAUUCACUGUCUGAGUCUGAUCCAGAGUCUGAGUCUGAUUGUGCCAUCAGACACAGGUUGGCAUAUUCCUCGUCACUUUCUUUACACUCUGUGUCGCUUCAAGUUUCGGCUUUGAGAGCUUUUCGAGACUUUUCAGCUUUUCCUCUCUUUUUCUUCAGAAGAUGACAAUUGCGUCUGAUGUGUCCCUUUUUCUUACAUUCGAAGCAAACUACAACUUUGUUUGGUUCCUCAUUAUCAACAAACUUGGUUUGCUGUUUCUGAAAACUUUGUUUCUCUGAGUUGAACCUUCUUCCUUUUCUAUUCAGCUUUCUGAACCUUCUAAUCAUAAGAGCAAGCUCUUCAUCGUCCAGAUCUUCUUCAGAAUCUGUAUCAUCAGAAUCAUCAUUAGAUUUUAAUGCAAUGGAUUUCUUGCCUCUUGGAUCUUCGUCUUCAUUAAUUCGUUCCACUUCGUAAGACUGAAGAGUUCCAAUCAGCUCGUCUACAGAUAAUGGCAUAAUUCUUUGCGUCUCUCUUAUUGAAGUCUUUAUAUGAUUCCAAUCCUUGGAGAGUCCACGCAGUAGCUUGUUCACCUUCAUAGGAUCAGAAAUUUUCUGUCCUUGAUUCUCAAGGCCAUUGACAAUAUCUGUAAAACGGCUAAACAUGUCAGUUAUAGAUUCUCCUGGUUUCAUUUUGAAGGAUUCAUAUUGACCAAGGAGAAUGUUAAUUCUGGUCUCCUUCACUCGGUCUGUCCCUUCAUAAGUGAUAUGUAAUCUGUCCCAGACUUCUUUUGCUGUAUCACAAGAAGAUAUUCUGUUAUAUUCAGUUGGUGAUAAAGCACAAUAUAAAGAGUAAAUUGCUUUUGCAUCGAGUGCUUGUCUCUUGUUUAUCUCUUCUUGAGACAUUCCGCUGGUAUCAACAGUUUCUUUCCCUCUUUCGAAUACUGAUGCAACAGUAGGAGUAAUUCCUCUUUCCACCACAUCCCAUUCUAGAGGAUCCUUUGACCGUAGAAAAGCUUUCAUCUUGUUUUUCCAGAUGUUGUAAUCAUUUCCAUCAAAGUAGGGUGGUCUAGUAUUGCUUUGCCCUUCCACCAGCCCUGGUGCUAGCAUACUAGCCAUGGAUCUUUUACUCUGAAGUAAAACACUUCAAAUAAAGUAAGAACACGAGCUCUGAUACCAAUUGAUAUUGCUAGUACGAGUACCUAGAGGGGGUGAAUAGGUUUAUAAAAAUUUUCUUGAAGAUUGCACAAUACUUAGACAGAUGAAGGAUUUGCAAUAAUAAAAAAUCAAUCAUAAAACUGAGUAAAGGAAAGAGAGAAUUUAACACGCGGUUUAUAGUGGUUCGGCUUGAUUCAAGCCUACGUCCACUCUUCUGCACUGACAGCCGAUUGGCUGGAUUCCACUAUGAACAAAGAGAUGUUACAGUGUUGAUCUUCCUUGAUUUCUAGAUGUAGAUGAUCUACUACACUCGCUCAAGGUGUCACCAAGUAUAAACACUCUCUGUGUAUACAAUUUGCUCAAACUGUAUCGACUAACAAUCAAGGUUCUUCAGACUCUGGAAUUUUUCUAUCAAUCACACACUUAAAACAACUAGAACGUCUUCCUUUUAUACUCCUUUAUGCCAUCAUAACCGUUGGCACUUACCAAAGGAAUUCCUUCAAUCUACCCGUUGGACGGAAUCAAUUAAGAAGAUCAUCCGAGCUAUUUAAGGAAUCUGAUGAUAGCCCAUCAAUNNNNNNNNNNNNNNNNNNNNNNNNNNNNNNNNNNNNNNNNNNNNNNNNNNNNNNNNNNNNNNNNNNNNNNNNNNNNNNNNNNNNNNNNNNNNNNNNNNNNGGAUUGAUGGGCUAUCAUCAGAUUCCUUAAAUAGCUCGGAUGAUCUUCUUGAUUGAUUCCGUCCAACGGGUAGAUUGGAGGAAUUCCUUUGGUAAGUGUCAUCGGCUAUGAUGGCAUGAAGGAGUAUAAAAGGAAGACAUUCUAGUUGUUUUAAGUGUGUGAUCGAUAGAAAAAUUCCAGAGUCUGAAGAUCCUUGAUUGUUAGUUGAGACUGAGCGAAAUUGUAUACAGAGAGUGUUUAUACUUGGUGACGCCUUGAGUGAGUGUGGUAGAUCAUCUACACCUAGAAAUCAAGGAAGAUCAACACUGUAACAACUCUUUGAUCAUAGUGGAAUCCAGCCAAUCGGCUGUCAGUGCAGAAGAGUGGACGUAGGCUUGAAUCAAGCCGAACCACUAUAAUCCGAGUGUUCAAUUCUCUCUUUCCCUUACUCAGUCUUGCGAUUGAAUUUUUAACUGUUGCAAAUACUCUAACUGAUAUCGUGCAAGCUUCGAGAAAUUUUUGUAUACCUAUUCACCCCCCUCUAGGUACUCGUACUAGCUAUUUCACUGGUAUCUUCUGCGUUCUUGUGGACUAUUUGAUCGGGCUACAAGGGGUCUCCUCUGACUAUGUGCAGAUUUUGCUCGGUCUUCGUAGUUAUUUUCUAAUUUACAUUACCAUUUUGCUAUAUCCAGGCGCCUUUUUCUGCAACAUCAACAACUAGCUUCUCUACAUGUCCACAUGUAGAAAUACUGCACCAAACUAUUGGAGUCUCUUCGUUAAUACUUCACUAUGUAACUGCGGCUUCUUCUUUUGUUCAGGAACCUUCACACCAUCACAGGAGCACUUGGCACCCGCUGGUUAUGUGAAGAUUCUGACUGUGAGCACGAUUCUGUGUUAAGAGAGCAUAUAUUUAGAUAGGAUGAUUUAUUGUUUAUAUCUUCUUGAGGGUCCUAAUUUCGUACAUUUUACCAUAUUAUCCAAUGAAGAAAUUGUAUAACCAUUCCAAAAUAGGUGUCGCCCACGAUACUCUUCGUAUAAGAUAGGAGCUAUGCAUGUGUUCAUAAUUCCCUGCUUUUAGCUUCAUGUGUUUGAUUUGCCAGUGAUUUUUCUCAAUGCAAUGUUCUUUCAAUUAAGCACGGUGUGAAUUGUUUUUUGUUUCUGAUUGCUAACCAAAAGUUUGUAGAUUUCUCCUAGAAUUAAAACAAUGAACACGUCCAUCACAGAAGAUUUGCUAGUUUGCAGAACCUAGUCCUUAUUAUGGUGAUUUUUUCUUUUUUUUUUGGCACUUUGCACGGUAGGAAUAGAGAACAAGUUGAAACAUUUUCCAAGCCCUAUAUAUGAAUGAUUAACCAUGUUGAAAGUAAUAACAGAGGAUUAGGAAAGCAAUAUCUUUACCGAGCUCUUCCUCUACAAUCUUAUGGUGUAGGAGGUGUAUAUCCACGACAUGGUCUGCAAUUACGUUUGGUACUGAUUAAUGAUUUUCAUUUGAUCACUGCGCAUUCACCUUAGAAAAGUCGAUAAUCUAAGCAAUAUUUCAUUUACAUGAGACAAAUGAACUGAACUGAAUGGACAAGAGAAUAUAUUGUAAAAUGGUAUUGUUGUUGUGGGGUAAAAAUGUCUUAAUAUGCUCUUGCCCAUUAAUCCAAUGGGAAAAAAAGAUGGAUGUGUCUUACCGAUCCAUUUCCUGUAGACUGAGCUUUUACAUCUAGGACUGGAUUGGGCACUUUGGAUGAUGCUGGGAAAGUGAUAUUCAUCAACUUCUUAUUAUAGAUGAAGUCAAAUAUUUGUUUUUAGGAGUUUUUUUUGUCUUUUCUAUCAUAUUUGCUUUUAGGUUAAAAGUGAUAUCUUUAUAUUAGUGAUGACAAGACCCUAGCCGUCAAGACGCUGAAAAAUGAUAUAGAGAGGCAAGAAAAAGAUAGAAGAAAAAAGUGAGUUUUUUUUCUUGAUGAGGGUUUUCAAUCUCUUUGUACCCUGAUCUUAAGAGAAAAUUGUCGUUGUAUUCCAACUUUUUCGAAGUCUAGUGGAUUCGCAGAGUGCCUCUGCGCGGAGACGUAGCCCAGGUUUGAGUGAACUUCGAUAACAAAUUUUCUGGCGUAUUCAUCUGAUUCUAUUCUUUCAUUACUAUAUCAUAUCUAGUGAAUUGUUUGCAAGCGUUAUUUUUGUGGAAUCUGUUGGAGAAAUCUUCUUAAAGUGUUUUGAAGCUGACAAAACGUUUCCAUCAGUCUAGUCUGAAGGUUUGCAAGACUCUGAUAUUUAAAGUCUGAAGACCUCCGGACAGCCAGACUCAAGACUCAAAGUCUAUCGUCAUUGAUAGUCUCUAAUCCGUUGAAGAAAGGUUAUCCAGAACUAGAUGUUUCGUUAAGGAUUCAACCUUAUCAACUUGAGAAGACCUCGUGGCUGGAAAAGACGUAGCGGAAUCCUUUGAUUGAUCGAGAUUGAUUUCGAUGAUUGAAGAUUCGAUGAUUGCCUAAAUAUUCUUGGAAGGUUUUUCUUAUGGAAACCGAGAUCCUGAUUGUAUGGGCGAACAUGAUUUAUGGGUUAUUGACACGUUCCUUUAAUAGCUCAAACAAUCUUCCUAAUUGAUUCCGUCUAACGGGUAGAUUGGAGGAAUUCCUUUGGUAAGUGCUAAUGGGUAUAAUGGCAUAAAGGAGUAUAUAAGGAAGACGUUCUUAGUUGUUCGAGGUGUGCGCGAUAGAAGAAUUCCAAAGUCUGAAGCUUCUUGUUGUUUAGACAAUCACUUUGAGCGAAUACUUGUAUACAAAAGAAAGUCUAUAUUUGUAAGAAACCUUGAGGGGGUGUGGGAGAACAUCUAUACUGUGGAAUCAAGGCAAAGCUGUGCUGUAACUUCUCUUUUGAUCAUAGUGAAAUCCAGCCGGUGGGCUGUUAGUGCGGAAGAGUGGACGUAGGCUUGGAAUAAGCCGAACCACUAUAAAUCCUGUGUUCAAUUUUCUCUUCCUUACUCUCUUUACCUUGAUCGUAUUUCAUUUUGUUAAUCAAUAGAGAAUUUCCUUUCUAUCGAUUGCCAAGAAUCGCUUCCGUAUCUCGAUAAAUUGUUUGUGCACCUAUUCACCCCCCCUCUAGGUGCUUGUACUAGCUAUCUCAGAAUCGACGUGCGAUUUCGUAACACUUCUCUGGAAACCAUCUCCGGAUUUCUCUCACUAGCAUGCAAAGUACCUUACUUGGUGGAUGAUGCAGCUUCACUAAAGAAUGUGGCAACAGGAACGGCUUAAAGUAGCCAUGGGUUCAGGGUUUGUAUCAAAGAAUGUUUAGGAUGUUCGAGGAUCAGCCGCUGCUCCUCUCUGGACAUUAGCAAGCGAUGCAUGUAUUCCAUGCAUGAACACAAAAGAUGAAGCGAAAUGAUUGUUUUUAGCGUGAGUGGGUGAUUAUAUUUUUUUCCUCUGAUUUGGUGAUACAGUCUUGGCCUUGUGUAUCUGAUUAUUUGAUGAUAUUACUCACUAGAUUGACUUGAAAGUUCUAAUAUUACCUAAUCGGAAAUGAAGAAUCUUGCAUCAGCCAUGACUCUUGCUCUUAGUAGAUGUUGAAAAUAUUAUGGUACUUCCUGCAGCUUUGCGCAACUAUGCCAUUAAAGUCGAAGGCAAGUCCCACUUUCAUGGCAACUUCAUCUCCACGCUAGUAAACAUCACAUUCUCUGGCAAAUUAAUUAUCACGUCCAUAACUUACCAACCUCUUACCCAAUCAACUUCUAAAAUUUAGAAGCUGUUAACUUACCAAAAAAUUUGACAUGGGUAAGUUUAUUCAACGUCUGCAACUUAUUAACCUUUAUCCUGUCCACCUGUGAAAUUUGGAAAAAAGUUGGUAAUUUACAGAUCAAUUUGGUUUUUGUAAAUUUUUUACAAUCCGGUCGACUUGCUAACCAGUAACUUGAAUUUGCGAAUUUACAUCAUAAAUUUCUUUAAACGUGGACUGAGGUCAAAGAAUGUCAAGCGAAUUUAUGGAAAUUGAAGUAAUGGCAAUCAAUAGGUAGAAGCAUAUAAAACUCAUUAAUGCUACGAAGAGCAUUUUGUUUAAUUAAAANNNNNNNNNNNNNNNNNNNNNNNNNNNNNNNNNNNNNNNNNNNNNNNNNNNNNNNNNNNNNNNNNNNNNNNNNNNNNNNNNNNNNNNNNNNNNNNNNNNNCCUCGGCAGUUCAACUGCAAUAGCUCAGCACUGAUAAUAUAAUUUAAGUUAACCCGGACGCAGUAGAGAUGUACGUCCUUCCACAUACACGAAAAGUCUCGACUUGUUGACCUCGGUUGCGCUCCAGUCAUCUGGAGCACGACAAAUUCUGCUGGCGCCUCAAUCCAACGGGUCGACGUUGACAGGUUUUGAAUCGGACAGCUGAUGACUGACAAAGCAGAAAGAAGAUUUCCCCGUGCACAAGCUCACGGUACUAUUAAACCAGCCCAGCUAUUAGCAGCUUUCUUAGGGUAUCCCAUGAUAACGGCUUGGCUUUUUUUAGGAGAUCAUCGGGACCUGCCCAGUGUGAACAUGAAGAGAACAGAAACGAAGAAGAAGAGAACAGAGACGAAGGAAUAGAGAAGAAAGAACAGAGAUGAGAGAAAAAUAUGAAGUUUCUGUAUUCAACCAGGAUCGAAGAAAAUUCUCGUCUGAGAGCAUUACAUCUCGUUUUCUCUUCAACUCUAUUUGUAUUACAAGUUAAAACUAAGAACAAACAGACGAACAACAGACUAACAGAAACACCAACAGAAAUUAUUCAGUUACAACUCAAAACUGAAUAUUGAUUCUGCAAUGAACACGUGCUGGUGCGCAGAUCCCAUCAUUGACUUUAUUCCAUUUGUCUUUGUUCACAACAGCAGAACCAAGCUUAUUGUCUUCAAUUCUGACUCAACUCAGCAGGCUGCCUUACUUUAUUUCCUCUGUUUUCAUCAGAACCAAAUUCUCCAAUAGCAGCAGCAUGUGCGUUCAUUAUAUAUCCUAUAACCAGAGCAAUGCCAGACGACCGUCGGGGUCCCAGAAAACACCUGUGAGGUAAUGAAUCCCGAGACAUGCACAUAUAACCCAAGGAACGAUUGCGAGCCCAAUGGUUCUGGUCAACACUACAAACGUACCAGACGCAAAAGCUAGCACCAUCCCCAACAUCGCAAUGUAAAUGCAACCCGCGGCUCUGAUGGUGAAACCUGCCUUUGCACGAACGCUUAACACAGAACUAUCAUAUUGUAAGAACAAUGCCAUGGUGGAGAAAGUGAACGCCAUAGUGUUGGUUAUCACAAAGGUUUUGAAAGCUACCCUGCCAGCAAGAGUCGCCAUUCCUUGGUUGGGUCCGUCAUUGCUAUAACCUCCUGGCAUCGUGAAGGCUGCGGCAAAGGUCGCUGUAGCUAUGAACGCUGCCAUUAGUAGUUCAAGCUCAAUAAUUCUUUUCAAUGACGAAUCGCUUCUUGUGGUUGUAGACGCAGCUGGUUGAUCCUCAAGAAAUUGCUUGUCUAGCCUCUUUUUAAUAUCUUUCACAGCCCACUGUUGAAUAGACGGGAUUCCACUAGGUCCUUUCAAUGCACGAAUAGCUCGAUGUCUUGAGAAAGUCAUCUGAAAAAUAUACAGAAAGAAUCAAUUAACCCGUGGUUUUCCUGGCAAAAUACUUCAAGACCCUCACUUUAUUCGCUCAAAAUCCAUCUGGCCAAGUCCUAAAUUAUUAUUUUUCAAUCAAUUCAUCUCCUUUAGAUGAGGUAGCUGGUAAAUGAAACCAGCAAAUAGAGUUUUUCUGGAGUAAACAAUUACAUCUUGGGCUAUGCCAUAGCUAAAUGAAAUUAUCUAGGAAUUGUUUGAAGCCCUUUUCUCAAAUUGGGCAGAGUGCAGGUUGUCUCUUUUAUCUCAAAACUUAUUUGAAGGGAGGCAGAAAUAAAACAGAAGGAUUUUGGCUGACAUUGUACAAAUCAUUCUGCUUCUCUUAUAUGAAUGGGGCAGAAUAGUUGUUUUUGGAUUGAGGUCCUCUCAAGUUCCGGCUCACUAUACAAGAUAGUGGUUGACAUCUCGGCACAAGGGCCAUUAAACAGGCCGGAUUUAUUCUCCAUUUUUCUUUUAUUUCUUUUUCCCCCUUUACCUUAUCCCCUACAUAAGAAGCUCCCAAUCCUUAGAGUUUUGCAUUGGUUUCAAGAUAAACAGGUCCCACAUUCUGCAUAAUUUUUAAUAAAACAAAAUAUUAGACCUUAAAAUUGCUUUAUACUAUUUUCAUUGUAAGCAAUCUGUUGACUAUCGAUACCAUAUAAAUGUUUUUUUUUAUUAGUUUGUUUGUUUGCACGUGAAAUGAGUAUCAAUUGAGCCGCAGUUUCUUAACGAUAUUGAAGAAAUUACUUUGCGAGUGAACAAAUUGGGCUCUUGUAGUGUGCAAGCAAGCAUACCUUAUCCUGAGCAUAUAUAAUGUCAAGAGCGAUCAAACCAUUUUUAUUUGUGGCAAAGCGGUCCACCCUCUUGUCUAUGGCAAUUAUCCGCGUGCUUUUGUAUUCUCUAAGAUGCACAGACAAAUGCAAAGCCGUGUUUCCAUCAAUGUCUUUUUCGUUGAUAAGAUCCUCCCGGUUUGGCAUCCCUAAUAUGUACUUGACUACCUUUACCUUUCCUCCGAUAACAGCUGCAUGAAGAGCUGUUUGCCUUUUAAAGUUUAUUAUGUCCCAAGCAUCAGGAUAGGAUGUAACAAGCUUGUCAAUGACAUUGAUGUGGCCUUGAAACGCUGCAAUGUGAAGAGCUGAAUCCCCCUCUUUGUCUAACUCAUAUGCAACGGAAGUAUCAUGUUGCAAGAGCAGUUGAACUGCAUCAACUUUGCCAAAGUGAGCGACAUAAUGAAGAGGAGUCCACCCUCUAUUAUUGUCCUUUUCUCUGAUCAGUUCUGGUCUCUUCUCCAAGAUUUUCUUGCAACCUUUGCAAAUACAAUAGGAAUAUGUCAUGAUUUAGAUCGGUUUUAGCAUUUUGACAUUGAUAUCUUAACAUUGCAUUUCAUCCCAUUUAGCUUUCCCCUCCUUUUUCUCUGUACUAGGGAGGAAUAUGUCAUGGUUAUUAUGAAGUUUCUCUAUUGAUCUUGUGUAACACAUGUAGAAUCUAACUACCUUGAAUCUAGCAUAAUGUAGGAAUUCCUGAAGUUUUUCAUUUUGAUAAGUGAAUUUGUCAGAAAUUCGUGAAGUUGACUAAGAAGAAACUUCUUUUCUAUUCAGCAAGGCAUCUGCUCUGUCUAAGGCUAGAAUAAAAGACUAGGGUUUUUUUCACUCUGAUGCCAAUCAUUUUACAGGAAUAUCGUGUCCAGCUAAUUUUAUAAAAAAAUUAAUCUAAACGAGGGCCUAGCACCUUCUACAUUUUCCAAUGGUAAAGUCAUUUUACCCCCCUUUUUCCAAGUCAUCAUUAUUUUUCCCUCGGGGGUUAAAAAAGUUUUGCAUCGAUUUUUUGGAAAUAUAUUGCAAUGUGCCCUAUCAUCAAUUGUAAACUGAAAAGCAAGUAAUCAUAAGGAGAAAAUGACGAAAAAAAAGAGGAAUACCAAAAAAAAAAAAAAAACGAACUGGAUGAGAGAGGAAAGGGAAGACGUUGGGGUAUGAUGGUGAUGGUGGUUGCUACCACUGCCACCACAGGAGACAGGAGGGUUUGAUGAUGGUGGUGCCAGGAGAACAAGAUCCAGAAAAAUGUGAAGAAAGAAAUUAAGUACAAGCGAAAUAUGCACUCCGUGUCACAGUGUUUUUAAUCAUAACGUCCUGUAUGUGGCCGGUCAAAUGUGCUGUCCUUUUUGUUUUUAAUCUUUUCUUUCCCGGCGGGGGUCACUCUCCUUCUACCUCUUUAUCUUUCCAAGCCUCUAGUGUCCCUCUCUAUUCCCUCUUUUCCAUUUUUGGCUUCCGACACGCCAUUGGAGCAAGUAUUGACUCUAGAAGGAGCAUUGAUGGAAGAGAGAUUGGGCCAAAGGUUCCAGAACUUUGAUGAGAAGUCGAGGUAGAGAAGGCGUUGCACUCUAGCUGGCAAAGGAAUUCACGGAAGCAAAGGAAAAAGGGCCACCAAACAACAUUUAUCAUUUGCUAGUUCCUAUAAUCAGAUAACUGAGGAAUCAGCCGCUGAAGCAGCUCGCAAACGCAGAGUUGAACGACCAUGAGGCAGAUCGAACUUGCAGGAGGCUGACUUACCGUCCUCAAACAACACGAUGUCUACAAUUUGAUCACCGGUCGUCCCCUCACUGGAUCUUGGCUCUAGGACUCCUCUCUCAUCCUCUCCGAUUGGCUCUCCAUCGAAAGUCACUUCCUAUUGUUCCCUCUAACUGGCAAGAGCGUCAUCGAGUUCAACCCUGAAUCCGCGGGCAUCCUGGGGUUCACAGCGGCUUGGCUUGGGGGCCAGCCGUGUUGUCCUCAGUGUCGUCGCGCCGACGUCGGUGAGAGAAAAUUGGGAGAGAAAAACAAAACAUGAGACCCGAAAGGCAUGUCUGAAGAAGAAAAAAAAUGGAAAAAAGGAAUAGAGAGGGACACUGUAGGUGGUAAGACGCUAAAGGCCGAAAAGAUACGAAGAAGGAAAGCGGGACCUACGGGGAAAGAAAAAGAGGGACUCCGCAUUUGACCAUAUAAAAAAUUAAACUAAGGAGAGUAAUGCUAAAAGGUGAGUCACAUCGGGGACGAUAUGAUGAAAACACUAUAAUAUUUUUACUAUUAUAUUUACAAAGUACUAGUCUAGAAGGGGGGCAUCGCUGCUACCACCAGCAUUCUCGCCCAAGGGAAGUCUCGCGCUAGGGAGAGAACUUCGGUUACUUCGGUUAUCAUUUGUUCAAGUGGGUUUAGAAUCUUGUGACUGGUAGUUCGAAGUGCACUGCAGCAUGCAGAGCUGUCAGUCCCUCAGGGCCCUUAUGAGAGGCUGGCGACGAGGAAGCACAUAAAAUUAGCUCAUUGAUAUCUGAAAAUCUUUGAUGUAUUGCGAGAUAAAGCGGGGACUCAUCAGCAGCAUUAAUAAUAUCACAUAGGUGAGGAUCUUCUUCAAUAAGUAAUUCCACGAACUCCUUGCAACGUCCUCUUAUUGCAGAGUGCAACAAGGUAUCCUCAUCUGAAUUCGGUAUCCUAAGUAGCUCUUUAUAUGCAUCAGGUUGAUGUAUUUCUUGCCAAAGAAGUAACGAUCUUGAUAGAUCUUGAAGAAAAUCUCGGACGAAAUUUACCUGCCUGAAUUGAGCCGCAAUGUGAAGAACGUUGUUCCCCUUUGGCGUUGUUUGGUGGAAAAGGUCCUCUCCAUUUUCCAAAUUUAUUGUCAUCAGGGAAUGAAAUUCUCCCGACUUUGCAGCCCCAUACACUUCAGGAUGCAUACCCAGUCUCUCUUUCAUUCUCAGGACACGCGAUAGUUGCAAGUGAACUUAUCAAUAUAAGCAAUGAGUUCAAGUAGGAGGAAUUUCUUUGAGUUUUUCAAGAGGAUUGGUGAAAAGGGAAAAUGCUGGAGAGGAAAUUUAGUUGAGCUUCCUAGGAGUACUAAAAUGGAGACAUUUAUAUGCAUAUGGUGGCUCUUCAAUUGUUCCUAUGAAAUCGAAAUAAAUUUAGCAGGUCUAAAGAAUAGUUUCUAAAAAGUCUAAUUGGUGUGCGUUUUGGACUUCCUGAUUUUACAUAAACGAUAAUAAGUGGGGCAACUCUUGUUAGAAUGAAGGAGGACAAUUACAAACCGAAAAUAAUAAUGAUAAAUAAAUUAUAUAAGCAUGAAAUUGAGUUAACGGACUGCUUUUCACUUUUUAUCAAAAUCAGAACAUCCUUCUAGAAGAAUCGGAUAUGAUUUAACUUGUUUAUUAAAGUAAUACUAUUCGUUCACUUUGAGCUGUAAUUUUUUUUUUUUUUUUUAGGACUUGAAUCGGAUCUGAUUUAACUUAUUUAUUAAAGAAAUGAUUUUCGUGGGCCCACUUUUAGCCGUAGUUUUCUUCUUCUUUUUUUAUUUUAUUUGUUCAUCGAAAAGUCCUUUGCUCUUUUUAGUCGGUCCAAGUUCGUCGUAAGCAUGCAUUCUCAUCACGGUGCACAUGAUGGAGCCUACCCAAGCCUGGUCCCACUCGAAGAUUUACAUAUGUAAUUAUUAUGGAGCACGAACUAAGGUAAAAUUCAACCAAUAAAAAACUUAGGUAAAAAUUAGUUGACGACCAAUUUGAGCUCAUCCAAUAAUCACCUCCACUUCUAUGAUCCAUUGGCAAAAGUUGGAGCACAUAAUGAUAUGUUUUCUAUUGUAAUGUUUGCGCAAUAUUCUAUAACAAAUAAAAAUCUAUGAAAAUUUUAUGAUCAUUCAAUGACUAUCUAUCAUUUUUAAUAUGUGGAAGAGGGACAUGACAAAAGCUUAAAUUUAUAUAAAUAAAAAAUAGAAGGCAAGGCCGAAGUUGUUCUACUUUUUUAGCAAGGGCCAGUGAACCUUGUCGAGGUCUUAGUGAGGGCCAACAACCUUUGCAAGUCUGUCUAUGGCCAAGGGCUCGCAGGCCUUCAUCUGCAUCACAAACAGUGGUCUUCAUUGUGAAAUAAUAUGUAGAACUAAAUUCUUAAGACUAUUUUCUAUAUUUGACCUUCAUAGAACAUUAGCCUCAAUUAUGUCUGCGAAUUGGCAAUUAGUGUCCUACCAGAAUCCCAUGGACAUUAUGUGUAUGUAGAUCUGAAUUCUUUGUUAACAGCAAAACUGCAUUGGCAAUGGGUUAUUUUUUCUUUUUUUAACUCAACCCUUUUUAUGUAUGUUGGCCUAGGCUUUGCUCCCACAUUGGUGCCAUGAAUAUUUUUUUAUUAGUUCAUUAGAAAGUGGACUUAUUUUUGUUGAUAGACUCUUUCCACUGUCUCUGACUUUGUAAGAAAUAGGAAACGGCUCAUGGGACUCAUGGACUAUGUCAUUUCUAGAGCAGGUAAUUUCUCAUACGACUAUUGCUUGUUAUUUUUAAUGAUUUGCAUCUGAUGUCCGUGACAAUCUGUUAUGUUCCUUGCCUUCCAAACUGCGGUUGCUUGUGCGGAGGUGUUGACAGUUGCUGGUGAGAUAUAUAGUCUUGUGGUACCUGAAUUGUAUCUAUAAGUCUCCACAAAUGCCUUUGAAAGCUUAAAAAGUGAAAGUUAUAGUAGCCAUUACUUACCUAAAAACAUGGGGUUUAGAUGCUGCAAUGGUCAGCUCUUUAUAAUUAUUCUGUGCCCUUCCAUGUUAUACUCCAGUAAUUCUUGGGUAACAUAACCAGCAUACUAAAUUAAUGUAGUACAUCAACAAAACAUUUAGCUCAAUAAGUGGUGAAUGGAUAAAUGACAAUGCUGUAAUCCAUGUAUUCUUACUAUUGUCUUUGUCCUGUUGCCGUUUACCUAGUUUCUCAUAUUCAUGAUUAGAGUUAUCUGUCUACCAUCAUUGCAACUUACCUGCCUGUCUCAGCAAGCACCGUGAUUGGUCGAGGUGUUGUUGAAUUUCGUGAGGGAGGACCUCUAGUGAGAAAAAGUGCUGCAAUGAGUGAGUUACAAAUUUCCGUGUCAUGCCUUCUUUCUUUUCGAUAUUGAGAUGAAAACAUGCGACGAAUCACUUUAUACCGUUCGGAGAUUUUGUUCCCCUUUUUCCUUUCACAAGUCUUAUAGUAUUCUUCUUUAUUAUAUUACUGACCAACUUUUGAGACACGCACAUAAAAUUCUCUUUCUUGUCUGUUGCUUCCCUAAACAUGUGGUUGAAGUAUAAUACUUUGAGUCUGCAGAGAAAAUGUGAUUCCGCUUUGCAGCAUGACACUUUGCCGAGCCAUGCUACGAUGGUGUAAAUAUCUGCAACUUCUAGGAAUCAAGAAAAGAUAUCAUAAGUGCUAUAACCUUCGUACGGCACUCUUUUUCUCUUUCUUUUUCUUUUAUCAUUUAAAUAUGGCACUCUUUUGAGUACCAUACAAUCACUUGAGUGCUAUAUAACUUUUUAAUCAAUUACUUGAUAGUUAUAAUUUUUUUAAAAACGUUCACUAUAAGCACUAAACUACAUCAAAUUUCUAGUAUUUGAGUGAACGUUUUUAAAAAAUUAUGACACUUAAGUGAUCGAUUAAACAUAAUUUUUUUUAGAAAUAAUGGCAAUUAAGUGAUAGGAAAAAAAAGUUAUAGCACUUAAGCAAACGUCGUAUAAAAAUUAUGAUAUGUAUAGUGUAUUUUAUCCCUAUCUUCUAGUAUAAUCCUAGAGGCGACACUUGAUUGCAGUCAAGGGCCUUUCAAUAGCAAGUCUCUUCCAAGAACAUUGUGCCUUUGCUAGUACUGCUGUGGGCGUAGACUAUGAACCUUGACUACAUUGGCAUAACCCAUCUGAAGCUUCUUCAAUGUGGCUUCAUUUUUUAAGCAAGAUAUCGAGGAAAGAGUAUCAAGAGAGAAGAGGAACAGUAUCUUGGUGAAUGAUUAAGUAGUAAUUAUUGACAGGAAUGAUUUCCAUGCUACAAAAGAUUAAAUUCCUCAUAGAAGAAUGUUGGGUUUUAAGGAUGAUGUAACAAAUCGUCGAUCACAACCCUUUUGAUGUUUGCUUUACAUUUGUGUAAACAAACAUUUGUGUAAACAAUCUCCAAAGGAUCUGUGACACCUUGCUACGCUAAUUUCCAAUCUCCAACCAAUUUGCGAGAUAUUUUGGAGAGUUUGGAUGGGACUUAGUAGUUAUUCAUUUGUCCUUCUUUAAUAGUCAGAAAUCUAAAUGGUUCAUACUAAAUAUUUAUCUACCCUUGAACAUCAAAUAACAUAAUGUCACAAAUUAAAUCAACUGUAGAGCUUGCUAAGUUCUUUCUUGCUAUAACCGUACCUAAUAUAAUUGAUAGAUCUAUUGAUGUUUUGGUCCUUUUUGUUGUUAUCGGCAAAGGAAUAAAGUGUUCUACUACUUAACCGGCAAAGAGAGUUGCUUUAUUUUAUACUCUUUCACUUGAAUUGAAAUUCACAAUUCGUUUGAUGAAAGAAGCACAAAUAGUAAAAGAGAAAGGGGGCUGUCAUAGGACAGUAUCAUAUAAUGUCAUAUUUAGAAAUUCUUAUGAAAAGUGAAAAAAUUAGUGGGCCCACAGAAAAGAAACCCAGUCUCUCCUGUCUUGAAUAAUGACACUUCAGUGCCAAGUAAAGGCAUAAAGAAGGAAAAGAAAACAAUAAUGAAAGAAAAGAAUAAAGUUAUGUGUGCUUUCCAUUUGUGUAUUUUUUUUUUUAAUAAAUGGACAAUAGGGGAGGUUUGUUUCCAUGCUUCUUUUACUUGCCAUAGACACCAACUACCUAUCUGGAAAAUUUCAAACUAUCGUGUCAUUCAAAUAUUUAAGCAACAAAUCAUUCUCCUAAAUUCUUUGAUUCUUAUUACUCAAUUCAUUAGGAAUCUAAAAUACUUCUCCAAAGUACUUUAGUUAGCUGUUUUAACUGACCGUACUUGUUUCUAUCCUGAAUUCGUAAUCUUCCGAUUCGUUAAUUUGGUUACUGCAGUAAAAUCAUUUUGAAUAAGUUGUUGGUUAAAUGCCACAAAGAUGAAGGAGAAUUUUUAUUUUUUAUUUUUUGGAGGGGGUGUGGGGUUGGAGGGAGAAGCCCUGUUGUAUUGUUCACGUUGCCAUGUUAGACGAAAAAAGUUCUGCAUUGGACUCAUUUUUAUAAGAAAAGCCACGUAUUAAUAAAAAUUUCAUAUACAAAACAUAGAAUAUGUUGGAAUUUACAACUAGAAGCACUUGAGUAAUCGUUUUUCCACCGAUAUAACACUUGAGUAAUUACUCGAAAAAUUUCGGCACUAAAAAGAUAUGAUUUUUAGUGUUAUUUUCCUACCAAUGCUCUUUAAAAUAGAGAUUGAUAAGGAUUGGUAAAGUAUUAAAGCUAGAUCAUGGUAGAAUGUCCUAAUGGUUUAGAAAGCAUGCAUUUUUAAUGGUUCCAUUCUUUUGAGAAUUAUUUUCUGCACUCAAACCAAUUCCAAAAAUAAGAAUUCACUUGAGAAGUUGCACGCCCAUAGAUAAAUGAGAAAUUAGGGGAUUGGAAUAUUUUUAACAUUGACAUUGACUUGGACUUAACUGUUCUAUUUUUUAUUUUGGGUCUAUGUCAUUAAAAAUUCGAAACCUAUAUUCACAUAAUAAAUUUAUCCAAACUAGUUUUCGUAUCACAUAAAAACCUUCAACACAUUUUACCCCAAACUAAUUUUUGUCUUAUGAAAAAUCCCAAAACAAAGAUUACCCUCAACGUUUGAUCCUAAACUAUUAAUGGAUGCUAUAUUUGAGUUAGGAUUCCGGCUUGGGGCAAAUAUGUUAUGAGGAACUAGUUCAAGAUUGUUUGCGAGAUGAAAAUAGAGUUUAGGAUAAAUAUAUUAUGAAUUAUCAAUUUGAGAUUUUAAUGGUAAUAAACCUAUUUUUGUUGCAUCUUGUAUGGCCAACAAGAUAGAACAUAGAAGUAUUUGAAACAUGUUCUAAGCCUUAUAGAUGAAAUUUAACCAUGUUGAAUUUAAGGCUGAGGAUUACGAAAUCGAGUUUGCUGAGCUUCCUCCUCUACAAUCUUAUGGUGCAGGAGUUGUAAAUCCAUGACAUGGUCUGCGAUUACAUUGUGCAGUGAUUUAUGAUUGUCGUUUGAUCAUGGAGCACCCAAGUUUGUAAAGUCGGUGAUCUAAUGAAAAUUGCAUUUACACAAGAAAAAUGUAUGUAACAUAACGGAUGAAAGAGCAUAUAAUGAUAUGGUGUCGUCAUUGUAGUGUAGUAUUGUCAUACCAUGCUUUUGCGACUUACUCGAUGCUACCAUUUGCAUCCUUUUUAACCUUUGAUCCAUUGGGAAAAAUAAUAUGAAUGAAUCUAACUGAUGCAUUUCCUGCAAACCAAACUUUACAUCGAGGAUAGGAUUAGAUUGAAGAACUUGGGUGAAGCUAGGAAAGUCAAAUUCAUCGUCUCUGUGUUGACACCUCAUUUGAGUCGAUAGUUUAAGUAUUUAUUCUUGUAAAAGUACCCCCAAAGAAAAAAAGCAAGGGAAUAGCAAAAAGAACUAAAACGAUAAAUAGGCAAACAAAUAAUUAUCAAAUCAACAAAUAAGAAAGGGAUCUAAUAUGGUCUUGGUCUAUUUUCUAUAGCCCCGAUCAGCUGGCACGGCCCAUGUCCAAAUUCGUUGAUCACGAGAGAAAAAAGAAUAGGAGAAAAAUUGCCCCUGGAAGAGAAGCUCCGUUGGAGAAGCUUCCGGAUUCUUCCCCCACCACCGUUGGACGUCGCCGACCUCCUCCGGCCAUCGGACGGUGCUCGCCUCCUCCAGCCGUCGUCGAUCCUCAGUCUCAGGAAGACACUGAUCGGAGAGAAAACCAUAUUUGAGGCACGCAUGCACGCCUGAGAGCAAAACACCCGGGCAAGGACGAUCGAGCAAAGGGGGAAAAGCUUGCGCCCCCUCGGCACGGGUCUUUGGAGUUUCUUUUUCUUCGGUCAUCUUCAUCCACCGGUGAUCAUCACGGUUUACCAUCGCCGGCCAUCAACUCACGUACAAACUUCAUUAGAUCGUCCUUUGGUAAGAGAACUAGAACAGAAGGCGAAGGUUGAAAUCACUCUAGAGGUUUUGGAAGCGUCCAGAAGACACUCUCUUCCAGUGAUUUCUUCUGAAUCCUUUCCUGCCUCUUCGUUGUCAACCGUGUUUUUGGCCGUGAAGACUUGAAGCAAUUCGCGUUUUUCUGAAAACUUCAUUACCGUUGCUCAUCUUCAGCAGCGACGUUUUCUGGAUCCUCCUCGACUGAAUAACCCAAAUGACGUUUAAGGCCCAGACCCCUAAAGUAUAAGUUUGACCCACAUGCGAACCGGGCCCAUCCCGUGUCCCCUUCAGCGAGGCCUGGACGAGGCUGCCCCUCGCCAAAUCCGACUAGGGGCCUUGCCAAGGACCAGCGAGGGAAAAGAGACAAAAAAAUAAAACAAAAUUCGAAAAUAAAUUUAAAAAUUUUAGCAAUGUCAAUAUCAGUGCUAGUCGUAUCAUGUAGGACAGUUAAUGUUUACACCGGUAAUUUCCAACUAAAAUUGAUCCGAUUGACUCAAUUGGUAUAAAGUGAAAAUGUUUAAUUUUAAAUUGAUCCAUUCCUAUGUUUAAGACUAAAUUAAUAUCAAUAUUAUGACUUUUUUUGGUACUUUUCUCGUUUACAGUUUGUAUCAAUGAAUGGUUAGGCUGCUCGAGGGCCACUGCUCCUCUCUUUGCAUUAGCAAGUGAUGAAUAUAUUCCACACACAAACACGAAAGACAAAGUGAAAUAAUUGUUUUUAGCAUGAGUGGGUGAUUGAAUUUUUAUAGGUUGAUAUAGGCAUUUUUGGGCUCGUGUGCCUAAUUAUUGGGUGAUGUUAUUCGCUGGAUUGACUUUGAAAGUGUUGACACCUAAAUUUUUGGGGUUAAUUUUUGCUAAAUAAUGUAUAAAAAAAAGAAGAAAAAAAUCAAAUCACAUGGCAUAUAGUUUAGGCAAGUUUUAUAUUCCAUUAAGAUUUAAGGUAAUAUACACUCGGAUGUGUUUUUGCGCAAAAGGGGAAUUUUUUGGAUAGAAUAUGUGAAAAAUACAAAAGAAAAUAUCACAUGUGGUGCAAUGAUAUAUUCAGAGAAUUGUGCACGAGUGAAAUUGGAAAUAAAAUACGCUUCAAAGAUCUAAAAUUUUCCCCUAUAAAAGGCGUUGCGCACGUACGAACAAGGGGAGGUGGAAUUUCGAAAUUUUUGAGAGCAAUUACAUGAGGAGUUCUUGGGGUUUGGUGAGCAGGGAUUCGAAAGAAAAAUCAAUAAAAGAAUUGUUUUCUUCCGUUUGUCUUCGGUUUGUCUUGAAAAGAAAAAAGUCAAAAAAAGAAAAGUCAUGACUGCGGAAGGGAAACAGUAGAGAGAAAGUACAGCAGAAGAGAGAGAGAGCAGAGAAUAGACGUGAGAGAUUGAGAAAAAAGAAAAGAAGUGACGUGAAAAAAAAAAAAAAAAAAAAGCCCCCCCCCCACGCGACUGUUCAUCUUCCUCGCGGGGGGGUGGAUCUUCGCCGGCGCCAUCAUCGUCCGCUCCCUCCGGCGUCCGACCGCGCCAUCCCCGCUCGCCCGUGCCGGCAUCCGCCCCGACGCUCCACCGCCUCCGAGCAGCAACGCCGCCCCGCCUUAGCCGGUGAUCCGCAGCUAGCCCCCGACGCCGGAGCCAUUCGGCGAUCCGUCUCCACCACGGUCGCACACCUCCGCACGCAGUACCGCCGCGCCACGAUCCGAUGUUGCAGCAACUCAGACGCCCGCGACGCUCGCUCCCGGUGCCGUGACACCGCCGCGCCGAUCCCCGAAACGUUGUGCUACCAUCGCGCCGCUCCCGGUGCCCUCGCCGGAACCCUAGUCGGACAUCUCCCCUCGCCAGACCGGCCACCAGCUUUAUUUUCCUUUUUCUUUUCAGAAAAAAAAGAAAAGAAAAAAAGAAAAAAGCAAAAGAAAUUUAGGUAUUUUCUUUAUCUUAUUUUUGUUUUAUUAUUUUUAUUUUAUUUUAUCUUUUUGGUGUAUUAUCCUCUUAUGUGAAAUUGAUAAUUCCAUGAUGUAAGAUUGCCUUGAAAUUAGUGAUUGUCAGUCCGAUUUUCGCGCCCGAAAUCCGACUCGCAAUCACUUAAAAAAUUGCCAAUCCGAUCUCCCGCUCGAGAUCCGAUUCGUGAUUUAUGUGAAAUUGGCCAACCCGAUCUCAUGCUCGAGAUAUGGUUCGUCAAUUUGGGUAUCAAUAUGGCUUGAUUUGUUGUGAUGUUGCUUAAAUUAAUUUUCUUAAAAAAAAUAAAAAAAUGUAGCUUUAGGGUUUGCAUGUUCAUAAUAGGUAUUUUAUUUCGAAUUUUCAAGAAAAAUAAGAAAAUCAAAUCAAUUAAUUUAGGUUGUUAGUUUUCUUUAAAACUUGGAUUGCAUGUUAAUUAUUAAUUUCGAAAUUUUAAAAAAAAAGGAAAAAAGGAAAAACAUAAAAAAUCAUCAUGCAUAAUUCAUGUAGAAUUAGGGUACAUUUUGCACGUCAUUGCAUAUUAGGAUAGAAAUUUCACUUAAGUUAAUUUAGAUAAUUUCUUAAUUUACUAUAGGUUUAGGUAUUUUAUUAAAUGGAUUGCAUUUUAGGAUUAUCUAGGUUAAGAUAAUAUUUUAGUUUAAAUUAGGAUGUGGCUCAACCUAAUUCCUAAUAUAAAUUAAAUAGGAUCUGAAUCUAAUUAGGUAAUUUUCAUAUUUCACCUAAUUUCGAAUUUCAUAAAAAAAUAAAAAAUGCCAUAGGUUGAUUUGUCUUUAUUUUUUAGGAUAAAAAAUGUAUUCUUUUAGGAAAAAGAAAAAUUGUCAUAUGCACGUCAUUAGGGUUAGAAUUCAUUGAGAUGCAUGUCAUUUAGUAUUUUUGCUAGGCCCAUUCAAAUUACAUGUUAUUAGAAUUAGGUCAUUUAGUUAAUAUUGCAUUGCAUAUUGCAUGAUUUUCAUUAAAAAGUGAAAAAAAAAUAAAAAUUGUGUGUUAAUUAGAAACUAUAUCUAGGGUUGUUGAUGUGGAUUUUAAUUUAACAUUGCAGAUGCUUUCGUUGCUUUGAGGUAAGUCCUGCAAUUUAUUCAUUUGCUUUCUUGAGUGUUAAAUUGGUGGUUUGCGCACCUGCAUGGUCACCUCACAUGUUAGAAUUUAAAAUCAAUUCAAGCUGCCUGCAAAAACAUUUUCAAAAUAAAAAGAAAGGUACCGAAAGGGCGUUAGAGAAUUCUAGCGUAACCAAGUCCACGAACUCAUAAAUCUCUGGUUCGUAGGAGUAAAGUAAAUCUCCCGUUACUUUACUAGGGUUGCUAAUCGACCCACCAAAAAUAGAUUAGUGGCGACUCCUAAUUUAAAAUCAUUGCAUGUUAAGAACUUGAACCUAAGUCGUGAAUUGGUAUGGGCUUGAGAGAACCCGAGCUAAGUCUAGGCUUAGUAAUUCAUUAGCCAAACCCUAGGCGGUUCACACCCGAAAAAUUGGUCGCGACAGAAAGUUUUGAGAUUACACAGAAAAAUGAUACUUGCACUUCCAUGAAGGCUUAUCAAGCUUUUGAAAUAAUAGGAUAGGAAGGAUCUUCCACCACCCGUGACUCUUGCUCUUAACAGAUGCUGAAAAUGUUAUGGCACUUUCUGUGGUUUUGCGCUACUAUGCCGAGAAAGAGAGAUGCAUAGAAGUAAGAAGGCAAAGUCCCAAUUCAACGGCAACUUCAACUAUACGCUACCAGACAACUAAAUAUCACAUUCUUUCACAAAACUCCAGGGGCGUACAAACCUUCAUCUUGAGCAUGGCUAUCUAGCAGGCGAUCAAUCCAACGAUUGGCGUUGACAGUUUUUAAAUUGGACAGAUGACAUAAAAGUGCUCGAAAUCGACGGCUAAGAAAGCAAAAAAGAAAAUUUCCUGUGCCCAAGGUACGGGAAUGUAGAACGGGCCCAUAUCUUUAGCUUGCGGAGCGACCAAUGAAUGGUCCUUGUAAUGAACAAAGCAACUUGCAUUGGAAGCCCAACCAUAAGCCUUUGGAUGUAUCUUUUGGGAACCUACGUAGCACCGACGAAUGAGCCCCGUGGUCCGGGUAAUCAUAAGCUAAUAAAAGAAAGAAGAGAAGAUUCCUCGCAAGAGAAAAAACGGACGUUUCGCGGGUACUGCCGGUGGGUCUAUGCAAUACACUAUAUAUCCCGAAAACAUAGGAUAGCAUCAUCCCGAUUGUUGCGACUUGAAUGAAACAUCCCACAGUCUGUAUCAGCUCUUGACGCUGCCUGAACAUAGUUCCUUCACAAUGCAAGAAUAUUGCCAUGAUGGAGAAGAAAAACGCCCAAGUGUUACAAUAUACAAAGGCUUUGAAACUUGCCCUCUCACCGAGAAUCGCCAUUCCUCGAUCUGGUCCAUCAUUGUUAUAACCUCCGGGCACUGUGAAGGCCGCAGUGAAGGUUACUGUUGUCACGCCCCGAACCUCGAGCGCGCGCACAUCCCACUGCGGUCGAUCAAAUAUGCGACAUCCCAGGAUACGUCGCCGACCCAUUCAUUUUGUUACGCAUGCGGAAGCGAAUCAAAUCCCCUGACAACAUUUAACUUGGGAUAGAAAAGCAGGCAAUCAAUUACAAUACCAAACACUCAUUCACAAACACAUGGGUUUAAAUAUAACUCUGGACUGUCUACAAAAUAGACCAGCUCAACGAAUGGGGAACUAUCCUAAAGCCAACUAGCAGGACACGUUCACCGAUACUUCAGUCACCACCUUUCCAGACUUAGGGCUUCGAGUCCACCACGACCGCCAUCUAGGGACCUGAAAUUUUAAUCCCACAACCGGGAUGAGACGAUGUCUCAGCAAGUUCAACCCCCUAAACCCCUAUUAGAAAGAAAAUACACCCCGGGUGGCCUAGCCACAUCACACAGAGGACUUACCUCGCCUCAGUUCCUUCCUGCAGGUUAGCACAAUUUCAAAUCACUCAAUCACAGAUAGUAAUAAGAACUUAAACAACCGGAACGCAUUCUUUUUCAUAUAACCAACAACCCCGGGAGUCCCGAUUAUGAGACUAAAUCGUUAUGACACGUCCCAUUCCAUGCCACACAAUUCCGUCCCAUAAUCCGACACAUCAACAACACUCAACAUGCAUCCCAAUUGUUAAUCACUGCCACACAAGGGCAUAGCCUACUCGCAGUUCGGCUAUCUACUGACACUAAUGCCAGGCAUCGCCUCCCCCCAUGGAGCGCGGCUUCGUCAGUAUGUCGACGGCAUUCCCGAAGGAGCAUCGUCUCCCCCCUUGGAGCACGGCUUCGUCACUACGUCGACGGCAUUCCCGAAGGAGCAUGGGCCCAGAAUCUACUGCGACCCGCAUCCACCGCGUGGGCAUCCCAUAUAGGGGCAAGUCCGGCUCAACAGCCCAGGACGCUUCCUCAUAGUUAUCACACAACCAAAGCAUACUCGGCCCCAGGACACUUUGUAAUUCAAUCAAUGCUUCCACUUAAAAUAGUGAUCCCGGCCAUUUUUCUCCAUAUUAAAAAUAUUCCAGAAAUUACUCACGUGUGUGGGGACACGCUAAUUUCGAAUCAAAAAGCCAAUAUCUCACUUUUUCAAACCCCACUAUUUAAUAUAAUCAUUAAAAUCCAAUUUUUGCAUCAAAACCCGACAUUUGGGUUUUUAUGAACAAAAUCCUUAUUUAUCACAAUCAACAGUCGAUUUGCCACAAUCAAUCAUCAAAUUCAAAUUCUAAAUACACAACAGCGAUCGGCACGAAAUUCUGAGAGUAUAAGGUCCCGACGAAAUUUUCGAAUUUUAAUAAAUAAUUAAAUUAAUUCCGAAAAUUAAUUAAAUAAUAAUAUUCACAUUUUUCGCAAUCCACAUUCAAUUUAUAUUAUCCGACCAAAAUCCGAACACACAGCAGCGAUCGGCACGAAAUUCUGAGAGUAUAAGGUCCCGACGAAAUUUUCGGAAUUUAAUAAAUAAUUAAAUUUAUUCCGAAAAUAAUUAAAUAAUCAUAUUUUAAUAAUUUCGAAUAAUGAUAUAUUAUUAAAUUAUUAAAUAAUUUCGAAAUGUUUAAAUAAAUCAAAAGUAAAUUCCUUUAUGUCACAUCAAUGUUUAUUUUAAAAAUAAACCUACUUAACCCUUAAACUAAACAUGUUUAACUUUAAUUAAACAAAUUAAUCUAAUCCAUAAUUAAAUAAACUAAUCUACCAACCUAAUCUUACUUAACUUAGACUAAGCACACUUAGGGCAUCAUUAACCCUCUAAUCAAGAUUUAGUGAGUUAAACUCACCGGAUUAGCGAGCCGAGCGGAUCAAAACGACGAGGACGCCGAGGAGAACAACUUUCCUCAAGCACGGCUCGGAUUCGGGGCGCGGAAACGGCCCAAAACGGGCCUUGAACAGGGCUGGAAACCCAUUUUUCCAGCCACUGUUCGUGGCCAAACGAAGCUGCUCCGGCGGCUAGGGCGGCGAGGAGAGGCCGCCGGAGGGCGAGGGGGACGUCGGGGGAGGUCCGGCGGUGCUGGGCGGUGGCCGGAGCUGGCUGGACAGGGCGGAACGGGCUGGGUCGCGCGGCUGGGAGAACGCCAGGCGCGAGGGACGACGACUGGCGGAGCUCGCGGCGAGCUGCGGGCGCGCGGGCGGCGCGGGGCGGUGGCGACGAGCGGACGGGCAGGCGGUGAAAGGCUGCUUCGGCUUCUCCUCUGCAAAUUUUUCUGGUCUUCACGCACCAUCCAUGGAGGAGAGAGGCAUCGGGGGAGAGAGGAAGAAGAGAGGGAGGAGAGAGAAGGAGGGGGGCUUUUUCUUUUCUUUUUCUCUUUCUUUUAUCCCUCACACAUGGCCCACCAUGACCUCACAUGAGGUCAUCUUCCACUAUCUCCCACAACCUUUCUCCAAUGGGUUCAUUUUACUUUUCCGCCGGGGCAUGAAACUUUGUACAACAAAUUCUUCAAUUCCACUUGAUUUUCUUCCAAUUGAAUCAAAUUGAAGUCCAUAAAAUUAAUCCAAUGUCACCACACUUCAAUUCACAUCUUCACUUGUCUGUAGAACCAACUUAAGUCCCAAAAGUACGACCGAAAGCGGGCCUACUAAUUUCUCGAGCCAAAUUAGCCAUUUUCUGAUUUAAUUGCUGAAAAACUCUGAUUGCAUGAAAAAUCUUCCGAAGAUGAUUCAAUGAUCCUUAAUGAUUUGUGACACACCCAGACUUCCAAUUUCUGAAUUCGAUCUAAAUUCCACGGUUAAUUUCACUUUGGCACGAUACUAGCGCGGCCCAACCUACCGGGUAGCCUUUAGAAAUUUUCACGCAUUUGACCUGUGGCUGAUCAUCUCAAGCCACAAUGUACAUCUUUGAGACAUUGGCGACUUUCGGUUGUCGGGGAAAUCUCAAGGUUUCAAAUACGAACACAGGGUACCCAAUCGAUAGAAAAGUCGGUCCAGUGUCGAUCGACAAGGAUUAUGUGCUUCGGUGGAAUCACCCACACUCGAUCACAUGCCUCUGUCGAGUCGACCUAUCUCCGGUCUCUAAUCGACUUUUAUUUGUGCCGUAAUGACCAUUGCAGAUUAGCUCGGUCGAAAGGUCGCUUCCUGGCCAAAUUCUCGAGUCUAAUGCAUUAGAAACUCUUAACAGCUUCACCCGAUAGACUGGUUUUCACAUGAGUGGUCGACUCAAGGAAAAGAACUAUAUACGUGCCAACGAAAUGCCCGUCUCAAUUUAUUGAAAAUAGAACCGGAAAAUCGGGAUGUCACAACCCUUCCCCUCUUAUAAAAAUUUCGUCCUCGAAAUUUAAACCUUUACCGAUUCUUAACAAAAAGAUUAUCUCGGUUGGCAAUAUUAUUUCCUGUGUUUAUAGACACAGAUGGUUGACCCUGAACGAAUUGUUUAUCUAACCUCUUCUUACCUUGUUCAGUAAACCAAACUUGAAAACUCGGGAUUCCAUAAGAUCCUUUCAACAUUUGACGAGCCAUUUUAGCAGAAAUGCUCACCUAAAAAUGUACAGAAUGAAUGAAUUAGUGAGUGAAAGUUUCCCGAUGAAAUACUUCCAGACUCUCACUUUACACACUCAAAAUCCAUCUAUAACAAACAGAAUUUCCAACGAGUCCAAAAACGUUAUGAGGAAUUCAUUCAAACCAUCUCUUUUAGAUCAAAUUAAAUGGUAUAUAACACCUGUAAAUAGAGUUUCAUGGAGUAAACAAUUACAGUUUCGAGUAUGCUAUUUCAGUCAUGAUUUAUUCUCCAUUUUUCUUUUCAUUUUCCUUUCCUUUUCUUUCUUUUUCUGCUUUACGUUAUCAUCUAAUUUUAAAGGAUUCCAACCUUGAAUGUUUUGCAUUGUUUUUGACAUAACCAAGACAGACAAUUGCUUGAGAACUAAUUGAUCAAACAUAAUAUUUACAAACGUAUAUGUGCUUAUCAACCAAACAAUCGAAUUAACUAAUAUUGAAAUUACUUUGCAAACUGAUUUGUCUUAAACUAUACAUUGUUAUUUGGAUAUUUUGUCACUGAAUGAUUAUAUUGAAGCAAAAUAUACAAACUUAAAAUUGUUUUUUGUUAUAUGCAUUUAAACGUUGGCCAUUAGUAUGAUAUUUGGUUUUUUCAUGUAAUCGGAUUGGAAAAAGGGCUUUAAUAUGUGGAAAUGAUUUAGAUGGUUUAAAAAUAUAAGCAUUUGUUGGAUAUAUAAAGACUUUAAUUUUUCCUUUAACUAGGCUUCGUAUCUUAUGAUACUUACUGGUCAGUGAGAGAGAAAUUCCGACGUGUAGAGCUGUCAAACCCUUAGGACCCUUAUGAGAGGAUGAUGACAAGAAAGUACUCAAAAUCAACUCAAUGGUAAGAGAAAGUCCUCGAUCUGCCGCAAGAUAAAGCGGAGACUCAUCAGCAGCAUUAGUAAUAUCACAUAGUUGAGGAUCUUCUCCAAUUAGCAACUCCACCGCCAAAUCAUGACCUCCUCUUAUUGCAUAGUGCAGGGCGGUAUCCUUAUGUAAAUUCUGCUUCCGAAGUAGCUCUUUGCAUGCGUCAACUUAUCCGUUCUCAGCGACCCAAUGAAGUGAUUUUGACAAAUCAGUGAACAUUCGAAUCGCUCCAUAGCUUCCCACUUUAGCGGCAACGUGUAAGGGAGUGUCUCCUUUAUAGUUACCCUGCCAAAGAAGCGAUGGUCCCAAUGGACAUUGAAGAAGAUGUUCAAUGAAAUUUACCUGUUUGUAUUGAGCCGCAAGAUGAAGAAUGUUGUUCCCCUUUGGUGUUGUUUGAUGGAAAAGGUCCUCUCCAUUUCCCAAAAUUAUUGUGAUCAAGGAACCAAAGUCUCCUGAUUUUGCAGUCUCAUACACUUUAGGAUGCAUUCUCGCUCUUUGUUUGUUGUUUACAGGACACUAAAAGUAGUUGCACAGGAACUUAUCAAUAUAAGCAAUUAGUUCAAGCGAAAAGAACUUCUUUGAGCUUUACAAGAGGAAUCAAUGGAAGGGAGAAUGUUGGGGAGGAAAUAUUUUCAUGCUUCCCAAGAGUAAUUGAAAGGAGACUUAUAUGUAUAUCUAUGAAAUGUGAAUAUGCCAGGCGUGUUCCUGUGAAGUUUUUAUUCUCUCGAGAGCAACUUUAUAAUAACGAUAUGGGGGGAUCAAGACAAGUACGGGAAAAAAAAAAAAACAUAAUAAUAAUAACCGACGCUAGGUCUCCCCGGCAGCUUCUUUGUCCUUUUUGACUUUGGGACAAUGUGCUCUUCCCUGGAUGGGUGAUAACCUUCUUUGUUAAUAUUCAAAUGAAUCUUCAAGGAUGGUGUCGUCGAAAUAGGAAAAUCCCAAUGAAUCCAUAUUUAAAGGUCGGGAUUAUCCAAUUACUCAACUUGAUCAACUAUUGUCAUCCAAAUAAAAAUAGUUUAUGUACAAUGUCACUCCCUCCACAGUUCCCACGACAAAGAUUGGUCAAAAGUGAACCUAUGAGUUCAAGUGUGAGGAAUAUAUUUAAUCUUAUCAAGAUGACUUGACUAAAGAAGCGACGUUGGAUAGGAAAUAUCCUUCAAUUUUUCAAUAGAACUUUUUUUAGCUUUCAACUAGACUAAAGGAAAGAUAUUGGGAAAGACAUUUCUCAUUACUUUUCUAAGGAGCCAACUAAAGACAGGAUAUGGACAAGAAAUUUCUUUGAACUUUCUAAAAGAAUUGGAUUAAAAAGAAGAUGUUCGGGAGCAAAUUCAUUUGAAUUUUUUAAGGGAAUUGCAAAGGAGAUUGUCAUGUGCAUAUGAAUGAUCUAUCAAUGGUUUAGAUAAAAUAGGAAUUUCUGAGGUGGAAGAAUAGUUUCCGCAAAACCAAGUCGGUCUGUUUCUCUAAAUUUGCCGUUCUGCCUCCCGCUAAUAUAAUAAGAAAGUGGGCAAAUCUUGUUAAACAUAAGAUGGACAAGUAAAAAAAAAAAAACCAAAACAAUCAACAGCCCUCCUGCAGAUUCCUAAUUUAUUUCGACUUUUAUUCGACCUGGUCUUCCACUUAUGAGGGCUUCUUAUUUUAUUUUAACUUUUUGACUUUUGUCCCAUCUGCUCUUCCACUUUUGAGUUGUCUUAACUUUUUCUUUUUGGACUUUUGAGGCACCUGUUCUUCCACUUUUCAUCGAAAGCAAAACCAUUACGCUCCCACGAUACUUCCUAAAGCGGGGUAACUUUAGACUUCUAUGCCUUCCCAGGGAGUACGUAGCAGUGAGAAUAAUCGUCGAAAGUUCUUCAGCCAAGUGAACAUUCUCUAAAACCUAUAGUGAAUAUAAAAAAUUAAACAAAGGUGAGUCACAUCAGGGACGAUAUGAUGAAAACACUAUAAUAAGGAGUAAAAAAUCGCAGCCCAUUAGUGAAUAUAUUUACUAUUAUAUUUACAAAGUACUAGUGUAGAAGGGGGCAUCGCUGCUACCACCAGCAGUCUCGCCCAAGGGAAGUCUCGCGCUAGGGAGAGAACUUCGGUUACUUGGGUUAUCAUUUGUUUAAAGUGGGUUUAGAAUCUUGUGAUACUUACUUGAUAGUGGGAAGAGCCCUGCAGCAUGCAGAGCUAUCAGUCCUUUAGGGCCCUUACGAGAGGAUGGCGACGAGGAAGCACAUAAAAUCGGCUCAAUGAUAUCCUGAAAUCUUCGAUGUAUUGCGAGAUAAAGCGGGGAUUCAUCAGCAGCAUUAAUAAUAUCACAUAGGUGGGGAUCUUCUUCAAUAAGCAACUCCACGACCCCCUUGCAAUGUCCUCUUAUUGCAGAGUGCAACAAGGUAUCCUCAUCUGAAUUUGGUAUCCUAAGUAGCUCUUUGUAUGUGUCAGGUUGAUGUAUUGUUUUCGCCAUAUUGAUGAAAACUCGAACCAUUUCAUGGCUUCCCACUUGAGUAGCAACGUGUAAGGGAGUGUCUCCUUUAUAGUUACCUUGCCAAAGAAGGGAUGAUCUUGAUAGAUCUUGAAGAAAAUCUCGGAUGAAAUUUACCUGCCCAAAUUGAGCUGCAAUGUGAAGAACAUUGUUUCCCUUUGGCAUUGUUUGGUGGAAAAGGUCCUCUCCAUUUUCCAAAUUUAUUGUCAUCAGGGAAUGAAAUUCUCCCGACUUUGCAGCCCCAUACACUUCAGGAUGCAUACCCAGUCUCUCUUUCAUUCUCAAGACACGCGGUAGUUGCAAGUGAACUUAUCAAUAUAAGCAAUGAGUUCAAGUGGGAGGAAUUUCUUUGAGUUUUUCAAGAGGAUUGGUGAAAAGGGAAAAUGCUGGAGAGGAAAUUGAAUUGAGCUUCCUAGGAGUACUAAAAUGGAGACAUUUAUAUGCAUAUGGUGGUUCUUCAAUUGUUUCCAUGAAAUCGAAAUAAAUUUAGUAGGUUUAGAGAAUAGUUUCCAAAAAGUCUGAUUGGUAUGCGUUUUGGACUUCCUGCUUUCCACUUUUUUAUCAAAAUCAGAACAUCCUUCUAGAAGAAGAAUCGGAUAUGAUUUAACUUUUUUAUUAAAGUAAUAAUAUCCGUUCACUUUGAGCUGUAAUUUUUUUUUUUAAUUGAAUCGGAUCUGAUUUAACUUAUUUAUUAAAGAAAUGAUUUUCGUGGGCCCACUUUUAGACGUAGUCUUCUUUUUUUUUUUUUUUUUUGUUCAUCGAAAAGUCCUUUGCUCUUUUUAGUCUUCACGGUCCAAGUUCGUCGUGAGCAUGCAUUCUCAUCAUGGUGCACAUGGUGGACCCUACCCAAGCUUGGUCCCACUCGAAGAUUUACAUAUGUAAUUAUUAUGGAGCACGAACUUAGGUAAAAUUCAACCAAUAAAAACUUAGGUAAAAAUCAGUUGACGACCAAUUUGAGCUCAUCCAAUAAUCACCUCUACUUCUAUAAUCCAUUGACAAAAGUUGGAGCUCAUAAUGAUAUGUUUUCUAUUGUAAUGUUUGCACAAUAUUCUAUAACAAAUAAAAAUAUAUCAAAAAUUUAUGAUCGUUCAAUGACUAUCUAUCAUUUUUAAUAUGUGGAAGAGAGACACGACAAAAGCUUAAAUUUAAAUAAAUAAAAAAGAGAAGGCAAGGCCGAAGUUGUUCUACUUUUUUAGCAAGGGCCAAUGAACUUUGUCGAGAUCUCAGUGAGGGCCAACAACCCUUGCAGGUCUGUCCAUGGGCAAGGGCUCGCAAGCCCUCAUCUGCGUCACACAUAGUGGUCUUCAUUGUGAAAUAAUAUGUAGAACUAAAUUCUUAAGACUAUUUUCUCAUAUUUGACCUUCAUAGAACAUUAGCCUCAAUUAUGUCUGCAAAUUGGCAAUUAGUGUCCUACCAGAAACCCAUCAACAUUAUGUGUAUGUAGAUCUGAAUUCUUUGUUAACAGCAAAACUGCAUUGGCAAUGGGUUAUUUUUUCCUUUUUUAACUCAACCCUUUUUUAUGUAUGUUGGCCUAGGCUCUGCUCCCACAUUGGUGCCAUGAAUAAUUUUUUAUUAGUUCAUUAGAAAGUGGACUUAUUUUUGUUGAUGGACUCUUUACACCGUCUCUGACUUUGAAGAGAAAUAGGAAACGGCUCAUGGGACUCAUGGACCAUGUCACUUCUAGAGCAGGUAAUUUCUCAUACGACUAUUGCUUGUUAUUUUUAAUGAUUUGCAUCUGAUGUCCGUGACAAUCUGUUAUGUUCCUUGCCUUCCAAACUGCCGUUGCUUGUGCGAAGGUGUUGACAGUUGCUGGUGAGAUAUAUAGUCUUGUGGUACCUGAAGUGUAUCUAUAAGUCUACACAAAUGCUUUUGAAAGCUUAAAAAAUGAAAGUUAUAGUAGCCAUUAUUUACCUAAAAACAUGGGGUUUAGAUGCUGCAAUGGUCAGCUCUUUAUGCUGUAAUCCAUGUAUUCUUACCGUUGUCUUUGUCCUAUUGCCAUUUACCUAGUUUCUCAUGUUCAUGGUUAGAGUUAUCUGUCUACCAUUAUUGCAACUUACCUGCCUGUCUCAGCAAGCACCGUGAUUGGUCGAGGUGUUGUUGAAUUUUGUGAUGGAGGACCUCUAGUGAGAAAAAGUGCUGCAAUGAGUGAGUUAAACAUUUCCGUGUCAUGCCUUCUAUCUUUUCAAUAUUGAGGUGAAAACAUGUGACGAAUCACUUUAUACCGUUCCGAGAUUUUGUUCCUCUUUUUCCUUUCACAAGUCUUAUAGUAUUCUUCUUUAUUAUAUUACCGACCAACUUUUGAGACACACAAAUAAAAUUCUCUUUCUUGUCUAUUCUUUCCCUAAACAUGUGGUUGAAGUAUAAUACUUUGAGUCUGCAGAGAAAAUGUGAUUCUGCUUUGCAGCAUGACACUUUGCCAAGCCAUGCUACUAUGAAGUAAAUUUCUGCAACUUCUAGGGGAAAAAAAAAAAGAUAUCAUAAGUGAUAUAACCUUUGUACGGCACUCUUUUUUUUUUUUUUAUCAUUUAAAUGUUAUCACUUAUGUAUGGCACUCUUUUGAGUACUAUAAUUCUUUUCACAAUUACUUUAGUGUUAUAUAACUUUUUAAUCGAUUACUUGAUUGUUAUAAUUUUUUUAAAAACGUUCACUAUAAGCGCUAAACUACAUCAAAUUUCUGGUAUUUGAGUGAACAUUUUUAAAAAAAUUUGACACUUAAGUGAUCAACUAAACAUAAUAUUUUUUAGAAAUAAUGGCAAUUAAGUGAUAAGAAAAAAAGUUAUAGUACUUAAGCAAACAUCCUAUAAAAGUUAUUACUUUAUCCCUAACUUCUAGUAUAAUCCCAGAGCUGACGAUUGCAGUCGUGGUCCUUUUAACAGCAAGUCUCUUCCUAGAACAUUGUGCUUGUGCUAGUACUGCUGUGGGCCUAGACUAUGAACCUUGACUACGUUGGCAUAACCCAUCUGAAGCUUCUUCAAUGUGGCUUCAUUUUUUAAGCAAGAUAUCGAGGAAAGAGUAUCUAGAGAGAAGAGGAACAGUAUCUUGGCGAAUGAUUAAGUAGUAAUUAUUGAUAGGAAUGAUUUCCAUGCUAGAAAAGAUUAAAUUCCUCAUAGAGGAAUGUCGGGUUUUAAGGAUGAUGCAACAAAUCAUCGAUCACAACCCUUUUGAUGUUUGCUUUACAUUUGUGUAAACAAUCUCCAAAGGAUCUGUGGCACCUUAUUGCCCUAAUUUUGCAAUCUCCAACCAAUUUGCGAGAUAUUUUGGAGAGUUUUGGAUGGAACUUAGUAGUUAUGUCAUUUUUCCAUCUUUAAUAGUCAAAAAUCUCAAUGGUUCAUACUAAAUAUUUCUCUACACUGUGAACAUCAAAUAACAUAAUGUCACAAAUUAAAUCAACUGCAAAGCUUGCUAAGUUCUUUCUUGCUACAACAGUAUCUAAAAUAAUUGAUAGAUUUGUUGACCUACCUUCUUGAUGUUUCAGUCCAGCAAACGAAUAAAGUACUCUACUACUUAACCGACAAAGAGAGUUACGUUACUUUAUACUCUUUCACUUGAAUUGAAAUUGACAAUUCGUUUGUGAAAGAAGCACAAAUAAUAAAAGAGAAAGGGGGUUGUGAUAGGACGGUAUCAUAUAAUGUCACAUUUAGAAAUUCUUAUGAAAAGUGAAAAAUUAGUGGGCCCACAGGAAAAAAAAAACCCAGUCUCUUCUGUCUUGAAUAAUGACACUUCAGUUCCAAGUAAAGGCAUAAAGAAGGAGAAGAAAACAAUAAUGAAAGAAAAGAAUAAAGUUAUGUGUGCUUUCCAUUUGUGCAUUUUUUUUUAAUAAAUGGAUAAUAGGGGAGGUUUGUUUCCAUGAUUCUUUUACUUGCCAGAGACACCAACUACAUAUCUGGAAAAUUUCAAACUAUUGUGUCAUUCAAAUACUCAAGCAACACAUCAUUCUCCCAAAUUUUUUUAUUCUUAUCACUCAAUUCAUUAGGAAUCUUAAAUUACUUCUCCAAUGUACUUUAGUUAACUGUUUUAACUGACCGUGCUUGUUUCUUUGUUCAUGGAAUAGGUGAAGAACUUCAAAUCAUUAGCAGAUAUUCAAGCUGAAAACCUUUUAAAUCUUGAUGACAUAUGAGUUUAAAGUUUUAGAGGACCUUAGCAAUAGUACCUUGGAAUACAGUUUUCAGUGUCUUCAGCCAUCAAUGCCUGCAAAUGCAAAGUGACAAUAUUAUAUUAUAUAAACUCCGAUAUGGCUUGCCAAUAAAAUUAAGUUAGCAAUUAAAUAUCUAAAAGACGUUCAUUUAGAGAUUGAUUGCCCCAAAUUAAGGAAUUGGGGCAAAAUUCAAUGUGUUCUUAAAAAACCCUAGCCCUUAUUCGUCGAAUUGGGGCAAAAUCAUCUUAUCAAAUCUCCUUAUCAAAUCUUGCUCUAAGAAGAGCAAAGUUGGCAAACGUUCAAAACUUGUCCAUGAUACGAUUUCACUACAAGGCCUUACUUUCAAUCCUCCACUCAUGGCCUCAUCUUCACUGCAAGUCCUCCUCUUCCUUCUCCAAGCAGAAGAACCGAUCCUUCUUCACCCAUUCUCCAAUUUCGUCGUCCCGAGCUGUAGCGAGGUAGAAUCGAAGCAUCAGACAAACAAGAGGUGAGAAAGAGGGCUCUGUUCUCUAUCGAGAAAACAGAGCUCUAUUUCGUCAUUGCGUUUGCUCUGUUGUCUCCUCACCGUAUGAGUGCACAAACGCAAGAACAUUGAGAUUAUUUCUUAGUAUUUUGCGUUUGCCCUUUUGCUCGUCACUUAUGCAAAUACUAGAAUGAGUUUAUCCAAACCAAAUGUCCAACAGGUAAUUAUUCUUCUCUUUCAAAACAAGACCGAACCAACCUCCCAAUUUCUUUUACUUCUUCAGCUCCACCCCUGUUUUUACGUAAAACCAAACUCUUCUUCCAGUUUUCUGUCCUGAAUUCGUGAUCUUCCGCUUCGUUUAUUUGGUUACUGCAGUAAAAUCAUUUUGAAUCGGUUGUUGGUUAAACGCCACAAAGAUGACAGAGAAUUUUUUUAUUUUUAUUUUUUUGGAGGGGGGGUGGGGUUGGAGAGAGAAGCCCUGUUGUACUGUUCACGUUGCCAUGUUAGACGAAAAAAGUUCUGCAUUGGACUUCUUUUUUAUAAGAAAAGCCACGUAUUAAUAAAAAAUUCAUAUAAAAAACGUAGAAUAUGUUGGAAUUUACAACUAGAAGCACUUGAGUAAUGGUUUUUCUACCGAUAAAACACUUGAGAAAUUACUCGAAAAAUUUCGGCACUAAAAAGAUAUGACAUUUAGUGUUAUUUUCCUACCAAUGCUCUUUGAAAUAGAGAUUGAUAAAGAUUGGUAAAGUAUUUAAGCUAGAUCAUGGUAGAGUGUCCUAAUGGUUUAGAAAGCAUGCAUUUUGGAUGGUUCCAUUCUUUUGAGAAUUAUUUUCUGCACUCAAACCAAUUCCAAAAAUAAGAAUUCGCUUGAGAAGUUGCACGCGCAUAGAUAAAUGAGAAACUAGGGGAUUGGAAUAUUUUUAACAUUGACUUGGACUUAACUGUUCUAUUUUUUAUUUUGGGUCUAUGUCAUUAAAAAUUCGAAACCUGUAUUUAGGGUUCCAGCUUGGGCCAAAUAUGUUACGAGGAACUAGUUUUCGUAUCACAUAAAAACCUUCAACACAUUUUGACCCCAAACUAAUUUUUGUCUUGUGAAAAAUCCCAAAAUUGAUAACCUAACCAAAAGAUUACCCUCAAUGUUUGAUCCUAAACUAUUACUGGAUGAUCUAUUUGAGUUAGGUUUCUGGCUUGGGGCAAAUAUGUUACGAGGAACUAGUUCAAGAUUGUUUGCAAGAUGAAAAUAGAGUUUAGGAUAAAUAUAUUAUGAGGUAUCAAUUUGAGAUUUUGAUGGUAAUAAACCUAUUUCUGUUGCAUCUUGUAUUGCAUAACAAUAUAGAACAUAGAAGUAUUUGAAACAUGUUCUAAGCCUUAUAUAUGAAAUUUAACCAUGUUGAAUUUAAGGCUGAGGAUUAUGAAAUCAAGUUUGCCGAGCUUCCUCCUCAACAAUCUUAUGGUGCAGGAGUUGUAAAUCCAUGACAUGGUCCGCAAUUACAUUGUGUAGUGAUUUAUGAUUGUCAUUUGAUCAUGGAGCACCCAAGUUUGUAAAGUCAGUGAUAUAAUGAAAAUUGCAUUUACACGAGAAAAAUGGAUGUAACAUAACGGAUGAAAGAGCAUAUAAUGAUAUGGUGUCGUCAUUGUGGUGUAAUAUUGUCAUACCAUGCUUUUGCGACUUACUCAAUGCUACCAUUUGCAUCCUUUUUAACCUAUGAUCCAUUGGGAAAAAUAAUAUGAAUGAAUCUAACUGAUGCAUUUCCUACAAUCCAAGCUUUACAUGAAGGAUAGGAUUAGAUUGAAGAACUUGGGUGAAGCUGGGAAAGUCAAAUUCAUCGUCUCUUUGUUGACACCUCAUUUGAGUCGAUAGUUUAAGUAUUUAUUCUUGUAAAAGUACCCAAAAAAAAAAGCAAGGGAAUAGUAAAAAGAACUAAAAUGAUAAAUAGGCAAAUCAACAAAUAAAAAAGGGAUCUAAUAUGGUCUUGGUCUAUUUUCUAUAGCCCCGGUCAGCUGGCACGGCACAUGUCCAAAUUCGUUGAUCACGAGAGAAAAAAGAACAGGAGAAAAAUUGCCCUGGAAGAGAAGCUCCGUUGGAGAAGCUUCCGGAUUCUUCCCCCACCACCGUUGGACGUCGCCUACCUCCUCCGGCCGUCGGACGGUGCUCGCCUCCUCCAGCCGUCGUCGAUCUUCAGUCUCGGGAAGACACUGAUCGGAGAGAAAACCAAUUUUGAGGCACGCACGCUCACCUGAGAGAAAACACACCCGGGGCAAGGACGAUCGAGCAAAGGGGGAAAAGCUUGCACCCCCUCAACACGGGUCCAGAAGACACUCUCUUCCAGUGAUUUCUUCUGAAUCCUUUCCUGCCUCUUCGUUGUCGAUCGUGUUUUUGGCCGUGAAGACUUGAAGCCGUUUUUCUGAAAACUUCAUUACCGUUGCUCAUCCUCACCAACGACGUUUUCCGGAUCCUCCUCGACUAAAAAUCUUAAAUGACUUUUGGGGCCUGGAUCCCUAAAGUACAAGUUUGACCCAUAUGCGAACCGGAUUCAAAGGCCCAGCUCACACCCCUUUGGCGAGGGCUGGAUGAGGCCGCCCCUCAUUAGGGGCCCUUACCAGCGGCUAGCGAAGAAAAGAGAAAAAGGAAAGAAGCAAAAGAGAGGGAAAAGAAAAAGAAAAAAUUCAAAAAAAAUUCAAAAAAAUUAUUUAAAAUUUUGAAAAACAUUCAACUCAACGCUAAUCAUGUCAUAUAAGAUGGUUGACGUUUAUGCCAGCAAAUUUUUUACUAAAAUUGACCGGAUUGACUCAAUGAGUACCAUAGUGAAAAAGUUCAGGAUUAAAUUGGUUAAUCAAUAUGUUUAAGACUCAAUUGGCAUUAAUGCUAUAACCUUUUUUUUUUUAGUACUUUUCCCGUUCACAGUUUGUAUUGAUCAAUGUGAUGGAUUUAUGAGGUGGGCUUAAGGCACAUCCGCUCAAAUUGGGCCCAAAGGGCCCGGCCCACGGGAAUAGGGCCCGUGGAGGGGGAAGGUAUAAAAGGGAGGAGAGAGAGAGAGAAGAAAAAGUUGAGGAACAGAACGUACGUCUUUUCUCUUCUCACGCUCUCUCUCUCCCAAAAAGAAAAGGCAGUAAGCAAACGGCGCGCUUUCCUUCCCUUCAAGUCGUCAUUGGAUCAAACGGGGCCAGAAUUUCUUCCUCUUCUUCAGCAUUAGUGUUUAAUCUGUGGCUAAUGAGGUACGCUCGAAUCCGUGGUGUGCUUUACGAUCGGUGAUGCGUGUUUUUCCCGGGCUUCGUCUUCCGCAUUGAUUUAGGGGUUCGAUUUAGUGUCGAAUCUGGUUUUCGGGGAUCAGUCAUUCCCAACAUUGGUAUCAGAGCCCUGUUUCACAUUUUUCCCGAUCAAUUCUAAUGUUUUUGAUUGAUUUUUCGCGAAANNNNNNNNNNNNNNNNNNNNNNNNNNNNNNNNNNNNNNNNNNNNNNNNNNNNNNNNNNNNNNNNNNNNNNNNNNNNNNNNNNNNNNNNNNNNNNNNNNNNAUGGCCCAUAGCUGCUAUUGAGAUUUACCUUGAUUCGCAUAAUUCUGGCAAUAGUGUUUGGUAUGGAUCUUGAGUUACGUCAAAUGGAUGUAAAGACUGCUUUCCUCAAUGGAGACUUAGAGGAUGAAAUAUAUAUGGAACAACCUGUUGGUUUCAUAGUGAAAGGCCAAGAAGAAAAGGUAUGUCGACUUUGGGGGUCGAUAUAUGGCCUUAAGCAGUCGUCAAGACAAUGAUAUAUACGUUUUCAUAAUGCCAUAAUGGCAUAUGACUUUACAAUGAUAGAUGAGGAUCAUUGUGUAUAUAUCAAAAGAUCCAAGGAUCAAUUUGUGAUCAUAUCAUUAUAUGUUGAUGAUAUACUAAUUGCCGGAAGCAAUAUGGAGCUAGUCAAUACUGUCAAAAGUUGGUUGUCUUCCAAAAUUUUGAAUUGAAUGAUAUGGGAUUGUAAACCCAUUGACGCUCCUAUUGCAAAAGGUGAAUGAUUGAACCAUAGACUGUGUCCAAGGACUCCACAAGAGAAGGAACAAAUGAAACAUGUUCCUUAUGCUAGUGCUGUUAGAAGCUUGUUGUACGCUAUGAUGUGUACAAGACCUGACAUAUGUUUUGCAGUUGGAAUGGUGAGUAGAUACUAAUCCAAUCCAGGUCAAGCACGUUGGAAAGCCGUUAAGUGAAUACUGAGGUAUCUAAAAGGGACUGCUGAUUAUACGUUGAGUUAUUAAGGAAAUGAUCUGCAACUCAAAGGCUAUUCUGAUGCUGAUUGGAGAGGAGAUUUAAAUGAAAGGAAAUCUACCUCUGGUUUUGUUUUCUUACCGAAUGAUGGCACCAUAUGUUGGAGCAGUAAGAAACAAAAGUGUAUAGUCUUGUCAUGAUGGAAUUGAGCUUCGUGGCAUUAUCAGCAGCAGUAUAAGAAGAUGUUUGGCUUAAGAGAUUAUUGGAUCAUUUAGGUGUUAUUGAAAGUGCUGCAGAUUUGUUAUUAGUUAACUAUGAUAAUCAAGCAGCAAAAGUGCACACCAAAGAUCCAAAAUAUCAUGGCAAGACCAAACAUAUAGAUACCAAGUAUAACUUUGUCAAGGAUAUGGUUGCACGAAAGGAUGUGAACUUAGAGUACAUACUACGCAUAGAAUGGUAGCAGAUCCUAUAACAAAGCCAAUACCUAGAGAUGUGUUUUGUGGCCAUGUGAAAUCUCUAGGAUUGCGUAGAGGAUGAUGUACUGAAUAUUAUAAUUUCCCUAAGAGUUCACAUUUGAUGAAUUUGUGUUUUCAUCAUUAAUGCCUAUGAAUCUUUGUUUGAUCUUUAUGCAUCUUAAUGCUCAGUGCAUUACUUUAAGUUAGAAGAAGUAUGUCGGACAGAUGAGAUUAGCCCACUCACACGGGUAAUCGCCUCUAUUUACUGUGUGAUAAAUAGAGAUGAGACUGUUUUUAAGCUUAUUAUCUAGGUGAUAAUCGAGAGCUCAAGCUUAAAAUACGUAUGUUGCCUUAACUAAGUGUUAAGAUGAGGACAUAAUACUUCCUAUGUCCGAGAGUAAAAUACCCCACAUAUUUUACUUUAUCUGUCUAUGAUGCCAGAUGUGAGUUCUGAUGAAUUUAGUGAAUGAGUAGAUACGUGAACUCAAGUUAAACAUUGGGUAUGUCUGAACUAUCAUCUGUACGGUAUUGAAAAGUGUACACAUACGCUCCAUGGGAAAGGACUUAAUACCGUAAUACGUAUUUUAUACUACGUAUGCAUGAGACGACCAAUAAGAGUGGCAAAAGUUUGAUCUCAACUUUUAUGUCGUGUGAGACUCUUGAGGAAAAGAGUUCCUCAAUUUCUUAGUCCCCUCAUGACUCUUACUUAUUCUCAAGAUUUCUAUUUAGUGUUUGCUAUCUUAGGAUGUUGCCAAUGGUCAUGAGUUUGAUUCGAUCUAAUGGGGCAUUUCUAGAAAAGCAAGCUGGACUGAAAUUGAGAGUUUGAAGGAAAGAGGAAGAUCGAUUUUGGAGAAUCACAUUAUAGUUUUGUAUUCACCGGUUAACCAAUUAUGACUGUCUUUGUGAUAAUCAUAAUUGUGAAUAUAAUAUAUAUAUCAUUAUUUAAAAGAGAUCAAGAGAGAUAUAAAUGUGAUCAAUCGAUCUAGGGUACUGCAUACUAAAUCUACUCAGAGUGUGAUGCCCAUUAUGAGCUGCUAUAUAUUCCUAACAGAUGUAUGGCAACGGGCUCUCAAAGUAUGCUAGUCGCACGGAUUAUUCACCGGUAUGAAUGUUGAAGAGAGGAAAAGAGGAUUAUGUUCGGCCCACCAUGUUAAGUAAGAGUCUAUGAUGGAUUUUUCUCUGAUGGGGCUGAGUAGGGCCUGUCCGCCCAUGUUGGUUUUGGACCACCAUGUGCGAGUGGGAGAUGAUGGAUUUAUGAGGUGGGCUUAAGGCCCAUCCGCUCAAAUUGGGCCCAAAGGGCCCAACCCACGGGAAUAGGGCCCGUGGAGGGGGAAGGUAUAAAAGGGAGGAGAGAGAGAGAGAAGAAAAAGUUGAGGAACAGAACGUACGUCUUUUCUCUUCUCACGCUCUCUCUCUCCCAAAAAGAAAAGGCAGUAAGCAAACGGCGCGCUUUCCUUCCCUUCAAGUCGUCAUCGGAUCGAACGGGGCCAGAAUUUCUUCCUCUUCUUCAGCGUUGGUGUUUAAUCUGUGGCUAACAAGGUACGCUCGAAUCCGUGGUGUGCUUUACGAUCGGUGAUGCGUGUUUUUCCCGGGCUUCGUCUUCCGCAUUGAUUUAGGGGUUCGAUUUAGUGUCGAAUCCGGUUUUCGGGGAUCAGUCAUUCCCAACACAAUGGUUAGGCUGUUCAAGGGCCGCUACUCCUCUCAUUGCAUUAUAUUCCACACACAAACAGGAAAGACAAAGUGAAAUAAUUGUUUUCAGCGUGAGUGGAUGACUGAAUUUUUGUAGGUUGAUAUGGUGAUACGCCUUUGGCCUCGUGUGCCUAAUUAUUUGAUGAUGUUGCGUACUCACUGGAUUGGCAUUCAAAGUUCUAAGAUUACCUAGAAAGAUGACAUUCUCAUUUCUAUGAAUGCUUAUGAAGCUUUUCAAAUAAUCCAACAGGAAGGAUCUCACAUCACCUAUGACUCUUGCUCUUAACAGAUGCUGAAAAUGUUACAGCACUUUCUGUGGUUUUGCGGAACUAUGCCAAGAAAGAGAGAUGCAUAGAAGUUAGAAGGCAAAGUUCCAAUUCAGCGGUAACUUCAAGUAAACAACUAAACAUCACAUUCUUUGACAAAACUCCAGGGGUGUGCAAACCUUCAUCCGGAGUGUGGCAAUCGAGCAGGUGAUCAAUCCAACGAUGGACGUUGACAGGUUUUACAUCGGACAGAUGACAUGAAAGUGCUCGAAAUCUAUGGCUGACAAAGCAAAAAAGAAAAUUUCCCUGUGCACAAGGUCACGGGACCGUAAAACCGGCCCAACUCAUUAGCUUGUCUAGCGACCAAUCGAUGAGCCUCCAAAGGAAAUCAGCCCAUUGCAACGCACACUUAACCAAAAGCCUCUGGAAGCACCUCUUGGGAGAGCUACGUAGCGCCCACGAAUGAGCCUCGUGGUCGGGGAGUUCAUAGGCGAAGAAAAAAAGCCAAGAACCAUCCACACAACAUAUGAAAAAUCAUUCCUUCCCCGAUAGUCUCGGUGGGUUUGACCGAUAUAGUAGCCGCCCCGAGAGGAUAGGCUAGCGUGAUCCCGCAUGACGCAACAUAAAUUAAACAUCCCACGGACGGGAUGCGUCUCAGCUCUUGACGAUGGCUGUGCGUAGAACCUAAGACAAAUAAAGAGUAUUGCCAUCAUGGAUAAAGUGAACGCCACACCGUUACAUAGCAUAAAGCCUUUGAAAGAUCCCCUGCCAGCAUGAAUCGCAACUCCAUCAUUGUUAUAACCUCCGGGCACUGUGAGAAGGCCGGUGAAGCUUAAUAUAGUUAUAAGUCCUCCCACCAGUAGUUGAACAUCCAUAAUUCUUUUUUUUUUUCGACAAAUUAAAGUUAUCUCGGUUGGCAAUAUUACUUCCUGUGGUUAUAGAGACAGAUGGUUGUCCCUCAACAAAUUGCUUGUCUAACCUCUUGUUACCAUAUUCAAUAAACCAGCCUUGAAAGCCCGGGAUUCCAUGAGAUCCUUCCAACGGGGACCAAGCAUUCCAACAGUUGUCCCUCUAAUAAAGCACAUAAUAGAAUGUAUCAAUUAACGAGUGAAAGUUUUCCGAUAAAAUACUUCCAGACCCUCACACCCUCAAAAUCCAUUUAUAACACAGAACUUCUGGCAAGUGCUAAGAGGUCAUGGAGAAUUCAUUCAAGUAACAUAUUUUAGAUAAAGGUAAAUGGUAAAUAACACCCGUAAAUAGAGUUUCCUAAGUAAACAAUUACAGUUACGGGCAUGCUAUCCCAAUCCUAAUGUAUUCUCCAUUUCCUUCCUUUUAUUUUCUUUCUUUUUUCCCCAUUUUGGCAUUGCCUAAUUUUAGAGAAUCCCAACAAAAACUGUUUUGCAAUGUUUUCAAAUUAACUAAGAUUUAGACAAUUACUUUUGAACUAGUUGAAGACCCGCGCGUUGCCCAGAUUUGAACCUUAUACUUACUGAAAAAUUUUGUUUUGAUAUGAUGAUAUGAUGAUAAAACAUAAUAUUUACAAAGUACUUAUUUAUCGACCAGAUAACAAAAUUAACUAAUUUGAAACAUCGUAAAGUAAUAAACAGGAGCAUUGUAUAUUGACGCACAUAUUGGAACAACCAUAAUGACUCCUAUAAUGAGUUUAGAUUUAUUGACUAUUAUAUCCAAUAACAUCCAAGAGAUGUUGAUCGACCAAAAAAAAAGAUUUGAUAUUUUGUUGUAGGAAAGAUUAAUGAUAAAGACAGCCCUCUUGUUUUUGUCCAAUUAGUAAUGGUUAGUUUGAAGUAGCUACAAAAAGAAGUCAAUAAAAUAAAAUAUUCUCAUAAUGGAUAAUGCUUUCAAUUUUUUUUUUUUGUGAGUAGAUAUAUUAUUUGAUGAAAAUUGGGAAGUCAAUAGAAUUAUGAUGAAUUGAAUAUAUUCAUUGGAUAAUUUCAUCUCUCCCAAUACCACAUCAGAAUGCUUCCUUCUUUCACUAAAUCUAGAUCGGUAUCCUCCAUUUGAAAUAGUUAUAAUGCAAUCAAUGGAAAGAAUUCUUCUUAGGGACUAGAUUGAAAAAAAAAAUUAAGAAAGUCGAGACAAUUUUAGGAUUUCUUAUUCUCCGAAGGACCAAUUCAGAAAAGACAAUUUGAAGGACAAAACAAAAUUUUGAUGGAAUAAUCUUGACUUUAACUCCGUUAAUGGAUUGAUUUUUCGAUCAAAAGUAAUAUGUGAGUGAAAUCUUCCAUUUUUUCUUCUUUCUCUAUCCUUAUCCCUAUCCCUACCUCGUAGGUACAACCAUUGAAUCAAGAGGGAACCUUUUCUUAAUAGUCUAAUGGCCCUGGCUUAUGUGGGUCGAAUUGAGCUCAGCCAGUGAUGAGAGGGUCCACCAAAACUCUAUAAAUAACCUAAGGUCCCUCCUCUAAACCUCACUUUUGCCAUUCUAAAAUGUAUACAUCCGCUACCUCACAUAAGGAACGUUUGUGAGGGAUAGUCUCAUUGAGGGACAGCCUCAUUAAGUCAUCGAGAGUGAUAGAGGAGAAGAUCUUCAGCGUCGAAGCUUUGGAUUGCUGCCAUUCCGCUCCAAGAAUCGUGAAUUCCAAAUCAGGUAUGCAAACCUUCAUCUUCUCCUCCAAUACGUUCGAGUUUCUAACAAUGUCGAUCUUGGAAACUGUAUCAACGGCCAACACAUCAGUCUCAAGAAGACACUGAUCGGAGAGAAUACCAUUUUUGAGGCACGCAUGCGCACCUGAUAGAAAACAGACGGGCAAGGACAAUCGAAAAGAGGGAAAACUUGCACUCCCUUAGCGUGCUUCUUUUGAAUUUCUUUUUCUUUGUCAUCCUCAUCUGCCGGUAAUUGCCAUCGGUUUACCAUCACUGGGCACCGACUAAUGUACGUACUGGAAAGAGAACUAGAACAGAAGGCACCGGAUGAAAUCAUUCGUCUUUUGAGAUAUCAGAAGUUACUCUAUCAGAGAUUUCUUUUGAAUCCUUUCAUGCCUCUUCGUCUUCAAUAGUGUUUGAAGCCAUUCGCAUUUGUCUGAAACUUCACUAUCGGUGCUCAUUCACCCAAGCACGUUUUCCAGAUCUUCCUCGUGCAAAAUCGACCAGUAAUUGUGACCAAGAAUUCCUCGUCAACAAGGCUAUAUCUCUUCCCUACUAUACUCUGCUUUCGAUGAAUAAAAGUAACUGAAAUGGCACGUUCUAGAUUAGGAUAGAAUCGGCUUAACUGCAUAUUCAUACUGAUGAUUGCAUCCUUGGACUAAUUUUGUUUGAACCUGAUCUCUAAUCCGAAGUUAUUGCGCUUUGUUUUGCUUCUCUGCCGAAUACGCAUAACGUGUGCAUCAGUGAGUUUCUGCUAAAUCCGAAGACAAACCAGUUUAGUGUGCAUAUUAUUGAUUGAUUGGUUGGUCGGUAAGCAUGAUUUAGUAGAAUUUUACACAUUGACCCAGACUGACACACCUAUUCUUGUUCUAUUCCCGUGUAUGUUUGUCUCCGAGGUGAUGGAUGGGGGUCAAUGGUGAGUAAAUGGAUUCGAGUUAAGGACUGGAGUGUCGAUCCAUUGAAGCAUUCGUUUCGGUUUGUUUCUCCAUUCUUAUGUUCUGUCCAUUUCCUUUACUGUUGCGAUUGCGGAUAAUCGAGUUGAUGGUGACAGAGGACGGCCGUAGGCAGGGAGUCUCUGAAUGGUACUGUUUCACAGAUGUUCUUGAUUUUAGUGUUUCAGGUCUUGAACUUGACAAGAAACGAUUGGGCUGAAUCUGGUUCAAGUGAAUUCGGAUUAUUUGAUGAGUUCUUUUAGGGAAUUUGGGCUUAAUUCGACUAGUUAAGCCCAAUUCGAUUUUUUAGGGGAAGAAUCUAGAUAGAUAUAUAGCCCAAAGGACUUUUACGGCCUGAACCGGGAACCGACCGGACCGGACCGAACUGGUCGGUUUUGGGUGGUUCCCAUGGUCGGCGGUCCGGUCCCCGAUUCCUAAUCUUGGAACCGAUGGCCGGUUGGUCCGGUUCCCGGUUUCAAGGUGGGAACUGGACCGAAUUGGACCGACCGGACCGAACCAAAUCUUUUUAUAUAUAAUUUAUAUACAUAUAAUUAAUAAAACAUAUAAACAUGAUAACUUAUUGCAACCAAAGUUGCAAUUUGAGGUAGCAACCUCUUAUGUGGUCAAGAGACCAUUAAAACCCUUUUUGUUACUCUUUUAUUUAUAGAAAAAAUCUCCUUGUUAGUUUCGAUGUGAGAUUAAGACUUCAAGAGAUCCCGUGAAUCACACGAGUGAAGUUUGAAUAUUUUGCACGUAAAACACGUGUGAUUAGCUUUGUUGAAUUGCCCAAGAAUCGAAUUGGAUUGAUCGGUCAAGAGCGCGGUCACUCUUUAGUUCUUUAGUGCAAAAAAGUAGAGUUGAUUUUUUUGGACCGGACCGGACCGGACCGGAGCCGAUGGUCCGGUCCGGUUCCCGGUCCUAGGACCAAACGGUCCGGUCCACGGUUCGCAAUUUUGGGAACCGGUGCUCCCGGUCCGGUUCUUGGUUCCAAGGUGGAACCGGACCGAACUGGGAACCAAUCACCCUUAAGGAUUAGCCGCUACUCCUCUUUGUGCAUUGGCGAGCGAUGCAUGUGUUCUAUGUACGAACACGAAAGACAAAGCGAGAUGAUUGUUUUUGGCAUCACUGUGUGAUUGGAUUUUCAUAGGUUGAUAUGGUGGUACAUUCUUAACCUUGUAUACCUAAUUAUUUGAUGUUGUUACUUACUGGAUUGACUUGUAAGUUCUAAGGUUACACUAAAAGAUGACAUUCCCAUUUCUCUGAAAACUUAUGAAACUUUUGAAAUAAUUGGAAGGGAAGGAUCUUGCUUCAGCCAUGACUUUUGCUCUCGACAGAUGCUGAGAAUAUUAUGAUAUUUCCUGCAGUUUUGCACAACCAUGCCAUUAAAAAGCAGUGCAUAGAAGUCAAAGCCAAGUCCCAAUUUAACGGCAACUUAAAAAUAUAUGGUAGUAAAUAUCACAUUUUUCGGCAAGCCUUCAGCUGUAUACUAACUUUUAUCCGAGCCGACUUGUAGAACUUAAGAAGAAAUUUGGCGUUGGUAAAUGCAUUACAAUAGUGCUAUCUUACUAACUUUUAAUUGCGCCCACUUCUAAAAAUUAAAUGGGUUUGGUAACUUUAAUUCAUUUGACAUUGAUGUCUUCAUUACCAUGUCAGGAACUUAUUAACCUAUUACUCAAUCUGCUAAAAAAUUUAAAAGUUGUUAACUGCCUUACGAUGUUGAUAAUUUAUUAAUCUCUACCUUGUCCACCUGUAGAAUUUAGAAAGAAGUUUGUAACUUACAUAUCAACUUGGUGUUAGUAAAUUCAUUACACUAUACUGGUAAUUUGCUAACUAGUAACUUGAUUUGGCGGAUCUACCACCGUUGAAAAAUGUUCAAGGAAUUCCUAGAAAUUAUAGUAAUUGUAAUCGACGGUGAAGACAAAUAAAACUCAAUAUAUGACAUGAAAAUCAAUUUUUUUAAUUGAAAUUCUAUAAAACCCGAUACCCUCGCAACCAAACAUCUAUCGACAAACAUUAGUCAAUACCAAUAUGGCAGUUCAACCGCAAUCCCUCAGCAGCUGCUAACCCUCUUGGCUCUCAUUUGGUCAACUGAGAAGCCGUCGAGUUGUAUAUCCUUCACGUACACGGAAAGCCUCAACUUGUUGGCCUUUGCUGCUCUCCAGGCAUCUUUGAUAGGGUUUAAAUCAGACGGCUGACAUAAAAGUGCUCGAACUGACAUGGCAAGAAGAAAAUCUCCUGGGCACAAAGACAUGGGACUGUAGAGCCGGUUCAAUUUAUUAGCAGCUUCCCUAGAGUAUAUUAUAUUUAAACAUUAAGUUUCGGACAUAUCUUCCCCGAUACUGAGGUGGGCGAUUUAGUAUAGGGUCAAGUGAAAUACCGAUAAUGUACAUAAUCACGAUACAUCCGCCAAUGAUAAAAGGAGAGAUUCCAAGCCCGAUGGUUCCGGUCAAUACCGCAAACGUACCACAAGCAAAGGCUAGCACCAUUGCCCAUAUCGCAAUGAAAAUGCAAAGUCCCACGGGGUAGGUGUAUCUCACCUCGUAGCGAGGGCCCGGGACCCAAGGAUCAAAUUGUAUGAAUAAUGCCACGACUGAGAAACUGAACGCUGUAACGUUUAAUAGCACAAAGGCUUGGAAAGCUGCCCUGUCAGCAAGAAUCGCCAUCCCUCGGUUGGGUCCAUCGUUGUUAUAUCCUCCGGGCAUGGUGAAGGUUGCAGCAAAGGUCACCGUGGCUAUGAGCGUUGCCAUUAAUUGUUGAAGGUUGAUCAAGUUUCUUGUUGAUGAAUCGGAAUUUUCUCGGUUGGCGAUAUUACUUCCGGUGAUUAUAGAUGCACCUGGUUGACCCUCAACAAAUUGCUUGUCCAACAUCUUCUUUAUUUUUUCAAUAAUCCCACCUUGGAAAUCCGACAUUCCGCAAGAUUCUUUUAAUAGAUAAUUAACUUUGGCAGCACUGUAGCCGACCUAAAAAAUUUACAAUAUGUAUUAAUUAAAGGGUGAACUCUUCCGGCGAAAUACCUUUACGCACUCAAAUUUCAUUUAUAAACAACAGAACUCCCGGCGAGUCAUAAAAUAUUAUGAGGCAGAGUGUAGGUUAUCUCUUUUAUCUCAAGAAUUGUUUGAAUGGGGGCAGGGAAAAAAAAAAACAGAAGGAUUAUAGCUUGUAGCUAAUUAUUGUUAAAAUAUUCCGAUAUUUUCAUGUGAAUGUAACAGAAUAGUUGUUUCAAAGUCAGAAGUGCAAAUAAACUUUUUAAAUUGAGAUCCUCUAAAGCUACAUCUAAUCUAACAUUUAAAGUCACCGAUGUAUGGUUGACACCUAGCACAUAGGGGUCAUUAGACGGCACAUAUUUAUUCUCCAUUUUUCUUUGUUCUUUUUUUCCUCCCUCUAGCUUAUCCCUUAACUCUGGAGGGUCCCAACCCUAAUGUUUUGCAUUGUUUUCAAGAUAAAUAAGAUGACAACUAUUUGUGAACUCUUUGGUGACCCGAUUGUCGCACCCAUUUGAAAUUUAUGCUCAAUGAAAGUUUUUUAUUUGAUGAGAUAAUAUGAUUAUAAAAUCCAUAUUUACCAACUUCAUACAUUAUAUUGUACACAAAUAAUAUACAUUUAUCAACCAAACAACAUAAUUAAUUAAUAUUGAAUAUUACUUUAUUGAAUUCUUUGUUACUGAGGUCCACUCUUCCCACAUGGAAAGAGAGAGGUGAGGAGUUUGAUUCCCUACCUUCUCAUAUGGAUAAGAGGUAAGAACAUUUAGUUUUAAGUGUGGGGUUUGACUCUGACACUUUACAAAGAAAUAGGACAAAAGUCUGAAAAUGAUUCAAGAGUUAAACUAAGUCUGAAAAGGAGUAAAGAGUUAAACUAAGAUAGGCAAAUAUAUAUAUAUAUAUAUAUAUAUAUAUAAAAUAAAAAAAAUCAGACAUAUAUUUAUUUUAAACUAUUUAUUUUUAUAGUGUGCAGUUCAUUGUUGGCUAUUAAUUCAAUAUUUAGCUUUUUUUUAUGCAAUUAGAUAUUAAAUAGGGCUUUUACAUGUGCGAAUGAGUUAGAUGAUUUCCAGACUAUAAGUAUAAAUUAAAUUAUGAGGACUUCAAUUUUAAAUUUUACAGUAAUAACUACUGGCAAGAUAAUUAUCUUGUAAGACAUAAUUUCUAUAUGAUGAUGCAAAUUCAUCACCAUGUUAUAGAUCAAAACUAAAAAAAUGAAGACAACUUCUUUAGCUACUGCUUUUUGUUAAUUUUGCAAUACUCAUUAAUACAGUUUAACCAAUUUUUUUCAAUAGUCUAAAAUAUUUAUGCUUUACUUUGUCACUAAAUCGUUUGUAUGCUCAUAUCCAAUUUAUAGAUUAAAUGGUUGUUUGAAAGAAAGAAAUUAUAUCCCUCCACAUUUAGUUUAUAAUAAGUGGAUAUAUGAAAGAACCAUAAAUACUUUAAAUCACAAAUAUAGAUUUAUUGGCUAUUGGACCAAAUUACAUUCAAGUUGUAAGCUAUGGGAAUUGAUGUCGAUAUUUUGUUGUAUGAAUAUUAAUGAUAGAUUAGGUGGACAAAAAAGCCUUUUAAUUUUUGCCUAAUUGAUGUAAUAAUUAGUGUAUCGAUUAAUGUCAAGUGAAGUGGGAGGGAAUGAUUGUAAGUAGCUUAACCACAAAAUUCAAUGCUGCCCAAAUUUCUUAUUUAUGGUUCGAUAUGACAUCACUUCACUCCAAGUCCCUUUUCAAAUGCGUCACGCUUACUAGAGCUAUCUAUGCUACUAUCUGCUCAAACAAUCGACUAAGCAAAACAAAGUUGACACACUAAAACUCCAAUUGGGCUGUUUGUUUGCACCGACUAUCACCUGAGCCACCGUUUCUAAACAAUACUGAAGAAAUUACUCUACAAGUGAACAAAUCGAGCUCUAUAGGGUUCAAGCAAGAAAGCAUACCUCGUUAUGAGCCAAAAAAAUGUCAAGGCGGNNNNNNNNNNNNNNNNNNNNNNNNNNNNNNNNNNNNNNNNNNNNNNNNNNNNNNNNNNNNNNNNNNNNNNNNNNNNNNNNNNNNNNNNNNNNNNNNNNNNNNNNNNNNNNNNNNNNNNNNNNNNNNNNNNNNNNNNNNNNNNNNNNNNNNNNNNNNNNNNNNNNNNNNNNNNNNNNNNNNNNNNNNNNNNNNNNNNNNNNNNNNNNNNNNNNNNNNNNNNNNNNNNNNNNNNNNNNNNNNNNNNNNNNNNNNNNNNNNNNNNNNNNNNNNNNNNNNNNNNNNNNNNNNNNNNNNNNNNNNNNNNNNNNNNNNNNNNNNNNNNNNNNNNNNNNNNNNNNNNNNNNNNNNNNNNNNNNNNNNNNNNNNNNNNNNNNNNNNNNNNNNNNNNNNNNNNNNNNNNNNNNNNNNNNNNNNNNNNNNNNNNNNNNNNNNNNNNNNNNNNNNNNNNNNNNNNNNNNNNNNNNNNNNNNNNNNNNNNNNNNNNNNNNNNNNNNNNNNNNNNNNNNNNNNNNNNNNNNNNNNNNNNNNNNNNNNNNNNNNNNNNNNNNNNNNNNNNNNNNNNNNNNNNNNNNNNNNNNNNNNNNNNNNNNNNNNNNNNNNNNNNNNNNNNNNNNNNNNNNNNNNNNNNNNNNNNNNNNNNNNNNNNNNNNNNNNNNNNNNNNNNNNNNNNNNNNNNNNNNNNNNNNNNNNNNNNNNNNNNNNNNNNNNNNNNNNNNNNNNNNNNNNNNNNNNNNNNNNNNNNNNNNNNNNNNNNNNNNNNNNNNNNNNNNNNNNNNNNNNNNNNNNNNNNNNNNNNNNNNNNNNNNNNNNNNNNNNNNNNNNNNNNNNNNNNNNNNNNNNNNNNNNNNNNNNNNNNNNNNNNNNNNNNNNNNNNNNNNNNNNNNNNNNNNNNNNNNNNNNNNNNNNNNNNNNNNNNNNNNNNNNNNNNNNNNNNNNNNNNNNNNNNNNNNNNNNNNNNNNNNNNNNNNNNNNNNNNNNNNNNNNNNNNNNNNNNNNNNNNNNNNNNNNNNNNNNNNNNNNNNNNNNNNNNNNNNNNNNNNNNNNNNNNNNNNNNNNNNNNNNNNNNNNNNNNNNNNNNNNNNNNNNNNNNNNNNNNNNNNNNNNNNNNNNNNNNNNNNNNNNNNNNNNNNNNNNNNNNNNNNNNNNNNNNNNNNNNNNNNNNNNNNNNNNNNNNNNNNNNNNNNNNNNNNNNNNNNNNNNNNNNNNNNNNNNNNNNNNNNNNNNNNNNNNNNNNNNNNNNNNNNNNNNNNNNNNNNNNNNNNNNNNNNNNNNNNNNNNNNNNNNNNNNNNNNNNNNNNNNNNNNNNNNNNNNNNNNNNNNNNNNNNNNNNNNNNNNNNNNNNNNNNNNNNNNNNNNNNNNNNNNNNNNNNNNNNNNNNNNNNNNNNNNNNNNNNNNNNNNNNNNNNNNNNNNNNNNNNNNNNNNNNNNNNNNNNNNNNNNNNNNNNNNNNNNNNNNNNNNNNNNNNNNNNNNNNNNNNNNNNNNNNNNNNNNNNNNNNNNNNNNNNNNNNNNNNNNNNNNNNNNNNNNNNNNNNNNNNNNNNNNNNNNNNNNNNNNNNNNNNNNNNNNNNNNNNNNNNNNNNNNNNNNNNNNNNNNNNNNNNNNNNNNNNNNNNNNNNNNNNNNNNNNNNNNNNNNNNNNNNNNNNNNNNNNNNNNNNNNNNNNNNNNNNNNNNNNNNNNNNNNNNNNNNNNNNNNNNNNNNNNNNNNNNNNNNNNNNNNNNNNNNNNNNNNNNNNNNNNNNNNNNNNNNNNNNNNNNNNNNNNNNNNNNNNNNNNNNNNNNNNNNNNNNNNNNNNNNNNNNNNNNNNNNNNNNNNNNNNNNNNNNNNNNNNNNNNNNNNNNNNNNNNNNNNNNNNNNNNNNNNNNNNNNNNNNNNNNNNNNNNNNNNNNNNNNNNNNNNNNNNNNNNNNNNNNNNNNNNNNNNNNNNNNNNNNNNNNNNNNNNNNNNNNNNNNNNNNNNNNNNNNNNNNNNNNNNNNNNNNNNNNNNNNNNNNNNNNNNNNNNNNNNNNNNNNNNNNNNNNNNNNNNNNNNNNNNNNNNNNNNNNNNNNNNNNNNNNNNNNNNNNNNNNNNNNNNNNNNNNNNNNNNNNNNNNNNNNNNNNNNNNNNNNNNNNNNNNNNNNNNNNNNNNNNNNNNNNNNNNNNNNNNNNNNNNNNNNNNNNNNNNNNNNNNNNNNNNNNNNNNNNNNNNNNNNNNNNNNNNNNNNNNNNNNNNNNNNNNNNNNNNNNNNNNNNNNNNNNNNNNNNNNNNNNNNNNNNNNNNNNNNNNNNNNNNNNNNNNNNNNNNNNNNNNNNNNNNNNNNNNNNNNNNNNNNNNNNNNNNNNNNNNNNNNNNNNNNNNNNNNNNNNNNNNNNNNNNNNNNNNNNNNNNNNNNNNNNNNNNNNNNNNNNNNNNNNNNNNNNNNNNNNNNNNNNNNNNNNNNNNNNNNNNNNNNNNNNNNNNNNNNNNNNNNNNNNNNNNNNNNNNNNNNNNNNNNNNNNNNNNNNNNNNNNNNNNNNNNNNNNNNNNNNNNNNNNNNNNNNNNNNNNNNNNNNNNNNNNNNNNNNNNNNNNNNNNNNNNNNNNNNNNNNNNNNNNNNNNNNNNNNNNNNNNNNNNNNNNNNNNNNNNNNNNNNNNNNNNNNNNNNNNNNNNNNNNNNNNNNNNNNNNNNNNNNNNNNNNNNNNNNNNNNNNNNNNNNNNNNNNNNNNNNNNNNNNNNNNNNNNNNNNNNNNNNNNNNNNNNNNNNNNNNNNNNNNNNNNNNNNNNNNNNNNNNNNNNNNNNNNNNNNNNNNNNNNNNNNNNNNNNNNNNNNNNNNNNNNNNNNNNNNNNNNNNNNNNNNNNNNNNNNNNNNNNNNNNNNNNNNNNNNNNNNNNNNNNNNNNNNNNNNNNNNNNNNNNNNCUUUCUUUGAUCAAUUCCAGUAUGCUAUUCAGGAUUUUCUGCCAGCCUUUGCAAAUACAAUAUGAAUAUGUCAUGAUUCAGACUGUUUUUAGUAUCUUGACAUAGAUAUUAGAAUUGCAUUGUCUCCCAUGAAGUUUUCCCCUUUUUCUCCUUACUAGGAACGAAUAUGUCAUGGUUAUUACGAAGUUUCUCUAGUUAUCUCGUGUUAACGCGCGUAGAAUCUAACCACCUUCAAUUCAGUAUAAUACAGAAAUCUGUAAAGGUUUUCUUUUUGAUAAGUGAAAUUGUUAAUAGUUGGUCAAGUUGAUCGACAAGAAGCUUUUCCUGUUUUCAGGAGGGAAUCUGCUCCGUCAGGGCUAGGAUAAAAGACCAAUGUUUUUUUCUCUGAUGCCAAUCAUAUUGCAGACCAAUCGUGCCCAACUCAAUUUCAUAGAAAUUUCAAUAUCGAAUUAGGACUUAGCGCCUUGUGCAUUUUCAAUGAUCGUUGCACUCCCAUUUUUUCAAGUCAUCAUGAUUUGCCUUCAAGAAUUAAAAAAAUUUGCAUGCAUACCUUGAUCUUUCGGAAAUAUAAAGGGUUAACAUCACAAAAAAUCCAAACUGAUUCACAUAUAACAAAUUCACCAUAAAUUAAUUUUUUGACUUUAAAAAAUUCCAAAUUGAUAUACUUGUGACAAAUUUAUUUUAAAUUAAAUUUUUUACUACAAAAACCCCACAUUUUGAUAUAUCCGUAACCAUUUUAUCCCCCAUUAGUUUCUACUAAAUUGAUUUGAUAUCACAAAAGAAUAUCCAAAGUGGUACACCUAUCCACUAUCACAUGUCAUACAACUAAUUAAUUUGCAAUAAAUGUACUAGUUUGGAGUCAAAAAAUUAGUUUUGGAUAGAUUUUUCACAAAUGUAUCAAUUUCGAGUUUUUUGUAGUAUUAACCUAUAUUAUAUUUAUUGCAUGCCAUGCCAUUUAUUGUAAACUGAAAGACAAUUAAUCAUAAGCACAAAAUGUCGAAACAAAGAAGGACACAAGAAAAAAUAAUUUAAAAAAAGAAGAAGGUAAAACAACCGAACUGGAGAAGAGAGGAGAGGGAAGAGGCAGUGGUGCUAUGGUAGUGAUGGUGGCUGCUGCCGCUGCCACCGAAGGAGUCAAGCAAGAGUACAAGAUCCAGAAAAACACUUAGAAAGAAAUUAAGUGCGUGUACAAAGUACUUUCUUAAAAUACAAUGAUUUUCCUGAAUGGAUACGUAAUCCAGAAUGUAGUUGAAUCCUUUGAAAAACUCUACUCUUUUUUCCUUAGUCCGUAUGCUAAGAGAAGACAAACCAGUUUGAACUUAAUUAAUGGUCAAUGAAUAUCCGGCCACAAAAAACAAUUAAUGAAUAAAACAAUAAAGUCAAAUGCAACGAGAAUAACAAGUUAAAAUUUUAUUCAAAUUAUAACCCCCAUAUAUAAUUGCUCAAGAGCCAUGUCCUUGGGAAAAUGUAUGGCCUUUCACCACAAUAAAAGUAGCAAUCAAGAAAUAAAUAAAUAGCGUUGGCGGCCAUCACUGCUAACAUCAUCACGUCUCACCUAAAUGAAGCCUUGCACGAGAGAGAGAACUUUAGUUAAAAUUUGUUUCGGUGGAAAAAACCUGUGAUACUUACCAGCCAGUGGGCGAUGGAUGGCAACAUGCAAAGCUGUCAAUCCCUUAGGGCCCUUAUGAGAGGAUGGCAACACGGAAGCAUGUAAAAUCAGCUCCAUGAUAUACAAAUGCCCUCUAUCUGUUGCAAGAUAAAGCGGGGACUCAUCAGCAGCAUUAGUAACACCACCCAAUUGAGGAUCUUCUUCAAUCAGCAACUUCACCACUGAUUCAUGGCCUCCUCUUACUGCAUAGUGCAGUGCAGUAUCCUUAUGCAAAUUUGGCUUUCUAAGUAGUUCUCUACAUGCAUCAACUUGUCCGUUUUCAACAAUGCUAUGCAGUUUCACCAUUUUAAUAAGGACUCGAACAGAUUUCAAGCUUCCCAUGGUGGCAGCAAUAUGUAGUGGAGUAUCUUCUUUGAAGUUACCCUGCCAAAGAAGAGGCGUUUAGAGAUGAUGUCUCCCGCCCGCAGCGAAUAUAAAAUUGAAAUUUUCCCCCUGCCGUCUUGAGCUGCAACGUGAAGAAUGUUGUUCCCAUCUCUUCUUCGUUUGGUGAAAAAGAUCCUCUCCGUUUUCCGAAAUUGCUGUGAUCAGGGACUGAAACUCAGGAGACUGAAAGUCUCCUGACUUUGCAGCCCUAUACACAUUAGGAUGCAUACUUAGGCUCUCUUUCAUUCUCGGGAUAAGCGGUAGUUGCAAGUGAACUUAUCAAUAAAAGAAAUGAGUUCAAAUAUAAUGAACUUCUUUGAGCUUUCUAAGAGGAUUGAUGUAAAUGGAGGAUGUUGGAAAGGAAAUUUAGUUGAGCUUUCCAGGAGUAGUAGAAAGGAGAUAUUUAUAUGCAUAUGGUGGUUCUUCAAUUGUUCCUAUGAAAUUGAAAUAAAUUUAUUAGGUUUAGAGAAUAGUUUCCAGAAAGUCUAAUUAGUAUGCGUUUUGGACUUCAUACUUUACACAUAAGCAAAUAAUAAGGAAGUGGGGCAACUCUUGUUUAAAGGAAGGAGGACGAGUACAAAUAAAAAAUAAUAAUGAUAAAUAAAUUAUAUAAGCAUGAAAUUGAAUUAGCGGGCUGCUUUCCACUUUUCAUCAAAAUCAGGACCAUCGAAACAUGCAUGAUUCAAACAUUCUUACUGAAGAAUCGAAUCUGAUUGAACUUAUUUAUUAAAGCAAAGACAUUCGUGGGCCCACGUUUAGCUGUAGAUUUCCUUUUGCUCCUUUCCUAUUUUUUAACGACAAGUCCUUAACUCUUUUCAGUCUUUAUGGUCUUUAGUCCGUCGUGAGUCGUGCGUUCUCAUCAUGCUCCACAUGAUGGAAGAUUUACAUACGUAAACUUUCCCCACUCGAAGAUUUAUAUACGUAAAUUUUUAUGGGGAUCGAACUUAGGUAAAAAUUAGUUGACGCUCAAUUUGAGGAUCACCUUUACUGCUAUGAUCUAUUGGCAAAAGUCAAAGCUCAUAAUCAUAUGUUAUAUAUUGUAAUGUUUUCAUAAUAUACUAUAACGAAUAAAAAUCUAAAAAAAUUCAUGAUAGAUCAAGGACUAUCUAUUAUUUUUACUAUGUGGAAGAGAGAUGUAAAAGCUUAAUUUUUUUUUUAAAAAAAAAAGAGAAGGCAACACCGAAGCUGUUCUGCUUUGUCAGCAAGGGCCAGUGAUCCUUGUUGGUGUGUUGAUGAGGGCCAUCGACCCUUGUUGGAGUGUCCAUGAACGAGGGUUUGCAGGAUCUCGUUUGUGUCACAUAGUAAAGACAACUGUGAAUUUAUAUGUAGAACUGAAUUCGUAAGACAAUUCUUUUGAUGUUCUGAACUUGUAUCUCUAUGGAACAUUAGCUACAAUUAUGUUUGUUUAUGGAAUUGGCAAUUAGUAUCCUAUCUGAACCCCAGUGACAUUAUGUGUAUGUAGAACUGAAUACUCUGUUAGCGGCAAAACUGCAUUGGCAAUGGGUUAUUUUGUUUAACUUAACUUCUUCUUCUUUUUCCCAUUUAUGUUGGUCUAGACUUUGCUCCCAAAUUGGUGCCAUCAUUAAUCUUUUUUCAUUCAUUAGAAAAUGGAAUUAUUUUUGUUGAUUUACACUUUCCACUGUCUCUUGCUGUGUAGAGAAAUAGGAGACGGCUCAUGGGACUCGUGGACUGUGUCAUUUCUAGAGCGGGCAAGCUGUCGACUAUUGCCUGUUAUCCAUGAUGAUUUGUAUCUGAUGAAUCCGUGACAAUCUGUUAUGUUCCUUGCCUUUCAGACUGACACUGCUUGCGAGAAGGUGUAGACAGUUUCUGGUGAGAUACAUCGUCUUCUGGUAUCCUGUAUCUGAAGUUCACUUUCAGUGGAACAAUUUUGAUAUCACAGGUGAAGAACAUGAGCGGACUUAGCGAUGGCUUCGACAUAGUCGGGCUUUCUCAAGUAAUGACGUUG